This 236159-nucleotide long non-coding RNA is filed under the name Hordeum vulgare. RNAcentral's name for it is "long non-coding RNA (HVUL_LNC017618)". The record is from RNAcentral. Lineage: Eukaryota; Viridiplantae; Streptophyta; Magnoliopsida; Poales; Poaceae.
CUUGUCGGCGGCGACGAAGUAUGCCAUCCCGGCGACGGUGCAGACGAUGAGCGCCUGGCCGGUGGGGUUGAGGUUCGCCUUGGCCCACGGCAGCAUCCUCACGCUCGCCAGCUGCGUGAUUAAUAGUAGUUCAGUUAUGGAAACCACAGUCCAACGUGCAUGGAAAUCAACAACAAUUCCUGGACGGAGGAGCUCACCGUGGGGACUGCCGACGCGACCGUGGCGACGGCCGCAGCCUUUGCUCCGGCGAACGUUGCCUCUAGGAAAGAUUAAAAGAAAAAAAAGAAUGAACCGCUAGUAUCAGACUAUCAGCACACAACUGAGCUCUGAAGAAGUGCAUCCUGGUCAGUGGUUACUACCUCUGGAGCAGCGUUUGGCGAGGGCGAGCUUGUGGUCGAGGGACGCGCGGGUGACGGUGGCCGCCGACGACGACAUCUUCACCGUGAUAUUGUACAGAAACGGCUGAGUGCGAUCGAGUGAGAUGGUGUGGGCUGGCUGGUUCGUUGUUGCUCGAUGCAUCCAGACGAGGAGCUAGCCGUGUAUUUAUAGCGAGCAAAAAGGUUGCCGCCAUGCACGGUUUUGGGUGCAAACCGUGGGUACUCUGCUAUGAUCCGCUCAUUUGGACUUUAGAGUACACAACUGAGUUGGUGGGCGGAGCACCGCACGCUAUCUAAAAACUAUGGCAGCAAUCCACAGGAUUUGAUGAUGCUUGUUUGUUAGAGGUAUAUAUCCUCCAUGGCUCAAUCGCCUUUCUUUCUUUACCCACCAAAGCUGGUGAAAAAAGAGAGAUCUAAAGUUAGGCACAACAGUGCUGAUCUGAGCACAAUACUACGUAGAUAAUUGCUACCGGACGCAUUUGUUCUUUGUAAGAUAAGAUAACAAAUAUGAAACGGAGCAGGUGCCUCCGGGUCCACUCGUCAUCGUCGGUCCGUCGGUCGGCGAGCGGCGCUCCCAGUUUUCCGGCGAAACCGGCGGCAUGUGCUCCCCGGCCGGACUAGCUCUUCAUGCGUGAGCUGCUUUGGCAUUUCUCCACAUUUUUCUCCAGUCUGCGGCCCACCCAUAUUGCAUACAACAUUUAUUCUUCAGGUUCGUUGCACAAGAUACAGUCUGUUGGUGUAACCUGUUGUUGCUGCAAUCUCCAAUUCAUUGUUUUUUUUAAUAAUCUAAUUCAUUGUUUCAUUGUACGUUGACAUGAUUCCCAAUGAUUUGAUCCCGCUUGUAAGUGCAUACAAUGACAUCAACCAGCCAAUAAGAACUACCUCGUAGGUUUAGUUGCUCAUUAUUAUACAAUUACGACAUGGCAGUUUUAGUCAUUCAUUACCAUUUUUUGUUUAAAACUUGACAUUUAAAAAUGGCCUUUUAAAUUUGUGUCCCUAACUUGAAUCCAUAAUUCAGAUUUGCCCUAAUUUCAAAGCAUAUGCUCAAAUUUACACCUCUGCCGUUAUGUGUCCUUACAAAAAUAUCCUUCUGUACCAUAUUUUUAAUUGACAAAUUAUAGAGACUAUUUUGUCAUAUGGUAUUAUUAAAGAAGUUUUUUUUCUGUGGGUCAACGCACCAUAGUUUUGAACCUUACGUAGUGACGGAGCCAGUAUUUGGAUGUGGCCGUGGAUAGGGGGGCCAAAUACUUACAUACUAUGACAUAUCAAUCAAAUAUACACUAGGUACUUCAGAUUUUAUCGACCGUUAGGGGGAGCCAGGCCCCUGCUCGCCCCCUUGUCUCCGCCCCUGACCUUACGCGUAGAUAUGGAUAUACUUUUAUCUAACGAACGAUUAAGAAAGUGUUAAAGUAUUCCGGCCUCUGGUGACAAACACUUCGAACCUACACAUGACGGCUUUAUGAGUCUCUAGUGAUAAACACCUCAAACCUACACAUGACGACUUUAAUUAUGAGCCUUUGCUGACAAGCACCUCAAACAUGCACAUACGGCUUUACGAAUACAAAAAACUCAUGUUUUUUUAAUUAUUACAUGUUUUCCGACGAUAUACGAUCAAUGGGAGUAGGCAUUCUGGUCGACUAUGAUGACGCAUGUAGCAACUUCGACAAUUUUAAGAUAAUGUACCGGCUCAACCUAUCAAAGAUGCUCGCAAAGAUAGUAUGUGAGUGUGUACAUGUAAGUAUACGUGUGUAUAUACAAGUGUCUGCGCCUAUACUAUGUAUUGUGUUAAAUAACAAUACAUAAAGAUUGUUACGGUUUUCAAAAUAAAAGAAAAACACACGCUUCAAAACGUCAUUGUCUGUACUGUCUAUUAUGUUAAAUAACAAUACAUAAAGCUUGUUACGGUAUUCAAAAUAAAAAAGAACACUUGUUUCAAAACGGCCAAAUUUUUCAUUUUUAAACCCAUCCCUAUUUGUCAACCCAUCCAAUAAGCCGUAUCAAAAGAUUUAACGAGCGAGGUUAGAUGGCUUUGUCCUCACAUGCAUUCCGAAACAGAAUAGGGGCGGAAAAGGGAUCAAAAAAUGUACUUGUGGUGUGGUGUCAUUUCGGCGUUUUGCAAUGCUCCGAAGUACUUAGUACGCAUGCUAAAUGGUAAUCUUCGCAAACAAGAAAAAUAUUAGAUGAGUGAGGGCACUUGAACCAGAGAUGUACGAAAUUAAAACUACUCCCUUCGUUCCUAAAUAUAAGUCUUUCUAGAGGUUUCACUAACGGACAACAUACGGAUGCAUAUAGACAUACUUUAAAGUGUAGAAUCACUCAUUUUAAUUUGUAUGUAAAUCUCUAAUGAAAUUUCUUAGAAGACUUAUAUUUAGAAACAGAGGGAGUUGUUGUUAUUAACUAAAGAUCUCUGGAAAGAUACUAAGAUGGAGAAGUUGGCAACAUUAUUUCAUUUCAUACAUGAUCAGAUAACUAGUGCUUUGCUCGCAGUAAACAUCGCACUGGGCCAGAUCGCCCCAACAUUAUACUACUACUACGGGGCGGCGUACAGAGGUUGCUGCGCACUAGUUGAUCUACAACAUAAUUAGUGGUAGGAGGUCUUCUUGAGGUGCUCCGGCGCGUCCUGGAAGGAAUGCUUCCUGGCCAUGGAGAGGAUGGUCUUGUCGGCGACGAUGAAGUAGGCCAUCCCGGCGACGGUGGAGAUGAUGAGCGCCUGACCGGCGGGGUUCAGGUGCGCCUUGGCCCACGGAAGCAUCCUCACACUCGCCAGCUGCAGAAAAAGGCACGCAAGAAGAAGACGGUGAGAUGAUUAUUCGUUCGACGUCAAAAACUCAGUGGUGCAGGCUGAUAAACGUGUGCUUACGGUGGGCACUGCGGCGGCGACGGUGGCGACGGCCGCGGCCUUGGCUCCNNNNNNNNNNGUUUGGGAUCAACGUACGACUGUUAACCAAGUUCAGGUUUCAGCAGAAACAUAAGCCGCCGCAAUGAAUAGCAUUGCUGGGCUAAGGCUGGAAUCAGUCGUGGGCGCUUGGCGGCGGCGAGCCUCUGGUCGAGGUAGGGACGGGUCACCGUCGACAUGUUCACGGGCGGAGAGCUUGAUGUUGGCGACACGAGAUCGGAAGGAAGUGAACUAGUAGUGGCAGUAGCCCAGUAAUUCUGCGAGAUCGCCGACGGGCUAAGAUGAGUAGCAGUGUGAGCGAUAUGAGAUGAGAUGGGCAGAGCGAGAAUUUACAGGUUGCCGGGCAACCAGCGUGCGGCCGGGUUGACACUUGAUACGGUGGGAAGCAAGCCAGACCGUGUUUUUGAUACCGAGGGCCCGUUUGGUUUCAAAUAAGUCACCAACUUAUAAGUUGAAAAGUACAAAAAGUAGUUUAUUUUGCCAAACAGACCUAACUUAUAAAUCACCCCAACUUAUAAGUCAUAAGUUGCUUCACCCCCACUUAAACCUUAUAAGUCACCCACUUUUGCAUGGUCAGGUGACUUAUAAGUCAGAUGACAACCAAACAUGCGUGAUUUAUAAGUCACUGGUUUUAAGUCACCUGAUUUAAAAGUCACUGGCCCUGUUUGGUUUCAAUAAGUCAGGUGACUUAUAAGUCAGAUGACUCAUCUGACUUAUAAGGUCUGACUUAUAAGUGACCUUUAAGUCAGAUGACUCAUCUGACUUAUAAGUCACCUUUUCAUGCAAAAGUGGGUGACUUAUAAGUUUUAAGUUGGGGUGGAGCAACUUAUGACUUAUAAGUUGGGAUGACUUAUAAGUUGGGUCUGUUUGACAAAAUAAGUCACUUUUGCAUUUUUAAACUUAUAAGUUGGUAUUUGAAACCAAAUAAGGGCUAAGUCAUCUGAUUUAUUGAAAUCAAACAGGGCCCGAUACCGGCGGGCUGUGCGGAGGUUGAUAAAAUCCAUCAGGAUUGGCACGGAGCGUGUUCGUGUGUAGGAUAACAUAUAAGAGCAUGUGCGUGAGUGCAGUGUCACUCAGCGUGCACUCAAUUUUGUUGGCGAGUUGUCUGGGCGGGCGCUCCCAGUUUACGGCCAACCCGUCGGCGAUCCAAUUCUGCGAGCGGCUCGGUGCAGGGCAGAUCCUUUGAACAUUACCAUAUGCCGUAUAUCUAUGCGCGUAGAUAAAGUUGGUCACCCUUUUUGUCGGAGAUAAAGUCGAUCACCAGUUCAAAUAAUAUACUGCUCCCCCCCAUAAAAAAUAAGUGGAGCAUCGCGGUUUACAUCGAAUUGAUCGUAGGGAAUACUAGAAUCUUUAAUAAUCUACAACGGUGAAGACGCAUAGAAUUAACAGUUUUGCUGAAACUCAGCUAGCUGAGUUUUAAGUAUGGUCAUAGUCACUUUAUGUUUCUCUGGUUGUCUCGCUAGAUUCACCCUGUCUUUUGUUAAUUGCGGGAGCCAUGAUGGACGGCUCGUCUCGUAGGAGGAUCAGCCAUGUGCAUGAGUUUUCUCCAGGCCUUUUUGCUUAUUUAAACGAGCUGAGUUUUGUGAGUCUUUUCUUUAUUAACCGACGUAAAGAAAGAUGGGGUCUAAAGAUGCCACGCUGCUAGCUUUGUGCAUGUUUUGUCAUUUGUUCACUAUAGCUUCUAGGGGUAAUAAGUUCUUUCUUUUUUUCUUUUUCUUUUUUGCGGGUGAGGGCUAAGCUCAUUUUAAUUUCUUUUUCUUUUUAUCUUCUUCUCAUGAUGUAUCGUUGUAUUUUUUUUCUUCUGUUUUUCUUUCUUAUUUCACUAUAUAGAGUAGACAAUUGUUUCCCUAUUUUCUCUUUUUCUUGACUUUAGUAUAUUUACUUUGCUUUAGAAUAAAAUUCAUUUGUUACUGGAUAUUUCAAAUUGAUUGUUUAGGUUUUUAGUUUUGCAAAAAAUGUCUCUUAUUUUAUUUUUUUAAAAUACCCAUGUGAACACAAUAAUGAACUUGAGAUUGGAAAAAAGGGGCCGCAACUCUGCUCAGGAGGGGGAGUUGUCGGGGUCACUUGCAUGUUCACCACUAGACGUGCAACUGCAAAUGUUAUGACCUGAAUGCAACUGGAAGUUUCCAUGAGGGCCCGUAACUGCAUGUUUUUAAGACGGGGUCGCAACUGCACAUUUUCAGGAUGAGUUGCAACUGCAUGUUUUUAAGACGGGGUCGUAACUGCAUGUUUACAAGGUGGGCCGCAAUUGCAUGUGUUUUUUAAGAGGGGUCGCAACUGCAUGUUUUUAAGAUGAGUCGCAAUUGCAUGUUUUUAAGAUGGGUCCUAAUUGUAUACCCUCGAUGGGGGUUGUCGCAAUUGCACGCCUUCCAUGGGUUUGAUGUAAUUGCAUGCCUUCAACGGGGUUGCUGCAAUUGCAUGUAUUUUUGAUGGGGGUUGCAAUUACAUGCCUUCCAAGGUUUUGCCGCAUUUGCACGUCUUAUAGGGGUUGUCGCAAUUGCAUGCAUACGACGGAGCCAGUGCAAUUUUGUACCUUCGAUGGGGGGUUGUCGCAACUGGAUGCGUUCCACGUGGUUGUCAACUGCACACCUUCCACGAUUUUUGGUGUAAUUGCAUGCCUUCCACUAGGUUGCUGCAACUGCAUGCCUUCGAUGGGGUUGUUCCAACUGCAUCUGCUCCACGUGUUUUGUUCCAACUGUAUGUGCAAAUGCAUGCCUCCAAAGGAGUUUGUUGGAAUUGCAUGUCGUCGAGGCAUUUUGUUGCAACUGUAUGCCCGUAAGGGUUUUGGGCCAAGUAUAUGUCGAAAAUGGAGAAGUGCAAUAUAACAAACACCUUUGGUUAUAUAUAUGAUGUAAUGCGCUUUUUGUGCGAAUACUGGUGUUUUGAAUGUGUUUUGAAUAUGAUUUAUGCUAAUACCUUUAACGGGGUUGCUGCAAUUGCAUGCGUGCAACAGGGUCGCCGCAACUGCAUGCGUGCAACGGUGUCGCCGCAAUUCGCAUGCCUCCCAACUGAUGUUGUUUGUUGUUGAUGUUGAUGUGACCGCGUGCCUGCCGUAACUGCAUGCCCUCCCAUGUGUUUUUUGCCGCAAUUGCAUGCCUUCCAAUUGAUGUUGUUUGUUGUUCUUGAUGAUGUGACCGCGUGCCCGCUGUAACUGCAUGCCCUCCCAUGUGUUUUUUUCCGCAACUACAUGCCUUCNNNNNNNNNNGUCACUGCAACUGCAUGCCUGCAACGGGGUCGCCGCAACUGCAUGGCUUCGAUGGGGUUUGCUGCAAUUGCAUGCCUUCCAAUUGAUGUUGUUUGUUGUUGUUGUUGAUGUGACCGCGUGCCCGCCGUAACUACAUGUCCUCCCAUAUUUUUUUCCGCAACUACAUGCCUUCAACGGGGAUCGCCGCAAUUGCAUGUCUGCAACGGGGUCGCCGCAACUGCAUGUCUUCGAUGGGGUUUGCCGCAAUUGCAUGCCUUUCAAUGGAUGUUGUUUGUUGUUCUUGAUGAUGUGACCGCGUGCCUGCUGUAACUGUAUGCCCUCCCAUGUGUUUUUUUCCGCAACUACAUGCCUUCAGCGGGGGUCACCGCAAGUGCAUGCCUGCAACGGGGUCGCCGCAACUGCAUGGCUUCGAUGGGGUUUGCCGCAAUUGCAUGCCCUCCAAUUGAUGUUGUUUGUUGUUGUUGUUGAUGUGACCGCGUGCCCGCCGUAACUGCAUGCCCUCCCAUGUGUUUUUUUCCGCAACUACAUGCCUUCAACAGGGAUCGCCCCAAUUGCCUGUCUGCAACGGGGUCGCCGCAACUGCAUGGCUUCGAUGGGGUUUGCCGCAAUUGCACGCCUUCCAAUUGAUGUUGUUUGUUGUUGUUGAUGAUGUGACCGCGUGCCCGCCGUAACUGCAUGCCCUCCCAUGUGUUUUNNNNNNNNNNAUCAUCGCAAUUGCAUGUCUGCAAUUGGGUCGCCGCAACUGCAUGUCUUUGAUGGGGUUUACCGCAAUUGCAUGCCUUUCAAUGGGGUUUGCCGCAACUGCAUAGCUUCGAUGGGGUUUGCCGCAAAAAAACAUAAAGGGUUCAUGAGGUUUUUGCAUUUCUUAUUUUUUUCCCUAGCAUGCAGUCGGGUCAUAAGAACAAAUUGAGCAAAUAUGGAUAGCGAAUAAACCUUGCUUCAGAAAUAGAAAAACGAAAAAAUAGGAAGGCGGCAAGUGUUACCUUGGGUGUUGUAGUUAGUGAUACUUGACAGAUCAAUCUGGGUUGGUUCUUUUGAUUUUCUCAAUUUGUUCGUCUAUCUCAAUACGCAAGUACAAGUUUGAAGUCGGGUCGUAACUACAAGUUUCAUAGUCGGGUCACAACUCUGAAUUUUCAUAGUGGAGUCACAACAACAAACUCCAUCAUUUAGAAAGAUGAUGAUUUUUCAAUAAAAAAAAUAAAAAAACAUGAGACAAGACCGGGAUUGAUCCUGUGCGCCAGAGGCAUCAUGCUGGUGACUACUGCUGAACUAAAUCAAAACUAAAAAAAGCAAAAACACUCGUUUUUAGGACAGCAAAGAGAACACUCCAUAAAUGUGUUAUGGCAACUAAAAUUAUGUUGUACAUGCCAGCCGAGUAAGACGUAUAUACUUUUCUUAUGGGUUAGUAUGUUUGCUCUAGCCAUCGGCGACAAGAGUAGUAAAAAGGCCAAGCCUGAAAAAGCAAUACGGCAUGUGGAAAUCAUGGGGAGAAUAAAAAAAAGCCAACCAACAUAUAUGAUGAUGUCAUGUGAAUGAGACCAUAGAUAAAUCUUAGCUAGCUGAGUUCUAGGUGCUCCCUAGAAUUAACUAGCAGGUAGUGCGCGGCGGCACGCCGCGCCACAUGAAUUGAAAAAAUAUUUAGUUCUUUUACAUAAUAUUUAAUAAAUCGUCUUAAAAUUUGAUUCGUGGUAAAGUAGUCGAUAAAUGAAAAGGAUAUGUCUAGUUGGAUCUACAAAGUUCUUGUUCUUUCCUUGGACCUAGGAUAUUGAUCCUCUAGCUGAGUCGAUGUACUGGUUUUUUUUAGAAAAGGAGGAUGACCCCCGGCAUCUGCAUCUGGAAGAUGAAUGCGGUCAUUUUAUUGAUUAUUUUCGAGAACCUUACAAAACAGUACAACAAUAUGCCUGAAUCCGUCAUCUUUGCAACAUUUGUCGCUACUCCUAUCCAUAUGAUGAAGGGGUGCAAGCUGGACCAAAUACCCAUACCUCUCACCUAAGCCUAACUUCUAAAGCCGGAGACCCUGACCGGGCCACAUACCGGAUCCGGGGCACAAACCGGUCUGACACACUCACAUGUGUCAUCACCGCCAUCUUCCAUUGGUCCAUCUUCAUAUCAGAUUGAGGUACCAGCCUUGGCAGGUGUCUCCGCCAUCGACGCCACCAUGACGCCAAACGACAACCUCCACCUACGCGAGUCCAUCUCCAAGCAACGGACGGAGAUCCAUGCUAGGAUAGGGCCGCACCACCGCCGUUGCCCACCACCCACAAGCGCCACCCAGCCCCAAGAUUCCCAAAGAGGCGCCUUCAAGAAGGGAACGACGUUGUGAGCGCCGCCGCCGCCCAACAAAGUUAAGGCUUUCGCCCGGAAGACCUAGGGAAAGGGGAAGUGAGGGGAUCAGUCCAUACCGACGCCUCCAAGGAGGGGAACGGCCCCCUCAGGCGUCGCCGUCGACGCGGCCGGCCAUGGCCGACCAGGGAUUUCGCCCGAACUAGAUCCCCACCACCAGCAGCACCUCCUGUACAAAACCGACAAUCCAAGGAAGCGCGGCCUGACCAGGCUGGCCCGCACGCCGAGCAGGGGAGGAGGGGAGGCGCCAGAUCGCGCGCACCGACCACCGCAAAAGCUGCCGCCAGACGCCAACGACCACCGGGUCCCGUCGCCUGCGCGGCCGAGACGCCGGAUCCACCUCCCGCACGGCUGCUAGCCUGUCGUGCCUCGCCAAUGUAGCCGUCGCUCCAGAUCCGGGACUCCGCAUGCAGAGGCAGGGCAGCCUAGGCCCCGCCGCCACCAUCCUUGGCGUCCCGAGCUUGCCCGGCGGCUGCCUCAGGCGGCGGCGAGGAAGGGAGGGGGAGGGGGAGGCGGCUNNNNNNNNNNNNNNNNNNNNNNNNNNNNNNNNNNNNNNNNNNNNNNNNNNNNNNNNNNNNNNNNNNNNNNNNNNNNNNNNNNNNNNNNNNNNNNNNNNNNUUACAUAAAAGGUUUAAUACAUUAUUACAUUAUUGCACCAAUAUUCCUAUCUAUUAUUUCUGUUUUCUUCUGGGUCGUAGCCAUGGAGAAUCUUCAUCAUUCAGUAGGAUGCUUGGGUCAGUUUUCACUUUGAAGGGCGGAAUUUCAUGAAACUUAUUAUAAUCUUCUGACAUGUCUGUCUUGUCAUCUACUCCCACGAUGUUUCUUUUCCCUGAAAGAACUAUGUGGCGUUUUGGCUCAUCGGAUGAUAUCUUCUUUUGCUGAUUUCUUUUUCUCGUUAAUGUAGACAUGUCUUUCACAUAGAAAACCUGAGCGACAUCAUUGGCUAGGAUAAAUGGUUCGUCCAUGUAUGCAAGAUUGUUAAGAUCCACUGUUGUCAUGCCGUACUUUUGGUCUACAACUAACCCGCCUCCUGUCAGCUUCACCCAUUUGCACCGAAAUAAAGGGAUCAUAAAAGUAGGUCCAUAGUCAAGUUCCCAUAUCUCCUCUAUGUACCCGUAAUAUGUUUCCAAACAGUGCCCAUUCUCGUCUGUUGCAUCAAAGCGGACACCACUAUUUUGGUUGGUGCUCUUUUUAUCUUGGGCAACCGNNNNNNNNNNNNNNNNNNNNNNNNNNNNNNNNNNNNNNNNNNNNNNNNNNNNNNNNNNNNNNNNNNNNNNNNNNNNNNNNNNNNNNNNNNNNNNNNNNNNUUGUAAUGGAGCUUCGCCGGAGCAUCGGUGCUGUGUUGGAGCUCCACCGGCUGCAAUGGAGUUUUUCGAAGUUGCAAUGGAGCUCGUCGGACGCUGUCGGUGCUGCAUUGGAGCACCAUGCGGCCUCUGUUCCAUGUCGGGAAUUUAAUCUGACGAUGAGGGCUCGUUCAAUCGGACGGCUACCUAGGAGGAUUACGACUGGUACAAAUAGCAGCCGCCUUUGGAAAAUGGUCACAACUCGUGUCCGAAAAAAUAUUACUUAAAGCAUCUACAAAGGCAACUUGUAAAUUCGUUCUAUCAAAUGUAUGCAGACACGCCUAAACUUAGAUGUACUGUUCCUUCAUUUUAAAAUAUGUCUUUUUAAAAGAUUUCAAUGAAAACUACAUGUGGAUGUAGAUAGUAGAGUGUAGAUUUAUUUAUUUUGCUUCACAUGUAAUUUAUAUUAAAAUCUGUAAAAAAGACUUAUAGUAUUUAGGAACGAAGAAAGUAAUCGGUUAGCCCGACAUAAAGUUGUUAAUAAUAUACUCCCUUCGUCUAAAAAAUAAGUGACUCAACUUUACACUAACUUUAGUAUAUAAAUUAAAUUAUUUUUGAGUCAUUUGUUUUAAAACGAAAGGAGUAAUACUCAUCUACUCUCUCCGUAAACUAAUAUAAGAGUGUUUAGAUUACUAUUUUAAUUAUCUAAAUACUCUUAUACUUCAUCCGUCUUAAAAUUCUUGUCUUAGCUUUUAUCUAGAAAUGAAUGUAUCUAANNNNNNNNNNNNNNNNNNNNNNNNNNNNNNNNNNNNNNNNNNNNNNNNNNNNNNNNNNNNNNNNNNNNNNNNNNNNNNNNNNNNNNNNNNNNNNNNNNNNNNNNNNNNNNNNNNNNNNNNNNNNNNNNNNNNNNNNNNNNNNNNNNNNNNNNNNNNNNNNNNNNNNNNNNNNNNNNNNNNNNNNNNNNNNNNNNNNNNNNNNNNNNNNNNNNNNNNNNNNNNNNNNNUAUAUCUUGUAAGAAAUUAGUAUAUCUUUGGUGAGGAAAUUGGAACACAAGGUUGCAUGCAACGUGCCUGGCUGGCUGGACGGGAGAAGACAGAAGAGCUCUGUAACAAGAGAAGAAAGAAGAGAAGCAAGGAAGGUGGCUCUUGUUACCGGCGAUCAGUGGCCGGUCCAACUCCAUGGCCGGAGCUUCCGCCGGCGGCUUCGUCGGCCUCGGACUCCACCCACCACCGGUGCCUGUGCCGGUGCGACCGCGCGUCCGAGAGAGAGAGAGAGANNNNNNNNNNNNNNNNNNNNNNNNNNNNNNNNNNNNNNNNNNNNNNNNNNNNNNNNNNNNNNNNNNNNNNNNNNNNNNNNNNNNNNNNNNNNNNNNNNNNNNNNNNNNNNNAGAGAGAGAGAGAGAGGGACCGUGCUUAUAUAUAUGUAUGUAGGAGAUGAAGCGAGACUCAGUCAAGCAGUCUCUCCCCUCGAUGGGACUGCUACAGAUCGAAACCGCGUGCGGUGGGCAGGUGGAAGGGGGAGCUGACCGCAGUCCGCAGGUCAUCGCCUGACCACUGUUUUGUACCACCACUAACAUAACACUGUAAACCAGCGUUGCUCUCUCGGCUUUAUUGCACAACAGCAAGUUGCCAUCGCGUCAUCUAAGUGAGCUCGACCAAGCCGGCGUCGUGGCAGAAUCCGGUGCUCGCUUGACCGGACCCGCUCCCCGCGCGCGCGUGCCUUUCCUCCCAGUAGCUCGUAUUUGACCCGCUCCUAAUGAUCGUUUCUCUCUCUCUCUCNNNNNNNNNNNNNNNNNNNNNNNNNNNNNNNNNNNNNNNNNNNNNNNNNNNNNNNNNNNNNNNNNNNNNNNNNNNNNNNNNNNNNNNNNNNNNNNNNNNNNNNNNNNNNNNNNNUCUCUCUCUCUCUCCCUUUUGAUUUCUUUUUUCUGCGGUAGCAUGCAUGACAAUCCGUCCUGCCGUAGGCAGAAUAUAUUCGUGGACGCACUCCACGCACGUGGCAAAUACUACUCCCUUCGUUCUUAAAUAUAAAACAUUUUAAAAAUCUCACUAUAAACUACAUGCAUACGGAGUAAAAUGAACGAUAUAUAUCCGUUUGCAGUUUCUAAUGAAAUUUCUAAAAGGUAUUAAUAUUUAGGAACGGAGGGANNNNNNNNNNNNNNNNNNNNNNNNNNNNNNNNNNNNNNNNNNNNNNNNNNNNNNNNNNNNNNNNNNNNNNNNNNNNNNNNNNNNNNNNNNNNNNNNNNNNAGGUGCUACCUUCCGGGCGCGCAUCUUGGUGAAGAACUAGGUUCCCGUCGUCGACCGAGAACUUCUUUGGUGGCGGUCACAUGGACGACUUUAGGUGCGGAGGCAGCCGGCCCCCGAGGAGGAGGUACAUCGCCGUGUCAGGGAGGAGGACGAACACGUCCAUCGCUACAUUGAGGCGUUUGGCGUCAGGUUCUCUGAUACCUGGCAGGUUCUUCAGGGAUCUCACCCGAGCUAUGAUCCUCUGAUGGUUCCUUCUCUUUGGGUGUCCAUCGUCCGCGCCUCAGUACAUCGAUAGCUCUUUGGGUGGUCUGUUUAAUAAUAUUCGAGAUAUGUAUUAGUGAUAAUACUCGAGAUGUAUUCGACAAAAUAUUCUGUGAUGCAUUAAGUGGAUUAUUUGAUGUAUUACUGAUAUUAUAUAUGAUGAUCUUGCUAGCUAAAGUGAAUACUAGAUUGUUUUAUCUUUCUUCUUGAUUAGUUAAGCUAUGGACGGUAGAGACAGAGACCAUGAUCAAGAGUAUGUCUUGUUCGACAUGAUAUGCUCCGGAAACAAAAAGAAUUAAGAAGCAGAUGAUGGCUCACAAUAUCUUAACCUAUCCAGUGAGGGAAUAGAGGAAGAACAACCAAGAGACGAAGGGGAACCUGACAAUGUAUUAAUUGAUUUACACACACACACACACNUAUAUAUAUAUAUAUUAACGAAUCUCUUCUUUUAGCCCUCCGGAUCGAGCAAACCUUCUACAAGAAGGGCAAUACGAGGCCCGGCCAAAAAGUUGCCCGAGGGCACAAGGUACAACAUCGACGAGAUAACAUUAGGGGGUGAACCAAAUGCCCCCAAAAAGAAUAUGGACAAAUUUGUUCGUCAAUGCAGAGUUAUUGUUAGGGACCAAAUCCCGAUCUCCAUUCAACCAACCGGUCUUGAGAUUAAGGUAGUCAGUCUAAACACCUCAUUAUCGACGGAAACGAAUAUUCUGUUGGAUCUGUAUGCAAGAAGGAAACACAGUUGGAUUGGGAGGCAGGGAAAACAACAUCUUCUGUAGUACAUAGAUUUAUUUCAUAGACACCUUUGCAUCGGAUCGGUAGGAGAUUGACGGUAGUGCAGAGUAGGAGAUGGGGAUUACCUUCUCCCUGGCUCGAAGAGCUCGCCCCAGAGGCCAUGGUAGUGGGGCGUCGGUGAUGACGACUGAGAACGAUGUGGUGGCGGUGGUGCUUCCCGUGAGCACUACGCUAGUCCUAGUUUGGAAGGGUUUGUCGGUGGGGUGUGUGGUGGCGGCGAAUCUCAUAGUCCGUGCCCCAGCCCCCCACCUCUGUUAAUAUAGCGCGGAUCACAGGGGCCCACCAACCAUAAUGGGUGUGGCGCCCCCGAUCAGGGCNNNNNNNNNNNNNNNNNNNNNNNNNNNNNNNNNNNNNNNNNNNNNNNNNNNNNNNNNNNNNNNNNNNNNNNNNNNNNNNNNNNNNNNNNNNNNNNNNNNNGUGCGCGUAGGAAAAAUUUUGUUUCCCAUGCGACGUUCCCCAACAGAAAUAAGUACCAGUACCUGAGAUUUUGAUGGUCUCUAGGAAUGUGAAAAUUAGAUACUUGUGACUGCUAUAAAGUCUAUGUUAGNNNNNNNNNNNNNNNNNNNNNNNNNNNNNNNNNNNNNNNNNNNNNNNNNNNNNNNNNNNNNNNNNNNNNNNNNNNNNNNNNNNNNNNNNNNNNNNNNNNNNNNNNNNNNNNNNNNNNNNNNNNNNNNNNNNNNNNNNNNNNNNNNNNNNCUAACAUAGACUUUAUGAAGGGUCUACAAGGCAAAUAUGACUCCAGAGGAAAUAUGUAAAUGUGUAAAACAUGACUUAAAUCGAAAUAUUUUGUGCAAAGAAAAUGAGAGGACAAUUGCAUUCUUGCAAAGUUAUAGAAUGGGAAAUUUGUUUCCCAAUUCCUAUGCAUGUGGAUGAUGUCCUACUUGCUAGUGGUGAUGUCAAUCUACUGCAGGAGGAGAAAAGAAGUUCUUGUCCUCAAAGUUCAAAAGAAUAAAAGGGGGUAUUAGGAAUGUUGCAUGGACAUGCUAAGAAAGAUCUCUAAAGUAUGCAUACGACAAAACCUACGCAUGUUCUUAUAGUCAAGGGUAAUGGAAGUGGAAACUAUGGUGUUCCAAAAGUUAAUAAGAAAAGAUUGUAAACGGAUAUGGUACCAUAUGCUUCAGUUGUUGGAAGCUCAAGAUAUUACCCUGACACUGUUCACGUAUAUAUCCGGGUUGUUUUGGCAAUGUCCAGUCCAUAGAUAAAUCAAUGGAAUGGAGUCAAAGAUAUCGGCCUCAUGCUAAAAGAAAUAAGUGCUCUCAAAAGAUUGUGAGUACAAAGGCAGGACUUGUGAAAUGAAUAGCGAAAUCAACAAUUGUCGCUAACUUUCAUACUCGGAGUUUUGUGUGGAAAAUCUCCAAAUGAGUGAAACGAUUGUCAUCAAUGUGAUGCAAUGAUAUGUUAUAACUUUAUAUGAGGCUGAGGGAUAGGCGAAAUGGUUAAUGGCUACAUAUACCCGGAAUUGAUAAUGGUUGACAACAACGAUAACUAUUUUAAAUUCUUUCGCUCCUGUCACAACGAGUCAAGUGUUGAUGCCAAACACACUGACAAAGAGUUAUGUGUUGUGAAGGAGAAAGUCCAGAAUUAUGAAAAAAUGCUUGAAGCAUAAAAGCAACAAACAAGUGUUUGCAGAUCUGCUUAUCAAAGGCUUACCGCCCCGUGUGUUCGGAGAACACACAGUCGACAUGGGUUUUAUGGUAUAGUCUAAUAUUUUCCGGACAAUAAAGGGCCCAAGGUUAAAGAAUCUGUCUCAAAAUAGAGAGGUACAUUAUGGAUGUCUGAUUCCAUCGGCAAUUGAGCCGUGACGAUGAAACAUGCCCUAUGUAUUGAUCUGUUACGAAACGGGUAAAAGUAUAUGAUGACAUCAAGGGGGAGAAUGUUAGAUUGAUCUCUUUCCUAAUGGGCCCAACGGCCCAUUGGACCUUGACUCACGCCCUGAUCAGGGGCGUCCAGCCCAAGCAAGGCUGGUGGGCCCUGUCGCGCAGUGUUGUAUAUAGAGGAGGUGGGGACCAUGGCACAGACUACAAGGUUCGCCGCCGCCACUGGUUCCCCACUCCUAACCCUAAUCCGAUCUAGAGGGAUGCACUAAAGCGAUGGGAAGUCCACCGCCGCCGCUACCGCAUCUCUCUCUGGUUCCCCACCGUCGCCACUACGUCACGACAGUCACCGAGGGAACUCAUCGAGCACGGGAUAAGGUAACAUACCACUACUCUCAUCGAACACAUCUAGACUUGUCGAUCCACGGGAUCUAUCAAACCGUGCAUACCCUUGAGCAUUAGCCAAGUUUAUAUCUACUUAAUUAUUGUGACAAAUAGAAGUGGAUAUUCAUUUGUGUCAGAUGGGGAGAAAAUAUAAAUAAUCUUUGUGUUCUUUUUCCUUUUUAGAAACAGGCAGGUAGUUAGUAUCUUGCCCGGAUACUAUGUAUACAGCCAGUAAAGAUCAACCAUAUAAUUUUCCUAUGUAUGGACUGAUACAAAAAUUAUUAAAAAAUAAGGUCUAGAUUUUAAACCCUAAACCGGUACAAUUAAUAGCACAGAUCCUUUAUCAUAUACUCCCUCUUUUCGGAAUUACUUGUCACACAAAUGUAUAAGAAUAGAUGUAUCUAAAACUAAAAUAUAUCUAGAUACAACCAUUUAUGUGACAAGUACUUCCGAAUGGAGGGAGUAUUGUAAGAAUCACAAUAAUAUAGAUAAUUUAACACCUUAGUCUUGUAUCACAGAUUCGACAGCAAAAGAAUUGUCAUUUACUAAAUGAAAAGCCUAACUGCAGUUAGCAGUAAGAGUGGGCAUCUAAACAAUUAUUAUACACACCUCUAACCUGAGAGUGCUUGGUUCACAGAAAGCCUUUUAUGUGUAUGCAAAUGUAAAUUUCUCCCAGGAAAACAUCAUUUGAGAGCAUAUCAAAGCAUACAUAUUAUGUACUAUCUGCAUAAGUGCAUAACCUGAUUUUGUUUGAAGAAAAUGAAAACCAUGAAUGACAAAUUGAAAAGCUCACGGUACCUAAGAAAUUAAUGAACAGGAAUUUGAUUUCCCCUCACACAUUAACACAAGCAUGGUACCAGCAGGUUAGAUCGAGGCACAAACGUCAACCAGGGAAGCACGUGAAAUAAAAGAGGAAGGGCACUACAAGAGAAAAAGAGUUAUAUCUAACGGGCGGACAGCCGGAGCUUCUUUGUAGCUCCCGUGGCCACAAUCUCGCAGCGGAGGCGCGCAACAUGUUGAUCCCGUGGCGGACCACGAGUGCACGGUAGCAGCAGGCCGCAACAGCUCCACGGCGAUCGAGCGCAUCCUGCAUUGAUGCUAGGGACGUCGUAUGCACGCGCGUUGCCGGUCACCAAAAAGGCGACGUUGGGCGGAAGCAAGGAGUGGCGGAGAGGAGAUGGGGAGAGGACGGUCAGGGGCGCCGCGCCCGUAGGUGAGGUGAGGUGAGGUGAGAGCCCGGCUGUGGAGCUCUUUACGAGUGACAUAUUGAUCUUUGAAUUUGGCAUAAUUUUUUAUGAGCACCCAACAAUGCGUGAGGAUGAGUGGCUUGUUCUUAUGUCGUGCCUUGAAAUCUUCAAAAGAUUAAAAUGCCUACACAACAUGAAUGGACACAAAAUGCCUACACAAUAAAAAGCAUGCCAACAUGAAUGGACACAAAAUNNNNNNNNNNNNNNNNNNNNNNNNNNNNNNNNNNNNNNNNNNNNNNNNNNNNNNNNNNNNNNNNNNNNNNNNNNNNNNNNNNNNNNNNNNNNNNNNNNNNNNNNNNNNNUGAAUGGACACAAAAUAAAAAUGUGAGAGGUACAUACCAAGUCACCAACGCCUAGGCCACUCAUGGGACCGGCUUGGACGCUCUCAAGCGCGGCACAAUACUUGUUGCAUCCUUGUUGAAUGAAUCCCCAUCACUUUUGGAUUAAGUUGAUGUUGCGAGUACUCACAAUUUGGUAGGGACAAACUUCCUUCGCUCAUGGAAGGUACCCCUUGUCCAAAAGAUGGAUGCCUUUUGCUCGGCACCUUUUAUUGGAUCUUCCCCUAUCUCAAUCCAACUCUCGCAAAUCAAUUUAUCCUUAUUUUGGGUGUAUGACCCCACGCAAAUGAUUUGCCUCCUCUUUUGUGCCUCGGCCAUUUGAGUGAGCUCAUCGAUAAACACCAAUGCCUCUUGCAAAAUGUGGACCUUGUCUUCCUCAUUUUCACAAUAUAACUCAUCAUCAAUAUGCCAUGAGUUGACAUGGUUGUCCUUCUCUUCAUCAUGGCCGACGAAUUUAGUGUCCUCAUAGUGGUCGCGGUCGUCCUGGCUCUACCUCUCGUUGGGACCGACAGCCUGGCCUUGACCCUCGUAGUGAAAGGCCUAACCACGGCCCUCGUAGAUGACGCUCUCNNNNNNNNNNNNNNNNNNNNNNNNNNNNNNNNNNNNNNNNNNNNNNNNNNNNNNNNNNNNNNNNNNNNNNNNNNNNNNNNNNNNNNNNNNNNNNNNNNNNNNNNNNNNNNNNNNNNNNNNNNNNNNNNNCGAGCAAUCACGAUAGUCGGUUGUGGGCGUCGGAAGUGGUAUUGUGUCGAACAACUUACGGGCGUCGGAUAUGGUUGCCAUCGGGAAUGACCGGGGCUGCUUACUGUGUGUCCCGCCAGUCGUCUGGCCAGCGCCACUUUACAUCUGUACCUCGGCAUCAUGUUUUAGGUCGAUGACCCCCGCGGACGUGGCGGGAGCAACCACGUUGUACUCCGGCGGCGUGGAGAACCAUGUCUGCCCAUGGCUGUCCGAAGGACGGCACCCUGGCGUCUCGGGUGUGGUGGAUCUGUACUGAGGAGGACGAGCGGCCGACGGUCCCAUGCUCGCCGUGGCCAUGGCAGCGAUCGAGAGGAUGACUGACUGUAGUCCUCCCAACCCUAACAUGAGGAGGGUGUGCCCGUUGGAGAUGAUGGAUUCCUUGUUGUCAAUGUCGGCAAGAUGUUGCGCUUGACGCGGGGCGGCGGCCUCGACGACGUAGGCCGCAACCGCCAUCAUCUCUCCCACCUUUAAAUGCCAGUCCCUCCUCUUCGCCAAGUCGGCAUUGAGUUUGGCGAUGAUCGCCAACGUGAGCUCGGAGCGAGGCUUCCUGGGACCCUUGGGACCCUUUUCUUCGCCGUGAGGGGCGCGGCUGCUACCGCAUCGCCAGGGUUUAUUGCGUCGCCGUCCAUGAAGGAGGGAGGGGAAGGGACGCGCGAGAGAGUUUGAGCGAUAUGGAGAGAGAGUGGGAGGGGUGUGUCCCGGAUUGGCGUGCCAAAGGAGGACAAUGGCGCGCAUCAUGCCCGUCGGCGCGCUGUCUGUUUGACUGCAAACGCAACCCAAACUUGAACUCGAAAUGGGUUGAAAACUCCCGUGCGUUGGGCCGUGGUUUAUGCCUGUUUACAUCUAAACGAAUGCAGGCGGACGAGUUAACGUCGUGCCUUGUGGUUGCCUUAGAGCAACUCCAACCGGCCGACCCAAACGGACAGCGAUUUUGUUCGCUUUUCGUCCGUUUGGGUCAUCCAUCGGCUCCGUGUUCACCCGGGUUACGAUUUGAUUUGAGUCGGUAGCGUGUCCAAUGCGCCAACCCAUAUUUGUCCGUCUGGCCGGCUAGCGCCGGUUUUUGAACAAAUACGGAUAUUUUAUAUAUUUUGCAACAGCAAAUGAUAUAGCAUAGUUUCACAAUCAAAAAUAAAAUAUAGAAAAGUUUUUCAAACCCAAUAAAAGUUUAGAUUGUCUACAAAAUACAGCUAGUCAUUGCCAACAUCAUACCACAUAUGCUCAACCAAAUUAUCUUGCAACUGAAUAUGAGUUUCCAAAUUACGCAUUGCGUGAGGAAAUGGGAUGAACUGUGCAAACGAUGUCGCUUCUCCGCCAUGCUGAGGCACCACAAUGGGCGGCGGCGACGGCGAGGGGACUAGGACCGAGGCGAGGCGAGGGCUAGAUGCGGGUGGAAAACGACCAAUGUGCCACCGACUCGCGGGCCAGGGAAUGGUCGUAGUGUGCGUCGUCCGUGUCUGCUUUGUGUCCGCACCGAUUCAAAUCAGGCUCAAAAUUGGGUCGAAAAUGGAUCGGCAAGCGGAAAAAUGUGAACACGCGUCCGUUUAUGUCAGGGCGUUAGACCGUCUUUUAUAUCCGUGUGUAUCUAAAUGUACGGCGACGCAGGAAAUGUGUCGCUCUGUUGGAGUUGCUGUUAAAGAAAAACGGAGUAGGAGUGCAAUGACUUUCUUUUCUGAGCGAAGACAAGAUGUGUGAUAGUACAGUAAUGCUAGGCCUACGUAGCUAUAAUACAUAGACUAACCUAAUAGUUUAGGUGGCGUUUUUUAAUUUGAGAAAAUUAGGGAAGGGGCCCACCCAGUUGAAAUCAGGGCUGAAAGGAUUAGUAGUUAGUUAAGUUACGUAGUCUUAUGUAAAUUUUUAUGUAAGCGUAGCAUUUUUGCACGUGAAGCAGAGAGUUGUACAAAUGUUACUAGUAGCAGUUGUUUAUUCAAAAAUGCUAGACUUACGAAUUGUUUUACGUAAAGUUACGAACCUCUGGCAAGAUAAUAAGAUAAUACUCCUGAAGAUAAUACACGGCUACAUAAAUUAUUACUGCACAUCAUCAUCAGAUAAGUGCAUGAAGAAGAAGGAAGAAAACAAAAGAAAAAGUACAUGAAGGAGGAGAAGCGCACUACAUCAUUCGGCACUGCCCCUGUCACAGUGUCACUGAACACUAUACAGUCUAUCAUCAUUCAUUCACACAUUCAUCAGACACGUACGGCCGUCGAUCAGUUUAUUGCGCCCGCCCUAGCUAAUCACGGCGUCUAAUUAGUGGAAGGAGGUGUUCUUGAGGUGCUCCGGCGCGUCCUGGAAGGAGUGCUUUCUGGCCAGGGAGAGGAUGGUCUUGUCGGCGACGAUGAAGUAGGCCAUCCCCGCGACGGUGGAGAUGAUGAGCGCCUGCCCGGUCGGGUUCAGGUAUGCCUUGGCCCACGGCAGCAUCCUCACGCUCGCCAGCUGAAAUCAUGGAUAGCAGAUUCAUGAGACAUGCGAUCAACUAUGGAGCGCGCGAUCUCCUCCAACAACCAAAUGGCUAGCUUUCUGGAUACUUACUGUGGGCACUGCGGCUGCGACGGUGGCGACGGCCGCGGCCUUGGCUCCGGCCAUGGCAGCCUCUGCAGCACACACAUGUAACAUGUUAAUCGCAAUCAAGUUCCGACAGACACAGACAGCACAUAAAUAAGCCGCAAUGCAUAACGGAACCGGCCGUCGCUCGUUGGUUACCUACCUCUGGAGCAGCGCUUAGCUGCGGCGAGCCUCUGGUCGAGGUAGGCGCGGGUGACCGUCGACAUCUUCCUUCGCCGGGAGCAGAGCUUGGUUGUACGAGAUCGGAAGGAAGUGAACGAGCAGUAGCAGCAAAGCCAAGUGCAGUAGCUAAAAAGAUGAGUAAGUAGUAGUAGCAGUAGGUGGAGUGAGGUGCGGUGGGGAGAGCAAGGUGCUCCGGCGAGAUUUAUACGUAGUUCGCAUGAAACCGCGAAACCGGCGUGCCGGGAGGAAGACGGACUUGAUACGGUGGGAAUCAAGACCACGGUUUUGAGACGAGCGAGCGGUGGUACCGGCGGGAGGGCGCCUCGCUGCAGCAGAGCACAGCACAGGUGGCCGCGCCUCGUUCGUCGGUCGUAUAAAAAUGGGAGCACUCCACUACACUUUGCACUGGAUAAGAGGAGGCAUCGAUGGGGGGUUGGCACGGCGCUAGCGCGCGUAGGAUAACACGUAGGAGCAUGUGCGUGAACGCAGUGUCACUCAGCGUGCACUCCGUUUCGCUUCAGAUCUGUGUGUGUGCGGCGCGCUGCCAGUUUUCGGCCAACCCGUCGGCAAUCAGGCAAUUCCGCCGGCGGUUUGCUGAUUUGGAUCGUCUGUUUUUAUCGUCGGUUUGCUUUGGCACGCGCAUUUUAUCAGUUUUUCGUUAGUUUGGAUUGUUUAUUACGUGGAUUUUUUUUUUGCGACGAUUGUUUACGUGGAUUUGCGCGUCCGUAUUUUUACAUGGGUCGGCUUAAGCGUCCAAGGAAAGACUGAUCCAAAUUUAUUCGCGUAGAAAAAAAAUAACACGUCGAAGAAAAAACACGCGGUGGUGGAGGAGGCGGGAUGAAGAGCAGGGCAUGGACGGAGUCCCCUACCGCCGAACAAGCCGCUCCAUCCCAUCCCAUUGGGCCUCCUCGAUCUUGCUCGCCUCCAGUGCCUCAUGCACGACUCGCUCGAGGGCAGCUUGGUACGCCUCCUCUUCGUCCUCCUCGUGCAGCAGAACCUCAGGCAGCGGCGGAGGAACAUCGUAGUCAACGUGCACGACCCGGCGUCGCUCCUUCUCGUGCUCUAGCGCCAACCAACGCUCCCAGUUGGGGGAGUCUGGCGAGUAGGCACGCAUCUGCCGCUGCUCCAGAGUGAGGGUCUCACGACGCCGGAGAACCUCCUCGGCCUGCGCCCACGUCGAGCGUGGCACUGCUGGAAUAGGGACCCGUUGCGGAUGCAGAUACCAGUCGUGAGGCAGGUUGACAUCCGGAUACUGCACUGGCCGGUGGUACUGUCAGGGAGGAGCACUGCAUGGCCAGAUGUGGACGGGGGUUGUAAGUGGAUGAGGCCGUCCUCACCGCAUGCUUUCAUAAAAAAGGAAGGGCACAUGGACCGCCCACACACUACCAAGAGGGCCCCUAGGUAGGUGACGGCAUUUAAUAAGACAUGGCUGGUGGUUGGGCGGUGCACAAGUGGGACCGCGGCGGACAUAGACCGGCCGCGCGGCACGCCCGCAUCGCGUCUGCGUCGAUGCAUUUCAGACGCAAUUUUGGGUCGGAAAUAGGUCCGUGCGGACGCAAUGCGUACGGAUUUUGGGAAUGGGUCGCCGCGUUGGGCCGGCGCUUUUGUCUCUGCGACUCUAACGAACGUGGACGGACAAAAUGGGUCGCCUCGUUGGAGUUGCUCUUAUAUAUCCAAAUGGAUAUAUAUUAUCAUGAUUUAUUAUUGUUAACAUUAUCUUUAAGGUAAAAUAAGUUAAGUGGCAAAUUAUUUAAGCCCCAAUCUUCCUACAUGUCCUAUAUAAACAUGAGCUUCGAAAAUAUGUCUUGAGCGUGAGCAAUCAUAGAAGAUUAAAUGAUAGUUGAGUAUAUGAACGUGUAAAAAAACUCUUACAUAGACUUUUCUCUGAAAUAUAAUGAAUUAUGAUUGUCUCAAUGACUGAGAACAUUGUUUGUUGAUUGUCAAUAAAGUUUAUUCUUCUUACUCCAAUAUCUAUGAAUGGAUUAUUACUUGUUUAUGAGGAGCUAUAUAAUAAAAUACUUACUACUAUGUUAAUAUUCCUCAUGCUCUCAUGUUCGUAUUAUAUUUUUAUCAACACCUCUCUCUUAAAUCUUGUGGUAAUUAUUUUCAAGUUUGGAUUUUGCUUGAGGACAAGCAAGGUCUAAGCUUGCAAAAGUUGAUAAGUCCAUUUUGCAUCAUUAAUUAUUAUUAAUAUUUGUAUUAUUCUUGUCCAUUAUUUCUUAUUAUCACAUCAUUCUUAUGUCAUUUCUCUUUGAAUAUGUAAGGUAUAUCAUAAAGAGGGAAAUAUCUGGACAUUGAAAUUCUGAACCGGGAAACCGGAAAAAGGCAAAAAAAUCAAGAUGCUCCAAAUGGUGUGAAACUUGACGAAGAAUUUUUCCUUAAUAUUUAAAAAUUACUGGGUCAAAAAUAUGCCACAAGGGAGCCACCUAUUGGCGCCAAGGCAACAGGGCGCGACCACGCCCUUGUUGGCCCUUCUGAUGUCCCUCUCCUCUUAUAUGGCGUGUUUUGACCUAGAAAAAAUGAUAAGUAACCUUUCGGGGUAAAGCGCCGUCGUCUCGAGGCGGAAACCUGGGCAGAGGCCCUUUUUCUCUUCGACAGAGAGAUUCUGCCGAGCAAACUUUCCUCCAGGAGGGGAAAAUGAAAGUUAUCAUCAUCACCAAUGUUUCCUCCUUCGUGGAAGGACCGAUCUUCAUCAACAUCUUCACCAUCAUCAUAUCGUCUCCAAACCUAGUUCAUCUCUUGUAUUCAAUCUUUGUCUCGGGACCUCAGAUUGGUACAUGUGGGUUAUUAGCUGUGUUGAUUACAUCUUAUAGUUGAUGCUUAUUGGAUUACUUGGUGGAAGACAUUAUGAUCAAAUCCUUAAUUAUUAUUAUUACACCUCUCAUCUUGAAUAUGUUGAUGAGGUGCGAGUAGUAACUAUUGUUCCCGGGGACAUUGGAGAAGUCUUGUUAUAAAUAAUCAUAUAAUGUUGGUAUUCGCUCGAUAUUUUGAUGAUAUGUAUGUUGUUAUUUCUUUUAGUGGUGUCAUGUGAACGUCAACUACAUGACACUUCACCAUGUUAUGGGUCCAAGGAAAGUCAUUAUGGAGUAACAAGUAGAUGAUGGAUUGCGAGACUGGCAGAAGCUUAAACCCCAGUUUAUGCAUUGCUUCAUGAGGGGCUGAUUUGGAUCCACACAUUUAAUGCUAUGGUUCGAUUUAUCUUAAUUCUUCUUUUGUAGCUGCGGAUGUUUGCGAGAGAGGGUAAUGAUAAGUUGGUUUCUUGUUCAAGUAAGAACAACACCUUAACACCGGUCUAUCCACAUAUAAAAUUAUCAAAGUAGUGAACGCGAAUCAACUCAAUAUGAUGAAUAUGACUAGACGGAAAUUCUCAUGUGUUCACGGAAGCAGUUGCUUCAUAUAAAAGUACUUUCAGGCCUGUCAUUUGCUACAAAAAGGAUUGAGCUAUCUUGUUGCACAUUUGCUACUAUUGUUACUUGUCACUUAUUAUGAAUUAUCUUGCUACAAGACUAUCUAUCACUGUUACUUAUAGCACUUGCAGAUAAUACCUUGCUGAAAAUCGCUUAUUAUUUCCUUCUGCUCCUCGUUGGUUUCGACACUCUUAUUUAUAGAAAGAACUAUGAUUGAUCCCCUAAACUUGUGGGUCAUCAGCCCUCCAUGUCCAGGCAAGACCCAUGUGACCUUGCUGCCGCACGCGCCACGUCGUCGCUCGACACUACCAGUCGGCACCAACGCCACCGAGCGGGAGGAGAGGAGGCCCCGUCGCUGCCCGGCACUACCAGUCAACACUAACGCCGUCGAGUGUGGGGAGAGGAGCCCCUUCGCCAUCGACGCCAGUCGGGCUUUGCCCCAUGGCAGCAAGGAGAAGAGAGGGUGCGGCCUCCGCUGGCGGCUAGGUCCCCUCCCCUCUCUCUCAGUGUCCAAUUCACUCCAAAUCACAUGAGUUCAUUCAUCAAUUUUUCUUUGAAAGUUUUGCUGCCUCAUACAUGUGGACUGUGAUCAACACAACAAUUCAGGCUUGCACUUUGUUUUACUUAAUAUUUUCACUGUGCAGCUAACAUCGUAACUCUUAGUGCUAACAUCAAUUUUGUAGGAAGCAAAUUCCUUAUGGUAUAGGAAAGGUUCUACUACUCCCUACUAAAGUUGCGACCAUUAACUUGGAUCGGAUGGAGUAACUUUCUUUCACUAUCAGUUGGAUUGGAUCUUUUUAAACAUUCUUGCUGCAUUAGAUAAAAAGCAAUUAAUUUUUUCUGUUAGCAUGUAUUCAUAAAAAUAAUAAAUAAUGUAGAGUUUGGUAUCACUUUUGUUCAACAAGCCUUUUGCCAUUUCACUAUUUGACUAACCAAAAUUUCAAAUUGUAGGGACUAGUUUGCCAACGUAUUAUAGAAAAAGUUCAACGCGCAUAGUUUUAUAGCCAUAAAUCAAACCUUGUCCUAAAAAUUUCAACAUACGUUUUAGACGCGUUUGUCUUUUAUAAAGGCAUCUCACAAUACACUUGGGCACGUGUAUACGAUACAAGGAUAGAAUAUUUUAUUAAUGCUCGUCAUGAAUGAAAUGUCAAGUAUGUCCCUAUUUCUAGUGACAAACGCCUCAAAUUAAUCCACAGGACAGUAACUCCAGUAGUAUAGGCUAUAGGAAUGUGAACCUAAUAUGGCUAAACUUUUCUUUCAGAUUUGUCUUUUUGUCACAUUUUUUGUUAAACGUGCCGCAUUUUUUUUAAUGUUUACAUGUCACACCCUCUCAAGUAUAAACCUUGGCCGUGGCUACCGAGCGCAGCAAUGUCCGCUCACGGUGGUAGCGGACGCACCCGAGAACAAUCAACCACGUGUACUUAUUAGCGUUUAAAAAAAUUCAAAAAAUCGUAACUUUUGAACCGAGCAUCAAAAUGACGAUACGUUUUCACGGUCGUGUUUCUUAUGACGAGCUCUUCAAAAUUAGAUUCCAUAUGGAUAGAUUUCUACGAACUUUUUUUGAGCAAAUUUAUGUGCUAGAUGAGGCAAUUUUAGUGCUAUAGGCAAGCAACUCCUUUCCCCCCUUAGUAUGACUAUCUACCAGCGAAGAAUUCUUCUAAGUUGGUUACCACUGAGUAACAAUUGACUAGUUGCCUAUGAUUGAUGUUCACUUGCCUACAAAUGCUGUGGAAUUGUUCGAUUUUGAUGCUCAGUUGCCUNNNNNNNNNNNNNNNNNNNNNNNNNNNNNNNNNNNNNNNNNNNNNNNNNNNNNNNNNNNNNNNNNNNNNNNNNNNNNNNNNNNNNNNNNNNNNNNNNNNNNNNNNNNNNNNNNNNNNNNNNNNNNNNNNNNNNNNNNNNNNNNNNNNNNNNNNNNNNNNNNNNNNNNNNNNNNNNNNNNNNNNNNNNNNNNNNNNNNNNNNNNNNNNNNNNNNNNNNNNNNNNNNNNAUUAUGAUGCUCAGUUUCCUAUUACUGAUGGUCAAUUGCCUAUGGUUGAUGUUCAGUUGCGUGGCAUUAAUGCUCAGUUGCCUUCUAUUUAUGAAUAGUUGUCAUAAUUGCACUCUAGUAUCACAAAAAAGUUAGCAACUUUUAGUGUGUUUUUUGCGCAACUCCAGUGCAUUUCAACAAGCAACUCAUGUGUAUACACACAAUGCAAUUCAUACAUCAUCAAAGUUGUUUCUGUUUAGUACCAAAGUUGCCUCAUACAGCAUCGAAGUUGCUUUUGAAAAAAAUCUUCAAAUCAUAUUCAUAUGAGAUCUCGUUUUGAAGAGUUCGUCACGAGGAACCCAACGAUGAAAACAUAUCAUAAUUUCCACACACGGUUUGAUAGUUAUAUCUUUUUGAAUUUUUUUCGUACAGGAAUAAAUGGACAUCCAACGCAUGCGGAGCCGAGCAUGCACAUCCGACCCAUAAUUUAGCCUUUUCAGUUUGGAAAUUUCAGACUUCAUUUGUCAUGUGGUUGCUAAAGGGUGAAGUUAUUUAACCUUCUAGUCAUGAUAGAUAAUUUAAAAAAUAAUGUUGAUAGGCGAUCAUAUUACGCGCAUUAAUAAAAAUUAUUUCUCUUUAACACUAAAAUUGCCUAAACAUUACUCCACGGUUGCUUAAAAAAAGUUUAUCAAAAUAUAUCCAUAUGGGAUCCAGUUUUAAAGAGCUCGUUGUAACAAACACAACCGUGAAAACAGAUCAUUGUUAUGAGGCUCGGUUUAAAGUUAUAGUAUUUAAAAACAAAACAGAAUAAACUGGAAUGACUUGCUGCAUAUAGGAUGUGAUCGUUUCAACCAAAUAGUGCAGCUGUAUUUUUAUUAUUUAAGAUAAACCUUGUGCUAAAAAACUAUGACGAGUGAGGUGGCACGGUCGGGAUAUGCGGCGCAGAACAUGGGAGGGGCGGGGGGGUCAAAGAAUUCAGUGCUCGUUACGUCUUUUUACAUGCUCUGGCACAUGUAUAAGAUGGGUGAUGGCUGGCUGGAUAAGGGAGAAGCAGAGUUGAACAGAUGCAAGUCAUUAUUAAUUCAAGAUUACUGGCUGAAUACAUUAUGAUUACUUCAUCAGACAAGUGCCUGCACGGACAGAGGCGCAAGGCCUGAUCUGCAUCGCCUCGCUGAACAUUAUACUCGUACUACGUGAGUAUCUUUCAGCAAAAACGUACAUACAGCCCAAUAAUUAGUGGAAUGAGGUGUUCUUGAGGUGCUCCGGCGCGUCCUGGAAGGAAUGCUUCCUGGCCAUGGAGAGGAUGGUCUUGUCGGCGACGAUGAAGUAGGCCAUCCCGGCGACGGUGGAGAUGAUGAGCGCCUGACCGGCGGGGUUCAGGUGCGCCUUGGCCCACGGAAGCAUCCUCACACUCGCCAGCUGCAGAAAAAGGCACGGAAGAAGAAGACGGUGAGAUGAUUAUUCGUUCGACGUCAAAAACUCAGUGGUGCAGGCUGAUAAACGUGUGCUUACGGUGGGCACUGCGGCGGCGACGGUGGCGACGGCCGCGGCCUUGGCUCCGGCCAUGGCAGCCUCUGCAGUUACCAAUCAACACAGGCGUGUUAGUUUGGGUCUAGUUCCAGGCUUUCAGUAGACAGGACUGCACAUAACUGCAAUGCACUCCUAGAAUAGAACGGCGAGAGCAUUGCCGGCACAGUGAACCGGCGGGGCAUCAUAUCGUUUUGGUUACCUCUGGAGCAGCGCUUGGCUGCGGCGAGCCUCUGGUCGAGGUAGGCGCCGGUCACCGUAGACAUCUUNNNNNNNNNNNNNNNNNNNNNNNNNNNNNNNNNNNNNNNNNNNNNNNNNNNNNNNNNNNNNNNNNNNNNNNNNNNNNNNNNNNNNNNNNNNNNNNNNNNNNNNNNNNNNNNUCACCGUAGACAUCUUCGCCGGAGCAAAGCUUGGUGGCAGGAGACCCGAAGGAAGUGAACUACUCGUGACUUCUUAGGCCCUGUUUUGUUACAAAUAAGUCACCAACUUAUAAGUUAAAAAUGCAAAAAAUGACUUAUUUUGCCAAAAGGGCCUAACUUAUAAGUCAUAAGUUGCGAUACCCUAGCUUAAAACUUAUAAGUCACUUACUUUUUGAUGGGUCCCACCACCUUUUCAGCCGUGCCCACCGCCCACCCGUGCCCACCGCCCCAUCCGCUCCCCACCGCGUAGCGCGCCUCGCCGCCGCUCCCACCGCGCAGCGCGCCUUGCCGCCGCCGAGCUCCAUCCCCACCCACUGCGCAGCGCGCCUCGCCCAUCCCUCCCCACCGCGCACCGCUGCUGCCCUCGCCGCCGCUGAGCUCCAACGCGAGCUCGCUCGGCUCGCCCAGGCCAGAAGCGCGGUNUUAUAAGUCAGGUGACAACCAAACAAGGAUGACUUAUAAGUCACUGGUUUUAAGUCACCUGACUUAUAAGUCACCUGACUUAUUGGAACCAAACAGGGUCUUAGUAACAGUGAAGUGUGUGAGGCAAGAAGAUGAGUGGUGGUGUGUGAGAUGAGAUGGGGCAGAGCUCGGUGCUCCGGCCGGAUUUAUAGGCCGCAGGAAACCGCGAAACCGGCGUGCGGAGAGGAAAGCGAGCUGAUACGAUACGAUGGGAAGCGAGACCGUGGUUUCGAGCCGAGCGGGUGGCCGGUGGCCGGCGCUGCUCUGCGGCAGAGCGCAUGUGGCGCCGCCUCCUUUAACCUGGUCCGCAUAUAAAAAACCACCCCACGCGCCUCGUCACUGAUUCUUUUUGGUGGGCACUGCGCUGCGCUGCAAGUGGAUAAAGAUAAGGAAUCAAUCGAUCGGGGUUGGCGUGUAGGUGCUGCAUCAUAUAUAGGAGCAGGAGUAUGUGAGUGAGUGUGCCCUUGGCGCUCCCUGUUUUCGGCCAAUAAUCCUACACCUAUGUAAUUUGGUUACAUAAUCUUACUUAACCUUCGUAAUCUAAAUCUUCACCGUCCCUGAUUUUCGUGGGGUGAGGCCUGGGCUGUUUUUUCAUCCAAUCUAAUCAUGACAAAUCAACUACCACGCGUAACUUUACCUAGAAUCUCUAGGUAGGUGUAGCAAAGCCCGUUUUCGGCCAACCCGUCCGCAAUCCAAUUCCGCCAGCGGUUCCCUGCAAAUCCUUUGUUGAUCGCAUGCUCGGAAAUACCUCGUCCGAUUAGCCAGUAGAUGGAACUCUUGAUUUCGGUUAUUAUUUGUAGUAUAUAGUAUGAUAUAUGUUAGCAAGUAUAUGAACAAGUUCAAUGUUAAAUUGAUGAUUUUGAAUUUUAAGAUUUUGUAGAUUUAGAUGUAUAAUGAUUAUUAAUUUUAUCUCUUGUCUUUAUUUUAUAUGCCUACAGUAGAAUAUUUUGAUAUAUUACAUAGCUAUAGGUGCAUGAAGUAUGGUAUAAUAAAUAAAAAGUAUAGAUAUAAAUUGGCAAAUUUCUAUUUAAUCUACUGACAAUGGUCGACCGAUUAAUUCAGUUUAUAGGCUCAUUCACUGAUUAAUCGUUACUCUCAAGCAGACCGAGAAGCUACUAGUUACCGAUUUCUUGAACAUUGAAAAUACAUAACGUUGAUCACCUAUCCAAAUAACGUAAAGGUUUUCACUAGCCAGUCCUGUCAUCGCUUGCAGUCGCACCACCACCCUAGAUCUUCCAUCGUCGCAAAUCUCAACCCUGACCAAGGUUUUGGCUACCGAAUACCAAGGAAAUGUCAAGAAGGGGCCGAGAAAUGCGGCUACCAAAAAAUACCAAGUGGAUGCCAUCCAAAACUUCCAAGUGUGUUUCAAAUUAAGAAAAAUUGAGCUAGGUACGUACAACUAUGUGCCAUGCUCAAUUUAGUCAGGAAUUUGCUAGCAUCACAAUGGUUGUCUUCACGCAUGUCAAGGACUGAGGUGUUCAGUGUUCGGUCACUGACCAGUAAAGAAAUAGCAACCUAGCCAGCUCUGUGAAGUUGGUCCUAUAAGUCUGGAUUGACCGACACCUCUUACAUAUAAACCUUAUCCAAGACAGAUAUUGGGCGGCCCAAAUGCAUUGGAUCUGAGAGACGGGACCUACCACAAAUUUCAUCAAAUCUUCCAAACCUGGCCAUACAUGUCUUUUUCCUCUCCUCUCUUCUCCCUCGUUCGCGAUGGCCCUUCCCUAGCUUUUCAGCCACCCUAGAUUCGAUGUCGUCUUGACCCCAUAGCGCGAGUAUCACCACCACAAAACUCCUCCUGCCAUGGUACAUACCACUCUUCCCGUCGUACACCUUGCCCUCCAUGUGUUUGAUAAUGUCAAUGCAAUUAUUUUGGAUUCUUUUGUGGAAAAACAAUGGAUUCGGUCUUGUCACAUGAGUAGUAUAAAGGCUAGGAGCUUGAUGUAUUCAUUCACAAGUUCAUGAAUUCAUCAAAAUCAGAUGACGAAGAUGCUACAUUAAUGAUUGUGAUGAUUAGCUUCGAGAAAAUGGAGAUAAAAGCGUAGUAUAUUCUGAACUUCAAAAGUUCAAUCAAAGGGAAGAUAGACCUAAACUAGGAUAAAGCCGCUGGCUCACGACGGCCGCUCUACAAGUACUACAUCCUAACCGGAUCAACAUUUCCUGAAAUAUGCGUCAACACUUUCGUAUGUGCAAACACUUGUUCUAGUGCGCGGUUAAUGGAGUGAAGGCACAUGAUCCAUUCUCUCUUUUGUUGAAAUGCACAACUGCUCUAAGGAUUAUCAUCUAUUUUCUUUAAAGACUUUCUUUAUUUGCCACGCCAUGUAUUAAACUUUAUGAAAAUACUACCUCCAUCCCAAAAUAAAUGUUACAAAUUUAAAAUAACUUUAUACUAAAGCUAGUACUACCUUCCCAAGUAUAUAGGACAUGCGCGUAGUUCUAGCUUGUUAAUUUAACUACUCCCCCGUUCUUAAAUAUAAGUCUUUUAAGCGAUUUCACUAAGGGUCUACAUACAGAGCAAAAUGAUUGAAUCUAUACUCUAAAGUAUGUCUAUAUACAUCCAUAUAUAUGUAGUCCACUAGUGAAAUCUCUAGAAAGACUUAUAUUUAGGAACGGAUGGAGUAGCUAAUAUGUAUUAUAUGCGAUAAAAAUUACAUAUUCAGAGACUACAUCCCCAUAUGAAUCUAAUGAUAUAUUAUUUAUUACAUAUAAUACAUAAUUAAGUAGUUAAAUUAACGACCUAGAACUACAUGCAUGUCCUAUACACUUAGACGAAUGUAGUAUAAAGUUGAGACACCUAUUUUAAGAUAGAGGAAAUAUUUAAGAAGUGGUGAUCCCGAUGUGCAUCACAAACAUGAGAGGAAUAGCGGGUCAAAGAGUUCCGUGGGUAUUUCUGUCUUCUGCAUGCUCUACCACUGCCACACAUGUCAAAUGAUAACAACAAACGAGUAAAUGGAAGAUGGGGUGAUGGCCGGUGAACCUGAGCUGUACAAAUGCAAGUUAUUAUUAAUUCAAGAUUACUGGGUGGAUACAUGAUGAUUGCUUUGCUUCAUCAGAUAGAAAGUGUUUUGCACACAGAGAAGAGAAGCGCAGUACACCACUCACUGUCUGCAGCCCUCGCAUGGUGACCGCCUCCUUCACUGAACUUUACGCUUUCUUUCAGUAGAGGCGUACAGUUUAUUGGCAGAGAAGCGCAGUUUAUUGCAGGUCUAACUAAUGGAAGGAGUGUUGGCUUUUGAACGUGCGUAUGCAGCUGUACAGGCGUGCCUACGCGAUUCUUGCUUCGGCCGGCUAUUUGACGGAACUUGCGUAACUAGCGACACGAAUAAAACUGAUCGAUGGAUUUGAUGGCUAAAGGCCCGUGUCGAGCCUUUGCUUUGUAUUGCUUUUCGUUUUUCUGGUGUUACAAUCAACACCCCUAGGGUGUCUUUUAUACACGUCCACAAGGGACUAUGGAAAUAGACUAGGACUAGGAAUCCUAAUACUACUAGGACUCGGUUUGGCUUUCUUUCCUAAUCCUACAUGAGCAACAUGAUUAACAUCUACAUUCACCUCCUUAAUCUUGUUGCUUGACUUCACUUCUUGCACUCCGACUUUCCUCCUCAUCUCGAUGAACUUCUGUCGACCGAGGGACUUGGUGAAAAUAUCGGCAAGUUGGUCUUUCGUGUUCACAUGUUGAACCUCGAUCAACCCUUCUUCAAUGCACUCCCGGAUAUGGUGGAACCGGGUAUCUAUGUGCUUGCUCCUUUCGUGAUGAACCAGAUUUUUGCACAACGAGAUUGCAGCUUGGUUAUCGAUCUUCAGUGACACCUUCUACACCUCCCGCUUUGCAAGAAUAGCUAGGAGUCUUCUCAGCCACACUGCUUGACAAGCCGCCGUGCUUGCCGCUAUGUAUUCUGCCUCGCAUGAAGACAGUGCCACCACCUUUUGCUUCUGAGAAUUCCAGCUAAUCGGAUUCGGGCCAAGGUAGAAAACCAUGCCCGUUGUGCUCUUUCGGUCAUCAACAUCACCUGCCAUGUCGCUAUCUGAAUAUCCACGAAGGAUCAAUCCUUCCUUUCCCUUUCUGUACGUGCAACCAAGAUUAAUGGUGCCUUUCACAUAGCGCAAGAUUUGAUUGACCGCGCUCAUGUGCUCGGUUGUCGGAUUCUCCAUGAAACAACUCACGAUCCCGACUGAAUAAGCCAAGUCAGGUCGGGUAUGCACCAAAUAUCUUAGGCUGCCCACAACGCUUCGAUACAUUGUGGUGUCCACCGGCGGAUUUGAGCUACGCUUGCUCAACUUGUGACGUUGGUCCAUUGAAACUUGUGUCGCGUAGCAAUCUGACAUGCCACACUUGUCCAAUAACUUGACCGCGUAAGCCGAUUGACAUAGGGAAAUCUCUCCGGAGCUUUGCUUCACUUCGAUGCCCAAGUAAUAGCUGAGUAAUCCCAGAUCACUCAUGCUAAACUUGUUCUUCAUUUGCGCCUUGAAACGUUCAAUUUCUUUUACGCUAUCUCCGGUGAUAAUCAGAUCGUCGACAUAAACUCCAACUAGCAGGUUUGAGCCUUUGGAGUUCUUUGUAUAGACUGCGUGCUCGAGGGGACAUCUCUUGAACCCGAGCGAGACCAGACUUCGGUCUAACUUUGAGUUCCAAGCUCUUGGCGCUUGCUUCAACCCGUAAAGUGCCUUCUUGAGCUUGUAAACUUUCCCUUCUUCGCCUUUCUUCUCGUAGCCGAGGGGUUGUUCCACGUACACUUCUUCUGUGAGAUCACCGUUGAGGAAAGCGGAUUUAACAUCCAUAUGAUGAACCUUCCAAUCCUCUUGUGCUGCCAAAGCUAGGAGCACUCUCACCGUCUCGAUUCGAGCAACCGGUGCAAACACCUCAUCAUAGUCAACUCCUUGACGUUGUACGUAGCCCUUUGCAACGAGUCUUGCCUUGUACUUCACAAUGGCACCCUCCGUGUCCUUCUUUAACUUGUAAACCCACUUCAAACCUAUCGUCUUUUGGUUUGGAGGUCGGGUUACCAAAGUCCACGUGCCAUUGCUCUCAAUUGCCUUCAUCUCCUCAUCCAUGGCGUGCGUCCAGCUAGGACUUUUGCUCGCCUCUACGAAGUUCGCCGGCUCCUCAACUCCGAACAGACAUAGUCCGGAGUACUCAAGCGUAACUGGCUUUGUGUACUUGUAGACUUUCUUGAGGGUCUUGUAGCGACGAGGCCCUGAGGAGUCCGUUGUGGCUUGCGAAGGAGGCGACACAAAUUGUGUCGGUGUUGAUGCACUUGAGGAAGACGGCUGAGACCUUGGUGUGUCAUCGACAUCCGUGUCGUCGGCGUAGUCGUCGUGACCGUGACCAUCAUCUUGAUUGUCGUCGUCACUAUGCGCCUCGUUGUCGAUGUUCUCGUCGAGAUCUCCGCCUGUGUCGUGCGCGGCGUUGUCGUUAUCUCCUUGCGACCUAUGCGCGUCGUUGUCGGUGUCGGCACCAUGAUGAUCACUACCAUUGUGGUCACCUUGGUUGGGCGUCUUGCCAACCACCUGGACAUCCUCCCCUGCAUCAUCAUCAGUUGGAAAUUCAACUGCAAAUAUGUUACUGUUUGGAGCAUCGUCGGCUGCGGCGCUCCAAUUCCACGCUUGGUUUUCUUCAAACACGACGUCGCGUGAAAUCCGUAGACGCUUGGUUUGUGGAUCGUAGAAACGGUAUGCCUUGGUGCCAGAACUGCUCUCGUAUCCGAUGAACACCAUCUUGGUGCUACGAUCGGCAAGCUUUGAGAGAUGUGGCUCCGCCGUCUUCACAUGUGCCACGCACCCGAACGUCCGUAGAUGAGACACAUUCGACUUACGUCCGUAAAUUGCUUCAUACGGAGUCUUGCCGAUCACCGCCUUCGUUGGAGCCCGGUUGAGAAGAUAGACCGCCGUCGAGACAGCUUCUCCCCAAAAAGUCCCCGGCAGGUUCUUGCUGUUGAGUAAACUCCUUGCCAUGUCAACGACGGUUCGAUUGCGCCUUUCAACGACCCCAUUCUGCUGCGGCGUGUAAGGUGCCGUGAGGAACCUCUUUGUGCCAAUCUUCUCGCAGUAGUCGUUGAACUCAUUCGACGUAAACUCUCCGCCGCGAUCUGUCCGUAGAGCGCGAACCUUCAGCUUGUGUUCCAUCUCUGUUGCAGCCUUUAAUUUCUUGAACGCUUCAAACGCCUCAUCUUUAGAUCGUAGGAGAAUGACCCACAUAUAUCUCGAGUAGUCAUCUACCACAAGGAAGAAAUACUUCUUUCCAGCGUGAGUUGCCGGGGUGAUAGGGCCACAUAGAUCACCAUGGAGCAGCUCGAGUGCAUCACUUGCACGAUAGGUAGACUGAGCAGGGAAUGGCCUGCGGUGCUGUUUUCCAACCAAGCACCCGUCACAUACUCGAUCAACAUGGUCGAUAACUGGCAUCCCGGAUACCAUCUGCAUCUUUGACAUCUUCUUCAAGGCGUAGAAGUUAACGUGUCCAAAUCUAGCAUGCCAUAACCACGAAUCAUCAUCACUCUUGGCAAGCCAACACUCCGGUUGAGAUUGAUCAAGGUUGAGGAUAUAGAGCCUAUUCCGUGAGCGAUUAACACGAGCUAGCACGUUUCGGAGGUUGUCGAAGAUCGUCAUCACUCCGCUCUCUAUAUUCACCUUGCAUCCAUUCUCGUCAAGCUUCCCAAUAGAGAUGAUGUUGUUGCGCAGCCCUGGGAUGUAGUACACUCCGGUGAGUAUGCGAUGUUCGCCUGUGAGACCCUCAAAGAGGACAGAUCCUUGCCCGCAAAUCUCCACAGCUGAACCAUCACCGAACUUGACCGAGCCUUCAACAUCGUAUUCCAGCUCGAGGAAUUUCUCCUUGCACCCCGUCAUGUGGUUACUGGCACCCGUGUCGAGAUACCACGACACGUUCUGAUCACUGGAUAACUUUGGUGUCACUUUUUCCUCAUGAAGUAGCACCUUCCGGCUUGGUUUCACAACCACCGUUUCAGCGAGAUCACAAACUUCGGCCAUCAGAAGACCUGGACCUUCGUCUUCCUGCUUUGCCAAAUUUGCCUUGAUCUCCCGCUUGUUAGGCUUUGGACAAUCCUUCGCAAAGUGACCCAUCUUAUUGCAGUUAUAGCACUUGACCUCGGACAAGUCCAAGUUCCGUGGUUUCUGCUCUUUAGAUUGGCCCGCCUUACCACGACCUUGUGGUUUGCCUUUUCCUUUGCCUUUUCCGGUUUGUCCAUCGCCCUUCGUGUUGCUUGAGCCUUCGCCACCGUCACGCCUUCCUUUGCUACUUGGGGCCUCCCAAUCUGCGCGCGAGUACAUGAGUUGGUCACUACCUCCUCCUUUGCCUUUUCGACAGCCACGAGCAUUCUCUUCCCACGUCCGCAGGCGUCCGAUCGCCUCCGUUAUGGUCAUGUCGUCGAUGUCGUAAAGCUGCUCGAGCGUGCCGAUGAUGUACGUGAAUUUAUCAGUCACUGAACUGAAAAACUUCUCCACGAUCUCGGUCUCCUCGAGCUUUGAACCAAGCGCACGGAUCUCUCCCACCAGAGUAGUAAGACGCAUGGCAUAGUCGUUCACCGAUUCAGUUUCCUCCAUCUGCAACUUGUGAAAUUGGCGCUUCAGCACUUGUGCCCUUGCCUUGGUGACGCGAUCUUCUCCGAUCCUCAUCUCCUUGAGUGCGUUCCACGCCUCUCUUGCCAUCUCGAACUCCGCCAAUGUCAUCAGCACGGAAUCCGGCACAGACUGGGCUAUGGCGGCCAUGGCACCUUCGUCGGACUCGUCAUCGACGUCGUCGUCCGUGAUUGCCUGCCACACUCGAAGGGUUCGGAGAAUAAUCUUCAUCUUCACCGCCCACACGCCGUAGUUGGCGUCGGUGAGCAUCGGGUACUGGAUGGGGAUGUUGCGAUGCGCCUGGACGUUAGCGCCGCUCGUUCCUCCACCACUGGUUGCUGACUUGACGCCCUUCUUCACCUUGUCGCCGUUCUUGUUCGCCUUGGCACCGCCGCUGCCGGACUUGACCGACUCAGCGUCGCUGUCCGUCGUCGUAGAUCGUAGAUCGUCGACGCUCUGAUACCAAUUGUUGGCUUUUGAACGUGCGUAUGCAGCUGUACAGGCGUGCCUACGCGAUUCUUGCUUCGGCCGGCUACUUGACGGAACUUGCGUAACUAGCGACACGAAUAAAACUGAUCGAUGGAUUUGAUGGCUAAAGGCCCGUGUCGAGCCUUUGCUUUGUAUUGCUUUUCGUUUUUCUGGUGUUACAAUCAACACCCCUAGGGUGUCUUUUAUACACGUCCACAAGGGACUAUGGAAAUAGACUAGGACUAGGAAUCCUAAUACUACUAGGACUCGGUUUGGCUUUCUUUCCUAAUCCUACAUGAGCAACAUGAUUAACAUCUACAAGGAGGUGUUCUUGAGGUGGUCCGGCGCGUCCUCGAAGGAAUGCUUCCUGGCCAUGGAGAGGAUGGCCUUAUCGGCGACGAUGAAGUAGGCCAUCCCGGCGACGGUGGAAAUGAUGAGUGCCUGGCCAGUCGGGUUCAGGUGCGCCCUCGCCCACGGCAGCAUCCUCACGCUCGCCAGCUAAUCGAUAUUAAUAUAACACCAGUCAGAGAACAAAUCACUGGGAGCACGAGGGACGAUUCUGAACUUGACGAGCUGUAUCCGAACUCACCGUGGGGACUGCGGCUGCGACGGUGGCGACGGCCGCGGCCUUGGCUCCCGCCAUGGCUGCCUCUGUAACGCCGACAGGUUAAUGACAAUCAAGUUUCAGUGGACAGAGACAUUACAGAAGCUUCAAUGCAAUGCACGACGGAAUGGCAUCUACGAGCAUUGAUCGCUGGUUACCUCUGGAGCAGCGGUCGGCGGCGGCGAGCCUCUGGUCGAGGUAGGCGCGGGUCACCGUAGACAUCUUGGCACGAGAUCCCAAGGAAGUGAAGUGAACUGGUAGUGGUAGUAGCAGUGAAGUAUCAGCAGCAGUGGACUGUGUGAGUGAGAUGAGAUGGAUAGGAAAUGCGCUCCGGCCGGAUUUAUAUAGGCUGCCGCCUGCCGGAAGGAAACCGGCCGGCAACCAGCGUGGGCGCAAGAAGACGAUAGAUACGGUGGGAGGCGAGACCGUGGUUUUGGGCGGUGGGUGUGUUCAGGCGAUACCGGCGGCCGGGCGAGCGGGUUGGUCGGCGCUGCGGCAGAGCACAGGUGGCGCCGCCCCUGCGUCCUUGGUCAUAGUAUAAAAACGAGCGCAUCUCACGUGCACUCCAUUCCACUCCACUGCCACAGGAUAAAAGGAGGCAUCGGGGUUUGGCCGCGAGCGAGCAUUGUGCAGUGUGCCCUCCGUUUUGCCUUGCCGCUCCCAGUUUUCCGCCAACCCGGCCGCAAUCCGGCGUCGGCGUCGUUCCCUCACACUGCCGCGAAACUACACUAGUAGUCGCUUCAUCACAUCUUAAAAACAUACACGUAUACGUAAAUCGUUAAUUUAUUUACAUAAAAUACAUCAUUUAAUAUAAAAAUUAUAUCAUUGAAAAACAGAUGUCUUUCAUUAAAUNNNNNNNNNNNNNNNNNNNNNNNNNNNNNNNNNNNNNNNNNNNNNNNNNNNNNNNNNNNNNNNNNNNNNNNNNNNNNNNNNNNNNNNNNNNNNNNNNNNNNNNNNNNNNNNNNNNNNNNNNNNNNNNNNNNNNNNNNNNNNNNNNNNNNNNNNNNNNNNNNNNNNNNNNNNNNNNNNNNNAUUAAAUUGAUCAAAUUGACGACAUAAAUACAUGUGCCGGACUUGUAAACCGAGACGGAGGAACUAGUACUGCUCAGUUUGCACCUUUGUACAUUUCACCACCAACCAAUCAAUAAAAAAGAAAAGAGAAAAGCAGGGUUAAUUAACCCACAGGUGAAGUGGUGAUACAGUCAACCAGAUACUCCCUCUCUCUCUUCAAAUAAUUGUCUCAACCUUAUACUAACUCUAAUACAAUAUUAUAUUAAGCUUAAGUCAUUUAUUUUAAGACGGAGGGAGUAGUAGCUCAUGUUAUGAAAAGUGCUCUUCUGCACCCGAGCUCAAAUGAGCUUUGGUGAACAGUAGAUUCAUAAAAUACUCAAAAAAUCUGACUUAUUUUACAACAGACUUUGACAAAAAAUUUAAUAGCUUGUAAAAUUUCAGUACGAAAUCAUAUUUUUUAAAAUCGUGGCAAAAAAAUAUAGUGCUCCAAAAUGCUUUUGAAAGUAGUAUUUUCAGAGUUUCGAAUUUUUUUUGCCACGACUUUCAAAAAUGUGAUUUCAUGAUGAAAUUUUACGAGCACUUAGAACAUUUGUCAAAGUUUGGGUACUUUCGCCGGCGUCGUUCCCUCACCGCCGCGAAACUACACUAGUACCAGUAGUACUGCUCCGUUCGCACCUUUGGACAUUUCGCCACCAGCCCAUCAUGAAAAAGAAGAGAGAAAAGGAACGUGGAGUUUUGGCUCCUAAGCUCAUUUGAGCUCGGGUGAACAGUAACCUCAAAAAACGUUUGAAAAAAGUUCAAAAAAUUUCGAAUUUUUUUGAGACCAACCUUGUCAAAAGUUCUAAGUGCGUGCAAAAAUUUGGCACGAAAUAACGCAUUUUCUGAGUAUACAUUUUGUUUAUUUUGCCACGCCUUGUAGAAAUGUUAUUUCAUACCAAAUUUUUGCAUGCACUUAGAACUUUUGACAAGGUUGGUCUUAAUUUUUUUGGAAUUUUUCGAACGUUUUUCGAGUUUACUGUUCACCCGAGCUCAAAUAUACAGUUCAAGUGGUGAUACAGUCAAUCAGAUAUACUCUCUCUUUUAAAAUAACUGUCUUAACUUUAUACUAGCUCUAAUAUAAAAUUAUACUAAACUUAAGCCAUUUAUUUUAAGACGGAGGGAGUAGUAGCUCAUGUUAUGAAAAGUGCUCUUCUACACCCGAGCUCAAAUGAGCUUGUGUGAAUAGUAAAUUCAUAAAAAUAUUUAAAUAAUACACAAAAAAUCUGAAUUUUUUUUACAGCAAACUUUGACAAAUGUUUGAAUAGCUUGUAAAAUUUCUGCACGAAAUCAUAUUUUUUAAAGUCGUGGCAAAAAAGAAUAUAGUGCUCCAAAAUGCUUUUGAAAGUAGCAUUUUCAGAGUUUUGAUUUUUUUUCCAUGACUUUCACAAAUAUGAUUUUAUGAUGAAUCUUUACGAGCACUUAGAACAUUUGUCAAAGUUUGUUAAAAAAAUUAGAUAUAUUUGAACAUUUUUGUAAUAUUUAUUGAAUUUACUGUUCACCUGAGCUCAUUUGAGCUCGGGUGCAAAAACAUCACGUCCCUCAUGUUAUACUCAUAUUCAUUGACAAUAUAAUGAUAAAGAAGAGCUUUUCUUUCGAUCAGUCCCGCAAACAACGUCGAUCGUUGCAGCACAUUGAUGUCACUAGAAGACCCGGACAAAGUAAUCGGCCAUUAGUGUCAAGUGCCCCUGCGUCUUGUUGCGUUUGAGCAUUCGAUGAUCCUUGAUCGAUCCCUUGAAAUUGAGAACAUGCUCCUUCGCAUGCUUCGCCUCUUCAAGGACCGCCUGCGUCAUUGUCGUCUCAUUGAAGUAGUCCUUCUCAUUCGACGAGUCGUUUGACGACUCAACAUAAUGCUUGUAUAUGUACUCGAAAUCAAAAUCCAUUGCUAGAAAGAAGAAAGGACAACUGUUUUCAGCUCCGACGAAUCAUUGAAACAGUUGACGGGUAUGAUGAGAAUAACAGUAGAGGAUGCUAUAGGGCGGGGCGGUCGGAGGAUAAGAACUGAACAAAGAUGGAGGAGAAGCGGUGGCGAGCCUUGCUAGAGCGUCGGAGGGUAACGGAGACACGGAAUCCUGGUAGGGAUGUGACAUGGUGAACGGGGUGGUGGAACGACGGGAAGGCAAGAGAGAAAACAGAAAAGAUAGAAAAAGAGAAGGAUGGUGUCACGGGGUCUUGGAAGAAUUUUGGAUGGACCAGGGAUGACGGAUAGCGAUAUUUCUCGUGUCCGGAUUCCCGCAAACCUAUCCCACUUUUAUCUUCUGUUUGCAAAAGAAAUCGCGUCCGAACCGUUCCGCGGAUCGACACGGAACCGCGACCGAUGCGGGGAUUUGCGAGUCCGUGAUGCCCUAACCCCAACCAUCGAUAUCUGAACGGCCGGCCAUCUGUGCAUCCGUCGCCCGCCCGUCAUCUUCUCUUGCAAGGAUGAGUAAAUUCCGCAGCAGAAUUUUCUACGCGGCAGUACAUCGUCCAUCGUCGUUGGCAAAUGGAGCCGACUUGUACCACUAGCAGAGUCUUUUCGCCCAGGCCCAGCCACCCGUUGCACACAUCCGCUGAUUAGUUACCUUACCUACUAAUAAAUUAAAUAGUGCUUCUUCCGUAUGUCAUACAAAUUGUCCUUAAAGUUGAUUAAAAUUAUUUACAAAUGCCACCUAUAAGUCAUAAAAAACAUUUCAAACAGGAAAAUCUCUGGACUGGGCCGGCCCAUGUAGGCAUCUCCUAUAUUACGCUCUGGGCGUUAAAACAAUAUGCAGCACACCUGUUUGGGCCGGCCCAUGCAUGGACGCCUUUUUUUGUUUAGCUUUUUAUUUUUAUUUUCAGUUCCAUUUUGUUUUUCUACUUUAUUAAAUAAUUUAGAACUUCAAACAACUUUUCUUAAUUUUAACAAAUUGAGAAUUUCGAAAUAAAAUAUCCAGAAAAACAUAUUUUUUUUGAGAAUUCAAAAACUACUCAGGAGGUUUGAAAAAUGUUUGCAUAUAAAAAAAUGUUUAAACUUUGAGAAAAUGUCCAUAAAAUAAAAUAGUCAACGAUUUUAAACAAAAGUCCGUGUAAAAAUCUUAAAAACAGUUCGUGCCUCUGUUUUUAGUCUCAUUUUUUAUUUUCAUUUUUCUGUUCCAUUUUUUAGUUUAAAUAAUUUAGAACUUUGAAUUUUUUUUGCAAUUUAUAAAACUUGGAAUUUUGAAAUAAAAGUGUGAAGAAAAUAUAAAAUGUUUGUGAAUUCAAAAAAUGCUCAGGAUUUUUGUAAAAAUAUUCGCAUAUUCAGAAAAAUGUUCAUAAUUUUGAGAACAAUGUUGGUGAAAACAAUAAAAGUCCAUGAUUUUGGAAAAAAAUGUGUGUUAUUUUUUGAGUGCAAUUGCAAAAAAAUGUUUGCUAAUUCAAAAAAUGUUCAUGCAUUUUAAGAAAUGUCCUAAAAUUUUAAAGACAUAAUAUGAUCAGCAUCAUUGGAGAUUAUAAUUGUUUUUCUCCCGUUGCAACGCACGGGUCCUUUUGCUAGUUAGUUAUAUAAUAACAGGACAAGAAGUUUCAGUCUGAAACCCACGAUGAGCGGGCAUUUGGUCCGAGAGGGGGACAGACCGGUCGAUCUUUAAGACCAUCGGAUUAAUUAGACGGAGAUGAUAGGCUGGUGGGGUCGAUCUCUGAGACCAUUGUUAGAACCGCAGCCCUCCCUCACUCUCGGCUAGAGGUAGAAGAAGACAAAGAUCAACAAGAUUCGGGCGUUCGUGCGCCCACGGCGGCGUUCGUGCACCGCCCCGGAAUUUCUCGUGUCUUGUGUCUUCUUCUACCUCUAGCCAAGAGUGAGGGAGGGCUGCGGUUCUAACAAUUGGUAUCAGAGCCAGUUCGUCUUGGCGUGGUUUGCCGUGCCGGAGGCGUGUCGGCGAUGACGGCGUUCGUCGGCGGCUGCACGAUGGAGCUCUGGGCCGUGUGUCGGCCUGUGAAGGUGCGCGGCGGCCGCGGCGGACCUGCGUGGUGGCGCAGAGGCUGUGGUGGCGCGGCUUGGCUCGACGAGGAGAAGACCGAGCUCCUGGACACACUGGAUCGGCCGCGUUGAUCGCGUUGGUGCGUGAUCAAGGCCGCGAGCUGGGGGCGUGUGGAGCACGGGGGUCGAUCGCCGACGAGGUGAUCGCGUAGCCGCACUGGAGACGGCCGCGUCUUUCGCGUCGGAGCGCGACGGGUGCGCCGGCCGGGGAGUGCGGGGCGUGGCGAAUGCAGCGGAGGAGCGAGGCGACAAGACCGCGUCCUGGGCACGCCGGCCAGGCGUGUUGAUUGCGUUGGAGCGCGAUGUGGGCACGAGCUGGGGCGUGUGGAGCGCGGCGACGGUCGCCGAGGAGGAAGAAGAUCGAGCUGCUCGGGCGGCCGCGUUGCCUGCGUAAGUGCGCGACAUGGGCGUGAGCUGAGGGCAUGCCAAUCAUGGCGCACUGAGGGUGCUGCGCGGCGAAGGCCGCAGCGGCGAGGUGCGACGGUCAUGACGACGACGAUGGAAGCCACAACAACUCCGGCGACGGCAGGUCGUGGUUUAGGGGGAGAAAUGUUAGCCGUAAACCACGCCAAGCCGUUGGAGCUUAGUGCUGGUCGUUGCGAGCUGUUGGGCAGGCCCGCGUUGCGCGCGGUUGUGCGCGUCAUGUGCGUGGAGAGCCCGGCCAGGUCAUGUGUGUGGUUGGCAUGAGUGCGUGCGUGUGUUAGUGGCCAGCUUAGUGGACUUGGGUGCUGUGUCGCCCAGGGAUAUAAACCAGUCGAGAAUUGACGCAAUGUAGACAUUGCAAAGAUCAACAAGAUUCGGGCGUUCGUGCGCCCAAGUGUUUUGCACAUAGAGAAGAGAAGGGCAGAACACCACUCAUUGCCUGCAAGCCUCGCAUGACCGCCUCCCUCACUGAACUUUACGCUUUCUUUCAACGGAGGCGCUGGCCUGCAGUUUAUUGCGCACACUGUCGUUGCCGCGGCCUUCUUCCUCACCCGCCGGAGCUCUACCCCUCUCUCUCCCUCUCUGCACUCGAGGAAGAGAACAUGAGGAAGAAGAAGGACACAACUACACAGGUAUUUUCUUGGCGCACGUUGAGCCGCACGAACAGCGUUUUUUUUCUCUGAGGACGAACUCAGUCUAGCUAACUAUAAAAUGGAGGUGGCCGUGAGCUUUAUACGGACGUGCCUAAGCUCGCCGCGCCCCGCUCCUGCUCAUCCUGCUCACGCAUUUCCUGGAUCACGUGCCCGACGCAUAUGAACGCAGUCGACGUGAUCCCAAGUCCCGCGCUCGACGCAGUCAUCUCUCCGUUCUUCUCGUCAACUAACAACAACCCACGCGCACGCAAGUGCGGACACACAUGCACACACUCUCAGUCACGUACACACACGCCCGAGCCUACCAGAGGCCGAACCUGACGCGGCCACCGCGCGCACACACGCGCACCGCGUCCGAGCCGUGGCUUAUUGCCUCACAUUCAGCCCCCCCCCCCCUAAGCCAUGGCUCAGAGGAGUCCGCCGUCUUCGACUCCGACGACGUCCGCCAGCAGCGCGCGCUCCGCCGCCGGCUCCCUCCGCAGCUUGGGGCAGUCCCUUUUGAAGUGGCCGCGCUCGCCGCACUUGUAGCAGCGCCCGCGCCGGUUCCCGACGCUGCUCGACGCCACGCUCUUGUCGUCGUCGUCGUCCCGGGCACCACUGUAUCGAUGCUCCCGCGCUGCCCACUGCGCCGCCGUCAUGAGCAGCUGCUCACCCCGCGCUCGCCGCCGUCUUGUCCACGGCGCCGAACUCGCUCGUCGAACGCACGCAACCGCCCGAGCGCCUUGUCGAACGCCAUGGUCGCCACCUCGCAAAACUGCUCGAUGCUGGUAACAACGGGGAAAAGCCGAUCAGGAACGGUGUCCAGGAGCUUCUUCACGAGCGCCGCGUCACCCAGCGUCACCCCGAGGUUCGCGUAUCGCGACGUCAUCCCUCCCAGCCUCCCGGCGUACGCGUCCAACGCAUCGCCGUCCGCCAUCUUCAAGCGGCCGAAUUCGCCGCGCAACGUCGCCAGCCUCGACGCGCGGACCCGAUCGGGGCCGACGAACCUCACCCUUAGGGAGUCCCAUACCUCCCUGGCAGUGAGCUUCGUCGCCACCUGCAGCAACACAUCCUCCGACAACCCUUCGAGGAGCAUCGCGCGCCGCCUUGUCCUUCUUGGCGUUCACCGCCGCGUCGCCCGGUGCCACCGCCUCCCAUACGGUGUGGACGUCGAGGACCGCCUGCGCCUUAAUCGCUCACAUGGUGUAGUUGUCCGACGUAAGCAUCGGCAUCACCAUCGACACCAAUCCGCCCGCGCAGCCGCCGUGUGUGGCACGAUCGCCAUUCCCGCUGGGGAGCUCCCGAACCGUGGCUCUGGUAUCAACUGUCAUUGUGGCGGCCUUCUUCCUCACCCGCCGAAGCUCUACCCCUUUCUCUCUCUGCACUUGCCUUGCACUCGAGGAAGAGGACAGAAGGAAGAAGAAGGACACAAGUACAUAGGUAUUUUCUUGGCGCACCUACGCCACCCGCCGCACGAAGGGCGUUCCUUUUCUCUGAGCAGGAACUCAGUCCAGCUGACUAUAAAGUGGAGGUGGCCGUGAGCUUUACACGGGCGUGCCCAGGCACGCCGCGCCCCGCUCCUGCUCAUCCUGCUCACGCACGCCCCCACGUCCCGCACUCCUUGGAUCACGCGCCCGACGGACACGAACGCAGUCGACGUGAUUCCGAGUCCCGCGCCCGACGCAGUCAUCUCUUCACUCUUCUCGCCAACUAACAACAACCCACGCGCAUGCACGCGCGGACGCGCGCACACACACUCUCGGUCACGUACACACGCGCCCGAGCUUACCACAGCCCUCUCUCCAUCGGGGUUUGGCCGCGAGCGCGCGUAGGAUAGCACUAGGAGCAUUGUACAAUGUGCCCUCCAUUUUUGCCGCUCCCAGUUUUCCGCCGACCCGACAAACUCCGCGAGCGGUUGGGUAGUUUCGCCGGCGCCGUUCCCUCCCUGCCGCGAAACUACACUACUAGUAGUAGUGGUACUGCUGGGUUUGCACCUUUGGACAUUUCGCCACCAGCCGAUCAAUGAAAAGAAGAGAGAAAAACGGGGAUAAUUAACCUACCGGAGUAGCCCAUGUUAUACUCGUGUCCAUUGACAAUAUAGUGAUAGGAGGAGCUUUUCGUUGAAUCAGCCUCGCAAACAACGAUGAUCGUUGGAGCACAUUAAUAUCAUUAUAAGACCCGGGCAUGUUAAAGAAAACGUGCCAAAUUCAAAGAUCAUGUGAUGCAACUGCUUUAAAAAUGAUGAUAGACUUCUUAACAUGACGUUAAUACUGUCCUUGUAAAGCUUUCAAACGGUACUUUCAUUUUCAAUGCAUGCAGUCAAGAGAUCAAAGCAAAUCUCGCCCGCUCACACGGUCACACCUCGACCAUGACAGUUGUAAACAUGAUCAUGGCAUCUUCGCAUAUGCUCUCAGACAUCCAUAGAUACUCGUCCCGCGAACCAGCGGUCGUGCCAUAUGCAAGUAUCAGGAGUGCGGGUGUGCAUUUCUCUUAACUAGAGAAGCCAAUCGUUUCACGACGUCUUUGUUAAGGAUGAAGCAGCAAUCGUAGGACCGGACGCCAUGGUUAAAACGAUCGAAGACAGUCUUGCACAUCUGAAAACACCGGCAAAAAUGAUCAACGAAUAGUGCAUCAACGACAAAGUAGUCGAUCAUCAGUGUCAAAUGCCCGCGCGCCUUGUUGCGGUUGAGCACUCGCUAACCCUUGAUCGAGCUCUUGAAAUUAAGAACAUGCUCCUUUGUACGCUCCGCGUCUUCAAGGACCGCCUCCAUCAUCAUCGUCUCAUCGGAGUAGUCCUCCUCGUCUGACGAGCCAUCAGACAUCCAACAUAAUUCAUGUAUAUGUACUUCUGAAUCCAAUGCUAGAGAGAAGAAGGAACAACUGUUUUCAGCUCCGGGGAUUCAUUGAACAGUAGAUGGACAUGAUGAAAAUAACAGUAAAGAAUAGUACCCGGCGGGAGGUUCAAAAGACAUAAGUUUGAAUGGAGACGGAGGAGAAGCGACGGCGAGCCCUGCUGAAACGCGGGAGGGUAACGGAUAUGCUGUAUCUAUUCUGAACCGACUGCGUCUGUACAUCCGUCGCCCACCCGUCAUCUUCUCUUGCAUAGAGGAGUAAGUUGUGCAUCAGAAUUUUCUACGCGGCAGUACAUCGUCCGUCGUCGUUGGCAGAGGGAGCCGACUUGUGUUGCACUACUAGCAGAGUCUCGUCGCCCAGGCACCCGUUGCGCUCAUCCGCUGAUUAGUUAGCACGACGCGAAGUUUCAGUCUGAAUUCUGAAGCCCACGAUAAGCAGGCAUUUUGGUGCGAGAGGGCGACAGACCGGUCGAUCUCGAGACCAUGGGCAGAAUAAAUUAGACAGCUGAGAUGAGAGGCUGCAGGUGGGGUAGUCUUGGUUGCAGCCACGGAAAAUACACACCUGCGCUCCGAUUAGUACUCCAGUUCCCACCCAUGGAAAAUAUAUACACCCACGGAGGAGACUUGACUCCACAACUUCAUCUUUCCUGUUCGCUGAGUGUGUGUGUAUAUAUAUAUAUACCGCUAACUUGUAGUACACACAUCCAUCCACGAACUCAUCGAUCACACGCUCCGUCGCCUCCCAUGGAUCGCUCGCUGCAUAAUACGGGUACGGACUUCUUACCAGCCGUCCUAUAGCUUACCAACACUCAUUUUUCUUUUUGGGUUUGUUUUCCUAUUAUUUCUUUGUCCUAAAAUAAUUGCCUUAAUUUUAUACCUGCUUUACUAUAAAAUUAUACAAAGCUUAAGACACUUGUUGUGGGAUGGAAGGAGUAUAUAUUUACUCUUACUUUCUACUCCCAAAACUUAUUUUCCCAACUUUAUACGUCAUGAGUGAAAGGUUGUCAUUGCCAUGCAUGCAUAUGGAAAGCUCUUUCAGCUCAUACACAUUUUUUUGUGGUUCUUUCUUUAAUUACGGAUUAAAUCUUUGUAGUUUCAAUACAACAUGUAUGCAUACACGGGUGCAAUUCUAUGGAGAAACUAUCUCAGAGCACAAAUAAGUUUUGAAAACGAAGUGUGUGUGUGUGUGUGUGUUUAACACAAUAUAAACAUAGACUCUUUUUUUGGCGGGCUGAAAGAAAUUUAUUCCAUAGAAGUAGUGUUAAAUUAGAUGGGCCUACUUUGUGUUGUUUUGGGCCAGAAUUUUGUCUCAUUUUCUUGUAGACUACAAAUCAUUGUUUUUUUUUUGUGUUGAUGUAAAGAGUUGUCUAUAUGUUUUCACUAUUAAAAAUGCUCUUUUAAGUUGUAAAUAUGCUUUUAGUAAAAAAAAAUUUCAAAAUACAACGCUCAUUGGAGCCCGACAGCUGAAACCUCGCACUCUUGAGAGCACCUACAAUAAUGAUAUCUUACUAAAACCAUAUCUUCCGUUAGGUAAUACAAUAUAUGAAGGGACGGAUCUAAGGGGGGCGAGGGGGGCCAUGAAAGCUUUGCCCUCUCCAUGAGUAAACUCGCUUUCUCCAUGCGUCCACCCUGGCUCCGUCCAUGUAUACAAGAUAUGCAAAUUUCUUUAUCCUAGAUGAUGUUUCUUAUACUCACUCCGUCCCGAAACAAAUUGUCUCAAGUUUAUAUUAAUUUUAAUACAUAAUUAUACUAGAGUUGAGACACUUAUUUUGAGACGAUGAAAAUACCUAGGGCAUUUUCAAAGACAACCCAUAAAUUUUCUCCCGCAUCCGUCAGUGGACAGGGAAACCAGUCUGCAAACACAAAUACAGGAGGACGGCAUCCAACUAUAUUGCCGCAUACAUUUUGACAACAAUUCAAACUAGCCGAACGAAAUACGUGCAAACACGAUCAAAAUUCAUGCAAAAUAUGAAGGAUUCCAUACGAACACGAUGUAUUCCAUUACAUUUCAAAUGUUUAGACAAAUAAAAAUACCCACCCCUAAACCAAUCCUACGACGAUGGCGCUCGAUGUCCAAGCCCGUGUCGUGCCCCAUCCGCCGUCUCCAUGAGCACCGGCGAUAAGACCGAUGAAGUGAAGGUACGAUCUCCGGUAAGGAAGAGUAGAACACGGGAGAUGGACUAAUCCACAUGGGAAACCUGGCCCUACUGCCUCCCAUGCCUCUGUUGCCGGUGGACGUGAGGUCCAUGAGGGGAAUGGUGGCGUCUUGGAUGUCGUCGUCUCAUCGGGCUACCUGAUGGUUCGCCGGCGGCGCGUAGGAGGCAAAGUUGUCGUCGUUCUCCUCCGCGAUCACCCGCAACUACACCUCCGCGACGUCCGCUUCUAUGGUGGCUUGAGCGGGGAUGGCAUCGUACACGGCAUGCUACUUCACAACGAAGUUUGGGUUUGUCGCGGCCAUGGCCGCCAGGUCCUCGUGCUCGCUGUCGAUCUGACGCAACGCGAGCCGAUGUUGCUCCAGCGCCCGCUCUAACGCCGAUGUACGCGCCGGCGUAGGUGGCCCCUCCGCCAUGGUGGUGUUGUAGUGCGCCUGCGUCAUGGUGUAGCCGAAGUGCUCAGGAAGCGCGGGAGCCGGGGCAGUGUCGUUGGAGCUCGUUUCCAUCGUGGUGUCGUCCUCUUCGUCGUCAAAGACCUUAGGCGAGUUGGCUGGCCUCGAUCCACCUGGCACGACGGCUCUGCCAGGUGGCGGCAAGGGCUACUACCUUCUGCUUCAUCUCCGGGGAAAGGAUUCCCUACAGAGCAUCGCCGCAUGCUAUCAUGGUGGAUGCGGUGCAAGGGAGGAGGACGUGGAGAAGAUGUGGAGUCGAUGUGUUGCGUUGUGAAGAUAGCCGGGUGUGGCCGCACUUAAAUAAUGGACUUUGGUGAGGCCAGACGUCAAUGCGGGACGUCUCUUGGUCGUCCAGCCAACUUAAUGGCGGCAUACGGAAGGACGGGGCAUUGAACGGGUGUGGUAGAUACGGAAAGUCCUAUUCUACUCCCGAGCUCAAAUGCUCCUUCGUGAACAGUAAAAUAAAAAAAAAUUCGUAAAAUACUUUAAAAAAUUCUAAAUUCUUUUUAUGAUAAACUUUGACAAAUAUUUUACAUGUGUAUCAAAAUUCAGCACAAAAUAACAUUCGCAGCAAAAAAACAAAAUCAACAGUCCAAAAUGUAUCCAAAACUAGCAUUUUUGGAGCAUCGAUUUUGUUUUUUGCCAGGACUUUUACAAAUGUUAUUUCGAGCUGAACUUUUGUAAGCAUACAAAACUUUUGCCGAAGUUUAUCACCAAAGAAAAUCAGAAUUUUUUGAAUGUUGUACUAGUUUUUUUUUUUUUUGAUUUUAGUGUUCAUGAGGGAGGGUAUGAGCUGGGGACAAGAAAAACUCCAUGUCCGGUAGUAGAUAUCAACCAGUUUUUGUGAAAUGACCAGUACACCCCGGACCCCGCAGACAGAGUGCUACCCAUAUAUUCUCUCCUGUGUUCCAAACUCCCAAUCCCCGACCUGCCUUCUGCCUCCUGCCCGAGCAAAUCCCCGGCGAGACACCUGGCGCAGAUGGAAGGUCCCGUUCCACCCGCCGCACCACCACCGGCGCGACACCCUUUGGUCCUCGUCCGCCCGCGGCGAGUAAUCUCGGCCGGCGGUCCAGCUGGUUCCUCGAGCCGGCGACGCCACCACGCGGGAUUCGAGCACCCAGCACUACCCGCGGCGGCCGCCCUCCUCCGUGGGCGUAUUCGGCCUCCGCGCCCUCCUUCGCUCGGGGCUACCAGGCCCUGUAAGCAGGUACGGGGAACCCUAGCCGUACGACGCAGUUAGUUGCCUGUCUCGUCGAUGUGGAGUGGUGGUGCCGGCGGUGGAAAUUAGAGUCGAAUAAGACUCUUUUUGCCUAGUAUCUGGAUGGUACAUCUCCUUCUAUUCGAAAUUGUCUGGAAUUCUUUUUCAUUUAAUUUGCUUCAUCCGAUCCUUAUGUUGUUGGGUUGAAAUGUUUGUACUGGUGGGAUCAAACUCUUGGCUACCUACUGAUCUGUUCCACAUGAUUAAUUGUAGUUUUAAGGGAUUUUCAGCGGAUUGGUCUUGACAUAUUUCGGAAGAAAUCAGUAUUUGUUAUCUACUAGUAUGUUGUAUUAGGCAUGUUUUUUCAAUUAUUUUUUGGGGACUAAUGAACCAUAUCAAUUACUAUAACAUGAAUCCACUUAAUAUAGAUAUGUACAUGAUACAUGUCUUGAUUGUUGCCUACAGGUCAGAAGCUCUUACUACUUGUCUUCGCCACCCUAGCCCUACAACAUAGUACUACCACUUAUGGUUAUGGGUCUGGAACCUCCGGGGGCAUCAACAGGGCACGGCCUGGCUGCCCAGACAAGUGUGGCAACGUCAGCAUUCCGUACCCAUUCGGCACUGGAAAUGGCUGCUUCAGAGAACCCUUUAGUGUUACAUGCAACGAGAGCAGGGCAUAUCUGGCCUCAACCGGACUUAGGGUACUAGACAUCAAUCUUAGCUUUGGUGAGGUUCGUGUUCAGAACCCAAAGAUAGCAUCGCAAUGCAACUACACCAACGGCACCAAUAGCACCAGUUUGGUUGGCUUAAGCCUUGAUCCUUUUCAUAAGCUUUCCUACACCAAGAACAAGCUAACAUCAAUCGGUUGUGCUACACUUGGAUUUAUCGUAGGAUCCACCAAGGGCAAGAACAGCUUGAGUUACCCAUUGUCAACUCAUGCUUUUCAUUCUGCACUGAUGCAAGUAGCGUCGAUGAUAGCACAGAGUGCGCUGGCAUGGGUUGCUGCCAGACCCCCCUUCCAGCAAAUAUCAGCUCCUUCAACACCACAUCCGCGCCAGUACCAACUAUAUACAAUGCUACCAUCCAGUCUUUCAGUCCAUGCAGCUACUCAUUCGUCGCUGAGGUGGACUUGUUCAAGUUUGAUCGUUCAUAUGUCAGCUCUACAAAUUUCACAAGUAAAUAUAUAGAUGGGGUUCCUUUGGUACUCGAUUGGGUUGUUGGUAAUGGAAGUUGUUCCACCAAUAUGGGAUCACAAUAUGCGUGCCAAGCCAUGAACAGUGAAUGUGUUGAUGUGUCCAAUGGCCCGGGUUACCGCUGCAACUGCUCUCAGGGUUAUGAGGGCAAUCCAUACCUACAAGGAGGUUGCCAAGGUACGUAUAUGGAUCUCACAGAAUCAACUUAUACUCUCUCCUUUCUUUUUUUUUAGAAAAGGAGGCGUCGCCCCGGCCUCUGCAUCGAGUGAUGCAUGCAGCCUUUUAUUAAACAUGAAUACUCUCUCCUUUCUACCAGCUUUACUAUUUAUGGAAUGCCAUAUUGUGUUAUCCAUGUUGACGUUCUCCGCACUUCCAUGAAAUGCAGACAUCAAUGAGUGCGAACCUCCAGACCAGCCCUUGUAUCCUUGCAAAGGUAAAUGCAUAAACACUGAGGGAAACUACACAUGUUUGUGCCCAUCAGGAUUCAGGAGCGACGAUCCAAAGAACAUACCCUGCGUUCGAGCUGACACAAAGAGAUCUCUGAAUAUUGUGCUAGGUAAUGGGACUGUUAACAAUGAAAAUAUUUCGCACACCAGUUGUGUACACACUACUUAACUGCACUUUUUAGGCCAGUUAUAUAAGGCCAAGUUCAGUUUAGACACAUGUUAUAUAGCAAAGCAAUGGCGUGAUGAACUAAAUGUGAGCAACAUUGCUAGUUGAACUGAUGGUAAUUAACCGUCAUGAUUUCCAGGCAUAUCCUUCAGUGUUGUCUUCCUCAUGGUUUGUAUCUUCGCUCUACGGGCCGAGUAUCAGAAAAGGAAGUUGAAGAAAGAGAAGGAAAGAUUCUUUGAUCAGAAUGGUGGUCAGAUAUUAUAUCAUCAAAUUAUGUCAAAACAAGUUGAUACUUUGAGGAUAUUCACACAAGAAGACCUUAAGAAGGCUACGAAUGAUUUUGACGAGAGCAGAGAACUGGGCAGGGGUGGUCAUGGCACUGUCUACAAGGGCAUGCUCAAGGACAGCAGGGUAGUAGCUGUGAAGCGCUCGAAGGUCAUGAACGUGGCAGAAACUGACGAAUUCGUGCAGGAGAUUAUUAUACUUUCACAGACCAACCACCGUAAUGUAGUCAGGCUUCUAGGGUGCUGCUUAGAGGUGGAAGUUCCAAUCCUGGUCUAUGAAUUCAUCCCGAGUGGCACUCUCUUUGAGUUCAUCCAUCGUAACUACACAAGUCCACCUCCCUCUCUGGACACCCGUCUCAGGGUCGCUCAAGAAUCAGCAGAAGCACUUGCAUAUCUGCAUCUGUCCAUGAACCUCCCUAUAGUCCAUGGGGAUGUCAAGUCUAUGAACAUUCUCUUGGACGAAAACUACAUGGCGAAAGUGACCGACUUUGGGGCGUCAAGGAUGCUCCCCAAGGAUGAGGUUCAGUUCAUGACAUUGGUGCAGGGCACCAUGGGUUACCUGGACCCUGAGUACUUGCAGGAGAGGCAACUCACGGAGAAGAGCGACGUUUACAGCUUUGGCGUUGUGCUGCUGGAGUUGAUCACGGGCAAGACAGCCAUCUACCACGACGGCCCCAAGGAAGGCAAGAGCCUUGCGUCGUCCUUCCUGCUCGCGAUGAAGGAUGGAAGCCUUGAUGCCAUCCUGGAUGCAAGCAUAGUUAGCGCCGGGAUGGAGAUGCUGCUGGGAGAAGUCGCCGAGCUGGCGAGGAUGUGCUUGAGCGCCAGGGGUGAAGAGAGACCUUCCAUGACCGAAGUGGCUGACAAGCUGAAGGCUCUGCGAAGCACCUGGAGGGCGAAACUCGUGCUUGAGAACGGCAAAACAGAGCGUCUGGUCAUGUGCUCCUCACCUGUAGCUUCAGCGCUUCAUGAUCCUCCAUCGACGAGCACGGUCUCGACUGGGCCUCACAUGUCUGGAAUAAGUAUAGAAACACCCAGGUGAUAGUUUCAGUUAUUAUUAUAAUAUAUGCAGAGGUAGUAUUGCCAAGUGUGUGUGUGUGUACGUGUCACGCCUGGAGCUUCAAAUGUACUAUCAGUAUUUGUCAUGUAUUUGCGGUAUCAAGUAUUAUGUAGAAGUUGGAAUUUGUUAUUACAAUAUUUAUGUCCUAGUUUUGGCCAUGUUGGUUAUGGAGUAUUUGACAUUCAUCAUCUUUUGUAUUGCUUGUUUCUAUUUAUUCAUGCCUUUUGGCAAUUGCUUUGUAAUGAUUUUGUAAUAAUUUUGAGAAUAAAAUGCAUCCACACUGAUCAAAUCAGUGUACUGAGGAGUAUCAGAGCUGUUACAGUUAAUCCUUUAGUUAACCUGCUGUAUGUAUGCAGGCCAAUAAUUGAUCGUAUUGAUGUGACAAAGGUGAGAUUCCUGUGUUGCCUUUAAAUGGGAAGAAGAAUAAAAUCCUAAAAAAUGGAGCCUCAGUUCUGUUGUUUCUGUGAACUCUUAUCUCUGUUAGAUUCAUGAAAGUAGGUCCUGCUGUGCUCAUAUUCUUUAUUUAGAUAUUUGAUUCUCAAACCAGGCGAACAAUAAGUAACUUUACUCUAACUCCGACAGGUAUUGGUGGUUUCUCUUAUUCUGCUCACGAGGUUAACACAUAAGGAUGGCUACAUAUUUUGAUUUGUGCUGUCACCACGGUUUGAAAUUACAAAUUUACAGUUUGAUAUAAGGAUAAAUCUCAGGUGAAAUUGCUCCACUUCCUCCUGCUUACAGUUUCUGUUCAUUACUAACAUACAUAAUUUCAUGCUGAAUUUGAUUGAUGUAGUUCAGUAAAUUUUGAUUCAUCCGAUAUCGUCUUGUUCUGCACUGUUACAAGCAUUUAUAUAAAGCCUACCCAUCUGUAUAUAGUUAUGCCAUGACAGUUCAUGAAAAUAAAUAUAACUUUAUAGAAUUGUCACUUAUUACUCUAGCAGUGAAGUGUCGGCCUGCUACUAGAAUCAAGUGUUUUUUCCAUUGCUAAUCUGGUACAUAAGUCUUCGGUCAUAGCAUUGUAGGGCCUUCAUUAAGCACAAUUUAGCUGCAAACGAACACAAGCAACCUUGUUGGCUGUUGCCGUCAUGACUUUAGACAGUGACACAUUUCUCUCUAUCUGAUAGGUGCCUUCUUUGAUUCAUUUGUCCACUUGCGGUCAUACUUUUUCUGAUAAUAGGUUAUAUCAGGGCGAGAGCUUCAUGUUGCUAUUCGUCCUCAGAGUAUCAAAGUCGGCCAGUCAUUACUUGUUUGUCAGCUUGUCGUUGUUAUUGUUGUUGUUGAUAGGUACCUUCUUUGACUCAUUUGUCAGCUUCAGCCAAUUCUCUUCUGAUAACAGAUUAUAUCAGGGCCCUAUACGUCCUCAGAGUACCAAAGUUGGUUUAGCUAUGAUGUCCUCCAUGGAUGCAGCUGCAACCCUUUGCCUUGUGCUUAUUCUAGCCACGACGACUUCCUCUCCUUUCUAUGCACAAGAAACCAAGAACGGCGGGUGCAUCACAGAUGAGAGGGACGCAUUGCUGUCUUUCAGAGCUGGCAUCAGAAGCGAUCCACAGAACCUCUUUUCCUCUUGGAAUGGCCAAGAUUGCUGCCAGUGGAGUGGUGUCAGGUGCAGCAACAGGACAUGCCAUAUCGUCAAGCUUGACGUCCGCAACGGUCUCUUCUUUGACGAUAUCUAUCGUAACUGGUACAGUGAAAAUCCUCAUGGGAUGCGUGGGAACAUAAGUUCUUCAUUAGUUGCUUUGCAUCGUUUGGAGUAUCUAGAUCUGAGUGGAAACUAUCUCGGUGGAGUAUGUGUGCCAAUACCCAGAUUCUUGGGCUCUCUCCAAAAUUUGAUAUAUCUCAACCUAUCUUCCAUGGAUUUUCAUGGUAAAGUGCCUCCUCAACUUGGUAACUUAUCCAGAUUGCUAUAUCUUGACCUCAACAACAAUUGGAAUUAUAGACCUUAUUAUGCCAUGCUGUUGCACAUAGAGAAUAUCUCAUGGUUGCUGCGUCUCACUUUGCUAAGGUUUCUCGACUUGACUCAUGUGGAUGUCAGUGCCAUUGGCAAUUGGGUUCAAGUGGUUAACAUGCUAUCUAAUCUAAGAGUCCUUAAUCUCCGUAAAUGUGAGCUUGUUUUUCCACGGGCACUACUGUGCAUUCUAACCUCACAUCACUUCAGAUGCUUGAUCUAAGUGAUACUGGAUUUCAUACCAUCAAUCCAACCUACUGGUUCUGGGAUGUUGGCACCAUCAGGCAUCUUGACCUUACGAAUAAUUGAAUUGCUGAAGCAUUUCCAUGGGGAAUAUGACUUCGCUUGUGGUACUUCAUCUUGGAGGCAAUUAUCUCACCAGUAUAAAGCUGGAAGUACUGGGAAACCUGUGCAAUUUGAGAGUGCUAACACUAUGGUCAAAUCUGAUCAAUCAAGACCUUUCACAAUUUUUGGAGGGGUUGCCUCACUGUGCAAUUUGAGAGUGCUAACACUAUUUCUUGCACGAAUGUCACAGGGGAAAUUCCAAGGUGGAUAAAUCAGUGGACUGAUUUGAGCACUCUUCAACUCUCCUCCAAUAGGCUUGAAGGAUCGGUACCUUUAGAAAUUGGUAUGCUCAGCAAACUCAAACAGUUCUGUAUCACAGGAACAUCUGGACACUUUAGUGAAUUUGGAGGAAUUGGACUUGUCUUACAACUCCCUACACCUGAUGAUCAGCUCAAACUGGACCCCCCCUUUUAAAAUUGCGUUGGGCAUAUUUCCCACGCUGCAAAAUGGGACCUCAUUUUCCUCUGUGGCUAAAAGGGCAGAUGGGUGUUGUUUAUCUUGAUAUUUCUGAUGCAGGCAUAAUUGAUAACCUCCCGAAUUGGUUUUGGAGCGUGGUUUCAAAUGUUCAGUAUUUGAACAUCUCUCAUAACCAAAUAAGUGGCAGGUUGCCAAGGACGCUUGAGUUUAUGCCCUCAGCAGUGAUAUUUGAUCUGAAUUCCAACAACCUCACUCGUAUUCUACCGUUGUUGCCAAGGCAAUUGGCAGAACUGGACAUUUCCAGAAACUCUUUAUCGGGGCCACUGCCAUGAAACUUUGGAGCACCGUUGCUUGAAGAGCUGUUGCUUUUUGACAACAAUAUCAAUGGCACGAUUCCAACAUAUAUUUGUCAGCUGCAGUUAUUAUCCGUACUGGAUUUAGCAAAGAACCUCCUAGCAGGACACCUCCCCCUCUGUUCAGAAGAAACUAAAAAACUGAAUAGAUCCAUGAAAGCUCUAGUCCUGAAUGAGAACAAUUUGUCUGGUGAAUUCCCUUCAUUUUUGGAGAGCUUCUCAAAGUUGGUUAUACUUGAUCUUGCGCACAACAACUUUGUCGGGGAGUUGCCGGCAUGGUUAGGAAACAAAUUGCCAGAUUUGUCCUACCUCCGGUUGCGGCAUAAUAAAUUCUCUGGCUCUAUUCCAGGACAGCUCACACAGCUUGAACACCUACAAUAUUUGGACCUUGCAGAUAACCGAAUAUCAGGAUCUAUACCUCAUUCAUUGGCCAACUUAAAAGAAAUGAUACAGGAGGACCAAACACUUGGGAACCCCUUAGUGUGGAGUUAUGAAAGGCCAGCAAACCCUGACACGGAUGAUUCACCGAAAUAUGAUGACAACUUAGCAGUGGUAAUGAAAGGCCAAGACCUUCAUUACACCAGAAAUAUGAUUUACAUAGUUGGCCUCGACUUGUCCUGCAACAGUUUGGUCGGAGAGAUUCCAGGUGAAUUGACUUCCCUGGUUAGAAUGAAUAACCUGAACAUCUCCCAUAAUCAGUUGUCCGGUAGGAUCCCGGAGAAGGUCGGUUCGCUACAGUCAUUGGAGUCUCUCGACCUGUCCUUCAAUGAACUCUCUGGCGUGAUCCCUUCCGGUCUCUCGAACAUCACAUUGUAUAGCAGGCUGAACCUGUCAUACAAUAACCUUUCAGGAAGAAUACCCCCGGGGGAUCAGCUAUAAUCGCUCAUCAAUCCAGCAUCAUCAUAUAUCGGCAACAACCAUCUAUGUGGACCUCCUCUUUCCAGGAACUGCUGGGAGCCUGAUGUAACUAGAGGUGAUAUUGAGGAGCAUCAAAACGAGGCGAAGUAUUUCUAUCUUGGGCUGGCUGCAGGAUUUGUCUUUGGUCUCUGGCUGGUGUUCAUUAUCUUCUUGUUUCGUGUGUGUGGUGGGUUCGCAAUGUGCAGAGCAGUGCCAUCACGCUGGGCACGACUGCCUGAAGCUGAAGGAUUGGCGCUGCAGCUUCGUCGUGGGUGAAACCAAGACCGGUGAAGCUCACGCAGCUGAACCUAGCAUUGCUGGUGCUGGAACUAGUCUUGGUACUAUGCUACUGCAUGAUGUUGUGAUUUGGAAAGUUUGGAAAAUACGGACAAUUAAAAGACUGUAAGCCACACCUUUUUCUAAAAUAAUGAAGAUUGUACUGUUUGUAUUUAUGAUUUCAAAGUUGUCUAGAUUGUUUUAGAUGGUGGUGUUGUAUAAAUUGUUUUUUUGGGGUAAUAUAGUACUGCAUGAUGUUGUUUAAACUGUUUUAGACGGUGUUGUUGUCUAAAUUGUUUUAAAGUAUGAAGAAGCCAUUCCCCCCCUUUUGCUAUUUUGUAUCUCUAUGUGUUACAUUGAACAAAACAAAUACCUUCCUUUUUGGAAAAUUUGUGUACCCGCAUAAAUAAUCUGGGAAACAAAGGCGACAUUUUCUAACUUUUGCCCUAGUUGUGUGAUGAAGAAACUUAGUACCCGUCGUAGCUAGCUACAUCAUGAAGAUGCAUAUGUUUCAUCUAGCGAGGUUGGACCAAUCCAUACUCUAUAUAUGUUGAUGCAUAUGUUUCAUCCCGAGACGAGCACCGACUCUUGAACUAGUACAUUUAAAUGGCGUCGAACUCUAUACUUGUUGACUCCAGUGCAGUUUUCAUAUGAAGUGCAGUUUUCAUAUGAANNNNNNNNNNNNNNNNNNNNNNNNNNNNNNNNNNNNNNNNNNNNNNNNNNNNNNNNNNNNNNNNNNNNNNNNNNNNNNNNNNNNNNNNNNNNNNNNNNNNNNNNNNNNNGCAGUUUUCAUAUGAACAUACGUGUCGAGGGAACAGCGCGCGGUCUUCGUUCUGGAAAGGAGAUAAACUAAACAAUAUGUUUGAGAAUUGAGAUUAGAGAUCAGACGGAGAUCGAUCAACGGUUGACUGCUUGCUUGCUGCCACCUCCUCCUGCUGUCCAAAUUAAACAACAAGCCACGCAACUACAGUUUGAUUAGUACUCCGUUUCACACCCAGAUGAUCCAGGAGAAUUGAGUGCAAGUUUGCCUUCCCUUGUGUGUAUAUAUGGCUCGUAUGUAAGUACACACACAACACAAUUAACUGUUCCAACAGCUAGAUGGUCGCAUAAUACACGCUUGUGAAAAAAUAAGGGGGCUACACAAUACAACUACAUACGCACGCAUACAUGGGUUGGUCACUGCCUCCAGGUAAGAAUUUCUUCUCGGCCUAGCUUGCGACCUUGUUCAUGUUGAGCUGUUCUUCAUGUAAAAAAGAACACACUCCAACCAUUUAUUUCUGUAGAGAGUUGCCCCCUUGCAGUUGCAUGUAGAUCUUUUGCUUUUUGGUUGCUCAAUUCUUAGUAAACACAAUCCAUGAGUUUAUUUUGCGGAGCAGUAGUUUCCAUUUAGCCUAUGGAUAUUAUUUUUCUUGAAACGGAUUUAGGCUAUAUGCAUAUAGAACAUGUAAAAUAUUCUUCAAAUGUUAAUGUUAUUUAAGAAAAGUUGUUGCUGCAUGUUCAAAGGUUGUUAUUGUCAUGUGAAGGCUCUUUAAGCAACCAAGAAUUUAGGACGCACAAAAAAUUGAGUUUACAUGAAACUUUCACCUAUUUCAUCGCACCAUCAUACUAUUAAGCUUGAUGAUAGCUUCUCAGAACCCCCCCCCCGCCNNNNNNNNNNNNNNNNNNNNNNNNNNNNNNNNNNNNNNNNNNNNNNNNNNNNNNNNNNNNNNNNNNNNNNNNNNNNNNNNNNNNNNNNNNNNNNNNNNNNNNNNNNNNNNNNNNNNNNNCCCCCCCCUCAUGCGAAAUAGCAAUAUUCACAUUUUAUACACCCGAGGGAUAUUCGAGCAUGAACUUCACCCCUUGCUCCCCGAGGUUAAUGUGCUUCCUCGGAGUCGAUAGAAGAUGGCUCCUGGUUGGUGGCUUUCGUCUUGAUCGCUGUUGGCAACUUCAACCUUGGGCAUCAUCAUGGAUUUUCAUCGUUGCCUAGCUCUUGGGAUUACUUGUACUAAAAAACAUUCUUCAUUUUAUACAUGUGGAUACUACGUGACAUGAGUCGAAUUUCUAUUGAGUUGUGUUACUUUGAACUGACAAUAAUUUUAAGUUAUUGAUACCACAUGGCAUAUAUACGUGGUGACUAAUCCCAAAAUUGAUAAUUUUAAAUAAGGUGCUUCCAUCAUCGAAAAUAUACUUUCCAUGCCACGACUUUUGACUUGUGAAUAAUUUUUUCUAAAAGGGCUAUCAUACAUGCCAACUUUUCUGAAAUGAACUGAAAAGACAACAGAACAAAGGUAUCGUAGACAACAUAACAAAAGAACAUCAACCAAGAAAAAUAAUUACAAUCCUUUUGAUACCAUAUCAUAUAUAUACGCGGUGAGACCACUAGAAACUACUUACGAAUCGAAAUGAAUGAUUUUACUUUUUAAAAUAUGUAUACGUACAUUCAUAUAUGGUCCGUCAGUGAAACCUUUAAAAACACUUAGUAUUAAUAAUUGGUUUCUAUCAUCACGGAUAUUCUUUCAAUGCCACUUCUUUUGACUUGCCAACAAAAAGUUCUAAAAUGGCUUUGCUGAAAUGACCAAUAUACNNNNNNNNNNNNNNNNNNNNNNNNNNNNNNNNNNNNNNNNNNNNNNNNNNNNNNNNNNNNNNNNNNNNNNNNNNNNNNNNNNNNNNNNNNNNNNNNNNNNNNNGAAAUGACCAAUAUACCCCGCAGACUAGUCUCCCCUCCAUCCCUUUCCGAAUCCCCGGACCUGAGGAACAAGCCCUGGCCCCGCCGCCCCGCACGGCCGUCGCCGGCGAGAUGUCUGAAGCCGACGGAGUUCCGCCGCCUGGCGCACCACCAGCCAGUGCUCGUCCGCCUCUGUCCGAUCCCCACGGCCGGCGGUCUGGUUCCUCCGGUUGCCGCCGUCGCCGCCACGUGGGGUUCGCGUGUCUGGCACUACCGGCAGGCACCGCUUACUCCGGCUUCGUAUCCGCGGCCAUUUUCCGCCGCCAAAUGACAGAUAUGUUGUAUUUGGCAUUUUCCUUUUUGUGGAGCCAAAUGACAGAUAUCUACUUCCUCCGUUCUUAAAUAUAAGACCUUUUAGAGAUUGUACUAUAAACUACAUACGGAUGUACAUAAACAUAUUUUAGAGUAUAGAUUCACUCAUUUUGUUCCGUAUGUAGUCUUCUAGUGAAAUACCUAAAAGGUCUUAUAUUUUGGUACGGAGGGAGUAUUACUAUAACAUGCAUAUGGGCUCAGAUAGAUCGGUAUGUACAUGAUACAUUGUCUCCCUUGGUCCCUACAGGUCAGAAGCUCUUACUACUUGUCGCUGCCACGCUGAUCCUGCAGCAUAGUACCACCGUUUAUGGGUCUGGGUCUUCAGGGAGCAUCAACAUGGCACGGCCUGGCUGCCCAGACAGGUGUGGUAACGUCAGCAUCCCGUACCCGUUCGGCACUGGAAAGGGCUGCUUCCAAGAACCCUUCAGUGUUACAUGCAAUGAGAGCAGGGCAUAUCUGGCCUCAACCGGAGUUAGGGUACUAGACAUCAACCUUACCUUUGGUGAGGUUCGUGUUCAGAACCCAAAGAUAGCAUCGCAAUGCAACUACACCAACGGCACCAACAGCACCAGUUUGGCUGGCUUAAGUCUUGAUCCUUUUCAUACGGUUUCCAACACCAAGAACAAGUUGAUAUCGAUCGGGUGUAGUAUGCUUGGAAUGAUCGUAGGAGUGACCAAGGGCAAGAACCAGCUUGAGUUACCCAUUGUCAACUCAUGCUUUUCAUACUGCACUGACGCAAGUAGCGUCGACGAUAGCACAGAGUGCGCUGGCAUGGGUUGCUGCCAGACCCCCCUUCCAGGAAACAUCAGCUCCUUCAACACCACAUCUACGCCAGUACCAACUGUAUACAACGCUACCAUCCAGUCUUUCAGCCCAUGCAGCUACUCAUUCAUCGCUGAGGUGGACUCGUUCAAGUUUGAUCGUUCAUAUGCCAGCUCUACAAAUUUCAGAACUAAAUAUACGGAGGGGUUUCCUUUGGUACUUGAUUGGGUUGUUGGUAAUGGAAGUUGUUCAGAAGCUACCAGGAUUGGGUCACAGAAUGCCUGCCAAGCCGUGAAUAGCGAAUGCAUUAAUGUGUCCAAUGGCCCUGGUUACCGCUGCAACUGCGCUCAAGGUUAUGCGGGUAAUCCUUACCUACAAGGAGGAUGCCGAGGUAUGCACAUGCAUCUCGCAAAAUCAACCUAUAAUUUCUUCUUUAUGUCCACUAUUUUUGUGGGGAAUUUCUCCUCUAUAUCAGCUUUAUUGCUCUUGGAAUGUGAUAUUCAUGUUGACGUUCUCCUCACCUCCUUGAAAUGACAGACAUCAAUGAGUGCGAACAUCCAAACAUGCCCUUGUAUCCUUGCAAAGGUAAUUGCAGAAACACUGAUGGGAGCUACACCUGUUCGUGCCCAUCAGGAUUCAGGAGCGAUGAUCCAAAAAGUAUACCCUGUGUUCGAGCUGACUCAAACAAAGCUCUGAAGGUGGCCUUAGGUAUGGGUUAUAACUUAUAAGCAACCAAAAUAUUUUGCACACCAAUUGUUCACACAUUGCUUGAUAAAAAACAGAAAGCUUUUUUGUGCUUCUUUAUGCCGGCCAUAUAAGUCUGAGCAGAGUACAGUUUGUGCAGAUGUCAUGUAGUAAAGCAAUCGUGAGAUGGCACAAUAUGUGUAUUUUUUAGCCAAUGUGGACAAUGUCUCUAGUUGAACUGAUGUAACCGCCAUGAUUUUCAGGCACAUCCGCUGGUGUAGUCUUCCUCAUAGUUUGCGUGUUUGCUCUACGGGCUGAGUAUCAGAAAAGGAAGCUGGCAAAAGAGAAGGAAAGAUUCUUCGAACAGAAUGGUGGUCAGAUAUUGUACCAUGAAAUUAUGUCAAAACAAGUCGAUACAUUGAAGAUAUUCACGCAGGAAGAUCUGAAGAAGGCUACAAGCGGUUUUGACGAGAGCAGAGAAGUGGGCAAGGGGGGUCACGGCACAGUGUACAAGGGCAUUCUUAAGGAUAGCAAGGAAGUAGCCGUGAAGCGCUCAAAGAUCAUGAACGUGGCCGAAACUGACGAAUUUGUGCACGAGAUUAUCAUCCUUUCACAGAUCAACCACCGGAAUGUGGUCAGGCUUCUAGGGUGCUGCUUAGAGGUGGAAGUUCCGAUGCUGGUCUAUGAAUUCAUCCCUAAUGGCACUCUCUUUCAGUUUAUCCAUCGUAACUACGGAAGUCCACCUCCCUCGCUGGACACCCGUCUCAGGGUCGCACAGGAAUCCGCUGAAGCACUGGCGUAUCUGCAUCUGUCCAUGAACCAACCUAUAGUACACGGAGAUGUCAAGUCUAUGAACAUUCUCUUGGACGAGAACUACAUGGCGAAAGUGACCGACUUUGGGGCGUCAAGGAUGCUCCCCAAGGACGAGGUUCAGUUCAUGACAUUAGUGCAGGGCACCAUGGGCUACCUGGACCCUGAGUACAUGCAGGAGAGGAAGCUAACAGAGAAGAGCGAUGUUUACAGCUUUGGCGUCGUGCUUCUGGAACUGAUCACGGGGAAAACAGCCAUUUACCACGACGGCCCCAAGGAAGCCAAGAACCUCGCAUCGUCCUUCCUGCUCGCGAUGAAGGAUGGGAGCCUUGAUGACAUCCUGGACGCGAGCAUAGUGGGCGACGGGAUGGAGACGCUGCUGGGAGAAGUCGCCGAGAUGGCGAGUAUGUGCUUGAGCACCAGGGGGAAAGAGAGACCUUCCAUGACCCAGGUGGCUGACAAGCUGAAGGCUCUGCGAAGCACNNNNNNNNNNNNNNNNNNNNNNNNNNNNNNNNNNNNNNNNNNNNNNNNNNNNNNNNNNNNNNNNNNNNNNNNNNNNNNNNNNNNNNNNNNNNNNNNNNNNNNNNNNNNNNNNNNAGGCUCUGCGAAGCACGUGGAUGGAGAAACUGGUGCUCGAGCAUGGGAAAAUAGAUCGUCUGGUCGCUGGCUCCUCGCCUGCAGAUUUAAUGCUUUGCGUUCCUCCGUCGCCGAGCGUGUUUUCGACUGGGGCCCAGAUAUCUGAAGUAGGUAUAGAGACACCCAGAUGAUAGUUUCAGAUGAUUGUUAAUUUGUUACACGAGUAAUGCUACACCUACAAAGGCUUACGUAAAGAUUUUACGUAUAAACUGAUGUGUAAGAUUGUGAUUGGUAAUUGAGGGAUGAGGGGCCCCACCCCCACUGAAAAUCAGGGGGGGGCNNNNNNNNNNNNNNNNNNNNNNNNNNNNNNNNNNNNNNNNNNNNNNNNNNNNNNNNNNNNNNNNNNNNNNNNNNNNNNNNNNNNNNNNNNNNNNNNNNNNNNNNNNNNNNNNNNNNNNNNNNNGGGGGGGGGGGGGGGGAGAGAAGAGUUAGUUUGGAAGGUUAAGUAAAUCUUUAUAAGUUUUUGUAGGUCUAGCAUUUUUGUUUGUUACACCAUGCCAAGAGUAUGGCUUGCGGUAUGCUGUCCACAUUUUGUCCUGUAUUUGUGGUACCAAGUACUAUUAUUAGUGUAGAAGUAGGUAUUGGUUAUUGCAACGUAUAUGCCCUAUGUUUGUUACGGAAUAUUUGACCUUUGUUUCUUGUGUCUUGUUGCUUUUCAUUCAUGUCAUUCCGCGAUUGCUCUGCAAUUAUUUUGAAAUUUUGACCUUAGUUUUGACUUUUGAAAUUUUGAAAUUCAAAUAAGUUGUGCCGGAAUGAAAAGGGCAAUUACUACAAAAGGAAGCAAAUGUCAGGUACUCCCAUGCAUUUUUAAAGAAUGAGAACAGAGGGGAGACUCCCUCGUCUCGUCUUAUUCUUAUAGGAGAUGAGAAGAUUUGAACCGGGGCCGGCGACAACAACCUUUGUGUUGUCUAUCACUCCAUCCAGAAGAGCUUCUUGCUCCCAUCUACUUGCUCUGUUUCUAAACAUAAACCUUUUCAGAGAUUUUACUAUAGACUACAUACGAAACAAAAAAUAUAUAUACUCUAAAGUAUGNNNNNNNNNNNNNNNNNNNNNNNNNNNNNNNNNNNNNNNNNNNNNNNNNNNNNNNNNNNNNNNNNNNNNNNNNNNNNNNNNNNNNNNNNNNNNNNNNNNNUGAAUGGAACUAACCUAGACUGACGCUGUUUUCAGCAUAAUUGCCUUGGUGUUAUUUUUGUGCAGAAAUCAAAGUUCUCCAAACGUCCUGAAAAUUUACGGGGAGCAGUUUUGAAAAAUAUCAAAAAUAUCUGCGCCAAGUUCCACCUCAGGGGGUGGGCCAGUGGGCCACAAGCCCCUGCUCCGCCACCACCCCCUGGUGGCGGUGGGCAGGCUUGUGGGGCCCACACACACCUGCCGCCCCCAGCUCCAGCUCUAUAAGUUGUCUUUCGUCCCAGAAAAAAUAAAAAGAGAAGUUUUCGUCGCGUUUUCGAUACGGAGGCGCCGCCACCACCUGUUUUUCAUCUGGAGGGCAGAUCUGGAAUCCGUCUUGGGCUCCGGAGAGGGGAAAUCGUCGCCAUCAUCAUCAUCAACCUUCUUCCCUCUCCAAUUCCAUGAAGCUCUUCGUCGUUCGUGAGUAAUCUAUUCGUAGGCUCGCUGGGUGGUGAUGAGUAGGAUGAGAUCUAUCAUGUAAUCGAGUUAGUUUUGAUGGGGAUUGAUCCCUAGUAUCCACUAUGUUUUGAGAUUGAUGUUGCUACUACUUUGCCAGGCUUAAUGCUUGUCACUAGGGCCCGAGUGCCAUGAUUUCAGAUCUGAAAUUAUUAUGUUGUCACCAAUAUAUGUGUGUUUUAGAUCCGAUCUUCCAAGUUGUAGUUACCUACUAUGUGUUAUGAUCCGGCAACCCCGGAGUGACAAUAACCGGAACCACUCCCGGUGAUGACCAUAGUUUGAGGAGUUCAUGUGUUCACCAAGUGGUAAUGUGCUGGUCCGGUUCUUUAUUAAAAGGAGAACCUUAAUAUCCCGUAGUUUCCUUUUGGACCCCGCUGCCACGGGAGGGAUGGACAAUAGAUGUCAUGCAAGUUCUUUUCCCUAAGCACGUAUGACGACACACGGAAUGCAUGCCUACAUCACAUUGACGAACGGGAGCUAGCCACAUAUCUCUCCGUGUUAUAGCUGUUGCAUGAUGAAUAUCAUCCAAACAAAUCACCGACCCAUUGCCUACGAGUUUGUCCUACUACUGUUGUUACUUGUCUUGCUCUGCUGCUGCUACUACUGUUGCUACUGCUGUUACUUGUCUUGCUCUGCUGCUGCUACUAUUGUUGCUACCGUUGUUACUUGUUUUGCUCUGCUGCUACUGCUACUACUGUUGCUUGCUACUGUUGCUACUUGCUACUGCUGUCACUACUGUUGUUCCUUGCCACUGCUAUUGCUCGUUACACUGCCGUUACUCGUUACUUUGGUGUUACUAUUGUGCUUGCAGAUAUUAAUCUUUCAGGUGUGGUUGAAUCUGACAAAUUCAGCUGCUAAUACUUGAGAAUAUACUCUCACCUCCUGAGGCGAUCUACAAAUUUGGGUCGAAUACUCUACCCUCGAAAACUGCUGCGAACCCACGCGUUGGUGGGCCUUCAACAACAUUCUUCCAGUUUCAUUGUUGGGGAGUGCUAUCAGCAUUCUUCUGGUGCCGUUGCAGGAGAAGUUUUGUUGUUAUAAGCAUUCGUCUAGCUAACACCAGAGAUUGCGCAGAUCAGCAUUUUUCUGGCGCCGUUGCUGGGGAGGUAUUGCUACAUUCUCUGAGUCACUUGGGAUUUAUAUCUGCUGAUCAGUAUGAAGAAUCUGAAGGAUCCGAAGACCAAAGUCUUGCCCUCAACUACGAGGGGAGGUAAGGAAUUGCCAUCUAGCUUUGCACUUGAUUCACCUUCAGUUAUGAGUAAGUUUGCGACAUCACCUCCUGCUAGAAAUCUUGAUAUGGCGUGUGUGCUUGAUGAUGCUUGUGAUACUACUGCUAGAGAUGCUAUGCUUGAUACUAUGCCUGAUGAUGUUAUGCUUGAUACUAUGCCUGAUACUGCUAGAGAUGCUAUGCUUGACACUGCUAGAGAUGCUAUGCCUGAUACUGCUAGAGAUGUAUGCCUGAUACUGCUUUGCCUGAUGAUGCUAGAGAUGCUAUCUUGCCUGAUGAUGCUAUGCUUGAUACUGCUAGAGAUACUCCUUUGCCUGAUGUUCCACUAGGAGUGUUCCUUGAUGCUCAUAUUGCUAGAGUUACUGCCAAUGCUCGUGAUGCUUCUGAUACUGCCGAUACUAUUGAGAUAGAACCUGCUUUUGCUCCUGCUAGAUCUAGCUCUCCUAGAUAUGAAUUGCCUGUUAUACCUAAGGGUUACAUUAUGGAGGGAGAGAUAGCUGAGGAUUUUCUUGCGUGUAAGGAUGCCUAUGACGCUGAGAAAUUAACUCAAGUGGAAGGAAAAAUCUCGUGAAGCUAGGAUGAAAAAUGACCCGAAGUUUGCCACUUCGCCUAUCUUUGUCACCGAUAAGGAUUAUGAAUUCUCUGUCGACCCUGAGAUAAUCUCUCUAGUCGAAUCUGAUCCUUUUCAUGGUUAUGAGUCUGAGACGGUCAUAGCCCAUCUUGCCAAACUAUCCGAAAUAGCCAACCUUUUCACUAAUGAGGAGAAGACCCGCCACUACUAUAUCCUUAAGUUGUUUCCUUUCUCACUAAAGGAUGACGCUAAAGCCUGGUUCACCUCUCUUGCUCUUGGAUGUGUGCGUAGUCCCCAGGAGAUGGUCUAUUACUUCUGUGAGAAAUAUUUCCCUGCCCAUAAGAACCAAGCUGCCUUGCAGGAAAUAUACAACUUUGCUCAACUCCAAGAAGAGAGUCUUCCACAAGCUUGGGGGAGGCUAGUCCAGCUAUAGAAUGCUUUGCCUGAUCACCCUCUUAAGAAGAACGAGAUACUUGAUAUCCUCUAUAACGGACUUACCGAUGCCUCUAGAGACUACCUAGAUAGUUGUGCCGGUUGUGUUUUUAGGGAACGAACUGUAGAACAAGCUGAGACUCUACUGAAUAACCUCUUGAUCAACGAUAAUGCUUGGACUAUUCCCGAACCACCUCCUGAGCCAACUCCUAAGAAAAGCGGUAUUCUAUUUCCUCAGUCCCGAAGAUAUGCAAGAAGCCAAGAAAUCUAUGCAAGAGAAAGGCAUUAGAUCUGAAGAUGUCAAAAAUCUACCACCUAUCGAAGAGACCCAUGGUCUCGAUAACCCGGUACAGGUAGUAGAAGUGAAUUCUCUGCGUAGGUUUGAUGAGAGUGAUAUUCCUUUUGAUAAACCUGCUAGCCUAUGCUUUGAUGAAUUUGGCAACUUUGUUGCCAAACAACAGAGUUACAAUGAUUAUGUUAGCAGACAUUUGGAACAAAGUGCUCGUAUGCUUAGCCAUCUAAGUGCUUGUGUAGACAGAAAUGUCAAUGCUCUGAAGCUUCUGAGUAAACAUGCCUCUAUGAUUACUACUCAGGUAGAACAAGUACUUAAAGCUCAGAAUGACCUGCUCAAUGAACUAAAUGACAACUCUAUCAAAGUCAUUACUAGAGGAGGCAAAAUGACUCAGGAACCUUUGUAUCCUGAAGGUCAUCCUAAGAGAAUUGAUCAAGAUUCUCAAGGAAUCAAUGCUGAUACACCUAGUCAUCCUAAGGAGAAGAAGAAGGAUGAUAGAAACCUGCACGCCAGUUCACCAAAUAUUGUCACACCUGAAGAACCUAAUGAUAUUUCUGUGUCUGAUGCGGAAACACAAUCAGGUGAUGAACAUGAACCUGGUGACAAUAUGGACAGUGAUGUUCAUAAUAGUGCUCAACCUAGCCAUGAUGAGGAUAUGGAGAUUGAACCUAUGGUUAAUCCUGAUAAUCCACAACCUAAGAGAUACGACAAGAAUAACUUCACUGCUAGGAAGCAUGGUAAAGAAAGAGAGCCAUGGGUUUAGAGACCUAUGCCCUUUCCUCCUAAGCCAUCCAAGAAAAAGGAUGAUGAGGAUUUUGAGCGCUUCGUUGAGAUGAUAAGACCCGUCUUUCUGCAGAUGCGGUUAACUGAUAUGCUCAAGAUGUCUCCGUAUGCCAAGUACAUGAAAGAUAUCGUGACUAAUAAACGGAAGAUACCAGAUCUUGAGAUCUCCACCAUGCUUGCCAACUACACUUUUAAAGGUGGAACUCCUAAGAAACUUGGUGAUCCCGGAGUGCCCACUAUACCUUGCUCCAUUAAAGGAAACUACGUAAGAACUGCCAUAUGUGACCUUGGAGCCGAUGUUAGUGUUAUGCCACUCUCUCUUUAUCGUAGACUUGAGUUGGAUAAGUUGACGCCCACUGAAAUUUCUCUGCAAAUGACCGACAAAUCAACUGCUUUCCCUAUCGGCGUUUGCGAGGAUGUGCCUGUUGUGGUUGCUAAUACCACUAUCUUAACAUACUUUGUUAUCUUGGAUAUUCCCGAGGACGAUGCCAUGGCUAUUAUCCUCGGAAGACCCUUUUUAAACACUGCAGGGGCUGUUAUAGAUUGCAACAAAGGCAAUGUCACUUUCCAUGUCAACGGUAAUGAGCACACAGUGCACUUUCCGAAGAAACGAUAUCCAUUACAUUGCAUCAAUGCUAUCGAAAAGACUUCAUCGAUUCUCAUUGGGAGCUUUGAAUACCCUAUUCCUCGUGUCAAGAUGAAGUAUGAUUUGCUUGUUGGGGAGAUCCAUAUCCCCAUUGAGGUGACUUAGUGGCUAUUCGAAAAUUCUCCGUUCUCUCUUGCGAUUCGAGAAGGUUUUGUCAUAAGGAUUUGAUCAACCCCAUUGACGAAUUUCUUCCGAUAACCAUGAAACGGAUGAAUCAGAGAGUCACAUACCUCUGUUUUGAGUUUUCCUUUUCUGUUGCUUAGAAGAAAAAUGAUAGAAUUAGUUUAGUUUUUCCUGCUUUCUGUUUUAGCAUCCCGGAGAAAAAUACCUCGAAAAUAGAAGUUCUCCGAUGGUCCUGAAAAUUUAGUAUGAUUUUUUCUGGAAUUUUUGAAAAUUUCUAGGCCUGAGAGCUGGCCAGGGGGCCUGACCAGUGGGCCACAAGCCCCCCCCCACCACCUACCCCCCUGGUGGUGGGGUGCAAGCUUGUGGGGCCCACAGGCACCCCCUCCACUCAUUCCAGCUCCCAGCCUCUUCUUCCACCUCCAGAAAAAAUUGUUUCGCAGCUCAAACCCGUGUUCUUGCUCAUUUGGCUGUAAUUAUCGAUCUCUUUGAUCAAAGCACCAUUCUCCGAACCGUUUUGGGGAAAUUACUCCUUGGUAAGUGACUCCUCCAUUGGUCCAAUUAGUUUUUGCUCUAGUGCUUUAUCCUUCGCGAAUUCUUGCUACCUUGGUGACCCUGUUCUUGAGCUAGAAAUGUUGAUUUUAAUUGGUCCCAAGUAGUUUUAGCGCGUGAUACGGUCUCUAGGCACUAGUAGGAGUAGUUGCUACAAGUUGGGUUAAUCCUUAUUCACUUUUCUUUCGAAGUCUCUAAAAUUUUCAGAAUUUUUCAGAGCUAGAAAAAGGAAAAGAUGAGGAGGUUCUUGAGAGGCUCUUCAAGCCGUAACCACAAGGAGGAUGAGAAGAAUCACCCCAAGUACGUAGUCCCUCGAGUCACAGAAGUUCGAGCGUGCGAGUGGCCUAGUGAUGAAUUUUUGCGCGCUGUCGGACUUUAUGAAGACUUCUAUUACUUGGUGGAGAACGCAGGUCUUACUGCGUUCGUUGAAGAUAAGUGCCCACAAUAUCUCCUCCUCACCAAUAUUUUUGUUCAAAGCUUCAACUUUUAUCCGAGGAAGAAUCCUCCCAUGGUUGAGUUCAUGAUAUACGAUGUCCCCCAGUGCAUGACGCUGCAGGAUUUUUGCAAUGUAUGCAAAUUACCUUAUGUUGGCGAUAUCCGUGACCCUCGUCCACGGGACUUGGAGGAUUUCAUUGGUUCUAUUGCUGUUAGAGAGGAGAGAGGAGUGUCUCGCGCUAGAAUUGCUAGCAUACAUUUUCCUGUGCUUCGGUACUUCUCACUAUUUGUGGGAAAAUGUUUGAUUGGCCGUGGGGAGGAUGGAUCACUUAGUUCUUCAGACCUUGCGGUUUUGCGCGAAGGCCUUUAUAAUGAUAAGAAUUAUAGCCUGGGCGCUAUAGUAGCUCAACGGUUGAACCUGAACCGUUCUAAAGGUGUUGUCUAUGGAGGUAUCUAUGCUACCCGUCUUGCCAAACAGUUUGAGAUACCCAUUAGACUGGGAGAGGAAGGAGAGAUGCUCCUCCCUGAGAGAUAUCUGGAUUAUGAUAGCAUGGUUCGCCAUGAUUUUCUAGAUAGAGAUGCUAGUAGACGGAUGAUUUAUAACCUGGUGUUUAGUCAAGGUACUCGAGAGACUAUUACUUUGCCUGCUCCUUCUUUGUUUGAUCUUCAUGCAGGUAGGUACACUAUUAUGCCCGCGAAUAUCUACGCAUAUUGGGGCUUGGCCCAACCACAGGCGCCCGUGCCGGAGCCGCUAGUCGAGUACCAGACGCCAGUUUAUCAGUGGGAGACAGAGGAGCUCACACAGCAGUGGCAUCCACAGUCUGCUCCGGAGUAUCCUGGAGCUGGUUAUUUCCCACCAUGGGAGUAGAACAAGCUAGGCCAAAAGCCUAAGCUUGGGGGAGUACGUGUUCUCACUGACUUUACAUUCAUGCUUAUGCUUUCACUUUGUUAGCCGGUGUUUACACUUUGCCACUGUAUUAUCCAUGCUAGUUUCUUUUCGUUUUCUUGUUUUCUUGUUUUGUGUCCUUUUGAUAAAACCCAAAAAUAUUUUUCUUUCUUCUUUUGCUUGUUGGGAGCUUUCCCGUGUAAAUAGCUUUCCUUUUCUUUGUGUCAAGGUAGAAGAUAUUGGUUACAAUGUUUAGUGGUUCUUACAUGCUUACCUAUUUAGCUUUCAAAGAGCCAUAUUAUUUUGUCUUCUCCUUUGUGUUUGCCUGCAGAUUCAGCUUAGUCCAAUGCGCUUAUUAUCAUUUUCAUCAUUCGAUCGUGCAAAUGAAAGGCAACAAUGAUGAUAUAUGAUGAAGUGACUGAGAUUGAACUCUAUCUAUUUUGUUUUUGUAAAUAUGACUAGCUUGUCGACCCAGAUUUAGCUUUGCUGUGAGAGAACCAUGUUUGCAAUGACAACUUAGAGAUCAUAGUUUCUGAUGCCAUGCUUAUUUAGCUGAGAGCUUAUAAUGGUUUGUCUUGAUUGCCAACAUAGAUUUUGAGAUGACUGUGAUGUAGUAUGAUAGGAUGGUAUUCUCCUUUGAAUGUUUCAAGUGGCUUGACUUGGUGCAUGUUCAUGCAUGUAGUUGAAACAAAAUCAACAUAGCCUCUAUGAUGUUCGUGUUCAUGGUGAUUUAUAUCCUGUUCAUGCUUGCAUUCAAUGUUAGUCAAACUCAUUGCAUCUUGAUGACUGUUGUCGCUCUCUAGUUGGUCGCUUCCUAGUCUUUUGCUAGCCUUCACUUGUACUAAGCAGGAAUACUGCUUGUGCAUCCACUCCCAUAAACCCAAAAGUUUUUCCAUGAGAGUCCACCAUACCUACCUAUUUGCGGUAUCUACCUGCCGUUCCAAGUAAAUUUGCAUGUGCCACUCUCUAAACCUUCAAGAAAUAAAUCUGUUUUGCAUGCCCGAACCGCUCAUGUGGUGACAGAGGGCUAUUGGUAUCUUCCAUGCUAGGAGUGUUAUCCUCAACAUGUGUUUAUUCACACUCAUUCACGAAAAAGGGGCCGGUAUUUGGGAUGCCCAGUUCCAUGCUUAAAUCAAAAACAUAACUGUAAAACAAGACUCCCCCGGAUUUGUUGGAAAUAUGCCCUAGAGGCAAUAAUAAAAUUGUUAUUAUCAGAUUUCCUUGUUCAUGAUAAUCGUCUAUUUUUCAUGCUAUAAUUGUAUUAACAGGAAACAGUAAUACAUGUGUGAAUAAAUAGAUCACAAUGUGUUCCUAGCAAGCCUCUAGUUGACUAGCUCGUUAGUCAAUAGAUGAUCAUGGUUUCCUGAUCAUGGGCAUUAGAUGUCAUUGAUAACGGGAUCACAUCAUUGGGAGAAUGAUGUGAUGGACAAGACCCAAUCCUAAGCAUAGCACUAGAUCGUAUUGUUCGUAUGCUAAAGCUUUUCUAAUGUCAAGUGUCUUUUUCUUCGACCGUUAGAUUGUGCAACUCCCGGAUACCGUAGGGAUGCUUUGGGUGUAUCAAACGUCACAACGUAACUGGGUGACUAUAAAGGUGCACUACAGGUACCUCCGAAAGUGUCUGUUGGGUUGGUACGAAUCGAGAUCGGGAUUUGUCACUCCAUGUGACGGAGAGGUAUCUCUGGGCCCACUCGGUAGAACAUCAUCAUGAGCUCAAUGUGACUAAGGAGUUAGUCACACGAUGAUGUGCUACGGAACGAGUAAAGAGACUUACCGGUAACGAGAUUGAACAAGGUAUAGGUAUACCGACGAUCGAAUCUCGGGCAAGUUCUAUACCGACAGACAAAGGGAAUAGUAUACGGGAUUGAUUGAAUCCUUGACAUCGUGGUUCAUCCGAUGAGAUCAUCAUGGAGCAAGUGGGAGCCACAAUGGGUAUCCAGACCCCGCUGAUGGUUAUUGGCCGGAGAGGUGUCUCGGUCAUGUGUGCCUGUCUCCCGAACCCGUAGGGUCUACACACUUAAGGUUUGAUGACGCUAGGGUUAUAGGGAAUUGUUAUACGAGGUUAUCAAAAGUUGUUCGGAGUCCCAGAUGAGAUCCCGGACGUCACGAGGAGCUCCGGAAUGGUCCAGAGGUAAAGAUUGAUCUAUAGGACGGAUGGUUUCGGACACCGGAAGUGUUUCUGGCAUCACCGGUAACGUACCGGGACCACCGGGACCAUUGAAGGUGGCCCCGGGGGUCCACCGAAGGGGGCAACGACCCCGGGAGGCUAGAUGGGCCAAGUGGGGAAGGGAACAAGCCCCUAGGUGGGCUGGUGCGCCCCCCCACUCAGCCCAUGGCGCAGGAAGAAGGGGAGAGGGGGGAACCCUAGCGCAGGUGGGCCUAAGGCCCACCGGAGGGGUGCGCCAGCCCUCCUCCCUGCCCUGGCCGCUGCACCUCCCAUCUCGGGGGGUUUCCGCACCACCUAGGGUAGGAACCCUAGGGGUGGCACCCCCCUCCCCUCCUCCUAUAUAUAGUGGACACUUUUGGGCUUUUGGAGAUACACUUUUCCCUCUCCCUCGAUGCAGCCCUGCCUUUCUUUCUCCCCCUCUCUGCCGGUGCUUGGCGAAGCCCUGCCAGGAGACCUCAUCUCUCCAUCGACACCACGCCGUCGUGCUGCUGGAGUUAUUCCCCCAACCUCUCCCUCCUCCUUGCUGGAUCAAGGUGCGGGAGAUGUCAUCGGGCUGCACGUGUGUUGAACGCAGAGGUGUCGUAGUUCGACACUAGAUCGGAAUCACACCGCGAUCUGAAUCGCCGCGAGUACGACUCCAUCAACCGCGUUCUAGUAGCGCUUCCGCUUAGCGAUCUUCAAAGGUAUGAAUAUGGACUCAUCCCUCUCUCGUUGCUGGUCUCUCCAUAGGAAGAUCUGAAUAUGCGUAGGAAUUUUUUUGAAUUUAUGCUACGUUACCCAACAGUGGCAUCCGAGCCAGGUUUUCUAUGCGUAGAUUCUAUGCAUGAGUAGAACACAAAAGGUUGUGCGUGAUGAUUUGUCAAUUGCUUGCCGCUACUAGUCUUAUUCUUUUCCGGCGGUAUUGUGGGAUGAAGCGGUCCGGACCGACCUUACACGUACGCUUAAGUGAGACUAGUUCCACCGACAGACAUGCACACCGUGCAUAAUGGUGGCUAGCGAGUGUCUGUAUCUUCUACUCUAGUCGGAUUGGAUUUGAUGAAAAGGGUCCUUAUGAAGGGUAAAUAGCUUUGGCAUAUCAUCGUUGUGGCUGUCACGUAGGUAAGAAAGCGUUCUUCCUAGAAACCCAAAUCAGCCACGUAAAACUUGCAACAACAAUUAGAGGACGUCUAACUUGCUUUUGCAGGGUUUGACNAAGAUGAUAAUGGCCAUAUCAUGUCACUAUAUGAUUGCAUUGUGAUGUUUAUCAUGUUUUUCAUCUUAUUGCUUAGAACGACGGUAGAAUAAUAAGAUGAUCCCUCUUAAAAUUUCGAGAACGUAUUCCCCUAAGUGUGCACCGUUGCGAAGGAUCGUUGUCUCGAAGCACCACGUGAUGAUCGGGUGUGAUAGAUUCUAACGUUCGCAUACAACGGGUGUAAGCCAGAUUUACACACGCGAAACACCUAGGUUGACUCGACGAGCUUAGCAUAUACAGACAUGACCUCGAAUACAAGAGACCGAAAGGUCGAACAUGAGUCGUAUGGUUGAAUACGAUCAGCAUGAAGUUGCUCACCAUGGUGACUAGUCUGUCUCACGUGAUGAUCGGACACGGGUUAGUCAACAUGGAUCAUGUAUCACUUAGAUGACUAGAGGGAUGUCGAUUUAAGUGGGAGUUCAUACUUAAUUUGAUUAAAUGAACUUAAGUGUCAUGAACUUAGUCUAAAAGUUGUCUUUAUAAAUAUUGUAGAUGGCCAACGUCAACCUCAAUUUCAACGCAUUCCUAGAGAAAAACAAGCUGAAAGAUGAUGGUAGCAACUAUGCGGACUAGGUUCGCAACUUGAAGCUCAUCCUUGAAGCAGCUAAAAAGGCUUAUGUCCUUGAUGCGCCGCUAGGUGACCCUCCCGCUCCCGCAGCAUCCCAGGACAUUCUGAACGUCUGGCAAACGCGGAGUGAUGACUACUCUCUGGUUAGGUGUGGUGUGACAGCCCGAUGCCGACGUUCCAGAAGCUUCCCCUUUUCUUUCCGUUUUCGUCGUGUGACUUGAUUAAUUUGUCGCGUCAUCAUCGCAUCAUGCGCAUCAUCAGCAUUGCAUCGGCACCCCGUUGCCGCCCGUUUUCAAAACUUGCAUCCGUUGUUAGUUGCUGGUUCGCGCCGUUGUCCGUUCUGAGCCCGACUGCAGUCGCACGCGCCCGCGGCACCGUCGAAACCCUGUUUUUAAAGUGCGUGUAAAACUCUCUCUGAUCGAGGUGAAACUUGGCACGUGGUCGCGAUUAGAUAUAGCUAGGCCGCCUGUCGAAUUUUGUCGCGAUCGGAGACCGUCUGGUACCCGAACCGUCGCCCGUAGCGGCACCGUAUUCGGGCUACCGUCGGACGUCUGUCGGUGUCUUUAAAUUCGUGCCGCGCCGCCCGCUCUCCCCCCGUCUCCGGUAAACCCCUCUACACGGCCGCGUACCCUUACCCGCGUUUGGAAUCGUCCGAAUCCGACCCCGCGGUUGGAUCUGGAGCGCGAUUCCGGUUAACCGAGCCCCCCGUUUGUCUAUAUAUACCCCACCAUCACAUUUAGACAGCCUCCCCCUAAUCUUGCCUCGUUUUCCGCGCCCGAAACCCUAGCCGCCCCACAGCCUCUCCUCUCUCUCCCCUGCCAGCCUCGCGGGCCCGCCAGGCCCAUCUCGGGCCCGGCCGAGCCCAUCGCCCCGCCGCCGCCGGCUCCUCUCCUUGCCCGGGUCCCCGCCGCUUGCGCCGGUGAACCACGCCUCCAGCCGCCUGCCUGGGUCAUCGCCGCCGCCUCCCUCCGGGUGCCGGCCGGAGCCGCCGGGGCCUCGCCUCCGCCUGACCUCCCUGCCUUGCCAUGCCCGUCCCCGCACGCCCCUGGCCGAUCUCGCCGCCUGCUUGCCAUACCACCUUGUGCUCGCCGCCGGCCGUCAUGUGCCUCGUCAGCCGCCGCCGCCGGGAACGGGUGGAACCUGGCCGGAUCCAACCACCGAGCCGGUCCCCUGUCGGUACCACUCGCAGCCGGAGCCUGUGGCUCCUCCGUCGUGCUCGUCGCGCGCCACCGCGGGCUCCAGAUCCGAUCGGGGCUCCUCCUCGCGCAAGCCCCGUUGACCGCACGUAGGCCGCCACCAACCGCCUGCUGGGCCCCCGAGCCGGCGCAGUUUGGCCCGCAUCAGCCGCCUCGGCCCAGCGCCUCCCCAAGGCCAGUCCGCCUCCUCUUCCACCGGGCCAGGCCUGAGGUGAUGUUUCUCCUGAGCCUCUAUUCGGCGCCCGUGCGUGUUUUAUUUAUACUGCGCUUGACCCUGCAGCCCAUCAGUUAAAGAUUAGGCCCGUUAGACAAUUAGGAUCUUUCGGAAUAUAAUAAAAUUCCAGAAAAAGACUAGAUUUCAAACGCAUGUAUCUUUUGAUCCGUGUGUCGGAUCGCAAUGUUUUUUAUAUGCUUUUCGUGUAACUUUUCGCGUAGGACCCGUUUAUAAAACUUGCAUAAUUAUUUGAGCUAGUUUAACGCGCCAAAUGCCUAGUUUUACGUGUUGUUCCGAUAGGUUUGUUGCCCGUAGUUAUUUCCACGCGUGUUGUAACACUCGAACGCCAUGAUAGAAAUGCUCGUGUUUUAGGGAUUAUUUUUGCAUGUAUUUUAGAGGGGCCAAUUGUAUUUUUACAUGUAGGGGAUUGCCGGUAGUUGUUUUUCCCGUAUAUAGGUUAUUCUCCCGCUUUAUUGUGUGGCAUCAUAUUGUGUUGCAAACCCCACAUAUUUUAUAUGGUUCCGGGGUAGAAAAUUCCCAUGGAUUUUUCUGUGCAAUUAGUUUUAGAUUUUGAGGAAGUUAGUUCGCGAGAUAUUUUACCGUGAUGCCCUUUUGUUUAAUUCGUAGAGUUUAAUCCAUGCGUUGUUUGACGGAGUUGUCAACUAGGGAGUUGAUCUUGGAUGUUUUGUUUAGCCCCUGGUAUUUUUGGUUGCAAUAGAAAUGCAUGUUUAGGUGUUGUUUGCUUGCUCUCAAGUUGUUAGAAAUAGUGCUGAUUUGGAGGAGCUGAAAUAUUUCUAAGUCUGGAAUCUGUUAUAUUUUGUUGCUGUCUUGUCUUGCUUGUAUCUUGUGAUCUGUAGCUCUUUUGAGGUUGGUCCAGUGGAGUUAGUUGUACCCCUUGUGUUUCUCUAGCAUGCUGUUAAGUUUCAUGCUAUUUGGAGACCUGUAGCUAUAGGUUUUGCUGCUGUCAAUAUUGCUUCAGGCUGAAAACUGCACUUUCAUGAGGCGUAAUUUUCACUAAGUCUGAAAUAGUGAGUGAGAUGCCAUUUUGUGACUUCUUUCUCUAGUGAUCCGUGCUGCCAUGCUAGUUGCUGUUAAUUGUUUGUAGUAGUGCGUCUUGCCCUCUUUCAUGACAUGCCUUGCUUGAGUUUAUCGGAGUUGUGUAGUUCGUAGUUGUGGGGUGUAGGAUAUGCUAUGUGGCUGAUUUUAGCAGAUUGUAGUGAUUUCUUGUUUUGCUCGUAGUUUUCGAACCGUAGCUCCGUUUUGAUCGUCUCCUACAUGAAACUUGCUUAGAAUCUCGUGUAGUUUCAUUUUCUCUUGCUGUUUGUAUGUGUUGAAGUGCUCGUAGCCGCCGUUGCACACAUUUUGCAUUCAUGCCAUCAUAUCUUGCGGUGCUCGUAACUUUUGAUCCGUAGCUCCGUUGGAGAUAUUCUUUAUGUAUAGAUUGCUUGCCUUGACGCGUAGAAUCACGUGAACCUAUUUGUUUUGCUGUUUAACAACUAAUUAAAUGCAUUAAUUCAGAUCUGGACAGAAUUGUAAAUUAACAUGUGAGGUCGUUUCGGAGGUGCUAUAUGUCAUCUCCGACCUCAUUUAAAAUGUCUAGAUAGGUAGUUUAAUUUCCGCUUCACCUCUUGCAUGUUUGACAACUUUAAUAUUGCCGUGUAACUAACCGGGAGUGAACUAAAUAAUUCAUAUGUGGAGUUUCGUCAAUAUGCAACUCGUUGCAUAUUGAACUUCACUUAAUGUGUAGUGUCUGAUUGUGUGAUUUGUCAUGCCGUGACUUGCAUGUAUUCAGUAGCUCAUGCAUCAUAUGUGUUGUGCAUCGUGUGGUGAAUAUCGUGUGUUGAUGCUUGUUUCUGGUUUGCUCCGCCUCGAUAGAGUUCCGCAAGCGUGUCGGAUGUGAGGACCGUUCGACUACGUCGGUUCGUCUGCUUCACGGAGGCAUUCUUCUUCCAAGCGGGAUCUCAGGCAAGAUGAUCAUUUCCCCAGAUACCAUUACUAUCAUUGCCAUGUUAGUUUUACCGCUUCUACCGUUUAUGUCUCGUUGCCUACCACAUGUUAAAUAUCAGCCUCUCAACAAUGCCAUGAAAACCUUCCACAUGUUCAACCUAGCAAACCACUGAUUGGCUAUGUUACCGCUUGCUUAACCCUGUAUUAGCGUUGCUAGUUGCAGGUGCAGAUGCUUCCAGGUGAUAACAUGGGUUCCUUGUCAUAUCACCUUAUAUUAAUGCUAUUUAAUUUAAUGCACCUAUAUACUUGGUAAAAGGUGGAAGGCUCGGCCUUUCUAGCCUGGUGUUUUGUUCCACCUUUGCCCCCUUAGUUUUCGGCUACCGGUAUUAUGUUCCAUAAACGAGCGCUCCUAACACGAUCGGGGUUGUUAUGGGGACCCCCUUGAUAAUUCGUAUUAGAUUAAAGCUGGUCUAGCAAGGCCCAACUUUGGUUCUACAUUUGCCCCACAUAUAAUUCUGUUAAUUUGAAAUGCAUAGGGAGUUAGCGCUAUCCGAGGAGUAAUUUUUCAUAAACAGGGGGGCCAGUGCUGAUGGUGUUGGUCCCAAACGGUCUGCCUGCGGGGCCACCGCGAGGAAACUCGAGGUUUGGCACUCGUAGCUAGUUCCAUCCGUCGUGUCCUGAGAACGAGAUACGCGGCUCCUAUCGGGUACGUCGACACGUCGGGCGGCCUUGCUGAAUUAGGUUUACCUUUGACGAGAUAUCUUGUGCAUCGGGAUUCCGGUGAUGCUUUGGGUAAUCUCAGAGUUGAGGUUUUCCACUAGGGAAUCCGACGAGAUCGCGAGCUUCGUGAUUGAGGAUUUCUAUGCGGCUUGUGGUAAUUUGUGAUGGACUAGUUGGAGCACCCCUGCAGGGUUAAAUCUUUCGGAAAGCCAUGCCCGCGGUUAUGUGGCAACGUGGAAACUUUGUUUAACACUGGUUCUAGAUAACUUGAUGUUAACUUAAUUAAAACUUGCCAACUGUGUGCGUAACCGUGACUGUCUCUUUCGUGAGUUCCUUCUCCGAUCGAGGACACGGUGGGGUUAUGCCUGACGUAGGUAGGUGUUCAGGAUCAUUCAUUUGAUCAUCCGUAGAUCACGUCCGCUAUGCGUAGAUCUUCCCCCUCUCAUUUCUUGUACUCGUAAGUUUAGCCACCAAACAUAUGCUUAGCCGUUGUUGCAACCUCACCACUUAACCAUGCCUCACCCAUUAAGCUUUGCUAGUCUUGAUACCCUUGGAAAUGAGAUUGCUGAGUCCCCUGUGGCUCACAGAUCACUACAACACCAGUUGCAGGUACAGGUAAAGGGUACUUGACGCGAGCGCGUUGAUUGAUCAUUUGGAGUUGCUUCUUCUUCUUCUUCUUCAUCGAUCUAGGAUGGGUUCCAGGCCGGCAGCCUGGGAUAGCAAGGAUGGACGUCGUUCUUCUUUUGUCGUUUAUUUUCGUCCGUAGACGGAUCCUGCUCUUACUCUUGAUGUUAUGUAAUGUACUAAUGUGACUCUGAUGUAGCUUGUGGCGAGUGUAAGCCAAUCCUAUAUAUAUAUAUCUCAUCUUUUCAGUACAUGUACUUGUAACGAUAUCCAUUCUUGCGACACGACGAGAUGCGCUUCUAUCCCUGACGAGGCCUUCGUGCCAAAUUGAGGAUAGAGUCGCAUCUUGGGCGUGACAUGUGGCAUGUUAUACAGUUUAGAAACGGGGCUCCAAAGGCGUUUUGAGCAACACGGUGCAUAUGAUAUGUUCCAAGAGCUAAAGCUAGUUUUUCAAGCUCAUGCCUGUGUCGAAAGAUAUGAAGUCUCCGACAAGUUCUUUAGCUGUAAGAUGGAGGAGAACAGUUUUGUGAGCGAGCACAUACUCAAAAUGUCUGGGUUACACGGUCGUCUGACUUCACUUGGAGUCGAACUUCCGGAUGAUGCUAUAAUUGACAGAAUCCUCCAGUCUCUCCCACCAAGCUACAAAGGCUUUGUGCUUAACUACAACAUGCAAGGGAUGGAGAAGACCAUUCCCGAGUUGUACUUGAUGCUCAAGUAUGCAGAAGUAGAAAUCAAGAAAGAGCAUCAAGUGUUGAUGGUCAACAAGACCACUAGUUUCAAGAAGGGCACGGGUAAGAAAAACUUCAAGAAAGACGGCAACGUCGUUGCCCCGCCCGGUAAGCCAGAUGCCGGGAAGAAGAAACAGAAUGGACUCAAGCCUGAGACUGAGUGCUUCUAUUGCAAGGGAAAGGGUCACUGGAAACGGAAAUGCCCCAAAUACUUAGCGGACAAGAAGGCCGGCAACGUUAAAGGUAUAUGUGAUAUACAUAUUAUUGAUGUGUACCUUACCAGCGCUCGUAGUAGCUCCUGGGUAUUUGAUACCGGUGUUGUUGCUCACAUUUGCAACUCAAAGCAGGAACUGCGGAAUAAGCGGAGACUGGCAAAGGACGAGGUGAUGAUGCGCGUCGGGAAUGGCUCCAAGGUCGAUGUGAUCGCCGUCGGCACGCUACCUCUACAUCUACCGUCGGGUUUAGUAUUAAACCUUAAUAAUUGUUAUUUAGUACCUGCUUUAAGCAUGAACAUUGUAUCAGGGUCUUGCUUAAUGCGAGACGACUACUCAUUUAAGUCAGAGAAUAAUGGUUGUUCUAUUUAUAUGAGUGAUAUGUUUUAUGGUCAUGCUCCGCUGCUGAAUGGUUUAUUCUUGAUGAAUCUCAACCGUGAUGUUACGCAUAUUCAUAGUGUGAGUACCAAAAGAUGUAAAGUUGAUAAUGAUAGUCCCACAUACUUGUGGCACUGCCGCCUUGGUCAUAUCGGCGUUAAGCGCAUGGAGAAGCUCCAUACUGAUGGACUAUUAGAGUCUCUUGAUUUUGAAUCAUUUGACACAUGUGAACCGUGCCUCAUGGGCAAGAUGACUAAGACUCCAUUCUCAGCAAUAAUGGAGAGAGCANNNNNNNNNNNNNNNNNNNNNNNNNNNNNNNNNNNNNNNNNNNNNNNNNNNNNNNNNNNNNNNNNNNNNNNNNNNNNNNNNNNNNNNNNNNNNNNNNNNNCCUUGUUCAUCUGUUAUCUCGUGCUGCUUUCUGCCUUUCAUUCCCACCUUUUGGCAGUUGCUCUGUACUUGGUUAUUUUGUAUCAGUCUUGAGAGUAAAUUAAAAUGCAUGUGCGGUCACUGAAUUUAUUCGUUUGGACUUAAUUCAGUCAGACCAUUUGUACUCUGGAAACACGUCGAUUUUCAAGUUGACAAAGGGGGUUUUCCAGGUCGAUUAGAUUAUUUUAGGGUGUGCGUAGAGAAGGUUUUGACAUAUACUCCUAGAACGUUUCUCUCAGUCAGGGUCCCAUCGCGUGUACAUGACACAUACUUGGAAGCUAGGAGCACACAAAAUGCACUGAACCGAUAGCAAGAAGAAUGACACCUACAAAGGCUCUCGUCAUAUCAGGCUUUGGAACCACAACAAUCAACAAUCACCCGUUCCUGAACACAAAAUGUAAAAAUUCGCCGAGAGCGAAGCAUUGGUCGGACCAUGCAUCAUCCCACACAGUCACAUAAUUUAUAGAGCAACUCCAACAUGCGCGUUAUUGGCUGAAAAAACGUCACUUUUUACGCCUGGACCCAACUCGGACGCUCCGACAGACAUGUUAAAAUUGCACACGCUGUAAAGUUGGUGGUGCGCACGGAGCAAAACGACAUCCCGCACUGGUUAUUUCGGCGUGCCCGCUCCUGCCGCCCCGCCCCACGUCGUCGCCGGCGAAAUCGAUCGAUGGAACGCAUCAGCAACAUUGACCCAACCCCUCCUUACAUCUGCGACCCCUCCAUCGUGGCCGCCGCCACCGGCGGCGGCGGCGCAAACCCUAGCACGGGGUUGAGCUGCAACUUCAUCGCCGGCGCCCCUCCUCCUAGCAACGGCCUCGCGCGCGGCUUGUUCAUGGCGCCACGGACGACUGCGCUGGGUGGCGUCGUGCCGCUACCCGCCGUGAAGCCACGACCCCCGUCUCCAAGUGACUGAAUGCGGCGACGAUGACGAUGGAGACUGCGUCCCGAAAGAAGAAGCAACUAACGAUGCUACUAGGCAACCGAAGAAGAAACUUGCAGGGCGUCCGGCCAUGUGUCCGCCGACCGAAACGCCGGAGACCUCGUCAUUUGUGUAGUCAUGAGAGCACCUAAGGGAGACAUUGGUGACUCGGAACUAUGAGAUGCAUGAGUUUUUGUUCUUUCAUGGAAGGCAUGGAGCACCUCCGGGUGACAUGGGUGGACGCAUGGCUUCCGGUGUGCCUCAUAUAGCUUCACAUGAUGCCGUUGGAGAUGGCCAUAUGGAUGGACGCAUGACGCGCAAUGAGGACUCGGAAAAAGAAUCGUCUUCGUCCGAGGAUGAAGAAGAUGAGACAUGAUUGUUCAUGUGCCAUUUGUUUGUCUGAAUUUUUAUUUGUUAUGAACUUGGUUGGUUGAUUUUAAACUAUGCCAUGCAAUUGAACUAAGCUAUGUUGCUCAAAUGCACUUUUUUAUAUUUGAAAAAAUAAUAGUAUCUUUUGAUUCGCGCGCCGCGGCAGACAUGCGUCUAGCUGCUCAUGCAUGCUGCUUUUUGCAGCGUCUGCUGGAACGGUUUGACCACAUCCUUUUUCGCAACGUCCCUGCUGAAGCAUGCAUCAUGUUGCGCGUUAAAAAGACAAUUUCAAGGCUGUAAAAGUAUUUAUGCACGCCGCGCCAUUGCGCGUCUGUGAAGUUGCUUUAAUAAACAGUCCUUUUCGCACCAUCAAUUAAACAAACUCCACAUAAACGAUGACGUGCACAACACAAAGGGCUAGAGCAGCAUGCAACAAGGAAUGUAUCGGGAAAUUCAAUUUGCUUCCGGGAAGCAUUUGCUCCUACUCAUGAAAAAUAAGUUUUGAGAAGUUAAAAAAAAAUCCAACAAAAAUUUAUAUGCAUUUAUAGCCACAUUCGAAUGCUACAUGUAAAUUUUUAGACGAAAAGACUAAAUAUUUUGAUCUGUGCAAAAGUAACAAAAUUGAACAUCAAAUGUUACCCUGAAACGUCAUCCUAAAUUUGUUAUUUUCACCGCUGAAACACUGCUGUUCCGUUUUGUAUGAAAAUUGCCAGGCAUGUUUCUUAUACUAACACGGACAUCUGUAAAAAAAAAAUCAGAAAAUUUUGAAUUUUUUAAACAUUUUUAUGGUACUGUUCAUGUUGGAGCUAGCAUAUGUUCCCAGAAGUCAAAACACCCUCCCGGAGUGUAUCCGGCUACCUAGCUACUCCUGCUAUGUAUACUAGUAACAACGUGCGGAGGAACGUGUCAAGGGGAAGGACGUGUUCAACGGCAUGCAGCCACCCUCCUCCAACCCUGGCCCGGCCAACACACACGUACGGUUCAUUUUUCUUUAUUCCGGCAAACACAGACAACAUGCAUGCAUGCUUUGACUCCAUCUCUUUAUCCAACCCUGGCCUGGCCGUAUAUAAAGCACCACCAUCUCUCUCUGGCUGGCUCCAUCUCACACGUACGGUCACACCACACGCCCCGACGACGGCACGCGCGCGCAUCGAUCACCGGCCGUGGAGCGGUGGCCGACGUACGCUAGCUCCGAUCAUCAUGGGUUGCUCGCUUGUUGCAUGUAAGAGUUUUUCUUGCCCUUUCUACUGAUUCAUAGGAGCAACUCUACAAGACUCGUCGCAUUUGGGAUUGCCAUUCAUUAUCUUAUAACAAGCCUCGAGAAAUUUACAUAAAGUGUGCAUUCAUUCGUUGUUACUUCCUCUGUUUCAAAAUAACAGUACAAAGUUGAGUCAUUUAUUUUGAGACGGAUGGAGCAUGUGACAACCAAAACCUAUGUAAAGUGAUGCAUAAGAUGUAAAGUGAUGCAUAAUGGUUUGGAGGCUGCUGGGCUUGUGCAUAAAUACAGAAUCAUCAAACAGUUGCCUCCAUAACUUUUGUUUUGUUUGCUUCUAAUUUCCAGAGCCAAUUUUAAACGACAUUUAACAUAACCGAACACAUGUAUCAACACGACAACUUAAUCAUCAAUUACUAUAUUAAUAGCCACAAUCCAUCACUUUACAUAGAUUUUUCGACUUGCAAUAUUGUUAAUGAGGAACAUUUUCAAAAUAUGCAAUGUCCCUAUUCGGUACUGCUAGAUACUACUACCUACACUCGUCCCUCGGCGGCGGCGCCACCGUCUAGUCAUCGUCCAUGUAGUAGUCAAUGGCUGCUGUUAAUGUUGUGAGUGGUGACCGUGCUGGUGCUGUCAACCAUGACACGCUAGGAGCCUAGGACGACGACCAUUAGGUGUUGGGAGUGGCAAUUGCCAACGUUGAUGAGGUCGACGGCUAGUGUUGCAAGGACUGAGCAGCAACCACCAGUACUGGUGAAGGUGACCACCAUAGCUAUAAUGGUACCCACCAGAGUUCAAUGCAUUUCAAACAACAACAAUAAACCACUUGAUGGUGACGAUGACGAUCUCAAGUGUAUGGUGAAACCUAGUGCUACCGAAGGCUACCACAUGUGUUGUGAUCGUACCAAUGUGGUUCACAGCGACCAUGGAUGUUUGCGAUAAUGAGCAAGGCGCUCCUAAAGGUGAUCACCCAGUGUUGGCGACUCUGACCACAAGUGAUGUGAAGACGUUGUUGUUCUCUUGUUGUUCUAGGCCCGUUGAUGGCGUCGAUUAAUGUUGCGAACAAAGGGUUGUGCUACCGUGAGUGACGAAAAAUGCUGGCGAAAGCGUCGAGUGUGAUGUCCCGAGGAUGGCUAAAUGUUGCGAGGGACGGUCUACAUCAUAGACGUCGACACAAUGUGUCUCGAAGCUUGUACGUGCAAUUAGAUAGUGUAGAACGUGACUGGCAGAGCAUUGCCACUAUAGAAUCCCUUCUCACGACUCCUUUGAACCAGAGGAAUUUCAUGAGAUUGUUUGCAGGAUUAGAAUCCCAAGGAAUUUUUCUUUUGAUUCGUAGGAUUUGAUACUAUAGAAUUUUUUCAUAAAAAAUCUAGCAUCCACUUCAAUUUCUUAAUACAUUUUUUUUCUGUGACAUCAAACACUCUCUAGUUCACAUUCAUGUAGGUUGUUAAACUCUUAUAGAAUUGAAGUGGACAAUGUCACUUCAAUAUUGUAUUGUUUUUUCUGUUUAUGCAUUUUAGAAAUUCAUGCAAAUCAGAAAGUCCUUAAGUAGGAAGUGAUACCAUUAUGUCACUUUGUAAAUGACUGAUGUAUCCCGAAAGGCGAGCUAACACCCAUCCGGACGAGUGUGUGUCUUGCUUGCUAUGAGACACAAGAUUGUGUCGCCUACAACGAGCAGGUAGUGGGCCGGCCCAGUAACCAUGUGUUUCAUAAUGCUGAUGUCAUAUAGACAUGAUGUGCAUAAUAUUUUUUAAAACUUUGUUUAUAUUUUAGAAAAACUAAAUACAUGUAUUACGAAAUUAUAAUUUAGUUAAUAUAUGACAUUUCAAAAAUAUUCAUGUGUUUUAGAAAGAAAAAUGUACAUGACAGGUGUAACAAUCUUAUACAAUCUCAAAAUAUUAUUGUAUAAAAAAAUGAACAAAAAUGUUUCGUACUAUUUAAACACAAUGUUCACACGUUUCAAAAAUAAUGUACGGAAUUUACAAAAAAAAGUUUGCAUAGUUAAUUGUUUUUUCACCAUUCAAAUAGAAUGUUGCAACGUGUAUUUGACAAAAUCUGAACACAUAUUAAAAAAUGUUGAAAACAUGUAUUCAGAAAAUGCCAAACAGAUAUAGAAAAUAGUUUAGAUAUAUACUCUAUCCGUCCGAAAAUACUUGUAAUGGAAAUGAAUAUAUCUAGAUGUAUUUUUGUUUUAGAUACAUUCAUUUUUAUCUAUUUGUAUGACAAGUAAUUCCGGACGAAGGGAGUAAAACAAAUACAAUGUGUGUGUGUGCGCGUGGAAAAAUAGACAUCAAAACAUAGAUUUGAAAAGUGUUAAUCAUGCAUUUAUUUAUUUUAAAUAUUUCACACUGUAUUUAAAAAAUGUAGAAUGCGUAUGAAAAAACUAGCAUGUGUUAGAAUAAAAAAGAAAAAUUAAAAUAUUAACAAAAAAUAAGCAAAAGGCCGAAGUAAAAACAUAGAAAAAAAGGAGCAGAGUAUAGGAAAAAAAGGAAGACAAGAAAAAACGGAACAAACCUCGAAGAAAUCGAUGCUUAAACAGUGAAAAAACAAAUAAAAACCACAGAAAAAAAAUACUCGCGCUCAGCACAGUAUUGGGACGGCAUUUGAAUCGAUGCUUAAACAGUGAAAUAGGCGCUCGCUGUAGGCGAUUGAAUCGGAACAUAGCUCUCGCGUCUCCACCCGACCUGAGCGAAGUGACCCCCACCCGCCAUCGCCGCCUCGCCGGCGAGAUGCCUGNNNNNNNNNNNNNNNNNNNNNNNNNNNNNNNNNNNNNNNNNNNNNNNNNNNNNNNNNNNNNNNNNNNNNNNNNNNNNNNNNNNNNNNNNNNNNNNNNNNNNNNNNNNNNNNNNNNNNNNNNNNNNNNNNNNNNNNNNNNNNNNNNNNNNNNNNNNNNNNNNNNNNNNNNNNNNNNNNNNNNNNNNNNNNNNNNNNNNNNNNNNNNNNNNNNNNNNNNNNNNNNNNNNNNNNNNNNNNNNNCCGGCGUCGGCGUCGGCGGCGCCGCCGCCACGUGGGAUCCGAGUAUCCAUCGCUACCCGCGGGCGUCGCCUUUGGGCGCUAUCCGCUCUCCUCCGCGCUGUUGUGCGCUCAGGGCUACCAGCGAACCCUAGCCUAGCUGUACAGUGCAAUGGAGCGCACAGUAUAGAUAAUUCUCUGAAAUGCUUGGGCCGAGAUGGAGACUUCAGAGUAAUGUCAUGGAAGGGGUAUUUAUUAUCUACUCNNNNNNNNNNNNNNNNNNNNNNNNNNNNNNNNNNNNNNNNNNNNNNNNNNNNNNNNNNNNNNNNNNNNNNNNNNNNNNNNNNNNNNNNNNNNNNNNNNNNNNNNNNNNNNNNNNNNNNNNNNNNNNNNNNNNNNNNNNNNNNNNNNNNNNNNNNNNNNNNNNNNNNNNNNNNNNNNNNNNNNNNNNNNNNNNNNNNNNNNNNNNNNNNNNNNNNNNNNNNNNNNNNNNNNNNNNNNNNNNNNNNNNNNNNNNNNNNNNNNNNNNNNNNNNNNNNNNNNNNNNNNNNNNNNNNNNNNNNNNNNNNNNNNNNNNNNNNNNNNNNNNNNNNNNNNNNNNNNNNNNNNNNNNNNNNNNNNNNNNNNNNNNNNNNNNNNNNNNNNNNNNNNNNNNNNNNNNNNNNNNNNNNNNNNNNNNNNNNNNNNNNNNNNNNNNNNNNNNNNNNNNNNNNNNNNNNNNNNNNNNNNNNNNNNNNNNNNNNNNNNNNNNNNNNNNNNNNNNNNNNNNNNNNNNNNNNNNNNNNNNNNNNNNNNNNNNNNNNNNNNNNNNNNNNNNNNNNNNNNNNNNNNNNNNNNNNNNNNNNNNNNNNNNNNNNNNNNNNNNNNNNNNNNNNNNNNNNNNNNNNNNNNNNNNNNNNNNNNNNNNNNNNNNNNNNNNNNNNNNNNNNNNNNNNNNNNNNNNNNNNNNNNNNNNNNNNNNNNNNNNNNNNNNNNNNNNNNNNNNNNNNNNNNNNNNNNNNNNNNNNNNNNNNNNNNNNNNNNAAUCCCUCGCACAAGACGCUCGAGAAAGGUAAAACAAGUCCAGCAAGGCCGCCCGACGUGUCGACGAUCCCGAUAGGAGCCGCGUAUCUCGUUCUUAGGACACGACGAAUAAGCACAGUGUACGGUGGCCUGAUAGACAUCACCCGAGUUGCCCCAGGUUGGCCCCGCAAACGGCUCUGUUUUGGACUAGCACCAUCAGCACUGGCCCUCCCUGUAUUAUGUUGAAUUACUCCUCAGGUUCAUGACGCCCAAUGUUUUUAAGUAUUAAAAGAAUUAUCAUGUUGGGCAAAUGUAGUACCAAUGUUGGUCCUUGCCAAAUGAGCUUUAUCCCAAAACGAGAAUCUAGGGGGUCCCCAUAACAACCCCAAGCAUGUUAGGAGCGCUCAUUUAUGGAACAUAACACCGGUAGCCGAAACUAAGGCGGCAAAGGUGGAAGAAAACACCAGGAUAGAAAGCCAAGCCUUUCACCUUUACCAAGUAUAUAGGUGCAUUAAAUUAAAUAGCAUUGAUAUGGCGAUAUAACAAGGAACCCAUGUGUCACAUGGAAGCAACUGCACCUACAACUAUCAAUGCUAACAUAUGGUUAAGCAAGCGGUAACGUAGCCAAUCAGUGGUUUGCUAGGUUGUAAACAGGUUGAAGGUUUCAUGGCAAUGUUGAGAGACAUAUUAAACAGGUGGUAGGCAGCGAGACAUAGCGAAACAAACGAGAGAACUAGCAUGGCAAUGAUAGUAAUGGUAUCUAGGGAAAUGAUCAUCUUGCCUGAGAUCCUGCUUGGAAGAAGAAUGACUCCGUUAAGCAGAAAAACCGACGUAGUCGAACGGGUCCUCACAUUCCGACACGCUUGCGGAACUCUAUCGAGACGAAGCAAACCCAAAACAAGAAUCAACACACGACAAAAACACGAUAUGAUGCACCUCCUAAUAUGAUGCAUGAUCAAUUUUAAAUAUGCAAGGCAUGACAUGACAAUUCACAUAGUCAAACGCUACACAUUAAGUGAAGCUCAAUAUGCAACGAGUUGCAUAUUGACGCAACUCCACAUUUAAUUAUUUAGUUCACUCUCAUUUAUUUAUAUGACAAUAUUAAAUAUUGUUAAACAUGACAAGAGGUGAAGCACAAAUUAAUCUACCUAUCUAGGCAUUUUAAACGAGGCCGAAAACGACAUAUAGCAUGUCCAAAAUGACCCCACGUUUUAAAUUCUAAAUCUGUCCAGAUCUGUCUUAAUCAUAUUUUAUGUUUGUUAAACGGCAAAACAAAGUGGUUCACGUGAUUCUACUUGUCGUUCUAGUCCAUUUACAUAUAUGGCUCAUCUCCAAACGGAGCUACGGUUAAAUAACUACGAACUAAAUCGUUUCUAACAUGGCAUCACGCAAAACGAGACAAACAGAAAGGCUAACAGCUUUAAACAUGCAUGAGAGUUGGAAAAUAUUAUUUUACACGAAAUUCUAGCCAAGUUACAUAUAUAACUCAUCGCGAUCCCACGCACGGAUUCGAAACUACGGCCGUUUUACAAAUAUGCAUUUUUCUAAAAAUGAAUUAAAUCCGAGGGCCUAAAAGAAAUACUAAACGGGCCGAAACUGGGGCAUGGCGACAGAUAACUAAGCCGUGCACGGGCGCAAAAUAGAGGGGCUGGGGGAUCGGCUAACCUUGGGCCUCUUGGGCCGGCUCGGUGAGGAGGAAUCGGGCCGAGGCGGGGCUGCUGGGCCUCGGGGCUGGCAGGUCGGCUGCUGCUCCCGCUGGGCCGGGGCGAGGUAGCCCAGCCGGCGGUCAACGGGGGAGGCCUUGGCGCAGGGCUGGGAGCGAUGCGGGCCAACCGCUAGCCAUCGGUUAACGCAACCACGAGCGACACGGGUGCUCGUCCUCCUCCAGGACUGAGCGAGGAGGCAACGAAUAACAAGAUGGCGACAGCUGCAGGGGACUCCGGCGGGACGACGGGGAUAGCUUCGCAGCGGCGAGCUCAGAUCCAGGCGAUGGGGACUCGUUUGUGGCUUUGGAGGCCUCCGACGGAGCUCCUAGCAUCGACUGCACAUGGAACAACGGGGAUUAGAGAGAGGGAGCACAGAGGAGAGGAGGAAGGAGAAGGACAGGGGGCGGGGGUCCGGCCUUGGUCCUGGUCGUCGGUGGUGGGGCUUCGGCGGCCGAUCGGUGACCAGCAGGGGCGGCGGUGGCUCGUCUCGCUGGGUCGCCGCGAGACCAUUGCAUCUAUUGGAAGAUUGUAACUAAUUGGAUUCCCACAUAAAAACUUUCGAAAUUUUCUAGUCAUGUAAUUGGGUCCACGGAUACAAGGAGUAAAAUCCAUCACUCAACUCCUAGCAAUAACACUACCGUCCAGUGUAUCAGAUCCGUCAACACAUAACUAGAGAUUUUGGAAACUCAUCUAUCUCAGAUACUCGUAAUCACAAUGAUACCAAGUAUGGCAGUACCCCCGACCUCUGUGCACCAGUACUGGGGAUGUCAGGGUUAUCUCACCAUUACUAGUAUUGAAGCAAUUUCGAACAUCCUUCGUCUUGAGAUACUAAUAAAUCUGAAUGAUAACGAUGUUCUCAAGAAUCCCCUGGAGCUCAACUCUCCGGAAUAAAAUCAACACAGCAGGAGGCACCAAGACAGAACUCCGUCACAUCGGCAUCAUAUAGGUUUCAAUAAUAUCUUCGUGAUCCUGAUUUUUUUUUGAGUGAGAAGAGGAAUAGAAUUAAAAUUAUUACGUCAAGAUUGCUCAUCAGAGCAUAGAAGAGGAGAAAAAAGAAUCGUACUCUCCGAUAUAUAACUAGACUCAAAGUAGUUUUUUGCUAGACACGACUCGCCAAGUUCGAUCAAUCAAGGGGGCUCCUAGGUCGGUACUGCAUAGAUAGAUAUUUUAAUUUGUGCUUCACUCCUUGCCAUUUUUAACAACAUUUAAUAUUGCCGUGUAAAUAAAUAGGAAUGAAUUAAAUAAUUAAACGUGAAGUUCCAAAAAUAUGCAACUCGUUGCAUAUUAAGCUUCACUUAAUGUGUAGCGUUUGACUGUGUGAAUUGACAUGCCAUGCCUGGCAUAUUUAAAACUGAUCAUGCAUCAAAUUAGGGUGUGCAUCGUGUCGUGCAUGUGCCAUGGUGAAUAUCGUGUAUUGAUGCUUGUUUUCCGGUGUGAGGAUCCGUUCGAAUACGUCGGUUCGUCUACUUCCCGGAGUCAUUCUUUUUCCAAACGGGAUUACAGGCAAGAUGACCAUUUCCCUAAAUACCAUUACUAUCAUUGCCAUGCUAGUUGUUUCGUUUCUAUCAUUAUGUUUCGCCGCCUACCACCUGUUAAAUAUCAGCCUCUCAACAUUGCCAUGAAAACCCUCAACUUGUUCACAACCUAGCAAACCACUGAUUGACUAUGUUACCGCUUGCUUAACCAUUGGAUAGCUUUGCUAGUUGCAGGUGCAGUUGCUUCCAUGUGAUAACAUGGGUUCCUUGUUAUAUCACCAUAUUAAAUGCUAUUUAAUUGAAUGCACCUAUAUAGUUGGUAAAAGGUGGAAGGAUCGGCCUUUCUAGCUUGGCGUUUUGUUCCACCUUUACCGUCUUAGUUUCGACUACCGGUGUUAUGUUCCAUAAAUGAGCGCUCCUAACAUGCUUGGGGUUGUUAUGGGGACCCCUAGAUUCUCGUUUUGGGAUAAAGCUCGCCUGGCAAGGCCCAACAUUGGUAUUAUAUUUGCCCAACAUAAUAAUUCUGAUAAUUCUGAAAAACAUAGGGCGUCAUGAACCCGGAGAGUAAUUUAACAUAAUACAGGGGGGCAGUGCUGAUGGUGCUGGUCCAAAACAAAGCCAUUUGCGGGGCCAACCCGGGGCAACUCGGGUGAUGUCUAUCAGGCCACCGUACAGUGUGCUUAUCCGUCGUGUCCUGAGAACGAGAUACACGAUUCCUAUCGGGAUCGUCGACAAGCCGGGCGGCCUUGCUGGACUUGUUUUAUCUUUCUCGAGCAUCUUGUGCGAGGGAUUCCGAGGAUGCUUUGGGUUAUCUCGAGGUUGAGGUUUUCCAAUAGGUACCCGAAGAGAUCAUGGGUUUCCCUGAUCGAGGUCAUUCCGUCGCAGUGUGUGGUAGUUUGUGAUGGACUAGUUGGAGCACCCUUGUAGGGUUAAAUCUUUCGGAAAGUCGUGCCCGCGGCUAUGUUGCAAUGUGGAAACUUUGUUUAACAUCCGAUUCUAGACAACUUGAAGUAAACUUAAUUAAAACUUGCCAACUAAGUGCGUAACCGUGACUGUCUCUUUCGUGAGCUCCUUCUCCGAUCGAGGACACGGUGGGGUUAUGUCUGACGUAAGUAGGUGUUCAAGAUCAUUCAGUUGAUUAUUAUUAGUUCACGUUCGCUAUGCGUAGAUCAUCCCCCUCUUUAUUCUUGUACUCGUAAGUUAGCCACUAAAUAAAUGAUUAGUCGCUUGCUGCAGCCUCACCACUUAACCAUACCUCAGCCAUUAAGCUUUGCUAGUCAUCAUACCUUUGGAAAUGAGAUUGUUGAGUCCCUGUGGCUCACAGAUUACUACAACACGAGUUGCAGGUACAGGUAAAAGGGUUAUUUGACGCGAGUGCGUUGAUUGUUCAUUUGGAGUUUCUUCUUCUUCUUCUUCUUCUUCGAUCUAGGAUGGGUUCCAGGCCGGCAGCCUGGGAUAGCAUGGAUGGACGUCAUUCUUUUAUCGUUUGUUUUCGUCAGUAGAUGGACCCUGCUCUUCUUCAUGAUGAUUGUAUGUAUUGUACUGAUGUGACUCUCAUGUAGCUGUGGUGAGUGUAAGCCAAUUCCAUAUACUCAUCUUUUCAGUAGAUGUACUUGUAACGAUACCCAUUUUUGUGAAACGAGAAGAUGUAUUUCUAUCCCUGUCGAGGCCCUCGUGUUAAAAUAAGGAUAGGACCGCUUCUUGGGCGUGACAAGUUGAAAAUAUGCAUUUUUCUGAAAAUUACUAAAUUCAGAGGUCCUAAAAAAACUACACGGGCCAAAUUGGUGGGCGCUGGAUAGAAAAAUGCGUCUAGGGCGAGGGAUAGGGCUUGUGGGGGUGCGUCUCGUGGGCCUGGCCCAGGUUGGGCACUGGAGCUGGGCUGGCUCGCUCGAUGCUUGGUCGGGGCGGCUGGCUUGGCUGCUGGGCCUCGGCGGGGAGGAGGUCGGCCCACGGGACGAUGGAGCAGGCCGGCUUGGUGGCGAUGUGUGAGGCUGGUCCUCGCGACAGUGGUGGGAGGCCGGCCCACGUGCGGCUGGCGGUCAACGCAGGGCGAUGGGACCGAGCCUCCUGCUCGAUCUCUCGUUGGGGCAGCGAGCACGCGCGCUGACGGGGGCGAGCCGGCUGCUGGCAGCGCUCCGACGAGCGGCUGGGGUGGGUGGCGACGACGGGGGCGGCCGGAUCCGUCGGGGCUGGAUGACGGCGAGGCCGGUGGCUGGCAUGAGAUCCCUGGGGCGGGACGGAGCACAGCAUGGCUCGGCGAGGUGCUCGGGGAUGCAGAACGCGGCGCGACGACGCAGCUGGUUGCGGGUGCACAAGGGGUCGACGCUGGCAACGGCAGCGAGCUUCGAGGCGGCGGCAGAGGUGCUCGCACAGACGGGUGGUCAUCAGUGGUGGCCGAUGGCUGGCGAGCGCGGCGCUCGUGCGCGAGAUCGGUCUGGUCUCGAACCAGGGGUGGGAGGCUGCAAGGCAUGCGAUCGCCGGACAUGUCCGUUUGGUGGCACAUACGUGUCUAGUAGGUGGGGAAAUUGGGCGAUAUGAGCCCUUAGAUCAAGAUCUGAUGGCUGAGAUGGGCUGGGGAGGCUAGGGCUGGGGGAUUUAGAGGGUUUGGCCUAGCAGGUGGGAUUUUCCAGGGGGGUGGCUGCAAAAAUGGCUAGGGGAAACCUAGUGGAGUGAGAGAGGUCUCUUCAUGGCACUACUAGGGCUGGAAAUAUGCGUAGCAAUAGCGCUGGUCCAAGCACUACUACUAUCGCGCUACAGCUAAACACUAGUAGUAGCGUCGGUAUGGGCAAUGCUACUGGUAACUUUAGUAGUAGCGCUUGCGCACAGAAAGCGCUGCUGCUGAGCCGCGCUACUGCUAAUAUUUUCCAACGCUACUGCUAACUUUUACUACUUUCACAUAUUUGCAUCAUCAGAAUGCAUCAUCAUCAUCGACAAUAUUACUAGUAUUCGGAAUAUUUAAAAUGCAUCAUCAUCGAUAAUAUUAGCAGUAUUCAGAAUAUUCAGAAUAUUUUCAAGCUCUACGUAUUUAGCAUCAUCAUCAUCAUCAUCGACAAUAUGUGCAUCAUCAUCAUCUAUAUCAACAACAUGGGAUUAUAGGUAGCUCAUACUCAUUUAACUCAUAUAACUCAUACUCAUUUAACAACUCAUAUAACUCAUACUCAUAUAGCUCAUACUCAUUUAACUCAUAUAACUCAUACUCAUUUAACAACUCAUAUAAUUCAUACUCAUAUAGCUCAUACUCAUUUGACUCAUAUAACUCAUACUCAUUUAACAACUCAUGUAAUUCAUACUCAUAUAACUCAUACUCAUACUCAUAUAACUCAUACUCAUAUAACAAUAUCACUAAUAAUAAUCCAGUUGACGUCUCACGGUGCAGGCGAUGGCAACCCAAAGAUAAGGAACCAUCACUAGAUUAUAGCUCGGGUGAUGUCCGUGGAGAACCUGCCGGGUAUUGGAGAACCUGGCAUCCAACGCAGCCAUGUAGCGACAGACAUGCUCGUCCUCCUCCGUGACACGAAGACGUACCACCUUCGUGGGGGCCAGCUCCCUCGGCACCGAUAAUGGCCCACGCGACCACCACCAAAGAAGCUCCGGGUCAACGAUGAGACCCGGAUUCCGCACCAAGGUGCGCCCUCCGGAAGGUAGCACCUCCCAGUGCCAGUUCGGCGGAGCCCAGUCCCGGACAUGGCGCCUAUCAAGCAGGCUCUCGACGACGAGGAUGCGGGCCGGGCAUUAUCGAAGCCGAGACAAAUUCUUCUGAGAAAAUUUUCUUAUUGUUUAAUGUUUCAACAAAUAUGACAUGGCAACUGUUGGAAAUAUGCCCUAGAGGCAAUAAUAAAAUGGUUAUUAUCAUAUUUCCUUGUUCAUGAUAAUCGUCUAUCGUUCAUGCUAUAAUUGUAUUAACAGGAAACACUAAUACAUGUGUGAAUGAAUAGAUCACAAUGUGUCCCUAGCAAGCCUCUAGUUAGCUAGCUCGUUAGUCAAUAGAUGAUCAUGGUUUCCUGAUCAUGGACAUUGGAUGUCAUUGAUAACGGGAUCACAUCAUUGGGAGAAUGAUGUGGUGGACAAGACCCAAUCCUAAGCCUAGCACUAGAUCGUAUUGUUCGUAUGCUAAUGCUUUUCUAAUGUCAAGUAUCUUUUCCUUCGACCGUGAGAUCGUGCAACUCCCGGAUACCGUAGGAGUGCUUUGGGUGUAUCAAAUGUCACAACGUAACUGGNNNNNNNNNNNNNNNNNNNNNNNNNNNNNNNNNNNNNNNNNNNNNNNNNNNNNNNNNNNNNNNNNNNNNNNNNNNNNNNNNNNNNNNNNNNNNNNNNNNNUGAACGCGGAGGUGCCGUUGUUCGGCACUAGAUCGGAAUCGCUGCGAGUACGACUCCAUCAACCGCGUUCUAGCAACGCUUCCGCUUAGCGAUCUUCAAAGGUACGAAGAUGCUCUUACCCCUCUCUCGUUGCUGGUCUCUCCAUAGGAAGAUCUGAAUAAGCGUAGGAAAAUUUUGAAUUUAUGCUACGUUACCCAACAGUGGCAUCCGAGCCAGGUUUUCUAUGCGUAGAUUCUAUGCACGAGUAGAACACAAAAGUUGUGGGCGAUGGUUUGUCAAUUUUCUUGCCGUUACUAGUCUUAUUCUUUUCCGGCGGUAUUGUGGGAUGAAGCGGCCCGGACCGACCUUACACGUACGCUUACGUGAGACUGGUUCCACCGACAGACAUGCACAUCGUGCAUAAAGGUGGCUAGCGGGUGUCUGUCUCUCCUACUCUAGUCGGAUUGGAUUUGAUGAAAAGGGUCCUUAUGAAGGGUAAAUAGCUUUGGCAUAUCAUCGUUGUGGCUGUCACGUAGGUAAGAANNNNNNNNNNNNNNNNNNNNNNNNNNNNNNNNNNNNNNNNNNNNNNNNNNNNNNNNNNNNNNNNNNNNNNNNNNNNNNNNNNNNNNNNNNNNNNNNNNNNNNNNNNNNNNNNNNNNNNNNNNNNNNNNNNNNNNNNNNNNNNNNNNNNNNNNNNNNNNNNNNNNNNNNNNNNNNNNNNNNNNNNNNNNNNNNNNNUUUUGCAGGGUUUGACAUGUGAUGUGAUAUGGCCAAAGUUGUGAUGUUGCAUGUAUGAUGUAUGAGAUGAUCAUGUUAUUGUAAUAGGUUUCACGACUUGCAUGUCGAUGAGUAUGACAACCGACAGGAGCCAUAGGAGUUGUCUUAAUUUAUUGUAUGAGAUGCAACGCCUUGUGCUUGCUACUUUUACUUCAUUGCUAACGGUUAGCCAUAGAAGUAGUGAUAGUAGUAGUUGGCGUGACGACUUCACGGAGACACGAUGAUGGAGAUCAUGGUGUCACGCCGGUGACGAUGAUGAUCAUGCGAUGCCUGAAGAUGGAGAUCGAAUGAGCAAAGAUGAUAAUGGCCAUAUCAUGUCACUCUAUGAUUGCAUUGUGAUGUUUAUCAUGUUUUACAUCUUAUUGCUUAAAACGACGGUAGCAUAAUAAGAUGAUCCCUCUUAAAAUUUCGAGAACGUAUUCCCCUAAGUGUGCACCGUUGCGAAGGUUCGUUAUCUCGAAGCACCACGUGAUGAUCGGGUGUGAUAGAUUCUAACGUUCGCAUACAACGGGUGUAAGCCAGAUUUACACACGCGAAACACCUAGGUUGACUCGACGAGCUUAGCAUAUACAGACAUGACCUCGAAUACAAGAGACCGAAAGGUCGAACAUGAGUCGUAUGGUUGAAUACGAUCAGCAUGAAGUUGCUCACCAUGGUGACUAGUCUGUCUCACGUGAUGAUCGGACACGGGUUAGUCAACAUGGAUCAUGUAUCACUUAGAUGACUAGAGGGAUGUCGAUUUAAGUGGGAGUUCAUACUUAAUUUGAUUAAAUGAACUUAAGUGUCAUGAACUUAGUCUAAAAGUUGUCUUUAUAAAUAUUGUAGAUGUCCAACGUCAACCUCAACUUCAACGCAUUCCUAGAGAAAAACAAGCUGAAAGAUGAUGGUAGCAACUAUGCGGACUGGGUUCGCAACCUGAAGCUCAUCCUUGAAGCAGCUAAAAAGGCUUAUGAACUUAAUGCGCCGCUAGGUGACCCUCCCGCUCCCGCAGCAGCCCAGGACGUUCUAAACGUCUGGCAAGCGCGAAGUGAUGACUACUCUCUGGUCAGGUGUGGCAUGUUAUACAGUUUAGAAACGGGGCUCCAAAGACGUUUUGAGCAACACGGGGCAUAUGAGAUGUUCCAAGAGCUGAAGCUAGUUUUUCAAGCUCAUGCCCGUGUCGAGAGAUAUGAAGUCUCCGACAAGUUCUUCAGCUGUAAGAUGGAGGAGAACAGUUCUGUCAGUGAGCACAUACUCAAAAUGUCUGGGUUACACGGUCGUCUAACUUCACUUGGAGUCGAACUUCCGGAUGAUGCUAUCAUUGACAGAAUCCUCCAGUCUCUCCCACCAAGCUACAAAGGCUUUGUGCUUAACUACAACAUGCAAGGGAUGGAGAAAACCAUUCCCGAGUUGUACUCGAUGCUCAAGUCUGCAGAAGUAGAAAUCAAGAAGGAGCAUCAAGUGUUGAUGGUCAACAAGACCACUAGUUUCAAGAAAGGCAGGGGUAAGAAGAACUUCAAGAAAGACGGCAAAGCUGUUGCCGCGCCCGGUAAGCCAGAUGCCGGGAAGAAGAAAAAAAACGGACCCAAGCCUGAGACUGAGUGCUUCUACUGCAAGGGAAAAGGUCACUGGAAGCGGAACUGCCCCAAAUACUUAGCGGACAAGAAGGCCGGCAACGUUAAAGGUAUAUAUGAUAUACAUGUUAUUGAUGUGUACCUCACCAGCGCUCGUAGUAGCUCCUGGGUAUUUGAUACCGGUGCUGUUGCUCACAUUUGCAACUCAAAGCAGGAACUGCGGAAUAAGCGGAGACUGGCCAAGGACGAGGUGACGAUGCGCGUCGGGAAUGGUUCAAAGGUCGAUGUGAUCGCCGUCGGCACGCUACCUCUACAUCUACCGUCAGGAUUAGUUUUAAACCUUAAUAAUUGUUAUUUAGUACCAGCUUUAAGCAUGAACAUUGUAUCAGGGUCUUGCUUAAUGCGAGACGGCUACUCAUUUAAGUCAGAGAAUAAUGGUUGUUCUAUUUAUAUGAGUGAUAUGUUUUAUGGUCAUGCUCCGCUGGUGAAUGGUUUAUUCUUGAUGAAUCUCAAUCGUGAUGUUACACAUAUUCAUAGUGUGAGUACAAAAAGAUGCAAAGUUGAUAAUGAUAGUCCCACAUACUUGUGGCACUGCCGCCUUGGUCAUAUCGGCGUUAAGCGCAUGAAGAAGCUCCAUACUGAUGGACUGCUAGAGUCUCUUGACUUUGAAUCAUUUGACACAUGCGAACCGUGCCUCAUGGGCAAGAUGACUAAGACUCCAUUCUCAGGAAUAAUGGAGAGAGCCUCCGACUUAUUGGAAAUAAUACAUACUGAUGUGUGUGGUCCAAUGAACGUUGAAGCUCGCGGUGGUUAUCGUUAUGUUCUCACUCUCACCGAUGAUUUGAGUAGGUAUGGGUAUAUCUACUUGAUGAAGCACAAAUCUGAGACGUUUGAAAAGUUCAAGGAAUUUCAGAGUGAGGUUGAGAAUCAACGUGACAGAAAAAUAAAAUGUCUACGAUCUGAUCGUGGAGGAGAAUAUUUGAGUCACGAGUUUGGCACACACCUAAGGAAGUGUGGAAUCCUUUCACAACUGACGCCGCCUGGCACACCGCAGCGCAACGGAGUGUCUGAACGUCAUAAUCGCACUUUAUUAGAUAUGGUACGAUCUAUGAUGUCUCUCACCGACUUACCGCUAUCAUUUUGGGGAUACGCAUUAGAAACUGCAGCAUUCACUUUAAAUAGGGCACCGUCUAAAUCCGUUGAGACGACACCGUAUGAACUGUGGUUUGGCAAGAAACCUAAGUUGUCGUUUCUUAAAGUUUGGGGCUGCGAUGCUUAUGUGAAGAAACUUCAACCAGAAAAGCUCGAACCCAAAGCGGAGAAAUGCGUAUUCAUAGGAUACCCUAAGAAAACUAUUGGGUAUACCUUCUAUCUUAGAUCCGAAGGUAAAACCUUUGUUGCCAAGAACGGAUCCUUUCUAGAGAAAGAGUUUCUCUCGAAAGAAGUAAGUGGGAGGAAGGUAGAACUUGAUGAGGUAAUUACACCCCCUCUCGAACAGGAAAGUAGCGCAGCGCAAGAAAUUGUUCCUGUGGUGCCUGCACUGACUGAAGAGGAAGUUAAUGAUGAUGAUCAUGAAGCUUCGGAUCAAGUUACUACUGAACCGCGAAGGUCCACAAGGGUACGCUCCGCACCAGAGUGGUACGGCAACCCUGUGAUGGAAAUCAUGUUGUUAGACAACGGUGAACCUUCGAACUAUGAAGAAGCGAUGGCGGGCCCGGAUUCCAACAAAUGGCUUGAAGCUAUGAAAUCCGAGAUAGGAUCCAUGUAUGAGAACAAAGUAUGGACUUUGGUGGACUUGCCCGAUGACCGGCGAGCCAUAGAAAAUAAAUGGAUCUUCAAGAAGAAGACUGAUGCAAACGGUAAUGUAACCGUUUACAAAGCUCGACUUGUCGCAAAGGGUUUUCGACAAAUUCAAGGAGUUGACUACGAAGAGACUUUCUCUCCCGUAGCGAAGCUGAAAUCAGUCCGAAUCAUGUUAGCAAUUGCCGCCUUUUAUGAUUAUGAAAUUUGGCAAAUGGACGUCAAAACAGCAUUCCUUAACGGGAAUCUUAAGGAAGAGUUGUAUAUGAUGCAACCAGAAGGUUUUGUCGACCCUAAGGGUGCUAACAAAGUGUGCAAGCUCCAGCGCUCCAUCUAUGGGCUGGUGCAAGCAUCUCGGAGUUGGAACAUUCGCUUUAAUGAGGUGAUUAAAGCGUUUGGGUUCAUACAGGUUUACGGAGAAGCCUGUCUGUACAAGAAAGUGAGUGGGAGCUCUGUAGCUUUCCUCGUACUAUAUGUGGAUGACAUAUUAUUGAUGGGGAAUGAUAUAGAGAUAUUGGAGAGCAUAAAGGCCUAUUUGAACAAGAGUUUUUCAAUGAAGGACCUUGGAGAAGCUGCAUACAUAUUAGGCAUCAAGAUCUAUAGAGAUAGAUCGAGACGCCUCAUAGGUCUUUCGCAAAGUACAUACCUUGACAAGAUACUGAAGAAGUUCAAUAUGGAAAACUCAAAGAAAGGGUUCUUGCCAGCUUUGCAAGGUAUGAGAUUGAGUAAGACUCAGUCGCCGACCACGGCAGCAGAUAGAGAGAAGAUGAGUUCUGUCCCCUACGCUUCAGCCGUGGGCUCUCUAAUGUAUGCCAUGCUGUGUACCAGACCUGAUAUAAACCUUGCGAUAAGCUUGGUAGGGAGGUACCAAAGUAAUCCCGGUGCGGAACACUGGACAGCGGUCAAUAAUAUCCUUAAGUACCUGAAAAGGACUAAGGAAAUGUUUCUCGUUUAUGGAGGUGACGAAGAGCUCGUCGUAAAGGGUUACGUCGAUGCUAGCUUCGACACAGAUCCGGAUGACUCUAAGUCACAAACCGGAUACGUAUAUGUGUUGAAUGGUGGGGCAGUGAGCUGGUGCAGCAGCAAGCAAGAAGUCGUGGCAGCAUCUACAUGUGAAGCGGAGUACAUAGCUGCUUCAGAAGCGGCUCAUGAAGGAAUUUGGAUGAAGGAGCUCAUCACCGACCUUGGAGUGGUUCCAAGCGCGUCGGGUCCUAUGACACUCUUCUGUGACAACACUGGAGCCAUUGCCAUAGCCAAGGAGCCCAGGUUUCACCGGAAGACGAAGCACAUCAAGCGCCGCUACAACUCCAUCCAGGACCAUGUCCAAACUGGAGUGAUAGAUAUUUGUAAAGUACACACGGAUCUGAAUAUUGCAGACCCGUUGACUAAACCUCUUCCACGAGCAAAACAUGAUCAGCACCAUAAUGCUAUGGGUGUUCGAUACAUCACAAUGUAACUAGAUUAUUGACUCUAGUGCAAGUGGGAGACUGUUGGAAAUAUGCCCUAGAGGCAAUAAUAAAAUGGUUAUUAUCAUAUUUCCUUGUUCAUGAUAAUCGUCUAUCGUUCAUGCUAUAAUUGUAUUAACAGGAAACACUAAUACAUGUGUGAAUGAAUAGAUCACAAUGUGUCCCUAGCAAGCCUCUAGUUAGCUAGCUCGUUAGUCAAUAGAUGAUCAUGGUUUCCUGAUCAUGGACAUUGGAUGUCAUUGAUAACGGGAUCACAUCAUUGGGAGAAUGAUGUGGUGGACAAGACCCAAUCCUAAGCCUAGCACUAGAUCGUAUUGUUCGUAUGCUAAUGCUUUUCUAAUGUCAAGUAUCUUUUUCUUCGACCGUGAGAUCGUGCAACUCCCGGAUANNNNNNNNNNNNNNNNNNNNNNNNNNNNNNNNNNNNNNNNNNNNNNNNNNNNNNNNNNNNNNNNNNNNNNNNNNNNNNNNNNNNNNNNNNNNNNNNNNNNNNNNNNNNNNNNNNNNNNNNNNNNNNNNNNNNNNNNNNNNNNNNNNNNNNNNNNNNNNNNNNNNNNNNNNNNNNNNNNNNNNNNGUGUCUGUUGGGUUGGCACGAAUCGAGAUCGGGAUUUGUCACUCCGUGUGACGGAGAGGUAUCUCUGGGCCCACUCGGUAGAACAUCAUCAUGAGCUCAAUGUGACUAAGGAGUUAGUCACACGAUGACGUGCUACGGAACGAGUAAAGAGACUUACCGGUAACGAGAUUGAACAAGGUAUAGGUAUACCGACGAUCGAAUCUCGGGCAAGUUCUAUACCGANNNNNNNNNNNNNNNNNNNNNNNNNNNNNNNNNNNNNNNNNNNNNNNNNNNNNNNNNNNNNNNNNNNNNNNNNNNNNNNNNNNNNNNNNNNNNNNNNNNNGGGCAUAAUUCCAACAGUCUCCCACUUGCACUAGAUUCAAUAAUCUAGCCCUCACAUCACCAUGUGAAUUACAUUGUAAUAAAUCUAACACCCAUACAGUUCUGGUGUCGAUCAUGUUUUGGCCGUGGAAGAGGCUUAGUCAGCGGGUCUGCUACAUUCAGAUCCGUGUGCACUUUGCAUAUUUUUACGUCCUCCUCCUCGACGUAGUCGCGGAUGAGGUUGAAGCGUCGUUUGAUGUGUCUGGUCUUCUUGUGAAACCUUGGUUCCUUUGCUAAGGCAAUGGCACCAGUGUUGUCACAGAACAAGGUUAUUGGAUCCAGUGCACUUGGCACCACUCCAAGAUCCGUCAUGAACUGCUUCAUCCAGACACCCUCCUUAGCCGCCUCCGAGGCAGCCAUGUACUCCGCUUCACAUGUAGAAUCUGCUACGACGCUUUGCUUGGAACUGCACCAGCUUACUGCACCCCCAUUAAGAAUAAACACGUAUCCGGUUUGCGACUUAGAGUCGUCUGGAUCUGUGUCAAAGCUUGCAUCGACGUAACCUUUUACGGCGAGCUCUUCGUCACCUCCAUACACGAGAAACAUCUCCUUAGUCCUUUUCAGGUACUUCAGGAUAUUCUUGACCGCCGUCCAGUGAUCCACUCCUGGAUUACUCUGGAACCUACCUGCCAUACUUAUGGCCAGGCUAACAUCCGGUCUAGUGCACAGCAUUGCAUACAUGAUAGAGCCUAUGGCUGAAGCAUAGGGGACGGAGCACAUAUGCUCUCUAUCUUCAUCAGUUGCUGGGCACUGAGUCUUACUCAAUCUCGUACCUUGUAACACUGGCAAGAACCCUUUCUUGGACUGUUCCAUUUUGAACCUCUUCAAAACUUUAUCAAGGUAUGUGCUUUGUGAAAGUCCUAUCAGGCGUUUUGAUCUAUCCCUAUAGAUCUUAAUGCCUAGAAUGUAAGCAGCUUCUCCUAGGUCCUUCAUAGAGAAACUUUUAUUCAAGUAACCUUUUAUGCUCUCCAAAAGCUCUACGUUGUUUCCAAUCAGUAAUAUGUCAUCCACAUAUAAUAUUAGAAACGCCACAGAGCUCCCACUCACUUUCUUGUAAAUACAAGAUUCUCCAACCACUUGUAUAAACCCAAAUGCUUUGAUCACCUCAUCAAAGCGUUUGUUCCAACUCCGAGAUGCUUGCACCAGUCCAUAAAUGGAUCGCUGGAGCUUGCACACCUUGUCAGCAUUUUUAGGAUCGACAAAACCUUCGGGUUGCAUCAUAUACAACUCUUCCUUAAGGAAACCGUUAAGGAACGCCAUUUUGACAUCCAUCUGCCAGAUUUCAUAAUCGAAAAAUGCAGCUAUUGCUAACAUGAUUCUGACGGACUUAAGCAUCGCUACGGGAGAGAAAGUCUCAUCGUAGUCAAUUCCUGAAACUUGCGAAAAACCUUUUGCCACAAGUCGAGCUUUAUAAACGGUCACAUUACCGUCAGCGUCCGUCUUCUUCUUAAAGAUCCAUUUGUUCUGAAUAGCCUUGCGGCCCUCAGGCAGCAUCUCCAAAGUCCACACUUUGUUCUCAUACAUGGAUCCUAUCUCGGAUUUCAUGGCUUCUAGCCAUUUGUUGGAAUCUGGGCCCACCAUUGCUUCUUCAUAAUUUGCAGGUUCAUUGUUGUCUAACAACAUGAUUGAUAAGACGGGAUUACCGUACCACUCUGGAGCAGCGCGUGAUCUCGUCGACCUGCGUGGUUCAACAGAAACUUGAACUGGAGUUUCAUGAUCAUCAUCAUUAAUUUCCUCCUCAACCGGCGUCGCAAUAACAGAGGUUUCCCCUUGCCCUGCGCCACCAUCCAGAGGGAUGAGAGGUUCGACAACCUCGUCAAGUUCUAUCUUCCUCCCACUCAAUUCUCUCAAGAGAAACUCCUUCUCGAGAAAAGUUCCGUUCUUAGCAACAAACACUUUGCCCUCAGAUUUGAGAUAGAAGGUGUACCCAACUGUCUCUUUUGGGUAACCUAUGAAGACACACUUUUCCGCUUUGGGUUCCAGCUUUUCAGGCUGAAGCUUUUUGACAUAAGCAUCACAUCCCCAAACUUUAAGAAACGACAACUUUGGCCUUUUGCCAUACCAUAGUUCGUAUGGUGUCGUCUCAACGGAUUUCGAUGGUGCCCUAUUUAAAGUGAAUGCAGCUGUUUCUAAUGCAUAACCCCAAAACGAUAACGGCAAAUCAGUAAGAGACAUCAUAGAUCGCACCAUUUCUAACAAAGUACGAUUACGACGUUUGGACACACCAUUACGCUGUGGUGUUCCAGGCGGUGUUAACUGCGAAACAAUUCCACAUUGUCUUAAGUGAGUACCAAACUCGAAACUCAGAUAUUCACCCCCACGAUCAGACCGUAGGAACUUGAUCUUCUUGUUACGAUGAUUUUCCACUUCACUCUGAAAUUGCUUGAACUUUUCAAAUGUUUCAGACUUGUGCUUCAUCAAGUAGACAUAACCAUAUCUACUUAAAUCGUCAGUGAAGGUGAGAAAAUAACGAUAUCCGCCGCGUGCCUCCACGCUCAUGGGACCACACACAUCGGUAUGUAUGAUUUCCAACAAGUCACUUGCACGCUCCAUUGUUCCGGAGAACGGAGUCUUAGUCAUCUUGCCCAUGAGGCAUGGUUCGCACGUGUCAAGUGAAUCAAAGUCAAGUGACUCAAAAGUCCAUCAGCAUGGAGUUUCUUCAUGCGCUUUACACCAAUAUGACCCAAGCGGCAGUGCCACAAAAAUAUGGCGCUAUCAUUGUUUACUCUAACUCUUUUGGUCUCAAUGUUAUGUAUAUGCGUAUCUCUAUCAAGAUUCAAUAUGAACAAUCCUCUCACAUUCGGUGCAUGACCAUAAAAGAUGUUACUCAUAGAAAUAGAACAACCAUUAUUCUCAGACUUAAAAGAGUAACCGUCUCGCAAUAAACAAGAUCCAGAUAUAAUGUUCAUGCUCAACGCAGGCACUAAAUAACAAUGAUUUAAGUUCAUCACUAAUCCCGAUGGUAGUUGAAGUGACACUGUGCCGACGGCGAUUGCAUCAACCUUGGAACCGUUUCCUACGCGCAUCGUCACUUCGUCUUUCGCCAGCCUUCGUCUAUUCCGCAGUUCCUGCUUCGAGUUGCAAAUGUGAGCAACAGAACCGGUAUCGAAUACCCAGGCACUACUACGAGAGCCGGUCAAGUACACAUCAAUAACAUGUAUAUCAAAUAUACCUGAUUUUUCUUUGCCCGCCUUCUUAUCUGCCAGAUACUUGGGGCAAUUGCGUUUCCAGUGACCCAUACCCUUGCAAUAGAAGCACUCUGUUUCAGGCUUAGGUCCAGCCUUGGGUUUCUUCGGCGGUUUGGCAACAGGCUUGCCGCUCUUCUUCGAAUUGCCCUUCUUGCCUUUGCCGUUUCGCUUGAAACUAGUGGUCUUGCUCACCAUCAACACUUGAUGCUCUUUACGGAGUUCAGACUCUGCGACUUUCAGCAUCGCAAACAACUCGCCGGGAGACUUGUUCAUCCCUUGCAUGUUGUAGUUCAACACAAAGCCUUUAUAGCUUGGCGGCAGUGAUUGAAGGAUUCUGUCAGUGAUAGCUUCUUGCGGGAGUUCAAUCCCCAGUUCAGCUAGACGGUUUGAGUACCCAGACAUUUUGAGCACAUGUUCACUGACAGACGAGUUUUCCUCCAUCUUGCAAGCAUAGAAUUUAUCGGAGGUCUCAUACCUCUCGAUCCGGGCGUUCUUCUGAAAGAUAAACUUCAACUCCUGGAACAUCUCAAAUGCUCCAUGACGCUCAAAGCGACGUUGAAGUCCCGGUUCUAAGCCAUACAAGACUGCACAUUGAACUAUUGAGUAGUCCUCCUUACGUGCUAACCAAGCGUUCUUAACAUCCUGAUCAGCCGUAGCGGGUGGUUCAUCUCCUAGCGCAGCAUUAAGGACAUAAUCCUUCUUUCCAGCUUGUAAGACUAGCUUAAGAUUACGAGCCCAGUCUACAAAGUUGCUUCCAUCAUCUUUCAACUUAGCUUUCUCUAGGAACGUAUUAAAAUUCAGGAUGACACUUGCGUGAGCCAUGAUCUACAACACAAAUAUAUUCAAAGUGGACUUAGACUAUGUUCAAGAUAAUUAGAGUUCAACUUAAUCAAAUUAUAUGCUAAACUCCCACUCAAAAAGUACAUCUCUCUAGUCAUUUGAGUGGUUCAUGAUCCACUUACACUAUCCCAAGUCCGAUCAUCACGUGAGUUGAGUAUAGUUUCAGUGGUAAGCAUCCCUAUGCUAAUCAUAUCAACUAUAUGAUUCAUGAUCGACCUUUCGGUCUCAUGUGUUCCGAGGCCAUGUCUGCACAUGCUAGGUUCGUCAAGCUUAACUCGAGUGUUCCGCGUGCGCAACUGUUUUGCACCCGUUGUAUGUGAACGUUGAGUCUAUCACACCCGAUCAUCACGUGGUGUCUCGAAACGACGAACUGUAGCAACGGUGCACAGUCGGGGAGAACACAAUUUCGUCUUGAAAUUUUAGUGAGAGAUCACCUCAUAAUGCUACCGUCGUUCUAAGCAAAAUAAGGUGCAAAAAAGGAUUAACAUCACAUGCAAUUCAUAAGUGACAUGAUAUGGCCAUCAUCACGUGCUUCUUGAUCUCCAUCACCAAAGCACCGGCACGAUCUUCUUGUCACCGGCGCCACACCAUGAUCAUCCAUCAACGUGUUGCCAUCGGGGUUGUCGUGCUACUUAUGCUAUUACUACUAAAGCUACAUCCUAGCAAAAUAGUAAACGCAUCUGCAAGCACAAACGUUAGUGUAAAGACAACCCUAUGGCUCCUGCCGGUUGUCGUACCAUCGACAUGCAAGUCGAUAUUUCUAUUACAACAUGAUCAUCUCAUACAUCCAAUAUAUCACAUCACAUCGUUGGCCAUAUCACAUCACAAUCAUACCCUGCAAAAACAAGUUAGACGUCCUCUAAUUUUGUUGUUGCAUGUUUUACGUGGUGACCAAGGGUAUCUAGUAGGAUCGCAUCUUACUUACGCAAACACCACAACGGAGAUAUAUGAGUUGCUAUUUAACCUCAUCCAAGGACCUCCUCGGUCAAAUCCGAUUCAACUAAAGUUGGAGAAACCGUCACUUGCCAGUCAUCUUUGAGCAAAGGGGGUUACUCGUAACGAUGAAACCAGUCUCUCGUAAGCGUACGAGUAAUGUCGGUCCAAGCCGCUUCAAUCCAACAAUACCGCGGAAUCAAGAAAAGACUAAGGAGGGCAGCAAAACGCACAUCACCGCCCACAAAACCUUUUGUCUUCUACUCGAAAAGACAUCUACGCAUGAACCUAGCUCUGAUACCACUGUUGGGGAACGUCGCAUGGGAAUUUAUUUUUUCCUACGCGCACNNNNNNNNNNNNNNNNNNNNNNNNNNNNNNNNNNNNNNNNNNNNNNNNNNNNNNNNNNNNNNNNNNNNNNNNNNNNNNNNNNNNNNNNNNNNNNNNNNNNUCGGUAUAGAACUUGCGCGAGAUUCGAUCGUCGGUAUACCUAUACCUUGUUCAAUCUCGUUACCUGUAAGUCUCUUUACUCGUUCCGUAGCACGUCAUUGUGUGACUAACUCCUUAGUCACAUUGAGCUCAUGAUGAUGUUCUACCGAGUGGGCCCAUAGAUACCUCUCCGUCACACGGAGUGACAAAUCCCGAUCUCGAUUCGUACCAACCCAACAGACACNNNNNNNNNNNNNNNNNNNNNNNNNNNNNNNNNNNNNNNNNNNNNNNNNNNNNNNNNNNNNNNNNNNNNNNNNNNNNNNNNNNNNNNNNNNNNNNNNNNNNNNNNNNNNNNNNNNNNNNNNNNNNNNNNNNNNNNNNNNNNNNNNNNNNNNNNUAUAGUCACCCAGUUAUGUUGUGACGUUUGAUACACCCAAAGCACUCCUACGGUAUCCGGGAGUUGCACAAUCUCACGGUCAAAGGAAAAGACACUUGACAUUAGAAAAGCUUUAGCAUACGAACAAUACGAUCUAGUGCUAUGCUUAGGAUUGGGUCUUGUCCAUCACAUCAUUCUCCCAAUGAUGUGAUCCCGUUAUCAAUGACAUCUAAUGCCCAUGAUCAGGAAACCAUGAUCAUCUAUUGACUAACGAGCUAACCAACUAGAGGCUUGCUAGGGACACAUUGUGAUCUAUUUAUUCACACAUGUAUUACUGUUUCCUGUUAAUACAAUUAUUGCAUGAACAAUAGACGAUUAUCAUGAACAAGGAAAUAUAAUAAUAACCAUUUUAUUAUUGCCUCUAGGGCAUAUUUCCAACAGUCUCCCACUUGCACUAGAGUCAAUAAUCUAGUAACAUUGUGAUGUAUCGAACACCCAUAGCAUUAUGGUGUUGAUCAUGUUUUGCUCGUGGAAGAGGCUUAGUCAACGGGUCUACAAUAUUCAGAUCCGUGUGUACUUUGAAAAUAUCUAUUACUCCACUCUGGACAUGGUCCUGGAUGGAGUUGUAGCGGCGUUUGAUGUGCUUGGUCUUCCGGUGAAACCUGGGCUCCUUAGCAAUGGCAAUGGCUCCUGUGUUAUCACAGAAGAGUGUCAUUGGACCCGACGUGCUUGGAACCACUCCAAGGUCGGUGAUGAGCUCCUUCAUCCAAAUUCCUUCAUGAGCCGCUUCUGAAGCAGCUAUGUACUCCGCUUCACAUGUAGACGCUGCCACGACUUCUUGCUUGCUGCUGCACCACCUCACUGCCCCACCAUUCAACACAUAUACGUAUCCGGUUUGUGACUUAGAGUCAUCCGAAUCUGUGUCGAAGCUUGCGUCGACGUAACCCUUUACAACGAGCUCUUCGUCACCUCCAUAAACGAGAAACAUUUCCUUAGUCCUUUUCAGGUACUUAAGGAUAUUCUUGACCGCUGUCCAGUGUUCCGCACCGGGAUUACUUUGGUACCUCCCUACUAAGCUUAUCGCAAGGUUUAUAUCAGGUCUGGUACACAGCAUGGCAUACAUAAGAGAGCCUACCCGCUGAAGCGUAGCGGACAGAACUCAUCUUCUCUCUAUCUGUUGCCGUGGUCAGCGACUGAGUCUUACUCAAUCUCAUACCUUGCAAAACUGGCAAGAACCCUUUCUUUGAGUUUUCCAUAUUGAACUUCUUCAAUAUCUUGUCAAGGUAUGUACUUUGCGAAAGACCUAUGAGGCGUCUCGAUCUAUGUCUAUAGAUCUUGAUGCCUAAUAUUUAUGCAGCUUCUCCAAGGUCCUUCAUUGAAAAACUCUUGUUCAAAUAGGCCUUUAUGCUCUCCAACAUUUCUGUAUUGUUCCCCAUCAAUAAUAUGUCAUCCACAUACAGUAUGAGGAAAGCUACAGAGCUCCCACUCACUUUCUUGUACAGACAGGCUUCUCCGUUAACCUGUAUGAACCCAAAUGCUUUAAUCACCUCAUUAAAGCGAAUUUUCCAACUCUGAGAUGCUUGCACCAGCCCAUAGAUGGAGCGCUGGAGCUUGCACACUUUGUUAGCACCCUUAGGGUCGACAAAACCUUCUGGUUGCAUCAUAUACAACUCUUCCUUAAAGUUCCCGUUAAGGAACGCUGUUUUGACGUCCAUUUGCCAAAUUUCAUAAUCAUAAAAGGCGGCAAUUGCUAACAUGAUUCAGACUGAUUCCAACUUCGCUACGGGAGAGAAAGUCUCUUCGUAGUCAACUCCUUGAAUUUGUCGAAAACCCUUUGCGACAAGUCGAGCUUUGUAAACGGUUACAUUACCGUUUGCAUCAGUCUUCUUCUUGAAGAUCCAUUUAUUUUCUAUGGCUCGCCGGUCAUCGGGCAAGUCCACCAAAGUCCAUACUUUGUUCUCAUACAUGGAUCCUAUCUCGGAUUUCAUAGCUUCAAGCCAUUUGUUGGAAUCCGGCCCUGCCAUCGCUUCUUCAUAGUUCGAAGGUUCACGUUGUCUAACAACAUGAUUUCCAUCACAGGGUUGCCGUACCACGCUGGUGCGGAGCGUGCCCUCAUGGACCUUCGCGGUUCAGUAGUAACUUGAUCCGAAGCUUCAUGAUCAUUAUCAUUAACUUCCUCUUGAGUUGGUGUAGGUGCCACAGGAACAACUUNNNNNNNNNNNNNNNNNNNNNNNNNNNNNNNNNNNNNNNNNNNNNNNNNNNNNNNNNNNNNNNNNNNNNNNNNNNNNNNNNNNNNNNNNNNNNNNNNNNNCCAGUUACGUUGUGACGUUUGAUACACCCAAAGCACUCCUACGGUAUCCGGGAGUUGCACAAUCUCACGGUCUAAGGAAAAGACACUUGACAUUAGAAAAUCUUUAGCAUACGAACAAUACGAUCUAGUGCUAUGCUUAGGAUUGGGUCUUGUCCAUCACAUCAUUCUCCCAAUGAUGUGAUCCCGUUAUCAAUGACAUCUAAUGCCCAUGAUCAGGAAACCAUGAUCAUCUAUUGAGUAACGAGCUAGCCAACUAGAGGCUUGCUAGGGACACAUUGUGAUCUAUUUAUUCACACAUGUAUUACUGUUUCCUGUUAAUAGAAUUAUAGCAUGAACAAUAGACGAUUAUCAUGAACAAGGAAAUAUGAUAAUAACCAUUUUAUUAUUGCCUCUAGGGCAUAUUUCCAACAGUCUCCCACUUGCACUAGAGUCAAUAAUCUAGUUACAUUGUGAUGUAUCGAACAACCAUAGCAUUAUGGUGUUGAUCAUGUUUUGCUCGUGGAAGAGGUUUAGUCAAUGGGUGUGCAAUAUUCAGAUCCGUGUGUACUUUACAAAUAUCUAUUACUCAACUCUGGACAUGGUCCUGGAUGGAGUUGUAGCGGCGUUUGAUGUGCUUGGUCUUCCGGUGAAACCUGGGCUCCUUGGCAAUGGAAUGGCCUCAGUGUUAUCACAGAAGAGUGUCAUUGGACCCGACGCGCUUGGAACCACUCCAAGGUCGGUGAUGAGCUCCUUCAUCCAAAUUCCUUCAUGAGCCGCUUCUGAAGCAGCUAUGUACUCCGCUUCACAUGUAGACGCUGCCACGACUUCUUGCUUGCUGCUGCACCAGCUCACUGUCCCCACCAUUCAAAACAUAUACGUAUCCGGUCUGUGAAUUAGAGUCAUCCGGAUCUGUGUCGAAGCUAGCGUCGACAUAACCCUUUACGACGAGCUCUUCGUCACCUCCAUAAACGAGAAACAUUUCCUUAGUCCUUUUCAAGUACUUAAGGAUAUUCUUGACCGCUGUCCAGUGUUCCAUACCGGGAUCACUUUGGUACCUCCCUACCAAACUUAUGGCAAGGUCUAUAUAAGGUCUGGUACACAACAUGGCAUACAUAAGAGAACCUACGACUGAAGCGUAGGGGACAGAACUCAUCUUCUCUCUAUCUGUUGCCGUGGUCAGCGACUGAGUCUUACGCAAUCUCAUACCUUGCAAAACUAGCAAGAACCCUUUCUUUGAGUUUUCCAUAUUGAACUUCUUCAAUAUCUUGUCAAGGUAUGUACUUUGCGAAAGACCUAUAAGGCGUAUCGAUCUAUCUCUAUAUAUCUUGAUGCCUAAUAUGUAUGCAGCUUCUCCAAGGUCCUUCAUUGAAAAACUCUUGUUCAAAUAGGCCUUUAUGCUCUCCAACAUUUUUGUAUUGUUCCCCAUCAAUAAUAUGUCAUCCACAUAGAGUAUGAGGAAAGCUACAGAGCUCCCACUCACUUUCUUGUACAGACAGGCUUCUCCGUAAACCUGUAUGAAGCCAAAUGCUUUAAUCACCUCAUUAAAGCGAAUGUUCCAACUCCGAGAUGCUUGCACCAGCCCAUAGAUGGAGCGCUGGAGCUUGCACACUUUGUUAGCACCCUUAGGGUCGACAAAACCUUCUGGUUGCAUCAUAUACAACUCUUCCUUAAGGUUCCCGUUAAGGAGCGCUAUUUUGACGUCCAUUUGCCAAAUUUCGUAAUCAUAAAAGGCGGCAAUUGCUAACUUGAUUCAGACUAAUUUCAGCUUCGCAACGGGAGAGAAAGUCUCUUCGUAGUCAACUCCUUGAAUUUGUCGAAAACCCUUUGCGACAAGUCGAGCUUUGUAAACGGUUACAUUACCGUUUGCAUCAGUCUUCUUCUUGAAGAUCCAUUUAUUUUCUAUGGCUCGCCGGUCAUCGGGCAAGUCCACCAAAGUCCAUACUUUGUUCUCAUACAUGGAUCCUAUCUCGGAUUUCAUAGCUUCAAGCCAUUUGUUGGAAUCCGGGCCCGCCAUCGCUUCUUCAUAGUUCGAAGGUUCACCGUUGUCUAACAACAUGAUUUCCAUCACAGGGUUGCCGUACCACUCUGGUGCGGAGCGUGCCCUCGUGGACCUUCGCGGUUCAGUAGUGACUUGAUCCGAAGCUUCAUGAUCAUUAUCAUUAACUUCCUCUUCAGUUGGUGUAGGCGCCACAGGAACAACUUNNNNNNNNNNNNNNNNNNNNNNNNNNNNNNNNNNNNNNNNNNNNNNNNNNNNNNNNNNNNNNNNNNNNNNNNNNNNNNNNNNNNNNNNNNNNNNNNNNNNUGUUGGAAUUAUGCCCUAGAGGCAAUAAUAAAAGUAUAGUUAUUAUUAUAAUUCCUGUAUCAAGAUAAUAGUUUAUUAUCCAUGCUAUGAUUGUAUUGAAUGAAGACUCAUUUACAUGUGUGGAUACAUAGACAAAACACCGUCCCUAGCAUGCCUCUAGUUGGCUAGCCAGUUGAUCGAUGAUAGUCAGUGUCUUCUGAUUAUGAACAAGGUGUUGUUGCUUGAUAACUGGAUCACGUCAUUGGGAGAAUCACGUGAUGGACUAGACCCAAACUAAUAGACGUAGCAUGUUGAUCGUGUCAUUUUGUUGCUACUGUUUUCUGCGUGUCAAGUAUUUAUUCCUAUGACCAUGAGAUCAUAUAACUCACUGACACCGGAGGAAUGCUUUGUGUGUAUCAAACGUCGCAACGUAACUGGGUGACUAUAAAGAUGCUCUACAAGUAUCUCCGAAGGUGUUAGUUGAGUUAGUAUGGAUCAAGACUGGGAUUUGUCACUCCGUGUGACGGAGAGGUAUCUCGGGGCCCACUCGGUAAUACAACAUCACACACAAGCCUUGCAAGCAAUGUAACUUAGUGUAAGUUGCGGGAUCUUGUAUUACGGAACGAGUAAAGAGACUUGCCGGUAAACGAGGUUGAAAUAGGUAUACGGAUGCUGACGAUCGAAUCUCGGGCAAGUAACAUACCGAAGGACAAAGGGAAUGACAUACGGGAUUAUACGAAUCCUUGGCACUGAGGUUCAAACGAUAAGAUCUUCGUAGAAUAUGUAGGAUCCAAUAUGGGCAUCCAGGUCCCGCUGUUGGAUAUUGACCGAGGAGUCUCUCGGGUCAUGUCUACAUAGUUCUCGAACCCGCAGGGUCUGCACACUUAAGGUUCGACGUUAUUUUAUGCGUAUUUGAGUUAUAUGGUUGGUUACCGAAUGUUGUUCGGAGUCCCGGAUGAGAUCACGGACGUCACGAGGGUUUCCGGAAUAGUCCGGAAACGAAGAUUGAUAUAUAGGAUGACCUCAUUUGAUUACCGGAAGGUUUUCGGAGUUACCGGGAAUGUACCGGGAAUGACGAAUGGGUUCCGGGAGUUCACCGGAGGGGGGCAACCCACUCCGAGGAAGCCCAUAGGUAUUUGGGGGGGUCACACCAGCCCUUAGUGGGCUGGUGGGACAGCCCACCAAUCCCCUAUGCGCCAAGAGAGAAAAAAUCAAAGGAAAGAAAAAAAACGGAAAGAAGUGGGAAGGGGGAAGGACUCCCUCCCACCAAACCAAGUAGGACUCGGUUUGGGGGGGGAGAGUCCUCCCCCCUGGCUCGGCCGACCCCUUGGGGAUCCCUUGGACCCCAAGGCAAGGUCCCCCUCCCUCCUCCUAUAUAUAUGGGGCUUUUAGGGCAGAUUUGAGACGACUUUCUCACGGCUGCCCGACCACAUACCUCCAUAGUUUUUCCUCUAGAUCGUGUUUCUGCGGAGCUCGGGCGGAGCCCUGCUGAGACAAGAUCAUCACCAACCUCCGGAGCGCCGUCACGCUGCCGGAGAACUCUUCUACCUCUCCGUCUCUCUUGCUGGAUCAAAAAGGCCGAGAUCAUCGUCGAGUUGUACGUGUGCUGAACGCGGAGGUGCCGUCCGUUCGGUACUAGAUCGUGGGACUGAUCGCGGGAUUGUUCGCGGGGCGGAUCGAGGGACGUGAGGACGUUCCACUACAUAAACCGCGUUCUCUAACGCUUCUGCUCUACGAUCUACAAGGGUACGUAGAUCACUCAUCCCCUCUCGUAGAUGGACAUCACCAUGAUAGGUCUUCGUGCGCGUAGGAAANNNNNNNNNNNNNNNNNNNNNNNNNNNNNNNNNNNNNNNNNNNNNNNNNNNNNNNNNNNNNNNNNNNNNNNNNNNNNNNNNNNNNNNNNNNNNNNNNNNNUGAACGCGGAGGUGCCAUAGUUCGGCACUAGAUCGGAAUCACACGGCGAUCUGAAUCGCCGCGAGUACGACUCCAUCAACCGCGUUCUAGUAACGCUUCCGCUUAGCGAUCUUCAAAGGUAUGAAGAUGCACUCACCCCUCUCUCGUUGCUGGUCUCUCCAUAGGAAGAUCUGAAUAUGCGGAGGAAUUUUUUUGAAUUUAUUCUACGUUACCCAACGGUGGCAUCCGAGCCAGGUUUUCUAUGCGUAGAUUCUAUGCACGAGUAGAACACAAAAGGUUGUGGGCGAUGAUUUGUCAAUUGCUUGCCGCUGCUAGUCUUAUUCUUUUCCGGCGGUAUUGUGGGAUGAAACGGUCCAGACCGACCUUCUCGUAUGCUUACGUGAGACUGGUUCCACCGACAGACAUGCACACCGUGCAUAAAGGUGGCUAGCGGGUGUUUGUCUCUCCUACUCUAGUCGGAUUGGAUUUGAUGAAAAGGGUCCUUAUGAAGGGUAAAUAGCUUUGGCAUAUCAUCGUUGUGGCUGUCACGUAGGUAAGAAAGCAUUCUUGCUAGAAACCCAAAUCAGCCACGUAAAACUUGCAACAACAAUUAGAGGACGUCUUACUUGUUUUUGCAGGGUUUGACAUGUGAUGUGGUAUGGCCAAAGUUGUGNNNNNNNNNNNNNNNNNNNNNNNNNNNNNNNNNNNNNNNNNNNNNNNNNNNNNNNNNNNNNNNNNNNNNNNNNNNNNNNNNNNNNNNNNNNNNNNNNNNNNNNNNNNNNNNNNNNNNNNNNNNNNNNNNNNNNNNNNNNNNNNNNNNNNNNNNNNNNNNNNNNNNNNNNNNNNNNNNNNNNNNNNNNNNNNNNNNNNNNNNNNNNNNNNNNNNNNNNNNNNNNNNNNNNNNNNNNNNNNNNNNNNNNNNNNNNNNNNNNNNNNNNNNNNNNNNNNNNNNNNNNNNNNNNNNUAGUAGUAGUGAUAGUGGUAGUUGGCGUGACGACUUCACGGAGACACGUUGAUGGAGAUCAUGGUGUCACACCGGUGACGAUGAUGAUCAUGCGAUGCCUGAAGAUGGAGAUCAAAAGAGCAAAGAUGAUAAUGGCCANNNNNNNNNNNNNNNNNNNNNNNNNNNNNNNNNNNNNNNNNNNNNNNNNNNNNNNNNNNNNNNNNNNNNNNNNNNNNNNNNNNNNNNNNNNNNNNNNNNNAGGACCGAACGKAUUWCUAAUAUAUAUAUAUAUAUAUAUAUAUAUAUAUAUAUAUAUAUAUAUAAUUUUGAAAACAAAAAUUAUGGUUUAAGAAAUAUGGUUGAUUUAAACUAGCAUGUCUUGAAUCAAAGUAUGUUUGUUGUGUGGCAGUGUGGAGAGGCGAAAGUCAAUAUAUUUAAUUCAGUUAUGCAUGCACUUCUAUGGGACCUACUUAUACGUUGUGACGGAGAAUAUAAAAAAUGGACUGCUAUCAAUACCGGGUUAUACAUAUGAAUGAACCCUAUUUAAACAUAAAUUAUAAAACAUGUGAAUGAUGAAUGUUAUGUCGGUACAUUCCUGAACCGGUAAAAAAGUGUUUUGCGGGAGCGCCGCUCGCCGACCGACGAUUGGGGUCGCUAGCAGUCAACCUGACUUGUGGGCCCGGCUUGCCAGAAAAACGAUUAAACAAGUUAAAACGGACAGUUACAAAUCUUGGUAGUUUUGAGCAACGGAUUAACAAAUUUUUGGUAGUUUUUCGCUAAUAAUCGUAAAGUGGUAGCCACUGGACACAUUUGCGCGAAAUGUGGUAGUUUUUGGCAAUUUACUCAAGGAAAAAUGGUACUUGACAUUAGAAAAGAUUUUAGAAAAGAACAAUACGGUCUAGUGCUAUGCUUACGAUUGGGUCUUGUGCAUCACAUCAUUCUCCUAAUGAUGUGAUCCCGUUAUCAAUGACAUACAAUAUCCACGAUCAGGAAACCAUGAUCAUCUAUUGAUCAAUGAGCUAGCCAACUAGAGGCUAAUCAGGGACACAUUGUGAUAUAUAUAUUCACACAUGUAUUACGGUUUCCGAUUAAUACAAUUAUAGCAUGAAUAAUAGACAAUUAUCGUAAACAAGGAAAUAUAUCAAUAACCACUUUAUUAUAACCAUGAUGGCGACAGCGAAGGCCUACCUAGUCAGUGAUGAUGGCUACCAGCAUGGGUCGAUGGCGGGCAAGGGCAUGCUCAUCGUGCAGGAGACCGUCUUGCUUAGUGCUUCAGGAGUAAGGAGAUUGGAGAGAUGGGGAUAAGGUACGGGACUAGACGUGACUGUUGUAAGGAAUGCGAUGAUGAGGUCAACAUGGAACGUGUGGCAAGAAACCGAGGGGGCGGAUCCAAACAUGGUUAGCCGUUCGUUGUUGUAUGACGUUUCCCUUAUAGAAUGGGUUGGCAAAUAAGAAUGUUGUUUUAAAAAAUGAAAUUUUUAGCCGUUGUGAGAAACACACACUUUGGGGUAUCAUUUCUUGGUCGUAUCCCUUUUGAGAGCUUCAUUUUUGGAGUAGAGACCAGCCAAAGGGACCAGGAUGGGUUUGACAGUGUUGUUGGUUUGGUCAAAUUUUAUCCGAGUCGCUACCAAAAGAAGAGCGAGGAUGUCUUGGUCUAUGCAUAUAUGUACAGGCGUUAAGGCUGUCAUGUAGACAAAAAAAUUUGACGUGGCAAGGUAAUUAAGAGCAGAGAGAUGAGUGUGAUAAUCCUAGAAAGAAACAACGUCAAACGCGUGAACCUAGGCAAAACACUUAAAAAGAAAAACACCAAUGCAUGAAAAUCUUUAGUCGCUAAAUCAUUAUAUGAAGGGGGUUUAGCAACAACAAGAUAAGCACCUAUGCAUUGGGGGCUUUACUUGCUAAGUCAUUUAAUGUGCUUAGCACUUUAUUUUAGCAUCGAUGCAUUGAAAGUAGCGAUAAAGCCCUCAAACCUAUCCAUGGGGUACUACACCGGCACAAAAAUUUCUGUAGUAGGGACCAGCUGAGGAACAAAUUUGAGUUUGACAAUGUUCUGUAGGGUUCAAUGACUUUGUUUCGUCCAUGUUCUUGUACAAGUUCAAGACCCUCCCAUGGCUAUCGUUUUGUUGUGGCAAGCUUCCUGUUUUUGAUGUUAUGUCUGUUCAUCUUUGCUCAAUAAAGCGCAAGAAGCCUUUCAAAUUGCACGGAGCUCCCAGUCAAGGUUCGUGUUUGGCACUCGUUGAUUAUAGUGCUUCUGUGUGCGUCGUGGGUUUGGUACACACGUCGGUGCAGUGCGAUAGGUUGAUUGUAAAGGCUUCGCACUGUGUUCCAUUGACGAUACCCCACAACUAAUUGUGUUUUGGUGAUGAUGGUCCUUUUAGUCUCCUAGGUAGGUCUCGCUGUAUGUUGGCAUUUUGUUCUUCUUAUCUUCUUCUAAUCUUGUUACGUGUACGGUUUUUGAAUCAGUUUUCAUUAUAAACGGGUCAACAUGUUCAGGUUUUUGACCUAACUUCCUUAUAAACUGAAUCAUUCUCUUGGUAAAAUGGCCACUUUGUGUACUAUAAUCAGGUGGAGUGAUUCCUUCCCGGUGAUUCUCAAAAAAGAAAAUUUAUGUGUGUUGAACUUGUUCUGUAAUACGAACUACAAAGACAUUUUAUAUUUAGUUACAGAGAUGAUAAAUCCUCACUCCAUUAGCACACCAUUAGCUCCUUCACUAAAGUGAUGAUCCACACAUCAAGAUUGUUCAACGGGACUGAUAUAAACUAACACUUUUGAUGUUUCUCCUUUAAGUGUAGAAAAGAAAGUAUUAUUUAAAUUUUGAUCCGCACGUCAAGAUUGUUGAACGGGAAUGACAUAAAUAUAUUGAGAGUGCCUGAAUUUCGGUACCUAAAUAGGGAAAUACACGGUUUUUUGUGCUUAAAAUUAAUUCCUUAUCGUGCAAAUACAUACAUUUCCAUAUAUACACAUAUACAGGUGGGCGCUCCACAUAACACAUAUUUUUUCAGGUUUGUUGCAUAAGACAUCAUCACUUAGUGUAAUCGGGUGCAACUAAGAUUAAUCCAUCAUAUGAUUCUGUUCACAUGAUUUUUAAUCCACCAUAUGAUUCUGUUCACAUCAUCAUUGGAAGCAGCUCACUGCUCACAUGCAUGGGCCUUGGAGAAGGGCUGGCCCGGCCGGCGAGCACAUGCCGCCGGUUUCGCGCGAAAACUGGGAGCGCCGCUCGCCGACCGACGGACGGUUACAAGUGAAACCGGCGGCACCUCCUGCUAUGUUUCGUUUUCUUUAUCUGAUCUUACUACAAAAGGCACCUCCUGCUCUGUUUCGUUUUCUUUAUCGUUUUAUACAAAAGAACAAAUGCCUUUCGGGUAGCAAUUAUCAUGCGAUCAGCACUACUGUGCCCAACUUUAGAACGAUCGAGAUCUCGAUUUUCUUGCUAAUAACUUUCGGGGGAGGAGUGGAGUGGAGGACGAUUCCCUCCAACGAACAAACAUCAUCCAAUCCUGUGGAUCACCCGCGCCCACAAGCUCUCGGAAAGCGUGCGGUGCUCUGCCCCGCCCACCAACUCGCAUUUCAGCACUCCAAGUCCAAGCGAGUGAGCACUGCAGAGAACCCACGGUUUGCGCCCAAAACCAUGCGUGGCCGCCACCUUUUCGCUCCCUAUAAAUACAGGGCAACCUUGGAAUCAAUCAAGCAACAGCCGGCCCAUCUCGUCUCUCUCGAUCACACCUCCCAUACCUACUUGGCCAGUGAGCAGUAGCCCCGUUUCCGUCGAGGAUCAAGCGCGAAGAAGAUGUCGUCGGUCACCCGUGCCCACCUCGACCACAAGCUCGCCCUCGCCAAGCGCUGCUCCAGAGGUCGGUCGGUGAUUAACCAAGCGUGUACCGGAGCAUCCAUCUUGAUACAAGCGACCUCAUUUUUGUUGUUGUUGUUUGGCAGAGGCGACGCUUGCCGGAGCCAAGGCGGCAGCCGUCGCCACCGUCGCGUCUGCAGUUCCGACGGUACGUACGUACGUGGUGGAGCAGUGCUCCUUUACUACUGUUGUUUAGUCUCUGCUAACUGAUCGGCAUGUGUGGUGCAGCUGGCCAGCGUGCGGAUGCUGCCGUGGGCCAAGGCCAACCUCAACCCCACCGGCCAGGCGCUCAUUGUCUGCACCGUCGCCGGGAUGGCAUACUUUGUCGCCGCCGACAAGACCAUCCUCUCGCUGGCGAGGCGGCACUCGUACGAGAGCGCCCCCGACCACCUCAAGGACACCUCCUUCCAUGGCGACGCCGCAGCUCGUCCCCGUCCACCGGCAUUCUUCAGGCCUUGAGUAGAGAGUUAUAGUUAGCUGCUACCGCGCCGUUCGUCGAUGUCCCAAGAAACUGCUGCUUACUUAAUUAUCAUCGCCAUCGUCAUGCUUGCUUACAAUCUUGGAUAUAGUGGUGCCUCAUGCUGUAGCCCAGUGUAACUCGCAUGUAUAGUAUGCUAUAUGCGGGUGUUACAGUUAAUUAACGACAAUCAUUUUCUCCCUGUUUUAUUACUGCAUGCAAUUUGAAUCUUCUGAAUCGCCGAUGAACACUGCAUCCCCAAAAUGAGGACUGGAAGACGUCUCACUUGUCUGAAUUUCAGGUGCAAAUGUGCUAUAAUUAAAGACUGAAAAAUACAUUGGAAAGAUGGUGAAGCAGCUCACAUGCAUGGAGAAGGGCACAUGCCGCCGGGGAGCACAUGCUGCGGGUGUGGCCGGAAAACUGGGAGCGCCGCUGAAUAAGUAAAUUUAGAGCAUCUACAGCCAACCUGACGCCUCGUAUCGAUCUCAAAUGCCUGAGCAGACCGUUCGGUCACUACUCGGUCACGAAAAUACGAUUUAGAUGGAUCUUUUAAAACCGUCUUAUAUACCCGGGCUUACCGACAUCCUUCAUAUCCUCACGCAGAAAAAAUAUAGACUCGUUAUCAACAUUGAGCACCACUUGUUUCGGAUCUUGAUUCAUGAGAUCACCGUGUAGCCUUCCUAGCCACAUACCUUGACACUCUGCUUCACUUGAAGUCGAUCUCACCACUUUUUGCUUUCGUGAUAGCCAGCUUACUAUGCAUCCAUCAACGGAAUAUGCCACGUCCGAGGUACUCUUACCGUCGUCAACAAUUCCUUCCUUGUCAUUAUCACUGUAACCGAGUAGUUUCACCAUCUCCUUCUUGCUCAGCUCAAGACGAGGUUCCAUUGAAGCAUCAAUUGGAUUGCAACCAUUCAUGCCAAAAUUUUCAAGUACCUUCCUUGUGUAUGCCUCCUGGCAUAAUGUGAUCUCUUCUGGCUUAUGAUGUACCUCUGGUCUGAGGUAGCAACUCAAAAGACCUAGACCGUCCAUUUUGAAAAGCUCCUUCAUUUGUAGCUUGAACUUUGCAAUCACCUCUUCAUCUGCUCCAGUAAUCAAUAGAUCAUCAUCGUAUAUAGUUUCCAACUAGUAGACGAUCACUUCCUUCACCUCUCUUGUACAUUGUAUGCUCGAGUGGGGCUUUCUCAAAUCCAAGAGAAAUCAAAGUCCGAUCAAGUUUGAUGUUCCACGCCCGAAGUGUGAAAAGCGUAGGUUAAGCGUAUGCAAUGGCUGCAGGGACGCGUUCAUGUUAUAUGGGGGCCCAACGCCAGAGAUACACAAGUUGGUUAGGUCUAGGAUUGAUCUCCAAGUAAUCUAACAACCAUGAGAUCUUAUCUCUAGACCUACCGGUUUACAAAGAGUUGGACACGGUUUAUACACCACCGUAUCCUAACUAUACAAUGUUUAACACUCCCCCUCAAUCACAACUAUCUAAGUUGAGAUUGUGUCGAAAUGCUUCUAACUGCCUAAGAGUAAGCGGUUUAGUAAAGCCAUCAGCAACUUGAUCACCUGUAGGUAUAAACCUAACAUUCAGCAGCUUGUCGGCAACACGUUCUCGAACAAAGUGAUAGUCAAUCUCAAUAUGCUUAGUCCUGGCAUGAAAAACUGGAUUAGCAGCUAAGUAUGUAGCACCAAGAUUAUCACAGGGAGGCUGCCUUUGGAUGACGUAUCCCAAGUUCAUUCAACAUGUUCUGAACCCAAAUAACUUCGGCAGUGGCAUUGGCUAGAGCUUUAUAUUCUGCUUCGGUGCUCGACCUAGAGACCGUGGGUUGUUUACGAGCACUCCAUGAUACUAGAUUUCCUCCAAGAAAUACUGCAAAGCCUCCUGUAGACCUUCUAUCAUCUGGGCAUCCUGCCCAAUCUGCAUCAGAAAAAGCACUUACAAGCAUUGAAUCUGACUUACUGAUCUUGAGUCCAUGACUCCUUGUCCCUUGGAAAUACCUCAGUAUCCUCUUUACCGCUGUCCAGUGUGUAGUACUAGGAGCAUGCAAGAACUGACAUACCUUAUUUACUGAAUAACAGAUAUCUGGUCUAGUUAACGUCAAAUACUACAAUGCUCCUACAAUACUUCUAUAUUUGGUGGAGUCUUCUGCUCCAAGUACUUCCCCAUCAUGGACAGAUAAUUUUUCAGAUGUAGAUAAAGGUGUAGAAGAAGGUUUGCACCCUUUCAUACCUAUUCUCUGGAGUAUUUCCUGCACAUACUUUCCUUGUGACAUCAUGAUCCCACUGGGUACCUUUUUAACCUCAAUGCCAAGGAAGAAGUGUAGAUCACCUAGGUCUUUGAGAGAAAAAUCUUUUCUCAAGUCCUUAAGAAGAGCUUCAACUGCUUGACUUGAUGAGCUAGUAACAACUAUAUCAUCAACAUAGAUCAGCAUAAAAAUAGUUACUCCAUGCUUAUGAUAAACGAAGAGUGAUGUAUCCCCCUUGGAUGGAACAAACCCUAGGGAUUGCAACUUGAAGGACAAACGAGAAUACCAGGCUCUAGGUGCUUGUUUCAGACCAUACAAUGCUUUAUCAAGUUUGCAAACAUAGUGAGGUGAGUGAGGAUGCUCAUACCCUGGAGGUUGCCGCAUAAAUACUUCCUCUUCUAGAACGCCAUGCAAGAACGCAUUCUUCACAUCUAGCUGUCGCAUGCACCAAUUACGAGAUACAGCUAUUGACAGAAUUAACCUGAUAGUGACAGCCUUGACAACAGGGCUAAACGUAUCCUCGUAAUCCAAGCCAUAGUGUUGCUUAAAACCCUUAGCAACAAGACAUGCCUUAUACCUGUCUAUAGUGCCAUCAGAUUUUCUUUUUACUUUAUAAACCCAUUUACAGUCAAUGAUAUUCUGGCCUGUAGCAGGAGGAACAAGACGCCAUGUCUGGUUCUUGAUGAGAGCAGCAAAUUCCUCAUCCAUAGCAGCUUUCCAUCGGGUAUCACCAAGAGCUUCAACAAGGCUUUGUGGUUCACCUGUGGAACAGAACGAGCCCCAGCGUACACAGCCAUCAGUAUAUACCUUCGGUUUGAGAAUACCUCCCUGGGCACGUGUGUGCGCUCGAGCAGGCGGAGGAGGUGUAGGACGAGCAAGCUGUUGCGGAAGGCGCGGUACUGUAGCCGAGACAGGGGAUUCGUCGAAGGAGUCGUGUAGCGAACGUGAAACACCCGAGCCGGCAGUAUCGUCGGCUGCAUGCGUGUCGGACGACCCGACAGGCAUGGCGGAGUGUGCAGCAGACAGGAGGCGAUCCCGAGGCGCACAUGCAGAGGCUGCUAGCGACGCGGGAGCGGCCGAGCCACGUGGGGGCGUAGGCGACGCGGAAACCGUCGCUGGAGCGCCUGAGCCACGCGGGGGCGGGGGCGACGCAGAAACCGACGCGACACCGCCGAAUCAUGCGCCGCGUUCGGCCGACCGGGAGGGGGCCCGCCUGGCCCUGCCGAAAAACGACCGACUGCCACGGGUGGUGACCCCCGACCGUGGGAGGAUCUACUGGCAGCGUCAGCGCCAGGAGUUGCGGUCCCCGAGGCCGGAAUGGAAUCAGGCGCAGGCUGGCCCGGAUCUGGAACUGAUUCCGAGGCGGGAUCUUCUGCGGAGGCACCGGGAUCUGCUGAGAGCAUAAAAUCACGCCCUGUUGCGCUGUUUCCUGCAAAAUCUUCCUGCACACUAGAAUCUGACGGAUCAUCAGGGUUAGUAGUAUGAGACAUUGUCAUGUGGUCAUCAGCAGUAUCUACCCCCCUAGCAAGGAAUUGUGGUGAUGGGAGGAGGUGGGAGGGAAGUAAAACAAGCUCUUUACGAAGUUGUGCACCAGCAUUAGGAUGGAGUGUAGCAAAAGGGAAAACUUGCUCAUCAAAUACUACGUCACGAGAGAUGUAGACUCGACCAGAAGUAACAUCAAGGCACUUAUACCCUUUGUGCAUUGUGCUGUACCCUAGGAAGACACAUUGUUUGGAGAGAAACUCAAGCUUGUGUUUGUUGAAGGGACGUAAGUACAGCACACCCAAAAAUGCGUCAAAAGGUGUAGUUGGGUUUUGUAUGAAAAAUACGCUCAAGAGGGAUUGAUUAUGGAUGAUCCUACUAGGUGUGCGAUUAAUAAGGUAGACAGCGGUAAGAAAAGCUUCAUCCCAAAACUUGAGGGGCAUAAAAGCAUGGGCAAGGAGGGAUAACCCAACUUCUACAAUGUGGCGAUGUUUUCUUUCAGUAGAGCCGUUCUGUUGAUGAGCAUGGGGCUGGAGACAUGGUGGGUGAUGCCAAUAUUUUCAAAAAACACAUUGAGUUUUUGGUAUUCACCACCCCAAUCUGUUUGCAUAGCAAGAAUCUUUCGAUCAAAGAGACGCUCAACGUGUUGCUGGAAAACAUGAAACUUGGCAAACACAUCAGAUUUAUGCUUGAGUAAAUAAAUCCAGAUAAACUCGCUGAAAUCAUCAAUGAAGCUAACAUAGUACUUUUGCUUUCCUACAGAAAGGGGUCCAGGCCCCCACACAUCAGAAAAAACAAGCUCUAAAGGAGCUUUGGACUCACUAGUGGAACGAGUAUAAGGGAGUUGGUGGCCAUUUGACAUGAAUCACAAACUAACAAGUGAUCCUUUUUAUUGGACACAGGAAGACAAAAAUCUCUAAGAAUUUUAUGGACAACCGGCAAAGCUGGAUGCCCUAGACUCUUAUGCCAUCUUGAAGUGGAGGGUUUGGUCACACCAAGUGCUUGUCGAUGUGGAGGAUCAUGGCGACCAGAAAUUGGAAACAGACAUUUUUUUACUCUUGCUUUGAAGGAUUGUUCUCCGAGUGUCCCGAUCCUUGACAAAAACAAUUUCAGGGUAAACUUCAAGAAAGGCAUAAUUAUCAUUGAUAAGUUUGUGAGCAGAGAGAAGACUUUUGUCAGCUAGAGGUGCAUGAGGAUAUUGUUUAAGUGCAGGGAACCAUGGGGAGUAGACAAAACAGAGUGACCAAUAUGAGCAAUGUCCAUACCUUGACCACUUGCAGUGUAGAUUUGAUCUGUCCCGGUGUAGCGAUCCCGAACAGCUAGCUUCUCAAGCUCACCGAUGACAUGAUCUGUCGCGCUAGUGUCCAGAUACCAGUUGGUAUCCACUCCAUAGGACCCCGAAGUUUUGGCAGCAUUGGCAGAUUUGUUUCCACCCCCACCUCCACUGCCAGCCGGGUUACCCACAUUGUUGUUGAAGUUGCGAUCGAAGCGCUUUUUACAGCGCCACGCACCGUGCCCGCUCUCUUUGCAGAUCUGGCAAUUCUCCCGAUUGUUGUUGUCGCGGUCACCACCACGGUCGCCACGCCCGCCACCAUUGCCCGAGUUGUCGAAGAAGCGCACACCCGUGUUGUUGUUGUUGAAGCCACGGGGACCACCAUUGCCGUUCCCAGAACGACCGUAGCCACCCCGGCCACCUCCCUUAGCAGCCAUAUUGGCCGUGUAGGAGGCUGUCUGGGUAGUGAUCCGUCCCUCUACAGCAAGCAGGAGGGAGUACAGCUCUCCAAGACCGAUCGGUUGAUCAGUGAUGGUGCGGGUUGAGAUAGCAGAAACGAACCCGUUGUACUCGGGUUCAUGCAUCAGCCCUUGGAGGAUGUGCGACACCACGUCGUCCUCAUCAAGGUGUUUUCCAGCAGCAGCAAGUUCAUCAGCGAGCCCCUUCAUCCUGGUGAAGUAGGCGGCGGCGGAGAGAUCACCUUUGCGAGUGGAGGCGAUCUGUGAGCGGAGUUGGAUGAUGCGCGCCCUCGACUGCGAUGAGAAGCUCUGAAGAAGCUCCUUCCACGCCUCGGCAGUAGUCUCGCAGUUACUGACCUGCAUCAGUACGUCGCGAGAGAGGGAUGCCAGCAGAAAAGUCAGUACCUGCUGGUCCUGGGUCACCUAAACGGCAUGUUCGGGGUUGGAAGUAGCGACGAUCUCCUUCUUGCCGGCAACUUCUUUUUCCAGAAGGAGCUCGGCGCUGGGUUCCUUGUUUGAUCCAUCAAGGAACCCCAUCAUACCGGCGGCACGGACGUGCGGCAGGACUUGGGCUCUCCAUACAAGAAAGUUCUCUCUUGUUAGAUUCUCUGUGAUGGUGUGGCCGAGAGAGGCGAUGGAGGGAGAGGCCAUGGUGAUCGCAGAGGAGGAGGUGGACAUGGCGGCGGCUAGAUGUAUUGGAAGAGACUAGCUCUGAUACCAUAUGAAACGCGUAGGUUAAGCGUAUGCAAUGGCUGCAGGGACGCGUUCAUGUUAUAUGGGGGCACAACGCCAGAGAUACACAAGUUGGUUAGGUCUAGGAUUGAUCUCCAAGUAAUCUAACAACCAUGGGAUCUUAUCUCUAGACCUACCGGUUUACAAAGAGUUGGACACGGUUUAUACACCACUGUAUCCUAACUAUACAAUGUUUAACACGAAGGUCUUGCCGUCGCCCAUACAAAACUUUGUGCGCCUUCAAUACCUUGUGUUCUUCUCCCUCUUUGAUGAAGCUUGGUGCUAGAUUCACAUACACAUCUCCUUCCAUCUCACCGUGCAAAAACGUAGAUUUUACAUCCAUAUGAUGUAUCUUUCAUGAUUCUUGAGCCGCGAGAGCGAUGAGUAAUCUCAUCGAUUCCAUCCGCGCAAUGGGAACGAACACUUCUUUGAAGCCCACACCUUCAUCUUGCAUGUCCUCUUUGACCACUAGCUUCGCCUUGUGCUUCACACAAGUUUCUUGAGCUUCUUUCUUGAUCGUAAAUACCAACUUGAGCUGCAUGGUUUUUUCAUUGUUGGGAAGAUCCACAAGCUCCCAUGCAUUGUUGUCGUGUGGAUGUGGAUCGAUCCCAACUCUUCCCUCAUAGCAUGACGCCAACACUCCUUUGUAUUUGCGUCUUCAAAAUCUGUCGGUUUCUCGGUAAUUGCUAGACACCUUCGCUGCUCCCUUUCAUUUUCAGCGGGUCAACUGUCUGAACAGUUUUCUCUAGAUAGAGAUGUAGCUCCGGUUGAAGCAACACGGAUGUAGAUGGCAGUGUCCUUUCUUCCAUUUCCACAGGAACUGCAUUACCUCGCCGUUCCUAUCUCUUCUUGUUGCAGUGUGCGUGCAUGGCAAAACUGCACACACCAUCUCUCCUACACCUCCACUGAACGAGCCACCUUCCAGUGGCAGCUCGCCAUGUCCAGCUAGUUUCCUGGUGCAUACUUAUCACCAUCACAUGGGGAGCGCCCAACAGUUGUUGUUGCCUCUUUGCAUGUGUCACACGCUGCUUGUGAGCUGGCCUGGCCACCAGGCCGUGUGUCCACUUCUGAGCAACUCGGUUGGCUGGGUAGGCCAUCUCCUUUCGGCCCGCCCGCUCCAACGGUGUAACAGCUGCCUCCAGAACUUCCCGAUCGAGCGCUCGUAGAACUCGCUUCAUCAGAACAAGCUCCGUCACCACCUAGCUUGCAUGUUCUGCUCAGCGACACAUCGCAUGUACGCUUUGCCUCUUCGUGGACUUUUGACAUCACGUCUUCGUCUAUUACUAGACAACGUAACAUGGCUUGUGCACACGUGCUUACUUUUGCAUCAGCAUACUUUGAUUCGUGGUUUUCAGGCGUCACGUAUGCCCAAGUAACGUCCGUGACCAUCGCAUCGACACAAAGUUCAGAAUUAUGUCUCACGUCAGUAGCUUCGACACAAGUUUUGAAAUCACCCCUCAUGUCUGUAACAAGGCCGCUUCUCCACGGCCGAACACAUGCAAUGAGCGAUUCCUUCGCUCCAACAAAGUUGGCACUUACACCCAUAGCAUUGAUGUAAGUUUCGGAAUCACCUCCCGCAUCCGUAGCAUCGAUAUGGGUUUCCGAACCAUGAUCUUGAGAGCAAACUCUUCCUUCACGCAGUGCGGCAAUUUAUUUAGCCGACACUUGAAGAACUGGAUCCUCCUCGUCCACGAGUUCACACAUCAACAUCAUGUCACCUUCAUCUCCUUGAUGGACCAUGAGCGCCUUCUCCUUUGGGGGAUUCUUGCACUCCGACUUGAAGUGCCCAAUGAUGCCUUAAUUGUGACACUUAUCUUGCGCUUGUCGAACUUCUUCUUCUCCUUCGGAGCGCCAUCGCUAGCGUCCUUUUGAUUUUUUUUCGUUUGGCACACGAUCUUGGCGAGCGUAACUGCUAGAGCCCUCACCUUCUCUCCUUGAGUCUAGCGCCUGCCACUGAGCCCGCGCGAGCAUGAUAAGCUCAUCGUUCCUCCCGUCCCCGAGAGUGUACCUCAAACGCUCGUCGUGAGCCUUAUAGCGUCCGACAAGAUCAUCAAUACAGAGGGUCGCAAGAUCGAUGCACUGCUCGAUUGCCGUGACAAUUUGCAGGUACCGGGGAUGAGCCGCGCGCAAGAACCGACGGACAACCGAGGCCUCCGUGAGGUUUUCUCCAAAUGCGCGGAUCCGAUUGACGAGAGUUGCAACCCGUGAAGCGAACGCGUCCACGGACUCAUUGUCGCCCAUGACCAAAGUCUCAUAGUUCCGUAAGAGAGUUUGGAGAUUGGCUUGCUUGACGGGGUCGUGUCCCUCAAACAUGAGCUUCAAGGUAUCCAAAGCCUCAUUCGUCGUUUCUUUGACGAUCACGUGUUGAAGGACAUCCAUCGGCAUCACCGAAUAAAUCAUCGACGCCGCCUACCGAUCCUUCCGAUGCUCAGCUCCCUCCUUCUUGAAAGCGUCGCCUCCUGGAUCGAUUGCGUCCCACAACACGUUGGCGCGGAGACGACACUCCAUGAGAGCCUUCCAGAAUCCGAAGUUCUCGCGAUCAAAUCGUGGGUACGACAAACUCGCCGGAGCAGCAAAUACUUUAGCCGCACCGAUGUACUCCGCCAGCUGCUUGGCCUUGUCAUCCUCCGACAUGAUCUUCCGUUACUAGAAUAUCAACCUUGCUCUAGAUAUUAAUUGUUGGCCCAGACCUAACGCCGAGUACUUUCCGGCGACGGUAACGACGGACGAAGACGAAGCCGAACAAAGCUCCUUGACGAACUCGACGAAGUUCCUUUGCGUCGAGCUGUAACCGCUAGCCGGAUUAUCGGUUUCUGGAGGAGACGCGCACGUACGCGUAACCUAAGCAGGCAGGCUAGCAGGUGGAUGGUUUCUCAUGCACACGUUCGUAGCAAUUUGGUUGCUGCCUUGAUCGAUCGGAACUAGCAUCGCCGAGACACACACGCGAGAACACGAGGAUAUGAUGGCUACGGGAGCGUGUCGCUCCCGACUUUCUUCUUUGUAUUGAUCUGAUUUCAAUCUGAUGUUACAAAUUCCUAUAUGGUGACAUAGAUAUAUAUAUUAGCUAGCUACAGCCAAUACAAUUCCUAUAUGGUGACCGUGUCCUAGUCCGACCCGGCUAGGGAAUCACAAGACGUAAUUAACUCCAACACCCGAGCACGUCUGUCUGAUAGGCCUGGCCCACCAUCGAUCCCAUCAAUGUCCCAAAAAAUAACCACUCUCGACGCCUCGUUCCGAACCCUAGCUCUUUCUCUCUUCCUCCAUCUCGUGUUCUCCCGCUUCGAGCCCGCUCCAUCGAGUAGAAUGUCGAGUACCGACAGCCGCUCCGAUGACUCCGACGUCAACCCCGACGAGCUGGCCCUUCGCAUCGCCUUGGAGUGGUCCAAGGUGCAGACCGGCGGCAACUUAGGAUCUGGAGCUAUGCCGCCACUCCCGAGACGGUGGAGCGCGGAUGCCGGAGCUGGACCCUACCGUCCCGCGCGCAACUUCGACUGCAAGGCUGCAUAGUCCGCAUAGGCCUCACGUCGUGUCCUCCCCUCGCCAGGUGCUGCUCCAGGCGGGCAGCGCUGGGUCCUAGUGUCCACGCCGCCGGGCAGCGCCCGCAUGCGUACUCCAAAAUCGGAGGCACGUGCCGCCCGCCAUGAGAGGCGGCGGGCACUAGGAUGAGGGGAAGCACAACAGUCUGCGCGGCGGCACCGCAGGAUGCCAGCAGAGCCCGAUGAGAACGAAUGUCUCCUCGCAAGGGUGUACCUCCGGUCCCUCACGACGGCGGAGACGGACGCUCGGUGCUACCGACGGAAGAAUGUGAAGUUGUUCCGGCUUGCUAUUGAGAAAUUGGUGUGCGAGGCGAAGGAGACAGCGAAGGAGAAGGCCCGACUGGCACGAUUGAAGUGCGAGAAAGACAUGGCGGUCUUGCGGAUAAAGGGGCUCAUCGUCCUCUUCGAAAAUGACUCGGACGACAGCGACAACGGCAUCUUCUCCUCUGACGACCAAGAUCCUCCGCCAACCGCGGACGGCUACAGUUGCCUCGGCGAUCCAAAGGGCAAAAGUACGGCGAGGAAGUGGUGAUAUGCCCCCUCCCCCCUACGCAUUCUUAAUAUAGUUUUUUAGUGAUGAUAAACUAUGUCCUGCGAACUCGAUGAUCUUUUGAGUGAUGAUGGAUUUCCGUUUGCCGCAAAUCUUGUGUUCGUUUCCUUCCGAUUUUAUUUUCCGAUCACGUAGAUUAUUUCGACAUGCAUAUGUAGUAUGAAUAUAGGACGCCGGAAUGAGACAUGUGGAUGUGUUUUUGGAAAAGGAGGUUCAAACCCCCGGCCUCUCCAUCAAUCGAUGCAUAUGUCCAUCUUUAUUAAUUAUUCAACAUAGGUCUAACAAGAACAUACAGAAAACCAUCUGAAGCCAUCACUCACACCUACGAAACUCGAUAAUGUGGAGUGCUCUCAUUCCUCAUAUCUAAAACCGGUGCCGUCACUGAUACACCCACAUAACGUAUCGGAACCCACAGCCGGUGCAGCAGACAUAAAGCGUACACCACAUGCACACGUUUUAGAUGCCGCCAUCAUCAUCAGGCCGCUGACCCGUCUUCAAGAGAGAGAUCUGUAUCAUCCUUGCCAGUCCGUCCAUCCGUCGACGCAACCACGGCUCGUCAGUCCAGACGUGUAGAUUUCGGAAGAUCUGUCGUGUGUAGCACCUGUUGACCAGGCAUGGCACAGCGUAGCACCUAUUGGUCAGGCAUGACUUGACAUCUCCACCGAAAGCUCCGUGCAAGAUGAUCGACGCCACCACGGCGCCAAACAGCGCCACCUCCCUGCGCUCAUUCGUCCAGACACGAAGAUUGUCGAAGAGCUGUCAUGCAUAGCACCUACCAACCAGGCAUGACUCAGCGUAGCACCUGUCGGCCACGCAUGACUUGACAGUUCCACCAAAUCUUCGGGCCAGACGAAGCCGCUCCAUAUCCUACCUCUGUCAUCCAGCGCUGCUCCACAAACGAUGCUCCCAAGAGAGAUAAGGCACCGCAGUACCGCCAUCGUCCGAUCUGGAAAGUCGGAUCUUAGGGUUUCCCCCGAAGUAGUGUUGGAAUUAUGCCCUAGAGGCAAUGAUAAAUAAGUUAUUAUUAUAAUUCUUGUAUCAAGAUAAUCGUUUAUUAUCCAUGCUAUAAUUGUAUUGAAUGAAGACUUAGAUACAUGUGUGGAUACAUAGACAAAACACUGUCCCUAGCAAGCCUCUAGUUGGCUAGCCAGUUGAUCAAGGAUAGUCAGGGUCUUCUGACUAUGUACAAGGUGUUGUUGCUUGAUAACUGGAUCACGUCAUUGGAAGAAUCAUGUGAUGGACUAGACCCAAACUAAUAGACGUAGCAUGUUGAUCGUGUCAUUUUGUUGCUACUGUAUUCUGCGUGUCAAGUAUUUAUUCCUAUGACCAUGAGAUCAUAUAACUCACUGACAGUGGAGGAAUGCUUUUUGUGUAUCAAACAUCGCAACGUAACUGGAUGACUAUAAAGAUGCUCUACAGGUAUCUCCGAAGGUGUUCGUUGAGUUAGUAUGGAUCGAGACUAGGAUUUGUCACUCCGUGUGACGUAGAGGUGUCUCGGGGCCCACUCGGUAAUACAACAUCACACACAAGCCUUGCAAGCAAUGUGACUUAGUGUAAGUUACGGGAUCUUGUAUUACAGAACGAGUAAAGAGACUUGUCGGUAAACGAGAUUGAAAUAGGUAUGCGGAUACUGACGAUCGAAUCUCGGGCAAGUAACAUACCGAAGGACAAAGGGAAUGACAUACGGGAUUAUAUGAAUCCUUGGCACGGCACCUUCCAAUCCUAGUUGGACUAGGAUUGGAGGAGGAAUCCUCCUCCCCCCCUUCGGCUGACCCCCUUGGGGAUCCUUGAGCCUCAAGGCAAGGCCCCUCCCCUCCCACCUAUAUAUACGGAGGUAUUAGGGCUGAUUUGAGACAACUUUGCCACGGCAGCCCGACCACAUACCUCCACGGUUUUUCCUCUAGAUCGCGUUUCUGCGGAGCUCGGGCGGAGCCCUGCUGAGAUUAGAUCACCACCAACCUCCGAAGCGCCGUCACGCUGCCGGAGAACUCAUCUACCUCUCCAUCUCUCUUGCUGGAUCAAGAAGGCCGAGAUCAUCGUCGAGUUGUACGUGUGCUGAACGAGGAGGUGCCGUCCGUUCGGCACUAGAUCGGAGCGGAUCGUGGGACGGAUCGCGGGACGGUUCGUGAGACGGUUCGCGGGGCGGAUCGAGGGACGUGGGGACGUUCCACUACAUCAACCACGUUUAUUAACGCUUCUGCUGUGCGAUCUACAAGGGUACGUAGAUCUGAAAUCCCCCUCGUAGAUGGACAUCACCAUGAUAGGUCUUCGUGCGCGUAGGAAAAUUUUUGUUUCCCAUGCGACGUUCCCCAACAGUGGCAUCAUGAGCUAGGUUCAUGCGUAGAUGUCAUCUCGAGUAGAACACAAAUGUUUUUGUGGGCGGUGAUGUGCGAUUUGCCGCCCUCCUUAGUCUUUUCUUGAUUCCGCGGUAUUGUUGGAUCGAAGCGGCUCCGACGGACAUUACUCGUACGCUUACGAGAGACUAGUUUCAUCGCUACGAGCAACUCCGUUGCUCAAAGAUGACUGGCGAGUGUCGGUUUCCCCAACUUUAGUUGAAUCGGAUUUGACCGAGGAGGUCCUUGGAUGAGGUUAAAUAGCGAGUCAUAUAUCUCCGUUGUGGUGUUUGCGUAAGUAAGAUGCGAUCCUACUAGAUACCCAUGGUCACCACGUAAAACAUGCAACAACAAAUAGAGGACGUCUAACUUGUUUUUGCAGGGUAUGCUUGUGAUGUGAUAUGACCGAGGAUGUGAUGUGCUAGCUCGUGUUAAUUGCACACGGAAUAGGCUCUAUAUCCUCAACCAUGAUCAAUCUCAACCGGAGUGUUGGCUCGCCAAGAGUGAUGAUGAUUCAUGGUUAUGGCGUGCUAGAUUUGGACACAUUAACUUCUACGCCUUGAAGAAGAUGUCAAAGAUGGAGAUGGUAUCCGGGAUGCCAGUUAUCGACCAUGUUGAUCGAGUAUGUGACGGGUGCUUGGUUGGAAAACAGCAUCGCAGGCCGUUCCCUGCUCAGUCUAUCUAUCGUGCAAGUGAUGCACUCGAGCUGCUCCACGGUGAUCUAUGUGGCCCUAUCACCCCGGCAACUCAUGCGGGGAAGAAGUAUUUCUUCCUCGUCAUAGACGACUACUCGAGAUAUAUGUGGGUCACUCUCCUACGAUCUAAAGAUGAGGCAUUUGAAGCGUUCAAAAACUGAAGGCUCAAACGGAGAUGGAACACAAGCUGAAGGUUCGCGCUUUACGGACAGAUCACGGCGGAGUGUUUACAUCAAACAAAUUCAACGAUUACUGCGAGAAGAUUGGUAUAAAAAGGUUCCUCGCGGCACCUUACACGCCGCAGCAGAACGGGGUCGUUGAAAGGCGCAAUCAAACCGUCGUUGACAUGGCAAGGAGUUUACUCAAGAGCAAGAACCUACCGGGCACUUUUUGGGGAGAAGCUGUCUCGACGGCAGUCUAUCUUCUCAACCGGGCUCCAACGAAGGCGGUGAUCGGCAAGACUCCGUAUGAAGCAAUUUACGGACGUAAGCCGAAUGUGUCUCAUCUACGGACAUUCAGGUGCGUGGCACAUGUGAAGACGGCGGAGCCGCACCUCUCAAAGCUUGUCGAUCGUAGCACUAAGAUGGUAUUCAUCGGAUACGAGAGGACUUCCGGCACCAAGGCAUACCGCUUCUAUGAUCCACAAACCAAGCGUCUACUGAUUUCACGCGACGUCGUGUUUGAAGAAAACCAAGCGUGGAAUUGAAGCGCCGCAGCAGAGGAUGCUCUUCACGGUUGAAUUUCCAACUAAUGAUGAUGCAGGGGAGGAUGUCCAGGUGGUUGGUAAGACGUCUAACCAAGGUGACCACAAUGGUAGUGAUCAUCAUGGUGCCGACACCGACGGCGACGUGCAUAGGUCGCAAGGAGAUAUCGACAACGAAGCGCACGAUACGGGUGGAGAUCUCGACGACAACAUCAACAACGAGGCGCAUAGUGACGACGACAAUCAAGAUGAUGGUCAUGAUCACGACGACUACGCCGACGAUGCGGAUGUCGAUGACACGCUUGGGACUUAGCCAUCUUCCUCAAGUGCAUCAACAUCGACACAAUUUGUGUCAUCUCCUUCGCAAGCUACAACGGACUCCUCAGGGCCUCGUCGCUACAAGACACUCAAGAAAGUCUACAAGUACACAAAGCCAGUUACGCUCGAGUACUCCGGACUAUGUCUGUUCGGAGUUGAGGAGUCGGCGAACUUCGUAGAGGCUAGCAAAAGACCUAGUUGGACGCACGCCAUGGAUGAGAAGAUGAAGGCGAUUGAGAGCAAUGACACGUGGACUUUGGUAACCCGAUCUCCAAACCAAAAGGCGAUAGGUUUGAAGUGGGUUUACAAGCUAAAGAAGGAAACGGAGGGUGCCAUUGUCAAGUACAAGGCAAGACUCGUUGCAAAGGGCUACGUACAACGUCAAGGAGUUGAUUAUGACGAGGUGUUUGCACCAGUUGCUCGACUCGAGACAGUGAGAGUGCUCCUAGCUUUGGCAGCACAAGAGGAUUGGAAGGUUCAUCAUAUGGAUGUUAAAUCCGCUUUCCUCAACGGUGAUCUCAUCGAAGAAGUGUACGUGGAACAACCCCUCGGCUACGAGAAGAAAGGCGAAGAAGGGAAAGUUUACAAGCUCAAUAAAGCACUUUACGGGUUGAAGCAAGCACCAAGAGCUUGGAACUCAAAGUUAGACCGAAGUUUGGUCUCGCUCGGGUUCAAGAGAUGUCCCCUCGAGCACGCAGUCUAUACAAAGAACUCCAAAGGCUCAAACCUGCUAGUUGGAGUUUAUGUCGACGAUCUGAUUAUCAUCGGAGAUAGCGUACAAGAAAUUGAACGUUUCAAGGCGCAAAUGAAGAACAAGUUUAGCAUGAGCGAUCAGAGAUUACUCAGCCAUUACUUGGGCAUCAAAGUGAAGCAAAGCUCCGGAGAGAUUUCCCUAUGUCAAUCGGCUUAUGCGGUCAAGUUAUUGGAAAAGUGUGGCAUGUCAGAUUGCUACGAGACACAAGUUCCAAUGGACCAACGUCACAAGUUGAGAUAGCGUAGCUCAAAUCCGCCGGUGGACACGACAUUGUAUCGAAGCGUUGUGGGCAGCCUAAGAUAUUUGGUGCAUACCCGACCUGACUUGGCUUAUUCGGUCGGGAUCGUGAGUCGUUUCAUGGAGAAUCCGACAACCAAGCACAUGAGCGCGGUCAAUCAAAUCUUGCGCUAUGUGAAAGGCACCAUUAAUCUUGGUUGCAUGUACAUAAAGGGAAAGGAAGGAUUGAUCCUUCGUGGAUAUUCAGAUAGUGACAUGGCAGGUGAUGUUGAUGACCGAAAGAGCACAACGGGCAUGGUUUUCUACCUUGGCCCAAAUCCGAUUAGCUGGAAUUCUCAGAAGCAAAAGGUGGUGGCACUGUCUUCAUGCGAGGCAGAAUACAUAGCGACAAGCACAGCGGCUUGUCAAGCAGUUUGGCUGAGAAGACUCCUAGCUAUUCUUGCAAAGCGGGAGGUGCAGAAGGUGUCAUUGAAGAUCGACAACCAAGCUGCAAUUUCGUUGUGCAAAAAUCAUGUUCAUCACGAAAGGAGCAAGCACAUAGAUACCCGGUUCCACCAUAUCCGGGAGUGCAUUGAAGAAGGGUUGAUCGAGGUUCAUCAUGUGAACACGAAAGACCAACUUGCCGAUAUUUUCACCAAGUCCCUCGGUUGACGGAAGUUCAUCGAGAUGAGCUAGAAAGUUGGAGUGCAAGAAGUGAAGUCAAGCAACAAGAUUAAGGAGUAGAAUGUAGAACUUAAUCAUGUUGCUCAUGUAGGAUUAGGAAAGAAAGUCAAACCGAGUCCUAGUAGUAUUAGGAUUCCUAUUCCUAGUCUAUUUCGAUAGUCCCUUGUGGAUGUGUAUAAAAUACACCCUAGGGGUGUUCCUUGUAACACCAGAAAAAACGAAAAGCAAUACAAAGCAAAGGCUCGAGACGGGCCUUUAGCCAUCAAAUCCGUCGAUCAGUUUUAUUUGUGUCGCUAGUUACGCAAGUUCCGUCAAGUAGCCGGCCGAAGCAAGAAUCGCGUAGGCACGCCUCUACGGCUGCAUAUGCACGUUCAAAACCCAACAGUCUGAAUUUCAGGUGCAAAUGUGCUAUAAUUAAAGACUGAAAAAUACAUUGGAAAGAUGGUGAAGCAGCUCACAUGCAUGGAGAAGGGCACAUACCGCCGGGGAGCACAUGCUGCCGGUGUGGCCGGAAAACUAGGAGCGCCGCUUAAUAAGUAAAUUCAGAUCAUCUACAGCCAACCUGACGCCUCGUAUCCAUCUCAAAUGCCUGAGCACACCGCUCGGUCACUACUCAGUCAUGAAAAUAUGAUUCAGAUGGACCUUUUAAAACUGUCUUAUACAUCCGGGCUUACCGACAUCCUUCUUAUCCAACCUAAAUAUAGGGUGGAUAUGGGUGACCUGGUCAUGCCCGAGCACGUAUGUCUGAUAGGCCUGGCCCACCACCGAUCCCAUCAAUGUCCCAAAAAAUAACCACUCUGCACGCCUCGCUCCGAGCCCUAGCUCUCUCUCUCUUCCUCCAUCUCGUGUUCUCCCGCUUCGAGCCCGAUCCAUCGAGUAGAAUGUCGAGUACCGGCAGCCGCUCCGAUGACUCCGACGUCAACCCCGACGAGCUGGCCCUUCGCAUCGCCAUGGAGUGGUCCAAGGUGGAGACCGGCGGCAACUUAGGAUCUGGAGCUACGCCGCCGCUCCCGAGACGGUGGAGCGCGGAUGCCGGAGCUGGACCCUACCGACCCGCGCGCAACUUCGACUGCAGGGCUGCAUAGGCCUCACGCCGUGUCCUCCCCCCACCGGGUGCUGCUCCAGGCGGGCAACAUUGGGUCCUAGUGUCCACGCUGUCGGGCAGCGCCCGCAUGCGUACUCCGAAAUCGAAGGCACGCGCCGCCCGCCAUGAGAGGCGGCAGGCACUAGGACGAGGGGAAGCAGAGUAGUCUACACGCCGGCACCACAGGAUGCCAGCAGAGCCCGAUGAGAACGAAUGCCUCCUCGCAUGGGUGUACCUCCGGUCCCUCACGACGGCGGAGACGGACGCUCGGUGCUUCCAACGAAAGAAUGUGAAGGUGUUCCGGCUUGCUAUUGAGCAAUUGGUGUGCGAGGCGAAGGAGACAGCGAAGGAGAAGGCCCGACUGGCACGAUUGAAGCGCGAGAAGGACAUGGCGGUCUGGCGGAUAAAGGGGCUCAUCAUCCUCUUUGACAAUGACUCAGACGACAGCGACAAUGGCAUCUCCUCCUCUGACAACCAAGAUCCUCCGCCAACCGCGGACGGCUACAGUUGCGUCGGUGAUCCAAAGGGCAAAAGUCCGACGAGGAAGUGGUGAUCUGCCCCCUCCCCCCUACGCAUUGUUAAUAUCGUUUUUUUGGUGAUGAUAAACUGUGUUCUGCCAACUCCAUGAUCUUUUGAGUGAUGAUAGAUUUCCGUUUGCCGCAAAUCUUGUGUUCGUUUCCUUCUGAUUUUAUUUUCCGAUCACGUAGAUUAUUUCGACAUGCAUAUGUAGUAUGGAUAUAGGAUGCCGGAAUGAGAGAUGUGGAUGUUUUUUUUUGGAAAUGGAGGUUCAAACCCCCGACCUCUGCAUCAAUCGAUGCAUACAGCCAUCUUUAUUAAUUAUUCAACAUAGGUCUAACAAGAACAUACAUCAAACGAUCUGAAGCCAUCACUCACACCUACGAAACUCGAUAAUGUGGAGUGCUCUCAUUCCCCAUAUCUAAAACCGGUGCCGUCAUUGAUCCAUCCACGUAACGUAUCGGAACCCACAGCCGGUGCAGCAGACAUAAAGCGUACACCACAUGCACAUGUUUUAUACGCCGCCAUCAUCAUCAGGCCGCUGACCCGCCUUCAAGAGAGAGAUCUGUAUCAUCCUUGCCAGUCCGUCCAUCCGUCGACGCCACCACAGCUCGUCAGUCCAGACGCGAAGAUUCCGGAAGAUCUGUCGUGCGUAGCACCUGCCGACCAGGCAUGACACAGCGUAGUACCUGUCGGCCAGGCAUGACUUGACAUCUCCACCGAAAGCUCUGUGCAAGAUGAUCGACGCCACCACGGAACCAAACAGUGCCACCGCCUUGCGCUCAUUCGUCCAGACACGAAGUUUGUGGAAGAACUGUCGUGCAUAGCACCUACCAACCAGGCAUGACUCAGUGUAGCACCUGUCAGCCACGCAUGACUUGACAGUUCCACCAAAUCUUCGGGCCAGACGAAGCCGCUCCAUAUCCUGCCUCUGUCAUCCAGCGCUGCUCCACAAACGAUGCUCCCAAGAGAGAUACGGCACCGCAGUACCGCCAUCGUCCGAUCUGGAAAGUCAGAUCUUAGGGUUUCCCCCGAAGUAGUGCCCACCAUCAGCAACCGUCCAGGACGCACAUAGUUUCCACCACCACUCAGCCCUCAGGGCGACGCCUUCAGGAAGGUCACGACGUCAAGGACGCCGCCGCCGCCCACUGGAGUUAGGAUUUUCACCCGAUAGGUAGUGACAUAGGAAGUGAAGGAGCAGACGUAGACCGACGUCUCCAGGAAGAACAACGGCGCCCUUGAGCGUCAUCGUCGGCGCGGCCGGCCAGGGCCGACCAAUGGGUUUCCCCUUAUGUGAAUCUCCUCCACCAGCUUCAUCUGCGGCCACGCCGGCAACGUCAGGAAACCGCAGGAGAGAAGCACACCGCAGGUAUCUGGAUCAAUGAAAAUCCAAUGUGAACAGUGACGAGUACCACCACCCUGCGCUGGCCGACGGCGUCCGGGCACCGGAUCCAGAAUGAUCUGAGCCGAACUCGACGGCGCAAGCGACCACCAUGUCUUGCCCCUCCCGCAGCCGCCACUCCGCGUCGCAAGAACGAACCCCAGCCCUCGACGCGCUACGCAUGCCGCCGCUAGGAUCCACAUGCCGCGCCGCCGCACCACGCGCUAGUCUGGUGCCUCCUCACGAACGGUCGUCCCACGCCAGCCAUGUCGUGUGAAGGGGAGAUGAUCCCCGCCACCACCCCUGUCGGCGGCGAGGAUGAAGGAGGAGCGAGGGAGGACCGGCAGCGGCGGCUAGGGUUACCCCCUGGUCGCCCACGGGGGCGACGACAGGGGGUUACGGGGGCGACGGGGAUAUGUUCGCGAAGUUGUUGCUCGCGGACAUGAGACACGUGGAUGUGGAGAGGGAAAUUUAAGGCAUGAUCGGUCACUGUCUACGGACACGCCGAACGCGUCCAUGGACAUUUGAGGAAUCAAAUUUGCAAGAUCCGACUAUAGAUGCUCUUACACCAGCCAGUAGUUACCGAUUGGCAAUCCACCGUCCAUCAAUUUCACUAAUAUCUGUGACACGAUAUAAAGUUGUAAAUCCAUUAUCUGUCCUAUACUCAAUAAAUACAGACAAGACUGGCAUGCACUCACACAUUUGUAUCAAAAUACAUGCAUGUCAUGCAGCUUUGUACAAGAGAGAAAGUUGGGAUGGAGACCGAUUCAUGCACGAUUCUCUCUCCCCACAUAAAUGACAUUGACGUUCCGAACAAGAUCAUGUUGAAUGAUUGGGCAUUUUGAAUGAUUGUCCUAUUUUAAACCAAUGCCCAUUUUUGAAACCUUUUAUAUAUUUCAAAUCAUGUUGACAAGACGUUCCGAACAAGAUCAAUACUGGUUCUAUUUGAAUUACUUUUUAUUUUUUAUAUUUCAAUUGUCUUUUGAAUCACUUUCAUAAAACUAAAGAUACUUUUGUUAUUUCAUACAAGUGUUAAUGAAUGUUGUGUUAAUUUAAAAAAUGUAUUUCAUCAUUUACAAAAAACUAAUUUCAGUCAUUUUAAACAUUCGUUUCACUUAUUUUAAAAGACACAUUUCACUGAUUCGAGAAAAUAAUAUUUCACUCAUCUCCAAAAUAUGGAUCUAGGGCCAUCAAAAAUGAAGGAUUUAACUCAUCCCAAAAUUUAUUUCACACAUUUCAAAAAAUUGAUUUUACUCAGUUCAUGAAACAGCUGAUUUUACUCAUUCGAUACAACUGAUUUCAGUCGUUUCAAUUGAAAGAAAUACAUGUUUCAAUAAUUUUCAUAAUCAAAUUUCACUCAUUUCGAAAUAAAAAUAUUCUUGUUUCAAGAAGCUAGUAUAUGUCAAAUAAAAAUAAACUUAAAAAUAUUUCAUAAAAGUAACCUCACUCAGUUGAUUUCAAUCGUUUCAAAUUAAUCAUUUAAAGUAUUUCAAAAAACCGUUUUCACUCAAUUCAAAAAACUAUGACUUCACAAAACAAAUUCGCCCGCUCCAUAAAACAGAUUUCGCUCGUUUCAAAAAUUAGAUUUCACUUAUUUACAAAACGAUUUCACUCAUUCAAACAAUGAUUUUACUCAUAAAUUAUAAAACAUGUGAAUGAUGAAUGUUAUGUCGGUACAUUCCUGAACCGGAGAAUAUAAAAAAUGGACUGCUAUCAAUACCGGGUUACACAUAAAUUAUAAAACAUGUGAAUGAUGAAUGUUAUGUCGGUACAUUCCUGAACCGGUAAAAAAGUGUUUUGCGGGAGCGCCGCUCGACGAUUACGAGUGAAACCGACGGCAUGUGAUGUGAUCAGCAACUGUCGUGCCCAACUUUAUAUCGAUCGAGAUCUCCUUUUUCUUGCUAACUUUGGUGGGUAAAAUAUAAAGACGAGGGAACAAACAAACGUCGUUGAAUCCUGUGGAUUCCUACCAUAGUUUUGGAGAACCGGCCUACCCUGCCGCUCUCGGAAAGCGUGCGGUGCUCUGCCCCGCCAACAAACUCGUGUCUGUCCAAGUGCAAAACGAGUGAGCAAAGCAGAUCAGCAGAGCACCCACGGUUUGCGCCCAAAACCAUGCGUGGCCGCCACCUUUUCGUUCCCCUAUAAAUUCAGGACAACCUUGGAAUCAAUCAAGCAACAGCCAGCCCAUCUCGUCUCUCUCGAUCACACCUCCCAUACCUACUUAGCCAGUGAGCAGUAGCCGUUUCCGUCGAAGAUGUCGUCGGUCACCAGCGCCCACCUCGACCACAAGCUCGCCCUCGCCAAACGCUGCUCCAGAGGUCGGUCGGUGAUUAAUCAGCAUCCACUCCUUCAGAGUUCAGUUGAGCAUGUACCGGAGCAUCCAUCUUGAUACUAGCGACGUAAUUUUUGUUGUUGUUGUUUGGCAGAGGCGACGCUUGCCGGAGCCAAGGCGGCGGCCGUCGCCACCGUCGCGUCUGCAGUCCCGACGGUACGUACGUACGUGGUGGAGCAGUGCUCCUUUACUACUGUUGUUUAGUCUCUGCUAACUGAUCGGCAUGUGUGGUGCAGCUGGCCAGCGUGCGGAUGCUGCCGUGGGCCAAGGCCAACCUCAACCCCACCGGCCAGGCCCUCAUCGUCUGCACCGUCGCCGGGAUGGCCUACUUCAUCGCCGCCGACAAGACCAUCCUGUCGUUGGCCAGGAGGCACUCGUACGAGAGCGCACCCGACCACCUCAAGGACACCUCCUUCCAUGGCGCCGCCGCCGUAGCCGCCCAUCCCCGUCCGUCGGCAUUCUUCAGGCCAUGAGCUAGUGUCCUGAUAAAGUGAUAAUGUAUGCAUCGAUCGUUGUCAGAGUCGCAAGGAACUGCUGCUGCAGGCAUGAAUAUCGACUCUCCAUAUAUAAUCAACGUUGUACACUGCUGCAGGCAUUUUGAAUAUUAUAUCCCCCGCAUCGCCGAUGAACACCGCAUCCUCCAAAAUGGGGAUAAUUGACGAUAAUCCCUUUGUUGGCCGAUCCUUGCUCACAGGCCCCAAAAUGAAGAGGGGCCAAAACCUAGAAAGAGGAUGCCUCACUCUGUAACUUUUACUUGCAAAUGUGCUAUAAAAUCAUCGCCACGCCGCGAUGUAACAGACGGUAUCGUCGUUGGACGCACAUCCUUUACACCUGUCUACCGAAUGAAACUGAGGGCUCGAUCCCGGUUUCACAUAAGCAGUUUACAACAGACUAUCAAAAGAGCCCGCACGUUGAAACAGGAAAAAAAAGAAUACCAUUCAUUCUAAUUCUAUAAAUUAAAUCAAUGACGUUAUGAUAAUUUAUACCAGGAAAGAUGUAAUUAAAAUAGUCAUUAAAAGUUUCAACAUUUUGCAUGCAUUCUAGCCAUUUUUUUCAUCCUUCUCUCUUUCUACUUCUUCCUAAUUUUUAUAAAGAAAUUUUAAAAAAGAAAUUAAAGGACAGAGAGAGAAAGCAGUAGUGCAGAGCCCAUCGGGCCUGCCAAGGCUCAGGCGGACCCACUCCUAAAUCUCCUAACCUGUCGAUUUCCAGCUCCCCCUCCUCCCUUUCACCUCGCGCCGCCAGGGGAGAGAGCCACCUCCUGCUCUGUUUCAUUCUGUUUAUCUUUUUAUACAAAAGAACAAAUGGCUUUCGGGUGGCAAUUAUCUAUGGAAAACGUUUCUUUUCAGUCGGACGAUAAAAGGUAUGCAUAAGCCGCCUCCCCUGCCAACCACAUGUACAGGACAGGGGUCGCUGCUGCGUUUGCGCGGGCGCUCCUGCUUCUGCUCCUGCUCCUACUCGUGCGAUGAAGCAAAAUGGCUGCUCUCGACGUGUUGGGCUCCCACAUGUGUCUCUCUUUUUAUGUACGCUGCAUGGCAUCAAUUUGUUUUUCUUUUGCGGUGGAAAUGCACAUGUAAAUGCAUUUCUCUUGUGUACUACCUGGUAGGCUUGGUAUCAGAAAUUUUUUUAAACGGUUAGAGCAUCUUCAACACGUGCGCAACUGACGACGCGUAAAAAAUAUUUUACAUCGCAGGAAUAGUAUUUUUUUACGCGUCGCAGAACGCUGACUCCAGCGGCCGCAAAAAAAAUACGCGCGCCGCUCCAGCAGAAGCAUUAAAAAUAAAGCUGGUGAGCAUAGAUAGUCUUGAUAGAUAGAAAUCACUCCUCCGUCUAUACAUAGUCAGAUAGUCUAGAUAAUUCAUAGAUAGAGUUACUCCUCAUCGAUAGUUCAUAGUAAAUAAUAAAAAAAUGAUAAAACACGAUAUACUACUCCUUGUCGUCUUCCUCCGAUGCGCCGGUGUCCGAUUCCUCCGUCAUGAUGAAGGCGUCAGCCCUACGUUCGUCCUCGGAGGACCAAGUCGACUAUUCCUUGAGCUCAAUCUGGAAGAGUGAGGCUUGCUUCCGCAUACGCCUGUCUUUAAGAUAGGCGGCUUACUCCGUCCUCCUUUGCGCGAAGAAUUUACGCUUGUCGAGGGCGUCCUGCGGGAACUGUCGGUGCCACUCCGCCAUGGUAUGCUCGUCCAUCUCAGCGAUGCCGAGGCGGUGCUCCCACCUCCGGUUCCGACGACGGUCCUCUUCGGUGACAACCAUCGUUGGUGAAGUGGCACCGUUGUGGGUGAUACUGAUGCUCCACCACAAAUCGGGGCACAUUGCAAGGCCGACACCAUCGUUGUUGUAACUUGGGGCGCGAUGUUGCAUUGCGUGCACCAAGUGGUGGCAAAGUCUAGCUGCCACAGGUCGAGGCCCAAAGUUGCAGGGCCGACACCGUCGUUGCUGCAACUUAGACACGUGUUGCAUGGCAGACGUCGAGUUUUGCAAGGCGGACACCAUCGUUCUUGCAAUUCAGAAACGAUGUUGUCUGGCAAGCGCCAAGUUGUUGCAAAGGCUAGCCGCCAUAAGUUGGAGUACAACGAUGCAAGGCUAACACCAUCAUUACUGCAACUCAGAUGCAAUGAUGCAUGGCAAUCACCGAGUUUUUGCAAGGCCGCACCUUCGUUGUUGCAAGUCCAUCACAAUGUCGUGUGGUUGACGCCGAGUUGUUGGAAAGGUUAGGCGCCACAAGUCGGAGUGCGACAUUACUAGGCAUGCACCGUUGCUGCUUUAAGUAGGCAUGAUGUUCCAUGACAGGAGCCGAGUUGUCGCAAAAGCUUAUCCUCCAUAAGUAGGAAUUAUGCCCUAGAGGCAAUAAUAAAUGUAUGGUUAUUAUUAUAAUUCCUGUAUCAAGAUAAUAGUUUAUUAUCCAUGCUAUAAUUGUAUUGAAUGAAGACUCAUUUACAUGUGUGGAUACAUAGACAAAACACCGUCCCUAGCAUGCCUCUAGUCGGCUAGCCAGUUGAUCGAUGAUAGUCAGUGUCUUCUGAUUAUGAACAAGGUGUUGUUGCUUGAUAACUGGAUCGCGUCAUUGGGAGAAUCACGUGAUGGACUAGACCCAAACUAAUAGACGUAGCAUGUUGAUCGUGUCAUUUUGUUGCUACUGUUUUCUGCGUGUCAAGUAUUUAUUCCUAUGACCAUGAGAUCAUAUAACUCACUGACACUGGAGGAAUGCUUUGUGUGUAUCAAACGUCGCAACGUAACUGGGUGACUAUAAAGAUGCUCUACAGGUAUCUCCGAAGGUGUUAGUUGAGUUAGUAUGGAUCAAGACUGGGAUUUGUCACUCCGUGUGACGGAGAGGUAUCUCGGGGCCCACUCGGUAAUACAACAUCACACACAAGCCUUGCAAGCAAUGUGACUUAGUGUAAGUUGCGGGAUCUUGUAUUACGGAAUGAGUAAAGAGACUUGCCGGUAAACGAGAUUGAAAUAGGUAUGCGGAUACUGACGAUCGAAUCUCAGGCAAGUAACAUACCGAAGGACAAAGGGAAUGACAUACGGGAUUAUACGAAUCUUUGGCACUGAGGUUCAAACGAUAAGAUCUUCGUAGAAUAUGUAGGAUCCAAUAUGGGCAUCCAGGUCCCGCUAUUGGAUAUUGACCGAGGAGUCACUCGGGUCAUGUCUACAUAGUUCUCGAACCCGCAGGGUCUGCACACUUAAGGUUCGACGAUGUUUUAUGCGUAUUUGAGUUAUAUGGUUGGUUACCGAAUGUUGUUCGGAGUCCCGGAUGGGAUCACGGACGUCACGAGGGUUUCCGGAAUGGUCCGGAGACGAAGAUUGAUAUAUAGGAUGACCUCAUUUGGUUACCGGAAAGUUUCCGGGCAUUACCGGAAAAGUUUCGGACUCAUCGGUAGUGUACCGGGAGUGCCGGGAGGGGUGACAGGGACCAUCAAGAGGGGUGUCACGCCCCAAGGGGUCUCAUGGGCUAUGGGAAGAGAUAAACCAGCCCCUAGUGGGCUGGAAUAAGUUCCCACUAAGGCCCAUAAGGUUUGAGAAGGGAAAAACAAAAGGUGGAAAGAGUUUCCAAGUGGGAAGGUGGAAUCCUACUCCAAGUAGGAUUGGAAUAGGACUCCUCCACCUCAAAUUUCGCCCAAACCUUGAGGGUUUGAGGGUGCCUCCUCCCCUCCCUCCCUCCUAUAUAUACUGAGGUAUUAGGGCUGAUUUGAGACAACUUUUGCCACGGCAGCCCGACCACAUACCUCCACAGUUUUACCUCUAGAUCGCGUUUCUGCGGAGCUCGGGCGGAGCCCUGCUGAGACAAGAUCAUCACCAACCUCCGGAGCGCCGUCACGCUGCCGGAGAACUCUUCUACCUCUCCGUCUCUCUUGCUGGAUCAAGAAGGCCGAGAUCAUCGUCGAGCUGUACGUGUGCUGAACGCGGAGGUGCCGUCCGUUCGGCACUAGAUCGUGGGACUGAUCGCGGGGCAGAUCGAGGGACGUGAGGACGUUCCACUACAUCAACCGCGUUCACUAACGCUUCUGCUGUACGGUCUACAAGGGUACGUAGAUCACACAUCCCCUCUCGUAGAUGGACAUCACCAUGAUAGGUCUUCGUGCGCGUAGGAAAAUUUUCGUUUCCCAUGCGACGUUCCCCAACAGUGGCAUCAUGAGCUAGGUUCAUGCGUAGAUGUCUUCUCGAGUAGAACACAAAAGUUUUUUGUGGGCGGUGAUGUGCGUUUUGCUGCCCUCCUUAGUCUUUUCUUGAUUCCGCGGUAUUGUUGGAUUGAAGCGGCUUGGACCGACAUUACUCGUACGCUUACGAGAGACUGGUUUCAUCGUUACGAGUAACCCCGUUGCUCAAAGAUGACUAGCAAGUGUCGGUUUCUCCAACUUUAGUUGAAUCGGAUUUGACCGAGGAGGUCCUUGGAUGAGGUUAAAUAGCAACUCAUAUAUCUCCGUUGUGGUGUUUGCGUAAGUAAGAUGCGAUCCUACUAGAUACCCAUGGUCACCACGUAAAACAUGCAACAACAAAAUUAGAGCACGUCUAACUUGUUUUUGCAUGGUAUGCUUGUGAUGUGAUAUGGCCAAUGAUGUGAUGUGAUAUAUUGGAUGUAUGAGAUGAUCAUGUUGUAAUAGAAAUAUCGACUUACACGUCGAUGGUACGGCAACCGGCAGGAGCCAUAGGGUUGUCUUUAUACUAACGUGUGUGCUUGCAGAUGCGUUUACUUUUUUGCUAGGAUGUAGCUUUAGUAGUAAUAGCAUGAGUAGCACGACAACCCCGAUGGCAACACGUUGAUGGAGAUCAUGGUGUGGCGCCGGUGACAAGAAGAUCGUGCCGGUGCUUUGGCGAUGGAGAUCAAGAAGCACGUGAUGAUGGCCAUAUCAUGUCACUUAUGAAUUGCAUGUGAUGUUAAUCCUUUUAUGCACCUUAUUUUGCUUAGAACGACGGUAGCAUUAUGAGGUGAUCUCUCACUAAAAAUUUCAAGACGAAAUUGUGUUCUCCCCGACUGUGCACCAUUGCUACAGUUCGUCGUUUCGAGACACCACGUGAUGAUCGGGUGUGAUAGACUCAACGUUCACAUACAACGGGUGCAAAACAGUUGCGCACGCGGAACACUCGGGUUAAGCUUGACGAGCCUAGCAUGUGCAGACAUGGCCUCGGAACACAUGAGACCGAAAGGUCGAGCAUGAAUCGUAUAGUUGAUAUGAUUAGCAUAGAGAUGCUUACCACUGAAACUAUUCUCGACUCACGUGAUGAUCGGACUUGAGAUAGUGGAUUUGGAUCAUGUACCACUCAAAUGACUAGAGAGAUGUACUUUUUGAGUGGGAGUUCUUAAGUAAUAUGAUUAAUUGAACUAAUUUUCAUGAACAUAGUCUAAUGGUCUUUGCGAAUUACGAUGUACCUUGCGCUAUAGCUCUACUGUUUUUAUAUGUUCCUAGAGAAAAUUUAGUUGAAAAUUGAUAGUAGCAAACUUUGCAGACUGAGUCUGUAAAACCGAGGAUUGUCCUCGUUGCUACGCAGAAGGCUUAUGUCCUUAAUGCACCACUCGGUGUGCUGCACCUCGAGCGUUGUCUGUGGAUGCUAUGAACAUCCGACAUACACGUUUCUGAUGACUACACAAUAGUUCAGUGCAAAAUACUUAUUGGCUUAGAAGCAAGGCACCGAAAACGUUGUAAAACGUCACGGAACAUAAGUGAUGUUCUAAAGAGAUGAAAUUGUGAUUUCAUGCUUGUGCCCUUAUUAAGAGGUACGAGACCUCCAACAAGAUUCUUUGUCCACAAAGUAAAGGAGAAAAGCUCAAUCGUUGAGCGUGUGCUCAGAUUGUCUAAGUACGACAAUCACUUGAAUCAAGUGGGAGUUAAUCUUCCAGAUGAGAUAGUGAUGGUUCUCCAAAGUCACUGCCACCAAGCUGUGAGAGCUUCGUGAUGAACUAUAACAUAUCAAGGAUAGAUACAAUGAUCCUUGAGCGAUUCGCGAUGUUUGACACUCCGAAAGUAGAAAUCAAGAAGGAGCGUCAAUAGUUGAUGGUUUGUAAAACCACUAAGUUUCAAGAAAGGCAAGGGCUAGAAGGGAUACUUCGUGAAACGGCAAAACAGUUGCUGCACUAAUGAAGAGACCCAAGAUUAAACCCAAACCCGAUACUAAGUGCUUCUGUAAUGAGGGGAACAGUCACUGAGGCGGAGCAACUCUAGAUACUUGGUAGAUAAGAAGGCUGGCGAAAGUCGAAAGAAGUGUAUUUGAUAUACAUGAUGUUGAUGUGUACUUUACUAGUACUCCAAGUAGCACGAGGGUAUUGGAUACCGGUUCGGUUGCUAAGUGAUUAGUAACGCGAAAUGAAAGUUGCGGCAUAAAUGGAGACUAGCUAAAGGCGAGGUGACGAUACGUGUUGGAAGUGUUUCCAAGGUUGAUAUGAUCAAACGUCGCACGCUCCCUCUACCAUCGGGAUUGGUGUCAAACCUAAAUAAUUGUUAUUGGUGCUUGCGUUAAGCAUGAACAUGAUUGGAUCGUGUUUAUUGCAAUACGAUUAUUCAUUUAAAGAGAAUAAUGGUUACUCUAUUUUCUUGAAUAAUCACCUUCAAUGAAUCUCGAUCGUAGUGUUACACAUGUUCAUGAUAUUGGUGCCAAAAGACACGAGGUAAUGAUGAUAGUACCACUUACUUGUGGCACUGCCGCUUGAGUCAUGUUGGUGUAAAUUGCAUGAAGAGGCUCCAUGUUGAUGGAUCUUUGUACUCACUUGUUUUUCGAAUCACUAGUGACAUGCAAAUCAUACCACAUGAGCAAGGCCUUGUUUUCAUUGAGAUGAAACAAGAUAGUAACUUGUUGGAAGUGAUACAUUCUGAUGUAUGCAGUCCAAUGGGUGCUGAGGCACGCAGUGGAUAUCAUUAUGUUCUUACUUCACUGACGAUUUGAGUAGAUACAGGAGUAUUUACUUAAUGAAUCACAAGUCUGAAAUAUUGAAAAGUUCAAUUCUGUUUCGGAGUGAAGUUCGUCGUAACAAGAGGAUAAACUGUCUACGAUAUGAUCAUAGAAAUGAAUAUCUGAGUUACGAUUUUUGGUACGCAGUUAAGACAAUGUGGAAAUUGUUUCGCAGUUCAUGCCACCUGGAACAUCAUAGUGUGAUGAUGUGUCUGAACGUCAUAGCCACGCACUAUUUGGAAUGGUGCAUACUAUGAUGUCUCUUAUCGAAUUACCACUAUCGUUUAUGGGUUAUGCAUUAGAGACAACCGCACUCACUUUAAACAGGGCACCGCGUAUUUCCGUUGAGAUGACACAGUAUAGACUGAGGUUUAGAGAAAUCUAAAUUGUCGUUUCUUGAAAGUUUGGGGCUUCGACACUUAUGUGAAAAAGUUUCAGUCUGAUAAGCUCGAACCCAAAGCGGAUAAAUGCAUCUUCAUAGGAUAUCCAAAACAGUUGGGUACAUCUCCUAUCUCAGAUCCGAAAGCAAAGUGUUUGUUUCUAGAAACGGAUCCUUUCUAGAGGAAAGGUUUCUCUCGAAAGAAUUGAGUGGGAGGGUAGUAGAACUUGAUGAGGUUAUUGAACCAUCACUUCAACCAGUGUGUAGCAGGGCGCAGGAAGUUGUUCCUGUGGCGCCUACACCAAUUGAAGUGGAAGCUGAUGAUGGUGAUCAUCAAGCAUCGGAUCAAGUUACUAUAAGCCUCGUAGGUUGACAAGGUCGCAUACUACUACAGAGUGGUACGGUAACCCUGUCUUGGAGGUCAUGUUGUUGAGCAACAGUGAACCUACGAGUUAUGGAGAAAGCGAUGGUGGGCCCAGAUUCCGACAAAUGGCUGGAAGCCAUGAAAUCCGAGAGAGGAUCCAUGUAUGAAAACAAAGUGUAGACUUUGAAAGAACUACUUGAUGGUCAUAAGACUAUUGAGUAAAGAUGGAUCUUUAAAAGAAGACAGACGAUGAUGGUGAUAAGUCACUAUUAAGAAAAGCUCGACUUGUCGCAAAGAUGUUUUCGACAAGAUCAAACAGUUGACUAUGAUGAGACUUUCUCACUUGUAGCGAUGCUAAAGGUCUGUUAGAAUUAUGUUAGUUGUUGAUGCAUUAUUUAUGAAAUAUUGCACGUAGGAUGUCAAAACAUUGUUUUCUUGACGGUUUCCUUGAGCAAACAUUGUAUGUGAUACAACCAGAAGGUUUUGUCGAUCCUAAAGAUACUAGCAAGUAUGCAAGCUCCAGUGAUCCUUCAAUGGACUGGUGCAAGCAUCUCGGAGUUGGAAUAUACACUUUGAUGAGAUGAUCAAAGAUUUUGGGUUUGUAAAAGGUUUAUGAGAAACUUGUAUUUCCAAAGAAGUGAGUGGGAGCACUAUAGAAUUUCUGAUAAGUAUAUGUGGUUGACAUAUUGUGGAUCAGAAGUAAUGUAGAAUUUCUGUAAAACAUACAAGGUUGUUUGAAAGGAGUUUUCAAAGGAAUACCUGGAUUGAGCUACUUGAACGUUGAGCAUCAAAGAUCUAUGGAGAUAGACCGAAAGCGCUUAAUGGAAGUUUCAACAAGAUGCAUGCCUUGACAAGUUUUUGAAGGAGUUCAAAAUAGAUCAGCAAAGAAGGAGUUCUUGGUUGCGUUGUGAGGUGUGAAUUUGAGUAAGACUCAAAACCCGACCCCGACAGAAUAAAGAGAAUAGACGAAGGUCGUCUUCUAUGCCUUAGCCGUAGAAUCUAAAGUAUGCCAUGUUGUGUACCGCACCUGAUGUGUGCCUUGACUCAAAGUAUGUUGAGAGGUACAGAGAGUGAUCCAUGAUUGAAUCACUAGCAGCGGUCAAAAUUUAUCCUUAGUAACUAAUGGACUAAGGAAUUUUUCUCGAUUAUGGAGGUGGUUAAAGAGUUCGUCGUAAAGGGUUACGUCGAUGCAAGCUUUGACACUAAUCCGAAUAACUAUGAGUAGUGAAACGGAUUCGUAUAGUAGAGUAGAUAUUUGGAGCAUUUCCGAAUAGCACGUAGUAGCAGCAUCUAUAAGAUGACAUAAAUAUUUGUAAAGAACGCACGGAUCUGAAAGUUUCAGAACCGUUGACUAAAACCUCUCUCACGAGCAAGACGUGAUCAGACCCCAUAACUAUAUGGGUGUUGGAUUCGUUGGAAUCACAUGGUGAUGUGAACUAGAUUAUUGACUCUAGUGCAAGUGGGAGACUGUUGGAAAUAUGCCCUGGAGGCAAUAAUAAAUUAGUUAUUAUUAUAUUUCUUUGUUCAUGAUAAUCGUUUAUUAUCCAUGCUAUAAUUGUAUUGAUUGGAAACACAAUACUUGUGUGGAUACAUAGACAAAACACUGUCCCUAGUAAGCCUCUAGUUGACUAGCUCGUUGAUCAAACAUGGCCAAGGUUUCCUGGCCAUAGGCAAGUGUUGUUACUUGAUAACGGGAUCACAUCAUUAGGAGAAUCAUGUGAUGGACUAGACCCAAACUAAUAGACGUAGCAUGUUGAUCGUGUCAUUUUGUUGCUACUAUUUUCUGCGUGUCAAGUAUUUGUUCCUAUGACCAUGAGAUCAUAUAACUCACUGACACCGGAGGAAUGCUUUGUGUGUAUCAAACGUCGCAACGUAACUGGGUGACUAUAAAGAUGCUCUACAGGUAUCUCCAAAGGUGUUAGUUGAGUUAGUAUGGAUCGAGACUGGGAUUUGUCACUCCGUGUGACGGAGAGGUAUCUCGGGGCCCACUCGGUAAUACAACAUCACACACAAGCCUUGCAAGCAAUGUGACUUAGUGUAAGUUGCGGGAUCUUGUAUUACGGAACGAGUAAAGAGACUUGCCGGUAAACGAGAUUGAAAUAGGUAUGCGGAUACUGACGAUCGAAUCUCGGGCAAGUAACAUACCGAAGGACAAAGGGAAUGACAUACGGGAUUAUAUGAAUCCUUGGCACUGAGGUUCAAACGAUAAGAUCUUCGUAGAAUAUGUAGGAUCCAAUAUGGGCAUCCAGGUCCCGCUAUUGGAUAUUGACCGAGGAGUUACUCGGGUCAUGUCUACAUAGUUCUCGAACCCGCAGGGUCUGCACACUUAAGGUUCGACGAUGUUUUAUGCGUAUUUGAGUUAUAUGGUUGGUUACCGAAUGUUGUUCGGAGUCCCGGAUGGGAUCACGGACGUCACGAGGGUUUCCGGAAUGGUCCGGAGACGAAGAUUGAUAUAUAGGAUGACCUCAUUUGGUUACCGGAAAGUUUCCGGGCAUUACCGGAAAAGUUUCGGACUCAUCGGUAGUGUACCGGGAGUGCCGGGAGGGGUGACGGGGACCAUCAAGAGGGGUGUCACGCCCCAAGGGGUCUCAUGGGCUAUGGGAAGAGAUAAACCAGCCCCUAGUGGGCUGGAAUAAGUUCCCACUAAGGCCCAUAAGGUUUGAGAAGGGAAAAACACAAGGUGGAAAGAGUUUCCAAGUGGGAAGGUGGAAUCCUACUCCAAGUAGGAUUGGAGUAGGACUCCUCCACCUCAAAUUUCGCCCAAACCUUGAGGGUUUGAGGGUGCCUCCUCCCCUCCCUCCCUCCUAUAUAUACUGAGGUAUUAGGGCUGAUUUGAGACAACUUUUGCCACGGCAGCCCGACCACAUACCUCCACGGUUUUACCUCUAGAUCGCGUUUCUGCGGAGCUCGGGCGGAGCCCUGCUGAGACAAGAUCAUCACCAACCUCCGGAGCGCCGUCACGCUGCCGGAGAACUCUUCUACCUCUCCGUCUCUCUUGCUGGAUCAAGAAGGCCGAGAUCAUCGUCGAGCUGUACGUGUGCUGAACGCGGAGGUGCCGUCCGUUCGGCACUAGAUCGUGGGACUGAUCGCGGGACGGUUCGCGGGGCGGAUCGAGGGACGUGAGGACGUUCCACUACAUCAACCGCGUUCACUAACGCUUCUGCUGUACGGUCUACAAGGGUACGUAGAUCACACAUCCCCUCUGGUAGAUGGACAUCACCAUGAUAGAUCUUCAUACGCGUAGGAAAAUUUUCGUUUCCCAUGCGACGUUCCCCAACAACUGCCGCUUAGGUCAUAUUGGUGUAAAACGCAUGAAGAAACUCCAUGCUGAUGGAUUUUUGGAGUCACUUGACUUUGAUUCACUUGACACGUGCGAACCAUGCCUCAUGGGCAAGAUGACUAAGACUCCGUUCUCCGAAACAAUGGAGCGUGCAAGUGACUUGUUGGAAAUCAUACAUACCGAUGUGUGUGGUCCAAUGAGCGUAGAGGCACGCGGCGGAUAUCGUUAUUUCCUCACCUUCACUGACGAUUUAAGUAGAUAUGGUUAUGUCUACUUGAUGAAGCACAAGUCUGAAACAUUUGAAAAGUUCAAGCAAUUUCAGAGUGAAGUGGAAAAUCAUCGUAACAAGAAGAUCAAAUUCCUACGGUCUGAUUGUGGGGGUGAAUAUCUGAGUUUCGAGUUUGGUGCUCACUUAAGACAAUGUGGAAUUGUUUCGCAGUUAACACCGCCUGGAACACCACAGCGUAAUGGUGUGUCCGAACGUCAUAAUCGUACUCUGUUAGAGAUGGUGCGAUCUAUGAUGUCUCUUACUGAUUUGCCGUUAUCAUUUUGGGGUUAUGCAUUAGAAACAGCUGCAUUCACUUUAAAUAGGGCACCAUCAAAAUCCGUUGAGACGACGCCAUACGAACUGUGGUAUGGCAAAAGGCCAAAGUUGUCAUUUCUUAAAGUUUGGGGAUGUGAUGCUUAUGUCAAAAAGCUUCAGCCUGAAAAGCUGGAACCCAAAGCGGAAAAGUGCGUCUUCAUAGGUUACCCAAAAGAGACAGUUGGGUACACCUUCUAUCUCAAAUCCGAAGGCAAAGUGUUUGUUGCUAAGAACGGAACUUUUCUCGAGAAGGAGUUUCUCUCGAGAGAAUUGAGUGGGAGGAAGAUAGAACUUGACGAGGUUGUCGAACCUCUCAUCCCUCUGGAUGGUGGCGCAGGGCAGGGGAAACCUCUGUCGUUGCGACGCCGGUUGAGGAGGAAGUUAAUGAUGAUGAUCAUGAAACUCCAGUUCAAGUUUCUGUUGAACCCCGCAGGUCGACGAGAUCACGCGCUGCUCCAGAGUGGUACGGUAAUCCCGUCUUAUCAAUCAUGUUGUUAGACAACAAUGAACCUGCAAAUUAUGAAGAAGCAAUGGUGGGCCCAGAUUCCGACAAAUGGCUGGAAGCCAUGAAAUCCGAGAUAGGAUCCAUGUAUGAGAACAAAGUGUGGACUUUGGAGAUACUACCUGAGGGCCGCAAGGCUAUUCAGAACAAAUGGAUCUUUAAGAAGAAGACGGACGCUGACGGUAAUGUGACCGUUUAUAAAGCUCGACUUGUGGCAAAGGGUUUUUCACAAGUUCCAGGGAUUGACUACGAUGAGACUUUCUCUCCCGUGGCAAUGGUUAAGUCCGUCAGAAUCAUGUUAGCAAUAGCUGCAUUUUUCGAUUAUGAAAUCUGGCAGAUGGAUGUCAAAACGGCGUUCCUUAACGGUUUCCUUAAGGAAGAGUUGUAUAUGAUGCAACCCGAAGGUUUUGUUGAUCCUAAAAAUGCUGACAAGGUGUGCAAACUCCAGCGAUCCAUUUAUGGACUGGUGCAAGCAUCUCGGAGUUGGAACAAACGCUUUGAUGAGGUGAUCAAAGCAUUUGGGUUUAUACAAGUGGUUGGAGAAUCUUGUAUCUACAAGAAAGUGAGUGGGAGCUCUGUGGCGUUUCUAAUAUUAUAUGUGGAUGACAUAUUACUGAUUGGAAACAACAUAGAGCUUUUGGAGAGCAUAAAAGGUUACUUGAAUAAAAGUUUCUCUAUGAAGGACCUAGGAGAAGCUGCUUACAUUCUAGGCAUUAAGAUCUAUAGGGAUAAAUUAUGAUGGCGAGGGCUUGGGCGCGGUAAUGGCAGUAGGGAGCGCAAGUAAGGGGGGACGGAUGGCGAGGGCUUGGGCGCGGUAAUGGCAGUAGGGAGGCGGGGGAGGACGAAAGGUUUGGUAGAUUUCGUGUAAAUUAUGAUGGGGUCGGGCUAUCGUGAGUUCCCAUAUUCGUCCCAUAUUUUGGUUGUAUAUGAGGGGUGAGGGUCAGCCUUAGCGUUUGAUUCCCAGUCUAAGAAGUUCGGGUCGCUUUUCUGUGACCAGUCAAUAACCGGGCGUUUGAGACGGGGUUAAGAGGUUCGGCUGUAAGAUCAUCUAUAAUCGGACCCCUCAAACCCUCGGCAGUCCUCUCGAUCGCUGUCCGAUCACAAAAUUGCGAUCCAGACGGGCCUCUCAAACCGACCUAAAACGCACGGGCUGACUCUCACCCCCCAUUUUUAGCCUAAAUAUGAGGCGGAUAUGGGGGAGCCCGGGCGCGCCCAGGCACGCCUGCCAUGUCGUCCUGACGGCUUGGCCCCACGCAGACUCACCGGGAAACAUGACGGCCUGCGGGCACCUCGUCCGUCGGUGCAGUGUAAAUGCCGCGUGGCGCCGCUUCGGAUCCCAGCCCAAGGUCGGGGCCGACUAUUUAAGCCGGUCGGUGCACCUAACCCUGUCUCAUCCGCCUCCUCCUUCUCUGUGCCGCCGCCCGAGCCCGUCUGCCUUCUCUCGCAGUUCCCUCUCCGCCAGGAUGGUCCGGUGACUCAUCACCACCUAUGCGCAGCUCACUCCGGAAGGGUGCCUUCAAAUCGAGGCGGAGAUCCAGGCUCGCCGCACCUCCCGCGUCGUUGCGGGUCUCCAUUCGAACUCGCCGGAUACAGAGAAGGAGGAGGAGGAGCAUCAGUCGAAGGCCAUGGAGGAGGAAGACCCGAAGGAGGAGGCUCCCGGCUAUAACAUGGCGGAGGCGGAGGCGGAGUUUGCCGUCGCCCAAUCGAAGAUGGCGGAGCAGGUGGCCAACCUGGAUUCCAUCCGGGAUGAGGCCGAGAUGGAGGCCAACCGUCGGCUCAUCCGGUAGAGGCAUGCGGAGGCUGACGGCCUCUUCGAUGAGCUGGACACGGAGAUUGAGGCAAAGGAGGCCGCAACGUAGCAGCCAGAGGUGCCGGAGGGAACGGAGCUGUGGCAGGCGGCCAUUUGUCCGUUAGAGGGCACGGAGAUCGUCGGUAUCUACGACGAGGAGUGGAUAGGUUCUAUGUAGUACGUAGGUUUCAUAUCUUUCAUGCUUUUAUAUUGAUUUGAGGAUCCUAAUAUGAGAUGUUCGGAUGUAGAAUACAUUAUUUGAGACGUGAUCGGUCAAUGUCCACGAUCGCACCCUGUCCGCGGGUGUUUGAGGGUCCGGAUUUGCAAGGUCCGAUUGUAAAUGCUCUAACCAACUCAAUACCUUAUUUUGACUUAAGUUUGUUUUUCGUAAACUUGAUAAAAUUCUGAAAAGUUGAACUUAAGUCAAACUAUAACGGAGGGAGUGCUUUAUUUUAUUUUCUUGCCGGUCUUUUUUAGCUGUCCCACAAAACGGAACUUAAUUAUUUUCUUUGUUGUGCAUAUUGCCUGCCAUAGAUACAUCACACAUAGUAAAUACCAAGUCAAGAAACUUUGAUGUUGGGUCAAGCGGCCACUAAUGACCGUCGUCGCCUGAUGGUGACCUGAGCCGCUGGAAGACGUCCCGUUGCCGGAGGUUCUCGCGGAGGCGGUGCGCGGCGAGUACGCGAUCCGGGACGUAGUGGCAGAGGCACCACUGCAGCCGGUGGCCGAGGUUGGGCAUGCAGACCGGGCGGCGGAACCCGAUCCAGCGCGCCGCCGCGCCGGCGUACGCGUCCGACGUCGGCACGAUCAGCCGCGACAGGAGGCCUGCCCCCCGCGUCACCAUGUUGGUCACCAUCUUCGUGUCCACGUACAACGGGGCCUGGCACUGCACGUCGAUUCCUUUGCCGCUGUACUCGACGUAGAGGCUCCUGGAGAAGUGAGACACGUAGCGCUUGGUAGCGGCGUAGACGGAGUAGAGCGGGUAGGAGGGCAGCGCCUCCGCCGCGCCGGAGCCGAUGUUGACGACGGCGCCCCUCCCGCGCCCCACCAUGCCGGGCAGAACGGCCGCCGUCACCUCCGUCACGGCGCACAGGUUCACCCGGAUCAUCUUCACCCACGCAUCCGCGUCGGCCUCGUGGAGGUACGUUGCGUGUGGCGUCGCCACGCCGGCGUUGUUCACCAGCACGCCCACCUCCAGCCCCUCCACCGCCUGCCGGAGCCGCCCCAUCUCCUCCUCCCCUGCGGAAACACGAUCGAUCAGUAUAGCUAGCACGUGCACGCAGUGGGCAGUUCUGUUCUUUGUGCGUGCUGCGUGGCUGGUGCCUCACCUUGAGGAGUGGAGACGAGGGAGAAGUCGAACAGCACGGUCUUGGUCUGCACGCCGUGGGCGUCGGAGGCGGUUCCGGCGAUGUCCUGGAGCUUGGCAGGGUCGCGGCCGACGAGGACGAGGUUUAGGCCGCGCCGCGCCAGCUCCAGGGCCAUGGAGCGGCCUAUGCCGGACGUCGGGCCGGUGACCACGGCCCACGCCCCGUAGCGGCGGCGAAGGUCCUUGGGCUGGCGCAGACUGAGCGCGAGGCCGAAGGUGUGGAGGAGGCGGCACGCGACGGCGGCGACGUAGAGGGCGCCGAGGAUGGCCAUCGAGACGAACCAUGCCGGCUGCUGCCGGAGCAGAGUGUCUGCGCCCAUCCGCCCGAGCUCUUCCUUCCCCACCGGAGUAGUGCGUGUCGGUCCAGGAUUUUUUAGAUUCGAGAGGCUCUGCAUUUGUCACCACGUCCCGCGAAUUUUAAACAAAAAGCUGUAUCGCCAUCAACGACCUACCAACAAACUACGAGUAGUACUCGAUUUGAUGCUAAAAAAAGAACUAGUACUCUAAUUGACCGCGCGUAAAGCCUAACCGAUGUGUAUGGGUAGGGUCUGCGAUCUACUCCUUCCGUUCCUAAAUAUAAGUAUUUUUAAAAAAUUCACUAAAAAACUACAUAUGGAUGUGUAGACAUAUUUUAGAGUGUAGAUUCAAUCAUUUUGCUUCGUAUGUAGUCUUUUAAUAAAAUCAUUUUGUCGUAUCUUCAUGCAUGUUAAUCAGUCUCUGUUUCAAGUAGUCAAUCAAGGAGAUUAGUUUGAUCGAGAUGUAAGUAUAUAUAUGUAACUGUUGAUUCAUGCCGUUCAGCUGGCGAGCGUCCGGAUGCUGCCGUGGGCCAAGGCGAACCUGAACCCCACCGGCCAGGCGCUCAUCGUCUGCACCGUCGCCGGGAUGGCAUACUUCGUCGCCGCCGACAAGACCAUCCUGUCGUUGGCGAGGAGGCACUCGUACGAGAGCGCGCCCGACCACCUCAAGGACACCUCCUUCCAUGGCGCCGCCGCGGUUCGUCCGGCAUUCUUAAGGCCAUGAGCUAAUGCAUGCAUCGAUCGUCGUGAGUGUCCCAGAAACUGCUCCUGCAGGCAUGCAUAUCUACUAUCAUCAUGUUCAUCCGGGUAUGUUCUUUAGGCCAUGAAUAUCUACUAUCAUCAUGUUUUAUAUUCAUGACAAAUCCGGGAGUAGAUAUCCGGGUAUGUUCUUUAUGCACAUCGAUCAUACGAUACAAAUUGUUUGAAUUCAACAGUUCAAGACAAAUCAAAACAAAUGAUAAUUCAACAAUCCGGACAUGCCAACAUGGUCCGACGGUGCAAUUCGCGUCGACGGAAUGAUGGACGGGAUGCGGGGUUCCUGCCGCGGCGAAGGGAGGGGGAGGGGGGGAGCUGCUAUUUCAUAUUCGCAGCUCCCUACGAUGCCGCCGCCGCAUCUUCAGGGUGAUAUUCUCCGGCAUGCACGACGAAGUCGAGGAUCGGACAUCGACGAACGAGGCGGUCACAGCCUCCGACAAGGCGGUUGGGGAUGAACUGGACGUUAUCUACGACGAUGGAUAGAAGCCGGUGUUGAGGAUGGCAAGCAAGGGGGCGGGAUGGCGAGGGCUUGGGCACGGUAAUGGCAGUAGGGAGGCGGGGGAGGACGAAGGGUUUGGUACAUUUUGUGUAAAUUAUGAUGGGGUCGGGCUAUCGCGUCCGACAUGGCGGGCACGUACGUGAGUCCCCAUAUCCGCCCCAUAUUUGGGUUGUAUAUGAGGGGUGAGGAUCAGCCUCGGCGUUUGAGUCUCAGUUUAAGAAGUCCGGGUCGCUUUUCUGUGACUAGUCACUAACCGGGCGUUUGAGAGGGGGUUAAGAGGUCCGGCUGUAAGAGCAUCUACAAUCGGACCCCUCAAACCCCCGGGCAGUCCGCUCGAUCACUGCCCGAUCACAAAAUUGUGAUCCGGACGGGCCUCUCAAACCGACCUAAAACGUCCGGGCUGACUCUGACCUCCCAUUUUCAACCCAAAUAUGAGGCGGAUAUGGGGGAGCCCGGGCACGCCGAGGCACGCCUGCCAUGUCGUGCUCACGGCUUGGCCCCAGGCGGACUCGCCGGGAAACAUGACAGCCUGAGGGGCGCCUUGUCCGUCGGUGCAGUGUGAACGCCGCAUGGCGCCGCUCCGGGUCCCUGCCCGAGGUCGGGGCCGACUAUGAUGCAGGCGGAGCAGACAUUCCAAAUGCAGGCGGAGAUGAUUGCCGAGGCGGAAAAUGACAAGUUGGACGAGCAGGGAUGCAUGGAUGAAUUUGUUCACCUAAUGAUCAAAAAGGCAUCCCUUGUCGCUCGGACAUUAAUUUUAUUUUACCAUGUCCAGCUUGUCGAACUAUGAUUUCAUUUGAUUUUGUUUUAAAAUACGGUUUUGCUAAAACUCAUUCAGCUGAGAUUUUUUUUGGUCUCAUUCACUUUUUUAACCCUAGGAUUCAAUCACAUCCGGAUUUGAGUUUUGUAGAAGUGACGAGUCGCCUCGCGAUGAGGCUGCCCAUCUAUUCGCCUCGCCGCACCUUUUUCCCGUGAUGGGCUUUUGUCCGCUGGACUUGUGUGGGCUUAUGACAGUUAUGUUAGUUCUUUUUUCUCUUUAUACUAGGCCAUAGGGAACAAGCGACUUUUUUUUCCUGCAUUUUGGUUUUCUUUGUUGUUUCAUUUUUUAUCCAUUAUUCCUAUUUUACCUUUAUUUUUUCAAUAUUUAUCAUUUUCUACUUUGUUUUCAUUGUUUGGUUGGAAGAGAACAUUUAAAGAUUUUUUAAACUAAUUUCUACUAAGAUGAAAUUUGGUUAACUUUUUAAAUGUACUAGAAAAUAAUUUUUUUAUACUUGUAUUUUGUGUUCCCAGAUUUUCUUUCUCAUUAGGCAGUGCGAUCACAAAGAUAUUACAAUUGACAUCGAACGAGGAUUAUCGGGCUAGUUGUAUGUCUAACAUUAGACAUGCAACUUCAAACAUUUAUAACUCAGCCGCAAUUGCAUUGAGUGCAAGACACUGCAAUUGGGGUCGGGACGGGGUUUGUCGGACCAGUUGUAUGUCCAUUACUAGACAUGCAACUUCAAGCAUUGGAACCCGACUGCAAUUGCACUAGGUGCAAAGAGACUACAACUGGGGUCGGAACGGGGGUUGUCGGACCAGUUGUAUGUCCAUUACUAGACAUGCAACUUCAAGCAUUGGAACCCGACUGCAAUUGCACUAGGUGCAAAGAGACUACAACUGGGGUCGGAACGGGGGUUGUCGGACCAGUUGCAUGUCCACUACUAGACAUGCAACUUCAAGCAUUGAAACCCCGGCUGCAAUUGUACUGGGUGCAAAGAGACUGCAACUGGGUUCGGGACAGGGGUUAUCAGACCAGUUGCAUGUGCACCAGUAGACGUGCAACUUCAAGUAUUGAAACCCCACUGCAAUUGCACUGGAUGCAAAGAGACUGCAACUGGGUUAGGGGUGGGGGUUGUCAAACCAGUUGCAUGUGCAACGUUGAAACCCGGCUGCAAUUGCAUUGGAUGCAAAGAGAUUGCAAGUGGGUUCGGGAUGAGGGUUGUCGGACUAGUUGCAUGUGCAUCAGUAGACAUGCAAAUGCAAAAAAGAAAAAGACACAAGCAGCCGUGAACAUGAUGCAUCGUAUAUCCUAGUUGACAUGCGCAGAAGAUUUGCGUGUAAGCAUUUUCUUCCUUUUCCUCAAAUAUUCCAGCCAUGCAAAUGUAGAAAAAACAACAAGACACAGAGAAUUAUAUAGCUACGUAGUAAAAACAAGCCCAGCCGAGCCAACAUAACAUAUUAACACAAAAAAAUAGCACAAGAAAGAAAUAGUAAUAUAACAUAAAAAAAUGAAUGAGAUCAAAUUAUAUAUCAUCUAGAUGAGUUCUAGCCAAACCCUUUAAAAUAUUGAAAUUAAAUAAACUAUAUCAGAUGAUUGAUAUAUAUGAUUGAUUAUUGUGUAUGAGGAUACAAAUAUGUGACGCAAUAUGUAGAGGGCCGGCGAACGUUGUCCACGGCGCAUCGGCGGAUGUAUCGGGGACUGAAUUUACCAGUCCGGCUGUAGAUGCUCUCACAAAGAGAAGGGCUGGUCAGGCUGGGGCGCACAUGCCGCCGGUUUCCCCCGCAAACUGGAAGGUGCCGCUCGCCGAAACGAGUCACGACCACGAGUGAAACUGGCGGCACUUGCAGCCGCACAUGCUCUGUUUCGUUUCUCAUCCCACAGUUUUAUAUGUAUUGUGAUGAGAUCGGCACUGUGAUGUCUAACUUUAGAUCUUUAGUGUGUAAAGAAAGACGAGGGCGCAGUGGAGGAUACUACCAACAAACAUCAUCAAUCCUAUGGAUCCCUACCAUAGUUUUGGAUACAGUUCCGCACUCCAAGUCCAAACGAGUGAGCAGAGAGAGCACCCACGGUUUCCGCCCAAAACCGUGCGUGGCGGCCACCUUUUUGCUCGCUAUAAAUACAUGGCUAGCUCCUCGUCCUGGAGGCAUCAAGCAACAACAAGCCAGGCAGCGCAUCUCAUCUCACUCUAUCGCACUCCUUGUACUGAGCCGUUUCUGUACAAGAUCACGGCCAAGAUGUCGUCGACGGCCACCGUCACCGGCGCCAACCCCGAGAACAAGCUCGCCCUCGCCAAACGCUGCUCCAGAGGUAAUAAAUAACCAGGAUCCACAGCUGAAUCACGCUUUCCAAGUUGUUUACUGCUAGUCUGACAGUAGCAAUGCGUUUAUUUUGUCAAUCUUCCUCAGAGGCGACGCUCGCCGGAGCAAAGGCGGCGGCCCUCGCCACGGUCGCGUCUGCGGCGGCAACGGUGAGCUAGCUCCUUUGUCUAACAUGACUUGUUGAUUUUCGUUCACGUUGGACUCUGGUUUCCAUAACUGAACUACUAUUAAUCACGCAGCUGGCGAGCGUGAGGAUGCUGCCGUGGGCCAAGGCGAACCUGAACCCCACCGGCCAGGCGCUCAUCAUCUGCACCGUCGCCGGGAUGGCCUACUUCGUCGCCGCCGACAAGACCAUCCUCUCGCUGGCGAGGAGGCACUCGUACGAGAGCGCCCCCGACCACCUCAAGGACACCUCCUUCCAUGGCGCCGCCCCUCGUCCACGUCCACCGCCACCGGCGUUCUUCAGCCCAUGAGCUAGUGUUCCUGCUAAUGUAUGCAUCGUCGUCAGUGUCCCAAGAAACUGCUGCGGAAUGAAUAAUUGAAUAUCUGUCGUCGAAAUUGAAACUACUACUUCUACUUAUGUUAUCAUCGUUGUUAACCGCUGACAUGUACUUUCUCUGUACCUCUUUUGGUUCGGUUGCCGCUCUUUUGGUUUGGUGGGUUUAGCUGUGUUGUAUCCUCUGUUCGGGUAUAUACAACGUCAAGUAUAUACAUUGUUAAUUAGUUUGGAACAACGUCAAGCGCAUUCGUACAGUCGAGGCCAGAUGGAUCGAACUCAUGACGUUGUGGAGCAGAGAGGAGCCUGCCGCAGGGCGGCACUGUAUGUGCCGCUGGCAUAUGCAAGUCGAGUGGGGAAGAACGGGCACAACGAUGUCAGAAUCGGCGUCGAUCGGCCGGCGACAUACAAAUGGGUUCGGCGGAGCGAGAGAGGGGAGGGGGGUUAAGCCCGGGUGAUGGCUUGUAUGCCUAUCAUCUAUCAGCCAACCACGUGCGAAAUAUAGGAACACUGCUAACCUACGUGCCGGCUUGGCUGCUAUGAGCAUCUACAGACGGAACAUGCAAAUCUGCCCCCCUCAAACGCGUGCGGACGUGCACAAUCAAUGAUCGACCGUGUUUGUUUUAAGACUCUACUUUUUAUCUGUGCAAUCGCACUUUUCAUAUUUUUUCUUAUAUGUCCGAUCGGUUACAUGUGAUUGAUGGAGAAGAAGAAAAAGAAAUAAAAAAUAAAUAAACAAAGAGAAAAAGUGGUCCUAGGUGGCGGACUCGCCAGGCGUGUCCAGACGCGUCUGCGAGCUCUCAUAUCGUCCUCAUAUUUGAGAUGGAUAUGAGGGUGCCGAUCAGUCCAAACGUUUGAGAUGGAUUUGAGGGGUCCGAUUGUAGGUGCUCUAAGGGCAUCUCUAGCCGGACGCCUUAAACGACCCCUCAUAUCCAUGUACACGGCCGGUCAAUGAACGUACAUGACCCCUCAUAUCAUCCUUAUACGUCUGGACUAUCCGCAAAUCCUCAUAUCCAUAUCAAAUAUAGGGAGCAUAUGAGGGCUCGCGGACGCGCCCGGCUCACCGGUCAGUCCGCCACAUAGGGCGCGACUCAUCCAAACCAUCUUUUCUCUUUCUUUAUUCGUUUUCUUUCUCUCUCUUCCACUCGAUCAAUCACGUGCAAGUGACCGGACAUAUGAGGAAGAAAAUAAGAAAAAUCUGACUGCGCAGACGGACAAAUAUCAGACAUGCCCGGUCACUGACCGGGUGCGUCCAUAAACAUUUAGGGGGUCAUAUUUGCUAUGUACAACUGUAGAUGCUCUAACGUCGCGUCUAUAUGGCAGCGUACUUCUGGAAGGAGAACGCUGCUAAAUGUUUGGGGUUUGAAUUUUUUUAAUGUAAACACAAUCUAAAAAUUUGGAACUUUGUGUGGUAUCAUUAUAUUAAACUUUGUAUUUUUAACCAAAAAUUAGAAAGAUUCCUUCCAAACCUAAGAGGUAUCUCGACAGGUAAUCCAAAGAAUUUUGAAAAAAGCGUGCCCGAUUUAAGAUAAAGAUGGUAGUAUUGUCAUUUGUUUCACUUCAUUGUCUCGAUUUGUUUUUUUUAUUCACUUGAAGAGUGUCUAUGCCUUUAGUAUGCACCAUUUUGUAGUUACAUAUCCACUUAUGAAUUUACUGAGGUUGUUUUUAUUUUAAAGAGACUUAAUAUAAAAAAUUACUUAGCAUCGUUUAAGUAUCAAAACACACUACUAGUGCGGACCAUUAGGGCAUGUGCUGUCACGGGAAACAUUGUUGGUAGUAUUUAUGUAUUUUAGUAUUUUAAACAGAACUACGGUGUUUUGUGUUUCAAAUUUUAUUAAGUAAACUUUCACGAGACAUUUCAAACACUACAAUUUUUUUAUUCAUUUUAAGAAAAUGUAAACACCUAUGAAGAAAAUGAGACAUGCGAUGUUUUCGUUAUACAUGAACACUUGAAGGUGUGUUUAUAAUUUAGGAGUGUUAUAAAAAGUUUUCAUAUAAAUUCCUUUGAAGUGCACAUUUGCUUUCAUGAAAGGAAUUAGAUAAUUCGACACAACAUGUCCUUUUUUAUUUCAAUGAGCAAUAUAAGCGACGUUUACAGGAGGACCACACACGACUGCCGCAAGCAAAUUUAGCGGCGCCCCACACAAAGUACACGCUGAAAAUGUGUUGGUCCCGAGCCAUGUUUAUUCGAAAAUGUGUGGGUCCCGAGCCAUGUUUAUUCAUGAGAUUCACAUUUUCAAUUAAUGGUGCUCGAGUGAAAAACUAGCCGCGUUCCUGGAUCAUAAACGCUGCCAACUGUUUUGGACUGGUGGGCAUGUACUGUUCACCUUUGUAGGAGCGUUUAAAUAAGAGCUCUUUUACCGUACCGGCCCUCCGAUAGAUAUGGCCGUGUAUUCUCGAAAUCCAAAGGUGGUAACCCAUCUAUACUGCUGAACCUGGCCAAUACCAUCCGCCAGCAGUAUAGGUGGCACUCGCCGCUCCGUGUGAGCAGUAUAAUUAUGUAAGGAUAAUUUAGGGAGAAAGAAAAUUUGUAGCCCAGCUCCCGACUUGCUCGGCUGCAUGCACGCGCCCCUCGGCUAGGAUUUCGGCGGUCGCCUCGUCGCCUCAACGCUGUUACCAUGCUCGUUCGACCAUGAUGGUCGACUGCCGCGAGGCCUCCUCUUCCCCCAUUCCUCUGUAUAGGCGGCGGAUGUCGGCCUCAUGUCCCGCCCUUCCUCUGUGCCAGCGGCCGCAUCGCCGCCUCCACCCCUGUCCAUCGUCCUUGUGGACCGACGAUGCUAUGCCGCCGCCCAUGAUCGUCAACCGCCGCGAUCGACGAGGCCUCCUAUUCCUCCCUUCCUUUGUGCUGGCCGUCGUCGCCGCAUCUCAUCUUCAUCGGUGAUUCUGCGUCUCAUUCCUUGGUCAUGCUUGUGGACAGAGCGCUUAGAGCUAUGGCACAGUUGAUUGAUCUGCCUCGCAACCAUCGGCGCUGGCUAGGGAAAUUAUACAUAGCAUUCAAAAGCUACUAAACGACGGGCUCCGACGAUCAACCAAAAUACAACAUCACCAUCGACUCGGAGUUGAGUGAUUAACCACCAUGGCACCAAAGACACAGAAGGUGAGAGAAGUUGCGAUCUGUAUUCUUUUUUUUGUUUUACAGGAAGUGGCAUGUAUUGUACUGAUUAGGACUGAACAUGUGAGGGGUGAUACGUGUCCAGGCGGGAGGUGCUGCCGGCAAGUACGCAACGGCUAGGUUAAUGGGCGUCCGACGGUCUAUGUCAAGAGCGCCGGUGAACGCUGCCAACUCGAAGUAGCAGCAACACACUGGGAAAUAGGGACGCAAUGGCCCGUUCGGCGACGGUGGAGCCGACUAGUCCGCACUACUUUGAGUUGGCAGCGGCGAGCAAGGGGACGACGAGACCGGCCGAUUGCGGAUUGUUAGAGUUAUUUUAGAAAACAAAAAAAAAUGACUAGAACUACCCUCACGAAAUCAUGGGUGGCUGAUUGUAUACUGCUAUCUUUCAUCUUUAACAGUACAAGGUACCAUAAAAAAGCUCUUGAAUAAUAGACACACUGCGACUAGACUUUCGUUAGCUAAGUAAACGUUGCCAACUGUUCUCGACGAACGCUGGUAGUGUUUUCGCCAAAGAGUUGUGAGGAAAUUUCUUAUAUAACACUAUUUUAAAUGCUGGUUUCCUAUUUAAUACUGAAGAAAUAUUUCUUCUUUAUGUGGUACCGAGUGUAAAUAUUAUGUCUUAUCUAACAUUUUCGUCCAUUCUGUUAGUCCACGCCGUUAAAGUGAACUUACAUUGACGAAACUGUCCCUAUUCAUAGAAAAAAAAAAGAGAAAGGAGAGAAAUCCCCGGCCCCGAGCGACGCCUCUCUCUCUCCCGCGACAGGACCCAACCCACCCUUUCUCUUGUUCACCCUAACCCUAGCGAGAUGGACGGCGGCGGUGCCGCAUAUGGAUCCGUGCCAGAGGGGCCAGCCAGGCCACGACGCCGGAUGGAUCCGGCAAGGGCGCGACCCCGGAUGGCCCCGGACAGGGCGCGACCCCGGAUGGCCCCGGACAGGGCGCGACGCCGAAGGGGCCGACCGAGGAUGCAACGCCGGAGGGGCUGGGGCAGGGCGCGAUGAUGGAGGGGCCGGGGCAGGGCAACGAAUUUAGGUUUGUCGUUAACUUGCAUGACAACACAUGUUCUUGUAGACAAUGGCAAGUUUCUGGUCUUCCUUGCAGAUAUGCUCUAGCAUUCAUCACAUCGCUUGCCAAUGCACAUAUAAAAAACUUUGUGGAGUUGUAUUACUCCGUUGACAAGUUUAUAGCAGCUUAUGGCCAACUAAUCCCUGCUAUGUGUGACAAGACCCAGUGGCCUGAAUCUAACCAUGGAUUCUUCAUGCAUCCACCCUUGCUAAAAGCCCUAGCUGGUCGGCCCAAAAUAGAGAGGCAUAAGGGUUGUGGGUGAGAAAAAGAGGAAAAGUGACCUGCACUUAUGCCCUAUUUGUAAGGAAUACGGGCACCAUUGGAACAAGUGCAUGAAGGGGAACACAGAUCACAUUGCUGCUUUGAUGGAUGUGAGGUAAUCAGCUAUGCAUUUUACUUUCUUACUGCAUAUUAACUACUUUCUUGCAUUACUAUUUUGUAUUCAACUAUGCAUGUGAACUACUUUCUUAAUGCUCGUGUAGAGAACCACCAAAGAAUAGGGGGGAGAUUACCAAAUCAACCAAGUCAUCCAUUGUGCCAAGAGGUGAUGAAGCACCCGCAACCAUGUAUUUUUCACCAAGGUUAAUAAUACUGCACCUAUUCAUUUUGCAAACGGAAAAUGAGUUUGAUUAGUGCCAUAUGAGAUCUGAGUUUGUUUUGUGUGUCCCAAAGCUUAGAAAUUACAACCAAAAAGAAGGGAAAACAUAGCCAAACCUUGAAGACUAUAAAUAAGAAAAAUGGAAAAGGGUGUAAAAGGUGACUUUUCCUAAUUCUGAAUUUUAAUAUCACAUAUAAUGCAUAGUUCAUGUCGUUAUUUGAUCUGAAAUUACUGCUGCAAUACACGUACAAGUGUAGAUCGACGAAGGGGAAGAAGAUGGAGCUUGCUAAAAAGGAUGAAAGUUGUGCUAUGGUGCCAUUUGACAGCCCUGUAAUGGACACUAGAAGCAAAAAAGACUAGCCCAACCAGCUAUGCAAUGAGCACAAGAAGCAAAAGAAGGCUUAGCUUGUGAAUAAAAUUUCAUUUCUUUUGGUUAAAGUCACUUCUGUUGCUGCUCGUGUCAUAUUGUGUGGACUCAUGUAUGUGAAGUUUUGGUCACUUGGACUAUGUACGCGAACCUAGAUAUGAUGACAAUCCUUUUGUGUUGCUCAUAUGAUGUGAACUUGGAUGUUGGACCCUGAUACGUCCAUUUUGCAUCAUGCUUUCAUGUUGAUAUUUAUCGCUUUAUGAAAUGUUAUUAUACUUUGUGGUAUCAUACUUAUGCCUUUUCUCUCUUAUUUUGCAAGGUUUAUUUGAAGAGGGAGAAGACCGACAGCUGGAAUUCUGGACUGAAAAAGGAGCAAGUCUGAGUCCUCUAUUCUGCGCAACUCCAAAUGCCCUGAAAAUCAACGUGGAAUUUUUUGGGAUUAUAUAAAAAAUAUUGGGCGAAAGAAGUGCCAGAGGGAAGCUGCCAGGGGCCCACAAGCCUGGUGGCCGCGGCCUGCCCCCCUGGCCGCGGCCAUAGGGCUUGUGGGCACCCUGGUGGCCCACUGGCCCCCCUCUUCUGCUAUAUGAAGGGUUUCGUCCGGAAAAAAAUCAGGGCGGAGCUUUUUUGUGGAUUCUCUGCCGCCACGAGGCGGAACUUGAGCAGAACCAAUCUAGAGCUUCGGCAGGACGAUCCCGCCGAGGAAACUCCCCUCCCGGAGGGGGAAAUCAUCGCCAUUGUCAUCACCAACACUCCUCUCAUCGGAGGGGACUCGUCACCAUCAACAUCUUCAUCAGCACCAUCUCAUCUCCAAACCCUAGUUCAUCUCUUGUAACCAAUCUCCGUCUCGCGACUCCGAUUGGUACUUGUAAGGUUGCUAGUAGUGUUGAUUACUCUUUGUAGUUGAUUCUAGUUGGAUUACUUGGUGGAAGAGUUUAUGUUCAGAUCCUUGAUGCUACUCAUUACACCUUUGAUCAUGAUUAUGAUUAUGCUUUAUGAGUAGUUACUUUUGUUCCUGAGGACAUGGGAUAAGUCUUGCUAUUAAUAGUCAUGUGAAUUUGGUAUUCGUUCGGUAUUUUGAUAUGUUGUAUGUUGUAUUUUCCUCUAGUGGUGUUAUGUGAACGUCGACUACAUAAAACUUCACCAUAUUUGGGCCUAGAGGAAGGCAUUGGGGAGUAGUAAGUAGAUGAUGGGUUGCUAGAGUGACAGAAGCUUAAACCCCAGUCUAUGCGUUGCUUCGUAAGGGGCUGAUUUGGAUCCACUAGUUUAAUGCUAUGGUUAGACGUUGUCUUAAUUCUUCUUUCGUAGUUGUGGAUGCUUGCGAGAGGGGUUAAUCAUAAGUGGGAUGUUUGUCCAAGUAAGGGCAGUACCCAAGCGCCGGUCCACCCACAUAUCAAACUAUCAAAGUAACGAACGUGAAUCAUAUGAACAUGAUGAAACUAGCAUGACAGAAAUUCUCAUGUGUCCUCGGGAGCGCUUUACUUCCUAUAAGACUUUGUUCAGGCUUGUCGCUUGUCCCUUGCUACAAAAGGGAUUGGGCCACUUUGCUGCACCAUUGCUAUUACUUGUUACUUGUUACUUUUCACUUGCUACGUUUCACCUCACUACACCAUCACUUGUUACCGCUACUUUCAGUGCUUGCAGUUAUUACCUUGCUGAAAACUGUUUAUCAGAGCCUUCUGCUCCUCGUUGGGUUCGACACUUUUACUUGUCGAAAGGACUACGAUUGAUCCCCUAUACUUGUGGGUCAUCAGACCCGUAUAUGUGAACCUGGAUAUGUUGUACGUGAUAUAUGCGUAUUUGGAUGUGAGUCUGGUGUUUAUGUGCAAAUCUGAAUAUUAUUUGUUGAAAUAUUUGUAUAUGUGAAUUGUGUGAUCCUGAUAUGCAUCAAUUUAUAGGGGAGAUCUACCCAAAUUUUGAACUACUUUGUAUGUGAUGAAUUUUGGUCACAACUUCAUCAGGGAUAAAAUCAUCUUCUCACGUACCAUUUAACACCGUCAAUGGUCAAAAUGGACGGAAAUGUUAGAAAGGGAACAAAUUUUAGUGCUGGUGUUACAUAAGGAAGAAAUAAUUUUAAAGUAUUAAAUAGGACAAACAAAUUUAAGCCAAUGUUAAAUAAGGAAUUCUCUCAAGAGUAGUCGUGUUUGACUUCUGCCACACGCUGCUAGUACUAAAAUUCCGUAAGAGUUCUUGAACUAGUGACCGGGACAAACAAGGAGCCCCCAAUAGAAAAGUACCUUAAUUUGUAGGACAGGUGCAUUGGAGCCAUAUAUUUCUAAUAGUGCAAAAUUGCUAUUUUAAUGUUUCAUAAAAAUCUGACAAUAAAUCAGCAUGUUUAUAUGGAUGUAUAUUACACAUGUGUAAAUUUUGGUGCUGAAAUUAGUAACCAUGUGAGUUGCACAAAAAUGGAAAAAAUCAUGAUUUUGGAUAGAUGAAUAGUGUGUGUAUUAUUCACUAUUUGCAAAUCACCAUUUUGUCAUUUUUCUCUAUCUCACAUGUUCACUUAUUUGAUCAAUCCACAUGAUCAAGUAGACUAUUUUCAGAAUUUUUGACAUUCUAAAUAUGAUACUUGAAGUAUUUAAAAUAAGGUCCUCCAAUACACCUGGGCUCCAAAACUCCACUCGGACCUCCAAUUGCAUGUUAGGGGUAGAAUUGUGGCCGGUGACAAAAAUACCUCCUCUCAAGUUACCCGUCGAGGGUAGACUUGUUAUUCGGAAAAACAUGUUUACAACCUAGUUGUGUAUCGAGGAUAGACUUUCAACUCGGACGAAAAGGGGCGCCCCUCUAGCUGCAUGUCAUGGGUGGAAUUGUAACUGGAGAAAAAAAGGGUCGGGCCCCCAUUUCGUUUCGAGAGUGGGAGAACUAGGACAAAAAUGAGGUCCAUGCCCCAUUGUGUAUCAAGGAUGGAUUUUUAACUCGGACAAAAUUAGGUAGGCCUCCCUAGGUGCAUGCCAAGACUGGAUUUGCAACUAGGAAAAAUGUCAGGCUCUCUAGUUGUGUGUUGUUGGUGGAUUUGCAAGUGGGACAAAAAUUGGGCCAAGCCAGCCGUGUAACGAGUGCAAGCCAUAGACUUUCACUUCCAUAAAGGUUUCCUCUUCGAGAUCGAACUUGAAGAAAGUAGAAAUAGGCAACACAAGCGACAUAACAUGUCUCUUCUACUUUUACAACACAAGGAAGAUGAAUGGGAAGAGGGCAAGAAAAAAAGGCUUGAUAAACAACAUACGUGCACUUUUCUUGACUCUUUCAAUUCUACGUCAUGGUUAAGAAGCAGCGCGACAAAAUGGGGUGUCAGCGUAUCAUGAUGAUGGAACGGCAAAAUCGAGCCAAACAUGCCAACAAAAUGAUGUGUGACAAACAAACAGACAACUACCAACGAGGCGGGGUAUCAAGCGCUUGCACGAAAACUACAUAAACUAAAUCAUAGAUGGCGAACUUAGAUAAGACAUCGUUAAAGAUCACCUAGAUGUGAUUUAGCAAUUCAAAAAUAUAAGUCUAAAAAACAUAUGAAGCGAGUGACAAACUAAUUAACAAUGGUAAGAGGCAAAUGCAGAGGAAUGGGAAAUGAUACAAAUUCUGAAGUGACCACUAUUGUGUCUCUUUUUCCAAUACUCUCUCCCUCUCAUGCUCUCAACAUACCUCUUCGGAUUUCAUAUUCGGCACUUUCGACGUGUGUUGCAGGCUAUUCUGUUAACCGGCACUUAUGUGAGGCCAUCUUAUGGUUAACUGGCACUUUUGCUAGAAAAUGGGCCAACCCGGAAGGUAGUGAUGUUCUUUUUGUUUAGUUUUUUGGACCGGGUCUUCUCUGUCUUUUUUUUAUUUUACCUUUUCAUUUUUUAUUUCUAAAUUUUUUGCACUUUAAAAAAAAUUCAAAAACUUAUCAGCGCUAUUAAAGCUUUUCAAGUUUUGUGAUUUCUUUUCCGCUUCCGCAAACAAAAAUUAUAUGGUGAACUUUUUGAAAACCAUGAACAAUUUUCAUAUUGGUGAACCAUUUUUCUUUUUAUGAACAUUUUUCAAAUCCAGGAAGUUUCCCUAAAUUUAAGAACAUUUUUUAAAUUCUUGAACUUUUUCAAAUUUGUGACCAUAUUACGAAAAAUCCAUGAGCUUUAUACAAAUUUGUGGAAUUUCGCAUACGAGUGAACUUUUACAAAUAAAGAUUUUUUGUAUAUCCGUGAGUUUUCCAUUCAUGAACUCUUAUUUUAAAUUGACGAUUUUAUUUUUCAAAAUUAAUAACUUUUUAUAAAGUCGCAAAUACUUUUCAAAUUCGUGAAAUUUCACCUAAUCCACUAAAUAUUUAUUCAAAUUCGCAAAUUCUUUAUUCAACCCAUAUUUUUUCCAAAUUUGUAAAAAAUAGAAAUCCACAAUAGUUUUACAAAUUCAUACAUUUUUUUGACUCUACGCAAUCCGCAAACUGUUUUAAAGUGUGUAAAAUUUUUAAAACACGUGGACAAUUUAAAUUCAUCAACUGUUUUGAAAUAUAUGAUUAUUUUUCAAACCAAUGAACUUUUUUGCAUUACUGAAGUUUAUUUGAAUUGGCGAACAUUUUCAAAAAUUCCUGAAAUUUUAUCCCAUUCGCAAGGUUUGUCAUAUUUUGUGAACUUUCAAAAUUUUAUGAAAAUCUCUUAAAAUGUUUUCUGAUGCAGUACACUAGCUACUUUUCAUAAGGAAAAUCUAACAUUUUAGCAAUUUGAGGGAGAAUACGUGCUAGCGAUGCAUUCGGGCGCUGAAGGCCCCGUAGGAGGUGCGCCCACGCGAGAGCCCACUGGGCUGAGAUCCAAAAUUCGCUCGCUCCCUUGAGAAAAAAGGAUCGCUAGCUGCGUCAUUCACGAAUCUCUUUUCGUACAGGAUAGCUCGCUCCUUGAAAAGAGCUGAAAACACGUUCAUGAAUUAGAUAAACAUUCGUGAAUUUGAAAAGGUUCAUGAAUUUUCAAAAAAGUAGUGCACAAAUUUGGAAAAGGAGUUCAUUAAUUUUGAAAAAGGUAAUCUAUUUUCAGGUCUCGAAUUUGGAAAAACAUAUUAUAAAUUUUGAAGAAACAUUCAUAAAAUCUGAAAAGAGUUCAUCAAUUUGGAAAGUUUUCCCAUUGAAUUACAAAAAUAAUCAUCAAUUUUGAAAAAGGAUCAGAAAUUUGAAAAGAUUGAUCAAUUUUGACAAAGUUCAUCGAUUUUGCAAGAAAAAUUCAUGACUUUGUAAAAAAUAUGCAUUUAAGAAAACAAAAAGAAAGAAAGAACAAGAACAAGUUAAAGAAUAAACAGAAUACACCGCCUCCAAACUGAUCAGUGAACCAGGAAAACCGGUUUUGGAAGCUUCUGGAAGAAUCCCAAAACCAGGCUUUCACAAGCGGGCGAGAUGGUCUAACGGUUGCUGUGCUUCGAGUUUAACUGAAAAAAAGAAGAGAAAUGGGCUACCUCAGAGUGAGCUGCAACCGGUGCCUAAGGCGGUAUAUAGAAUCUUGCAGAGGUCUCCUCGCACUUCUUAAUCUGAAAAAAGCUGAAAAAACCAAAACGGCAGUCUACACAAAAAAUACGAAACACAGCCACAUACGUGGUCAUGGCCCACUAGGGCCCACGCAUCCCAAGCCCAUACACACAUAUACAUGCAAAGAAAAGGACAAUGAAUCCCCGCUCAAACAAGGCAUUUCCUAAGCAACGCUUAAGAGUGUACUAGUACAUAUGCCCGUGUGUUGCGACGGGUGAAAAACAACAAAAAGCUACACCUUUUGACAUUAUGUGUCGUUUUUUUUAUCCAACUCUGAAAAGCAUCACAAAUAAGACUAUUCUCAUCCCUAGAAACUUUGUAAAACUAAAGUUGUUUACCAAAAAGUAAAACUACAAGUAUCUAGAUAAAAAAAAUGGAAGGAAAACUUUGUCAUUCAUGAAAAAUAUGUCAUGUUUUCUUGAUUUUAGCAACUUAAUGUUACUUGGCGACUCCUAUGAAAUAAAGACAUAGAGAAAACUUCAUUCAAGUAUGAAUAAUUUUUUGGAAAAUUAGGCGGCCUAUAGGCUUUUACACUCUCCAUAUAGCUUUUGCACUAACAUGUUUUAUAUUACGUCAAUUUGAACUUGCUUGCUCUAUUCAAUUGCCUGGAUUCUCCAUUUAAUUUGAGAGAAAAAUGAAAUUCUUGUUCGUAUAAUCGAUAGACAAAAAGAAUGCCGACUAUCGGAUUUGUAUCGACAACCCUCGCAUUACAAAUGUGGAAGGACCAAGAAUAGAUUGCUAGGCUACUUUGUUUAGCAUUUGAAUCACCUACUCUUUUUUCUUUAUUCAAUCUAUCUUCAGGCAGAGUCAUCAUAUCUUAUAUUAUACUCCGUUUGUUUGCAACGUGAGAAAGAAAUACCAACGCUCUUAUUUUAUAAAAAAAUGGUCUAUAAUCUGAGAAUUUGUAGUUACGACACAAAUAAAGAUGGUCUUAUCCUACAAAAAUGCAGUUCAAAAUUUCACAGGUCUUCUAUUUUAACACGGCUUGCAUGUAGAUUUAAUACAUACAAAGAAUCAGUCAAGUGACCUUCAGUUUCAUCUCUAAUCCUGAUUUUGUUGACGUGUUCAUCCCCAAACCGGAUGAGUACCAGUAUGAAAGAAAGACGAAUAAUGACUUAUUUAUUAAGAUUGCACCCUAGAUAGUAUUUUUAUUAAACAUUUAACAGAUAAAAUAAUAUCAUAUUUAAAUUCUACAUAUUUUUCUAAUCAAAUUCCAUAUAUAAUAUGUUAAAUUUGGAGUUACAGUUUAUUAAAAGAUAUGAGUAUUUUAAAAAACAUUUAAUAUAUACUACAAGUUUAAUGUCAUAAACAGUAAGGACUUUUUUGUAAAAUCACCUCGGUGGGUUUUCCGACGAAAGCGAUAGCCUCUUUAUUAUUAGGUAAAGAUUAUCACGCGGCGUCGAGUCUGCAUACAUAUUUUAUGCAUUUUCAUUUAUUGGGGAUUAACUUGCAACAGCAGAAAAAUUGACAGGUUCCAUUAUUAGGGGAGGGAUAAACACUAAAUUAGCCGUCAAAUGUUUUGAAUUAUAGGUCAAAGAAAAAAGCCUUAUAUUUGAUACAGAGGGGGUUUACAUAUUAUUAGGGGAGCCGUGCCUAAAUUAGCAACCCAUACAUGACUGUGUGCAUGAUCACCAAAAUCAAGGGCCGCUAUGGAUUUCAGAGCUCUUCUUGCAUUAGUUUGGCAAAAUCUUUUUCAAAAGUGUACUCGUUUUUCUUACUGAUUCACGAGGAGGUUUAUUGAGUUUAAUUUGCAGACCUAUAUAAAUAGAUGAAUUUGUGUGUAAGGCAUCAAUGUCUGCUUUAUUUCGCUUCGUUCCCGUUCUUCAUUUCCUUAUUAUCGAAUCCAUGGGGGAGGCUUAUUGAGUUUAAUUUGCAGACCUAUAUAAAUAGAUGAAUUUGUGUGUAAGGCAUCAAUGUUGGACUAUGCAUACGGACCCUUCUUUUUUUCUACAGGAGCAUGGUGUAUGCAGCCUUACAAACCAGUUUGUUGGCCCACGUUAGAAAAUCGGAACCCUGGAGUGGCUUAAAAACAAAAAUAGAUCGGGACACUCAUACCCAGGGUCGCUCAUGCAUAAAAAAAAAUCGGUGGGGUGUUGGUGUCUAGACUCAUAGUAUUCUUCUACUGAUAGAUUCAGCCCUAUAUCGUGUGUGUUAGUCUAUUUAGUUUAGUUAGUGCCCACGAUACCAUUCUUGUUGGUCGUGAGUUUGAAUCCGUGUACCUGCAUAUAUUUAAAAAAUAAAUAAAUAAAGUGAGAUAUGCAGGACUCGAACCUAGGUCUUAGAGGUAGAAAUAUGGAACCCCGACCAGUGCACCACUCCCACAUUCAUCGCAGUUUAACGGCUCGCUUUUUGAUAAACCAAUCACGACGCAGCGAUUUUUGAAAAAGAAACACGAAUCGUUUUUUCUCACUUAUGGAUGGCAUGGUGGAUAAUUUAUGACAACUUUAGGGGCAAUUUAUAAGAACGAAACAUUUUUCUGGUUAGUCACUUAAAGAGGAUGACAGGUUAAUUACCCGAAAAGACAGGGACUUUUUCGUAAAAAAGCCACGACGUACGACAGAAGUAGUAACUGUUUUAUUAUUAGGGAGAGAUUUGAUAGCAUUAUCAGCCUAGCGGUGUACUUGUUUGUUUUUUUCUAAUACAUGUUGAGUAUAGACACACAGAGGGCAUGCAUUUGUUGUUCUUUGAUAGCGGUGUAUCUCCUCACAUAUGCUAAGCUGAGACUCUAUUUUGCUACUGUUUAGAUACAGUGGUUGGUAGUGUAGCAACACGUAUUUUCAAAUAAAUGAACAGAACAUUUCAAAAAUGUGAACAAUUUUUUGAAACAUGAAAAAAAUAACAUUUUUGAAAUUCUGAAGUUUUUUUGGAAUACAAACAAAUUUUUAAAGUUUGAUCUUUCUGGAAAUGUAAACAAAAUUCGAAAAUAUAAUUUUUUUUAGUUCCGAAUUUAUAAAAUUCCUGUUUUUUGAAUAUAUAUAAACAAGAAUAUAUUUUUUUUACUUUUUUGAAAAUUUAAACAAAUUUUGAAAAUCUGGAUAGUUUUUGCAAAUUUUAACAAAAUUUGAAAACCUGGCAUUUUUUGAAAAUUUGAAUCAAUUUUGAAUACUCAAGGUGCAGUCCCGCCACCUCCCCCGUCGUAUGUCUCACCGCGGGUCAUGAAGAAAGCAAGGAAGGACGGCUCUCCCUCGGAGCAGAGCAAAGAGAUGAUGGCAAAAUUGGCGGGCUCCAAGAAGGAGCGUCGUCAGGCCCAAUGAAAAUACUAAGCUGGAACUGCCGUGGGAUAGGCGAUCCCGCGACAGUUCGGGAACUCCGCGGCCUUGUGGAGAUCAGUUCACCCACUAUUUUAUGUUUGGUAGAAACUCAGUUAUGGAAGAGUCGUGUUGAAGGUCUUCGUUUUUCUUUAGGGUUUGAUUUCAGUUUUGGAGUUAGUAGUAGUGGUCGCAGUGGUGGCAUUUGUAUUUUCUGGAAGAACACCAUUGAUGUUGCAAUAAAGAACUAUUUGGAGUAUCGUGUUGAUGCAUGGGUCACGGAGCCAGGCAAGGAUCAAUGGCGGAUGUCGUGUUUCUAUGGAGAGGCCACUAGAAGCCUUCGUCACAAGACAUGGGAAACUAUGAAACGUUUGAGGGGAAUGAGCACUCUUCCGUGGAUAUGCAUUGGUGACUUCAAUGAAAUAUUGAGACGAGUAGAACAACAUGGACCAAAUGAACAUGACAGUGAGCAGAUUGAAGCCUUCAGGGAAGCUGUGGAUGUUUGUGGACUAGCUGACUUGGGUUACCGUGGACUUGACUAGACCUGGGAGAAGAAGGUAUCUGGAGGCCAUUUUUGUUGGGUGCGUUUGGAUAGAGCCGUGGCCUCCCCUUGUUGGUCGGAGCUCUUUCCUUUCGCUACGGUGGAGCACUUGACAACAACUAAAUCGGACCAUAGCCCCAUCCUGCUUGAGACCGAGCUGGUGGAUUCUAGUGUUUAAGCCAAACAGAAACAAUUUCGCUAUGAAUGCAUAUGGAGCGAGACCCUAGUUUUGGUGACGUUGUAGACAAAGCAUGGCAGACAGUGGGACAAGCCCAAUCCAUUUCGGCGCUGUCAUAGAAGCUUGCCAUGGUGCCUGGUAGUUUGCAACGGUGGGGAUGGACCACCUUCGGUGUGGUUAGAGCAGAGCUGCGCUCACGUCGGCUUCGUAUGCAGACCUUGCAUGCGGUACCUCAUCGAACCGGCCCUACGGGUGAGGAGGAUAAGAUCGAAGCCAGGAUGGUGGAGUUGUGUUUGCGUGAGGAGAUUAUGUGGCAUCAGCGAGCUCGCAUCCAAUGGCUAGCGGAAGGAGACAUCAACUCCAAAAAAUUUCAUCGCAAAGCGAGCGCACACAAAGACAGAAAUCGUAUCACCGAGCUGCAAAGAUCUGAUGGGUCAGUUUGCAAGGAGGAAGAUGAGAUGGCCAGUAUGGCGACGAAUUUCUGCGGCAACUUAUAUACUUCUGAGAAUACAUAUAGCAUGGAGGAGGUGCUUUCACCUAUAGCCUAUAGGAUUGAUGCUACUAUGGACAGUAACCUUAAUGCUCCAUAUACCAAAAAUGAAGUGAAGUCUGCACUAUUUCAAAUGUUCCCUACUAAGGCUCCAGGGCCUGAUGGGUUCCCAACACAUUUCUUUCAGCGGCAUUGGGAUUUGUGUGGUGAUGAGGUAACUGAUAUGGUGCUCAGAGUUCUGAGUGGGGAAGAUUCACCGGAGGAGAUAAACAAGACUUUCAUUGUUCUAAUUCCCAAGAUUGCAAGUCCAAAAAAUCUAGGACGGUUUUGACCGAUCGGUCUGUCUAAUGUGAUCUUCAAGAUUGCAUCCAAGGUACUGGCUAACCGGCUCAAACUUAUUCUCCCCGAGAUCAUUUCUGAGGAACAAUCAACAUUUGUACGAGGUCGUCUUAUUACUGAAAAAUUCAUAUCUGCUUAUGAGUGCUUGCAUUAUAUGAAAACAAAGAAGGUAAAGAGGAACCGGUUAUGUGCUCUAAAUCUUGACAUGAUGAAAGCUUAUGACAGACUUGAGUGGAAUAAUUUGGAGAGAGUCAUGCUCAAGUUGGGAAUGAGCCAACGGUUUACAAAAACAGUCAUGAGAUGUGUUACUUGGUCUCUUUUUCAGUUAUAUUUAAUGGAGGGCGGCAAGAGGAAUUCAGGCCUUCUCGGGGGUCUCCGUCAGGGUGAUCCUAUCUCCCCUUAUCUCUUCAUGUUGGCAGUUGAAGGGCUCUCAUGUAUGUUAAAAUCUACGAGUGGUACUCAUCGUAUCGAUGGUAUAACGGUGGCUGCGGAUGCCCCCCACGUAAAUCAUCUCUUGUUUGCUGACGGUAGCCUCCUGUUUUUUAAUGCUACACCACAGAUGGCCAACAGGGUGGAUUCCCUUCUUCAACGUUAUUGCGCUGCCUCCGGACAGCGGGUAAACAAGGACAAGUCGUCCAUCUUCUUCAGCAAGGGGUGUUCGGAAGAUCUAAGGGAGGAGAUAAAACAUGUUCUAGAUGUGCAAAAUGAACAACUCUCUCAAAAAUAUCUGGGAUUACCCUCUCAUGUAGGGCGGGCCAGAGAGGGAUCUUUCAAAUAUUUAAAGGAUAGAAUCUGGAAGCAAGUUCAAGGCUGGAUGGAAAAAGCUCUCUCUGUGGGAGGGAUGGAGGUUCUCAUUAAGUCUGUUGCACAGGCUAUUCCUACCUACUCCAUGGCGUGCUUCAAGUUACCUUGGGGGCUUUGUCAGCAUAUCAAUGGACUCUUGAGGAAGUUCUGGUGGGGUUCAAAGAAACGAGAGAGGAAGACUGCCUGGGUUUCAUGGGAGACUAUGACAGAACCAAAAUACAUGGGGGGUAUUGGUUUCCGCGAUAUUGAGUUGUUCAAUCUUGCGCUGCUGGCCCGACAAGUAUGGCCCCUCCACCAGGAGCCCAACUCUCUCAGUGCCCGGAUUCUUAAGGUUGUCCACUAUCCUUCAACGUUAAUACUCCAAGCAGAAUUGGGCAAACAUCCAUUGCACGUUUGGCGCUCAAUUGUGGAGGGCAGAGAUAUUCUAAGACUUGGCUUAAUAAAGCGUAUUAUAAGCUAUGUCCGGUUUGUCCUAAAUCCGAAUACCCUCCACAUACGGUCGUUGAACUCAUUGAUCCAGUCACCAGAACUUGGGACCGAAGUGUUUUGGAGGCAAAUUUUUACCAGAUGGACAUGGAAGCUAUCCUAAACAUCACGCUCACCUCUAGGGUUCAGAGUGAUUUUUGGUCUUGGCACUAUGAAAGAAAGGGCAUCUUCACCGUCCAUUCUGCAUAUAGGCUGCUGGCUUCCACCAAGCAACAAUGUACAGACUGGCUCGAACACAAUGAGGGACACUCAAACGUUGAAAGUUGAUCAUCACUCAUGGACACGUUUUUGGGGCACUUUGGUCAUGUCUAAGUUCAAAGUUUUUUGCCUGGAGGUUAGCCAAAACAUCGAUCCCGACAGACGAGGUGCGCAAGGACAGGAGCAUGGCGGAAACAGUAGAGUGUUCUCUUUGUCACGUGGCGGCAGAUACAUGGCGACAUGCUCUCUUUGAUUGCCACAUGGCACGGUGUGUAUGGGCCCUUGGGGUCGAGGAUCUUACCGAGACUGUCAUCUCGAACCGGACUGACGAUGCAAAGCUUUGGAUGCUAUGGCUGGUUGACACGCUUCCCUCACUGGACCUGACUAGGGUCCUUGUAACAAUGUGGGCCAUUUGGUGGGCGCGCCGAAAAGUAAUCCAUGACGAACAGUUCCAGAGCCCGUUGAGCACACACGUGUUUAUCAACAAGUUUCUGGAUGAUCUAGAGAUGAUCCCUCCACCGGAGAAUCGAGCAAAGGACCGACGACUGAGAACCAGGGACCUGCAUGUAACGGCGGAGGACUUGCAUGUAAACAUAGAUCUUCCUCGAGAGCAGCCGCUGCCAAAGUGGCGUUCGCCUGAGGUGCAUGCAGCAAAGAUGAAUGUUGAUGGGGGCUUCUCAAAAAAUUGUGACCGAGGUGCUUCAGCUGCGGUGUGUAGAAACAAAGAGGUGGGAGGUUACCUUGGUGCUUUGGUCGUUAUCUGAGAAGGGCUCCUGGAUCCGACAGUUCUUGAAGCACAAGCGUGUCUCGAGGCACUUGCGCUCGCAACGGACCUUAACAUCCUAUCGGUGUGCAUUGCCUCUGAUUGCCUGGAAGUUGUGAUUAACAUUGAGGAGGAGGUCCCGUGUCGAUAUGUCGACAUUUUACAAGAUAUCAAGCACUUGAGAAGUUCACUUCAAGAUUUAAAAUAUAUUCAUGAAAGUAGGAAGUCUAAUGGAGAGGCCCAUGCACUAGCUAAAGUUGUUGCAUCCCUACCUCCUGGGCGCCACUUUUAGCUCACCAGUUUACCCGAUAUCAUGUGUAUCCCCAUGUCUCUGAACUUAUAAUAAAGGAUACAAUUUUCGCUAAAAAGACCGGUGGCACAUAGAAUACUCAUAGUGAAGAGUAACUUAGGGGGUGUUUGUUUCCAUGGACUUUUUGGUGCAGGGACUAAAAAAAGUCCCUUUUAGUCCCAUGUGAAACAAAUAGAAGAGACUUUCAGGGACUAAAAGGGGGUAUUUGGGACUAAAGAAAGAAGUCCCUACGGGAGGGUCUUUUUGAGAGUUUUUUGACACUUUUUCAAACAGUGCCCCUACUUUUAGCAUGCCAUUUAAUAACUUCUAAUACAUUACUAGGGGUAACAUGGUGUUUUUACAUGUCAUUUAAGGACCUCUAGUCCUUGUUUAGUCCAUGAAAACAAACGGGUAGGGACUAAGGACUUUUUAGUUGGGACUAAAAAAAUUUUGGGGACUUCUCAAACAAACAGGGCCUUAGACUAGUAACAUGCAUAUGUUACUAUAUUUAUAGUGAUGAGUAACAUAUGUGUAGUGUCAUGCAUCAUUCCAUUUAUUAAGUUGUAAAUAUUGUCUUAGUAUGUGUCAUGUAUGAGUAACUAGAGAUGUUAGUUAACUUAUCUUUCUUCUAUUUAAUUAGCUGUUGCGUUAUUUAUUUAUUUGCUUAGGCUGGCCAUAGUAAGGGUAUCAUAGCCAGUAACAUAGUUUUGGGACUAGCAAACAUGGUGAUGUAGCAAGUAAUUGAAGAAGAGAGAGAGGAUUAAAGUAACAUAAGUAGAUAUCGUAACAUGUUAAAUGCUAUGCUACUAUGUGUCAUGCAUGUCAAUAAAUGAGAUCACCUAUGAUACUAGUUUAUGUUACUAUGCACUAUGAAUGUAGUAUCAUACAAUAGUAACAUAUGCAUGAUACUAUUAUAUGUUACUCUCCACUAUGAGCACCUUAGUUAUCAUCUAUGGGUUCUUCCCAUGUCAGGCCUGAGAAAGUGCAUCACGGAAUGUGCAGAACGAUUAAUGUGGGUCGUUAGUCGUUACCAUGAUUAAGAAUCGUAUAUAUUUUCCCUCCGUGACACCCUCACUUAGAUUAACCGGGAAAAGGGCAUCUCCAACGGAAAUUCCUAUUGGACGCACAAUGCAUCAAAAUGAUCAAAAUGCUGAAGUAUCACACACAGCUGACCUAGCCAAAUUUUCUAUUGGCUGGCCCAUUCCGUCAGCAGGGAUAUUGAUUUUACGUUUUUUUUUUGAGUAGUGGAUAUUGAUUUUAGGUUCCUUACUGACUGGUUCUUUUUUGUUUUUCUUGUCAUCUUUGGUUCCUUUUUAUUUUUCAUUUUCUAUUUAUUUACAAAAAAUCCCUUAUGAAAAAGUUCAGAGAUUUUCAAAAUUUGUUACGAAUUUCCAAAGUAGUUCUAAAAUUUACAAACUUUUCAUUUUCUAAAAUGUUAGUAAUUUCAAAAUAAAUUAAAUUUCAAAACUAUUUCCGUUUUAAAUAUUUUUUCGCAAACUAAAAAAAAUGUUCACAUGGACAAAAUUAUUUUCAUAUUUUUUUAAAAAAAAUCAGGUUUUGUAAAGAUAUUCAAAUGUUCACAGGCAGAGAGGUAAUAGCCGAUGGUGGAUUCGAGGAAUCACCCUCCCCCAUGGCUCGAUUAGCACCAAGGUGAUGCUGAUUAAGUGUAGUCAUGGCGAUGCUUUCACGCAAGGAUGUGGCCUUCAGUAAGGGGACCCUUUGUCCCAUCUCCUAUUCAUCGUAGUUAUGGAUAAUAGUCGUCAAUCCGUGCGUCAACACGGCCUAGCAUGUGAAUACAUGUACAAAAUAUAAAUUUGAUGUGUAAACAUCAUUUUGUUUGUGCAUCACAACCUGGAAGAGAACCGUUUCUCCGUAAUGUUUGCAAAAAUAAUAUCACACGGCGUUCUAUUGAUUUGAUUUUCCCUGAACAUAGUUUAGUUGGCGACACGGUCUCUUAUCUAAUACAGUUAAUUAUUAGGAUUCAUUGGCGUCACUAACCGCUACAGUUACUUGAGAUUGAACCCUUCAACUUGGUUAUAACAUAAUCGACAUGUAAAGCUGAUAUUUUGUCAGCAAUGAUACCUCACAUGAGUUGUGAGAAUAAGAAACAAAUGAAUCUGAAAUAGAUUAUCUCGAGAAAGGUCAAUUUCUCCGAACUAACUACAUUAUAGUAUUAUACACGUCUAUUCAGCUGCUAUGGAAGUCCUAGGUAUACUGAUGUGAGUAUGUGACUUAGAGGAUGCUUGGAUACGUUUUAGUCCCAUGACUAAAAGUAGUGGGACUAAAACUUGCUACCCUCACCCAUGCUUGAAUCCAAAUACUAAAGAGACUAAAAUCAAGUUAAUGAGCAAUUAUUAUCCUCCAAACCCUCCAAUUCAGAACUCACCUAUGUUAAAGGAGAAGAGUUAAAUGAGGAGAGAGAGGACUAAUCCAUAUUUUAGUAGGGGUACUCCUGACUAAAAAAAAUUUAGUCUCAAGAUUAGUUUUAGCCCCUCUUUAGUCAGGGGUGGUUGGAACUUUAGCCUUUUAAAAAGACUAUUUUUAGUCAGACUAAAAUAAAUCCCUUGGAUCCAAGCACCCUCUUACAAUAAAGAAGAAAUCUAGGGGUCAAUAUAACCACAAUAAGUCCUUGUCGUGAAGAUCCACCAAAAUUAUUGAUCAUCCAACCGUUCAAUCAUAAACAUUGAGAUGGAGUGUGUCCAAUUAGAUGUUGUUUUUAAAAUAUAAUUCCAAGUAUAUACACAAUAAAAGAUCAAUCCAACAACAAUAGUUAACAGGUUAAAAUCCGAGGAAACUCGAACAAUUCCUAGAAUAGUUCAUAUCUUAUAGACUUAAAUCCAGAAAACACAGCACCAGUUCGAGACCUAAACAGAAGGUGAGAUGCAACAAACUCAUAAUGUUUCCAUGAGAGGGUUCAGUGGAUGCAUAUCAGUCCAAUCAAGUACGUACGUCAUAGGAAUACUUUAGUAUGGUUAGAUGUUCCAGUAGAGUAGUAAAUUGUUUCUUUUACAAAGUUUUACUUCCUUAUUUCCGUAUAUUUCAAAUGUAGGUGCAUGUGCAACUGUUUGGGCAAACCGAAAAUGGAACUUCUUAUGACGCCACACUGUUUGACUAAACAGAACAGUUCAAAGGUUAUUAGGGGAGGUAGAAUAACUUGAGAACGACGAGCCCGUGUUUCGUUGUUGUUGUUUUUUUAACACGGGGCUGGCAGUGUGCCGUGUGGUGCGUUAAUGCUCCCGGAUUCGGCCGAAACAGCUGAAGGCCCUGUUUAUUACUCCCAGAUUCGGCCCACGAAAGAGCUGAAGGCGCUGUCUAUUACGUUAGCGAAUACACCUUUCAACAAUUACUCUCAUCUUCAUAGACUGUGAUAAGUGGCGCACUGUAUGCGUGUCACUUGUCGCAACCUGUGAUUUUUUGUCUUUUUUCGUAGAUCCGUAUUUUCAAAACGUUGUAUCUCGUCAAUUGUACGUUCAAAUUUCGAACCGUUUUCACCGUUGGCUUUCUCGCGUCGAGAUCUUUAAAACUAGAUCCCAUAUUGAUAGGUUUUGACAAAAAAGUCAUAAAAAAACCGAAAGCAAAAAACCAAACGAAAAAACCGUGCCUCACGCGAUAGAAAAAAAACAGAAAACACAGUUUUUUUCCCUUUCCUCGCGAAGGCAAAACCGUGCCUCUCGCGAAAAAAAGAAGUAGAAAACGCGUUUUCCCCUUUUCGGGAGAGGCACGGACGUGCCUCUCGUAAAGGCAAAACCGUGCCUUUCGUGGAAGCAAAACCGUGGGUCUCGGAAAAAAAAACAGAAAACACAUUUUUUUCCCUUUCGGGAGCGUGCCUCUCGCGAAGGCAAAACCGUGUCUUUCGCGGAAGCAAAGCCGUGUCUCUAAUAAAAAAACAGAAAACUCAUUUUUUUCCUUUCCGAAAGGCACGGUCGUGCCUCUCGCGAAGGCAAAACCGUGCCUUUUGUGAAAGAAAAAACGUGCCUCUCGCAAAAAAAUGAAAACUCGUUUUUUUCCUUUCCGAAAGGCACGGCCGUGCCAUUCGCGCAGGCAAAACCGUGCCUCUUCCAAAAAAAUUAAAAAACAAGUUUUUUCGCGUAAACAAAAAGAAAAUGCGAUUUUUCAUGGAAAAAAAUUUAUUUUUUUCGUCCAAAAGUUAUGAAAGACCGAUGAAAAACACAACAUAAAAAAUGAAAUAAAACCACUCAAAAAAGGCAAAAACGCAUGCAAAAAAUAAAAAUAAUAAAAUCCGAAGGAAACGAUCAGAGCGAUACACGUGGCGGCGGUUGGAAACGCGCCAAGUGGCGACGCACGGGAUCGAUCGCUGGAAGGCUCCCGAGGAGCGCUCGCUAACUAGUUGCUCCCUGUUUAUUACCUACAACUCAAAUUAGCUGCAACGCGUCUAGAUGUAGUUAUACAUAGAAAAAUCUAAGGAAAAUAAUUCAAAGACCAAGGAUGUAUCAUACUCCCUCCGUAAAUUAAUAUAAGGGCAUUUAGAUCAGUAUUUUAGUGACCUAAACGCUAUUAUAUUAUUUUACGGAGGAAGUACAUUCUAAAGAAGUUAGUAACAAUUUUCUUACUCACUUCGUCACAGUUUAGAAGACGUGUUUGUAAAUUCCUAGAACCUAGGUGAUUAUUGAUUGACUCUGAGGUGAGCUCAAAAAUAGCAUUCAUACUAUGCAUGCGGAUAGGAGUAGUACAACGGAGUAGUAAUUAGCUACUAGAAAUAAAUACAAAGCGUCAUAAACCUUGUCUAUUGUAAAACACACAUACAUUUAACCGUGCCUUCUAAAUUGUGACGGAGGGAGUAACAUGUGAAGUGUACAUCUCAAAGUCUCACUAAGUAAUACAUUUAAAUCUACUCUUCCACUAAGGCAUGCAAAAUUUAAUACAUAAGCGAGUUAUACAUUUAACUUAUAAAUUAUAAUUAUUUUUGCAUUAAUCUGUCAUAUCAUAUACUAUUCAUGUUAGUCAUCUUUCAUAUUUUUUUUCAUAUAUUCAUGUUAGUCAUAUUUUUUGUUCAUAUAUUUAGUAACUACCUACAAAUUAUUAACGAUGUUAAGGAAGCAACGCGUGGAGGUCAAGAGAGAGAGAGAGUGUCAUACAUGCAUACAUGCCAACUCAACUAUCAUGCCAUAUCAGCGAAUAUACAAUUAAACUACCGAAUUUUCCUACUAUAUCAUGUUCCAUGUUAUCAAUUAUGUUUUUUGUUUGCUUUGGAUUACUAACCAUUAGUCCAUUAUCUCCUUGAUGCAAAAAUAAGCACUGAAACGGUUUGCUGUUCAAAUUCCCCCUAUCUCAUUGAUACUCAACUUCUCCACGAGACAAGUUUAGUAGUAACAGCCCAAAGGCAUCGCCCCUUUCCCUUAUAACAUGUUAUUCUCACACAGAGUUCUUCUAAUAAAUAGCAACGACAUCAUCAUCUAACGGGGAUUCAUAAUUUUUCCUUUCCUUGCUCGAUCUCUUCUCCAGAACCGAGACCAACCUUGGUACUGUACAACUGCACAUAUCAAUCCUAUAGAAUUCAACAUGACAUGCUACAUUUCUUCUAUCCAUAUGUUUAAAAAAUUCUACGAAUCAAAGAGGCCCAUAAAAAUAGGAUUCUAUUCAUACAAACCAAAGAACCCUAAAGCUUUUCUAUAGAACUCCUAUCCUGUAGGAUUCCUACCCCCUUUCUUCGAACCAAAGGAGGCCUAAAGGUAUAAUAAGAGCAUCUACAUCUAGGCACCCACUACCCCUCUCAAACUCCCGGGCGGGCCGUCCGCUCAUUAACCGGCCACGAAAUUCUAACCUUGACACGCGCUUCAAAUGGGCCUCAAACGCCGAGGCUGACCGACAUCCCUCAUAUCCAACCUCAAUAUUGGACGUAUAUGGGGGUGCCCGGGUGUGCCUACCACGUCAUACUGACACUUGGGUCCCACAAAGAAUCACCAGGAAACCCGGAGGUUCGAAGCAAGUCACCUUCAUCGUAUCGAUGUCGCCACGUGGCGCUGCUCUGAUGAAACAUGUCCUCCCUAGCUCAGCUAUUUAAGCCGACCACCGAUGCCGAACCCCUACCCCUCCAUCAUUUCUUCAUCCCAUCCGCCGCCGCCACCACUUUCUAACGCACAUCUAUUUAAGCCAUGCCACCCCGUCGCCACCUCCGAUUUAUAACGUCGGAGCGCCGACUGCAGCUUCUUGAGUACGCCCGGGCAAGACGCGACGCUCAGAUCGCCGCAGGGUUUACCUCCGGGUCUAGUGGAUUUGGAGUAGGAGUUGUAGGAGGAGGAAGUUGAGGAGGAGGAUGAGGAGCCGAAGCCAGAGGAGGACGUGGGAGACGCUGGGGACAUGGAGCUGCAGGCCAUCCUCGACUCCAUCCUCUCGGAGUCAGAUGCGGAAGCCAAACGAUGGAGCAGGCCGCAGAGGAGGCGGAGACGCUCGUCUACCUAGGUAAGCUCGAGGAGGAGGAGGAUGAGCCGGAGCCCUCCUACACGCCCGUCUUCCUGCCGCCCGGCAUCGACGUCGUGGACAUCUCCAACGAGAAAAACUAGGGUGUUACGUACUAUGUAGUACGUAUGAUUUUCUUUUACGUGUUUUCUAUGGAUUUUGGGGUUCAAAUAUGAAAGACUCAGAUAUGGACGAGCAGAUCUAAGGACUGACCAGUCAAUACUCGUAGAUUCGCCAUUUGAUAACCCAGAUUAGCAAACUGUGGUUGUAGAUGCUCUAAUGUUGAUCGUAAUGGACGUAUCAUAAGUAGUAUUAUGCAUGCCAACUAAGAAAUUUUAAGGAGAUCACAUAGAACUAAAUGAGAAUAGAGAGAGUUGGGUACCAUAUCAUGACACCACAUCAUAUUAAGGGAUAGUUAUUUUGGUGGCUUUUUUGAGCUUCUAGAAUAAGAUGCCCCCUACCCAGCUUAUUCUAGAAGCCCAAUCAAAAAUACUUUUUAGAAGCCUACUAUCAAAUCUUAAUCAGUAGACUUCUAAAAAAUAAAUUUGAUUGGGCUUUUGGAAUAAGCUGGGUAGGGGUAACUUAUUUCAGCUUAUUCUAGAAGCCAACAAAAGAACUGGCUCUAAAGGAUAUGGUACUAUGUGUCAUGCAUGACAAUAAAUGAAUCAUCCUAUAACACUAACAUAUGAUAGUAACAUUAGACUAGUCAUAGUGAAGAGUACCUUAGGCCCUCCUUGGAUUCGGUGUAAACUUAUACGCCCGGAUUUAUUCUAUAGGUGUAUAUUACUGUCGCUGUGUUAUUUCCGCCUGAAUUAAAAACAAUGGUUGUAGGUUUGUAUUUAUUGCGGAGGUAUUUGAGAGUAAUUAAACCGACAAUCUAAGCGGGGCCUUGGACUAGUAACAUGUAUAUGUUACUAGUCUGUGUUACUACCUUCAUAGUGGAUAGCGUCAUAGAUGUGAUAACAUAGAUGUUUUCAUUUAUCGCUUUCUAGAGUCAUUUUGCAUUGGAAAACGUACGCUAUGUGAUGGAAACAUAAUAUGUUACUCCCUCCGUCACAGCUUAGAAGACAUGGUUAAAUUUACGUUUCCACAAUAGACAAGGUUUAUGGCGCAUUGCAUUACUUCUAGUAGCUAAUUACUACUCCCUUGUACUACUCAUAUCUUUAUGCAUAGUGUGUAUGUUAUUUUUGAGCUCAUCUCACAGCUAAUCAAUAAUCAUGUAGGUUCUACAGAAUUUUUAAGCACCCCUUCUAAACCGUGACGGAGGGAGUACUUUAUUUACCUCUUUCCUCGUUAACUACUAGUCAUAUUUUUUUUACUUAUAUGGCAUAUAUAUUAUUCCCUAUGUACCUAAAUAAUUGUUGCUACAAUUAUUUAGGUAUAAAGAGAAUCCUAUUUAUGAUAUUCUCGUUAUGACUAGUACUCUCUCCGUUCGAAAAUAAUUGUCAUAGGAAUGAAUGUAUCUAGAUAUAUUUUAAUUAUAGAUAUAUUUUUUUAAUAUAUUUAUGCGACAAGUAAUUUCCGACGAAGGGAUUACUAUAUAAAAUUUCCCGCUACGACCAGCCUAAGCAUUUCUCAAAGCGAAACGACACUGCGCAUAGCUUGCGAUGCAUCAGAGAUCGGCCGGAAAUAAAGGGAUUUGCUAAAACUCAGCUAGCUGAGGUAAUUUUUGAUCUCAUUCAUUUUAUCAGCCGUUGGAUCUUUGUCGUGUCCAGAUUUGCGUUUUCUCGAGUUGGCGAGCACAGUAGCGAUCCGGUACAACCCGGUUCUUGUUCGGCUCAUGGCCGGUUUUUUUUGGCCCCGGACAUUUUUUUUGUGAUGAGGAGCGCGGGAAAUCCUAUUUAACGCUCUUGGGAGGUCCUAUACCGCGCAUUCAGCGCCGGUUAGGCAAACCGGCACCUGCAGCGUUCCUUCUUGUGGGCUGGCCCAUGUAGAAUGCGUUGCUCCUUAAAAAUCGAAAAAAGUUCAUAGAAUUUCAAAAAAAUCAGAUUUGCAAAAAAAGUUCAAUGAUUAUAAAAAAACCACUGAUUUUUAAAAUAUUUUUAUAAAGUUCUCAGAAUUCGAAAAAAUCACUAAUUUUCAAAAAAACGUUAAUUGAUUUUCAAAAAAAGUUUAUCAAUUUUUAAAAGCAGUUCAUUGAUUUAAAAAAAAAUUCAUGAAAUUAAAAUUAUGUUCACGGAUGUUCAAAAUAGUUCAUCAAUUUUAAAAAAAGUUCAUCGAUUUACAAAAAAGUUCACCACUUUUUAAAAAAGUUUAUCGAUUUUGAAAAAAGUUCACGGGUUUGUUGGGCAAAAGAAGCCACAGCGACGAGUCAGACGCGUCGGGUGCGUAUAUGGGCACGUGCUCGGCGUGUCGGUCGCGUCGGGUCCGCGACGUAGGUGUGCGUGUGUGUGUGUGUGCGUGUGGUGCACGGGGCUGUCCGUGUACAUGUACAUCGUAGGCGUGCGUGUAGGGCGAGGCCGUGUAGGGCGAGGCGUGCCUGUAGAGAGAGAGAGAGUGAGGUAGAGCUAGUGCGAGCGAGGGUUUAGGGUAGACACCAACAAUUGGCAUCAGAGUCAGGUUAAGGGAGGAGUUCGUCGACGAUGUCGCUCGUCCCGUACGCCGGCAGAUUUGGGAGUUCGCUGCCGCAGCCUGUCCCGAUGCUCACUGGUGACAACUACACCACGUGGGCGAUCAAGGUGGAGGCCAACCUGGACGCCGUUGGGCUGUGGGAGGCAGUGGUGCCGACGGAGGACGCGGCGGUGGACGUGAUUGCCAAGAAGGACAAGCCGGUACGGGCAUAUCUGCUCAGUGCGCUGAUACGUCUCAAACGUAUCGACUUUUUCAAACACUUUUGCUAUUAUUUUGGCAUCAUUCUUGCAUGAUUUGAAUGAAAUUAAUCCGGACUGACGUUGUUUGUAGCAGAGCUGCCUGUAUGGUUUUAUUGCGUACAGUAAAAUGGAUUUUUAAGCGUCCCAAAAAAUUCCAAUAAAAAAUAGAGAAAAAUUCACGCACCGGAAGGAACCUUGGGCCAGAAGACGGGCCAGAGGGGGGCACAGGGCCUCCAAGCGACCUGUGGGCGCGACCUGCCCCCUGGCCGCGCCGUGAGGCCGCCUGGGUGGAGUCCACCACCUCUGGUGCCCUACCUUGGCCCCUAUUUUUACCCGUUACGGAGAAAUCCCAGAACAGAAGUCGUUUUGCAAGUUCUCGACGUGGAGCCGCCGCCACCCGCUGUUCUUCUCCGUGAGAGCUAAUCUGGAGGCUGCCUUGGCUUCCAGAGAGGGGAAAUCGUCGCCAUCGUCAUCACCACUCCAUCAUCCUCCCAUGGUUUUCCCCAUCAUGUGUGAGUAAUUCCCUGCUGUAGGCGACGGGGAUGGGAGAGAUUGAAUGAGUUAGAUCAUGUAAUAGUUCGUCGGAUUGUUGGGGGCAUGUUGCCUAUCAUCUACUAUAUAUGGUGUUUAUCAUCUUUGCUACUACUUGUUACUCUUAGUGCUUGUCACUUUGGGCCCGAGUGCCAUGAUUUCAUAUCUGAAUUCAUUAUGUUUUCAUGAAUAUAUUUGUGUUCUAGAUCCUAUCUAUGAGUAGUAUGCACCUAUUAUAGUCCGGAACCGGCGAUCCCAAUGGUGACAGCUUGGGACACCAAAGGGGAUAGACUAUAGUUUGAGGAUUCCAUUUAUCCAUUGAUUGUUAAUGCUUUGUUCCGGUGCUCUUUGACAAGAGCACCUUAAUCUCCAUAAGUUCCUUUUGGCCCCGCUGAUAGCGGGAUGGUAGGAAAAAAGAUGUUGUUCAAGUUCUUAUUGCAAGCACGCACGACUACCUUGGGAUACAUGCCUAAUGUUUGAUAUAUGCCUAAAUGAUCAUUACUUUUCUAUGUGCCUUGCCCCAAGUAAAAUACAUGAUAUCUCUCAUCCAUGACUAACCAUCGAUCUCCCUAGCCUACUGUGUUUUAAUACUGCUAGUUACGAGUUUCUUUACUUUCGUCGUUUUACUUUCGUUGCUUUACCACUAUUAUUUCCAUUGCCACCAUCACUUCCAAAUCACCGUUGCUACUAAUAUUUCGUUGCCAAGCAAGUAUCUUUCAGGUGCGGUUGAAUUGGCAACUCAACUGUUAAAGCUUAUAAAUAUUAUUUGGCUCCCUUUGUGUCAAAUCAAUAAAUUGGGUUAUCUUACCCGUGAAGACUGUUGCGAUCCCCGACACUUGUGGGUCAUCAAGACUAUUUUCUGGUGCCGUUGCCGGGGAGCAUAGCUUUAUUUACAAGUCUACUUGGAGUUAUUUUGCUUGCUGCGAUAUAUUCACUAUGUGUAAGAAAGGAGACUCUUCAGUUCCAAUUUAUUCACUACUAAUAUUUAUUUAUUCACUACUAAUAUUUACAAGGCAUAUUCACUACUAAUAUUUAUUUAUUCACUACUAAUAUUUACAAGGCAUAUUCGGUUCCAAUUUUACCAUCCACUACGAGAAAAGGUACUCUUCUUAGCACUAGUGCUACGCUUGAUUCACCUUUCGUUAUGAGUAAGUUUGCUUCACCACCACCACAUGCUGCUUCUACCGAGUCCGUCACUAUGCCUGAUACUUUUGAUGAUGCUUCUACUACUAAUGAUGGGACUAGUUUACUUGGUUAUUUUAUUGAGUCGCAAAUUGCUAAGGCUGCUAAGCAGUCUGGAAUUAAACUUCCUGUGACACGCUACCCCAUUGGUAGAUCUUUUGGUUACCCAGACUUGAGUGGUCACAAGGAAAGAAUUCUUGAUGAUGAUUAUAUUGAACUUGAUGAUGAUUUAUGCAGGGAACUUACAGAGUGUGCUGACUCUGACCCUGCUUCUGUGAGGAAGCUGCUUGAAAAGCAUUCUAUGAAGAACAAAUUUACUCUUGAUCCUAAAUUUGCUUCAUCUCCUAUUUGCAUUGAGGAUGCUGAUUUUGAUUUCUCUGUCGAUCUUUCACUUAUAUCCACAGUUGAAGCUGGCCCGUUUUAUGGCAGAGAAAAUGACGAUGCUAUUGCACACCUUACCAAACUCAUUGAGUUGGGUGACUUAUUCACUACAGAGGACAAGAAGAAAACCUAUUAUGUUACUAAGCUACUUCCUUUCUCUUUGAAGGAAGAUGCUAAAGCAUGGUAUGAUGCACUACCAUGUGGUUCUAUUAAGAGCCCUCAAGAUUUAGCUCAAUCCUUCGUUGCUGAAUAUUUUCCUGCUCAUAAACAACAUGCUGCUUUACAAAGAAUUUAUAACUUUAAACAAUUACAGGAUGAGCACCUCCCUAAAGCUUGGGGGAGGUAUUGCACUUUACUUAAGGCUAGACCGGUACAUGGAAUACUUAAGAAUGAAUUGCUUGAUAUAUUUUAUGAUGGUCUAACCGAUGAAUCUAGAACCUAUCUGGAUAGUUGUGCUCGUUGUGUUUUCAGGGAAAGAACACCGGACGAUGCUGAAGAAUUAGUGGGCAAGAUAGCUAAGAAUCAUGAUGAUUGGUUCGUUCCUGAACCACCUCCAUCACCAAAGAAGAGAGGUAUGCUUUUAUUGAGCCCAAAAGUUAUGCAAGAAGCCAAGAAGUCUAUGAAAGAGAGAGGCAUUAAAGCUGAAGAUGUAAAGAAUCUACCUCCUAUUGAGAAAUUAUGUGAUCCUACCACUCACCCACCUAUGGUAGAGGUACACUCUCUUUUGAAAUUCAAUGCAAGUGACAUCCCUCAUGGUAAGCCCCCUGAUCAAUGUUUAGAUGAGCUUGAUAAUUUUAUUGUCAAGCAAAAUCACUUUAAUGAGAGGAUUCAAAGCCAAUUGCAUGAUAAUUCCCUUGCUAUCAAAAGUUUGCUUGAUGUUUUAAGUAGAACUGUUAACGAUGUUAAAGGUCUUAUUAAUCAUUUUCAUAUGGUUCAAACUCAGCUUGAACAAAUUUCUAAUGUGCAAAAAGAUUUGCUUGCUAACAAUGCCAAACAAGUUGAUACGCAGGCAUAUGGUAUAAAGACCCGAGGUGGUACACACACCCAAUACCCUCUCUAUACGGAGGGGCAUCCAAAAAGGAUCGAGCAAGAUUCUCAAUUGCAGGAAGAAGACGUUGUCAGCUUCCCGAAGAAGAAGAAGAAACACAGGGAAGCUGACAACUCCAAUGAUCCCAUAAUUGAUGAAGAACCUAUUGUUGACCCUAAUAGUAUAUCUAUUUCUGAUGCUGAGACUGAAGAUGGUUUGAACCUGAUAAAGAUAAUGAGAAGAAUGAUUCACCUGAAGUACAAGAAAAAGAAGCACCCGACAAGCGUAAGAGGUAUACUAGAGAAGACUUUGUUUCAAGAAAACAAAGGAAGGAAAGAGAACCAUGGGUAGAUAAAUCAAUGCCCUUCCCAGGUAAGUUUUUCAAACCAAAGAAGAAGAGCAUUGCAAUAAAUUUUGUGAAUGGAUGAAACUUGUUUUUCUUCAAAUUCCUUUGACUGAUGCUAUUAAGUUGCCUUCGUACUCGCGGUAUAUGAAAGAUAUUGUUACUAAUAAAAGAAAAGUUCCUAAUGAGGCAAUAGAUACUAUGCUUGCUAAUUACUCUUUCAGUGGCAAGAUUCCUGAGAAGCUUGGUGAUCCAGGUAUACCCACCAUUCCUUUCUCCAUAAAAAAUAGUUAUGUCAAAACUGCUUUAUGUGAUCUUGAUGUAGGAGUGAGUGUUAUGCCUUUCUCUCUUUACAAAAGGCUAUGUCUAGAUAAACUAAUCCCUACAGAUAUCUCUCUUCAAAUGGCUGAUAAGUCAACGGCCGUUCCUGUUGUUAUUUGUGAGGAUGUUCCUGUUGAAGUUGCUAAUUGCUUGAUCCUUACUGACUUUGUUGUGCUUGAUAUGCCCGAGGAUGGUAGCAUGUCUAUUAUUCUUGGUAGACCUUUUCUUAACACCGCAUGUGCUAUUAUUGAUUGCAAUAAAGGAAAUGUGACUUUCAACGUUAAUGAGAAGGAGCACACGGUAUAUUUUCCGAAGAAGAUUGAUAAAAGGCAUAGCCUUAAUUCUAUUAAGAAUAUUGAGACCGUGAAGGUUGGAGAGUGGGAUUGUCCUCUACAUGUGCACCACAAAUACAAAACCAUUAUGGAGGGGACAAUAUCCAUUGAAAUAAAGGUACCACUAGUAGAAAACGGGCCUUUGGCCUGGACCAUUUAGUCCCGGCCUGCCUCUGGGCCGGGACUAAAGGUCCGGCCACGUCACCCCAAUUCUCAAUGCCUCCCUCGAGGCUUUAGUCCCGACCUGUAAGGAGCCUUUAGUCCCGGUUUGUGUCCCAAACCGGGACUAAAGGGCUACGCGGCGGGCAGUGGUGGUGGCAACCGUUCGUAUCCCCCUUUAGUCCCGGUUGGUGGCUCAACCCGGGACUAAAGGACUAACACGUGGCAUGUCGUGGUUGUGGUGACGGUUGGUAUACCUCUUUAGUCCCGGUUGGUGGCUCAACCCGGGACUAAAGGACUAACACGUGGCCUGCCGUAGUGGGGCGACCGUUGGCGUACCUCUUUAGUCCCGGCUGGUGGUUGAACCCGGGACUAAAAGCCUAACACGUGGCCUGCCGUAGUGGUGGCAACCGUUUGGUAUACCUCUUUAGUCCCGGUUGGUGGCUCAAACCGGGAUUAAAGGCCCAAACGGUUUGCAUCCCGCGUCGUUUCGGGCGAUGAAAAGCACGAACCGAAGCAUACAGUCGCCAUUUCUCUCUUCUUCUUCUCUCUCGCAUCGCCCUCUCUGUUCUUCUUCUCUCUCGCGUCGCCCUCUCUGUUCUUCUCCUCUCUUCUUCCCUUCUCUUCUUCCACCAUGCCAACUACCUUUCAUGAGGUGGUCGCGCAUGGCACGACGAAGCUCCGUGUCGUGUACACGAACCUGAGCACGGAGGUGCCGUUUUUCCUUCAACAGUUGAAGGAACGAUGGUUUAACCACGCACCGGAUCAUGAGAAGUUCUUCGGGCUGGAUCUGGAGUACACGGCCGAUCAACGCGGUGUUGCCGUCAUCCAAAUAUGCUUCGCAAGCCAUGUCUUGAUCUUUCAAUGGGCGAGGUAAGUUUUGAGGCUUUCUUUGAUCCAAGAUAAUGACAUUGUAUAAGUUUAUUUGUUUCUAUCAUAGUUGGUUCCCUUCAAAUAGUUGUAGUGGAACAAUUUUGAUUAGUUGAAGGGGAGCACAAUCUAAUUGGAAUAGUGUUCCAUAAUCUGAAAAAUCGUAUUAGAAUCAACUAGUGUUUAAUAUGUUCCAUUGGAAUCAUAGUUGGUUCCCUUCAAAUAGUUGUAGUGAAACAAUUUUGAUUAGUUGAAGGGGAGCACAAUCUAAUUGGAAUAGUGUUCCAUAAUCUGAAAAAUCGUAUUAGAAUCAACUAGUGUUUAAUAUGUUCCAUUGGAAUCAUAGUUGGUUCCCUUCAAAUAGUUGUAGUGAAACAAUUUUGAUUACUUGAAGGGGAGCACAAUCUGAUUGGAAUAGUCUUCCAUAAUCUGAAAAAUCGUAUUAGAAUCAACUAGUGUUUAAUAUGUUCCAUUGGAAUCAUAGUUGGUUCCCUUCAAAUAGUUGUAGUGAAACAAUUUUGAUUAGUUGAAGGGGAACACAAUCUGAUUGGAAUAGUGUUCCAUAAUCUGAAAAAUCGUAUUAGAAUGAACUAGUGUUUAAUAUGUUCCAUUGGAAUCAUAGUUGUUUCUCUUCAAAUAGUUGUAGUGAUCUCUCUAGGUUCCAUUGCAUAUGUUCUAUUUGAAUCCUAAAGAUAAGUUUCUCUUUAGUUGUAGUGAAACAUGUUUCCUUAUUGCAGCAGUAUGUAACAUUUGUUCCAUUCUAAUUUGUUUCUGUUGCAGGAGUGACAAGCAUUGUCCUGGACUCAUGGAGUUCCUUCGCAGCGGCGUCACUUUUGCUUCCGUUGACAUAAGGAACGACAGGCUGAAGAUGAGGCACAGCUUCGGUAUUGAGAUACCAGUUGGUUGCCUCGUUGAUCUCCAAACGAUAUUCAGGCUUCGACAUGAUAGGACUUCGAUGGCUCAUAUGGCAGUUGCCUUGAUCGACGAGUCAUAUGGUGAUAUGAAGACCAGUUUCCCAAAGUAUCAGCACAAACUUUGGGAGAGGGGCCCACUUGAUGAUAUCAACAUUCAGUAUGCAGCAAAAGAUGCAUACGUUUCAUACGAGUUGUACCGCAAGAUUCGAGUCGUCAACUAUGGCCAGCGUCACCUCGAGGAACGUGGACAUUCUGAUUUAGAUGAUUCAGACGAGUAGUGUUCUGAACGUCUAACACUUGUAUAUAUAUCUAUGGUAGCUAUUAUUAUGUACUGUUUGGGCUAGUAUCAUGUACUUCUUGGACCAAUUUAUAUAUGUCUAGUUUCUGUUUGUGCCAUUAUAGUUUCCAAAUUUGAAUGGUUUAGCCCUUUCUGACUUCAUUUGCUACUUUUGAAUGGUUUAGCCCUUUCUAACUUCAUGGUAUCAUGAAUUUUGACCACAUAUAUAUACAAAAAGUCUUCAGUUCAAAUAAGUUCACUGCUUUUCAAUUUCAGGGUCAACUAGCUCAAAACAAAAUAAGUAAAUGCACGAAAUAUACCAAAUGAAGUCAGAAAUUGUUGAAAUUUUGUGAUGUGCCUUUGAAUGGUGCAUUUUGAACACACAAAAAGUAUGGAGUUCAAAUAAGUUUAAAAAAAUGAAAUCCCUUUGUAAGAGAUGAGUUCUCGUUCGAAACCCUGCUACUUCGAGAGAGAUUGUCAGUUUUGUACACGAACUGCAUCCACUUUUUGUCGUAGCCCUCUCAACUUUUUAACACAUGCUAUGUGGGUGAAAUGAUGAUAGCAUGCCAACUUUCAACAUUUUCAGAGUUCAUUGUAGUGCUUUUCAAUUUCAGGGUCAACUAGCUCAAAAAAAAUAAGUAAAUGCACGAAAUAUACCUAAUGAAGUCAGAAAUUGUUGAAAUUUUGUGAUGUGCCUUUUAAUGGUGGAUUUUGAACACACAAAAAGUAUGGAGUUCAAAUAAGUUUAAAAAAAAUGAAAUCCCUUUGUAAGAGAUGAGUUCUCAUUCGAAACCCUGCGACUUCGAGAGAGAUUGUCAGUUUUGUACACGAACUGCAUCCAGUUUUUGUCGUAGCCCUCUCAACUUUUUAACACAUGCUAUGUGGGUGAAAUGAUGAUAGCAUGCCAACUUUCAACAUUUUCAGAGUUCAUUUGUAGUGCUUUUCAAUUUCAGGGUCAACUAGCUCAAAAAAAAUAAGUAAAUGCACGAAAUAUACCAAAUGAAGUCAUAAAUUGUUGAAAAUUUGUGAUGUGCGUUUGAAUGGUGCAUUUUGAACACACAAAAAGUAUGGAGUUCAAAUAAGUUUAAAAAAAAUGAAAUCCCUUUGUAAGAGAUGAGUUCUCGUUCGUAACCCUGCUACUUCGAGACAGAUUGUCAGUUUUGUACACGAACUGCAUCCAGUUUUUGUCGUAGCCCUCUCAACUUUUUAACACAUUCUAUGUGGGUAAAAUGAUGAUAGCAUGCCUACUUUCAACAUUUUCAGAGUUCAUUUGUAGUGCUUUUCAACUUCAGGGUCAACUAGCUACAAAAAAAAAGUAAAUGCACGAAAUAUACCAAAUGAAGUCAUAAAUUGUUGAAAUUUUGUGAUGUGCCUUUGAAUGGUGCAUUUUGAACACACAAAAAGUAUGGAAUUCAAAUAAGUUUAAAAUAAAUGAAAUCCCUUUGUAAGAGAUGAGUUCUCGUUCGAAACCGUGCUACUUCGAGAGAGAUUGUCAGUUUUGUACACGAACUGCAUUCAGUUUUUGUCGUAGCCCUCUCAACUUUUUAACACAUGCUAUGUGGGUGAAAUGAUGAUAUCAUGCCAACUUUCAACAUUUUCAAAGUUCAUUUGUAGAGCUUUUCAAUUUCAGGGUCAACUAGCUCAAAAAAAAUUAGUAAAUGCCCGAAAUAUACCAAAUGAAGUCAAAAUAACAAAAUAGAUAAUAGUUUGGAUAUUAAAAAGUAUUAAUUAUGAAAAUAAAAAAAAUAGUUUUGCAUUAUUUAUUCAAUUUGAAACACUUUUCAUUAUCAUAGUUUUGUCAAAUUCUUAAAUAUGCAAAAAGAAUUUUAAUAAACAUUGUUUUUAAUUGAAAAUAACAAAAUAGAUAAUAGUUUGGAUAGUCAAAAUUAUUAAUUAUGAAACAAAAAAUAGUUUUGCAUUCUUUAUUCAAUUUGAAACACUUUUCAUUAUCAUAGUUUUAUCAAAUUCUCAAAUAUGCAAAAAGAAUUUUUAAUAAACAUAGUUUUUAAUUGAAAAUAACAAAAUAGAUAAUAGUUUGGAUAGUCAAAAUUAUUAAUUAUGAAAAUAAAAAACAGUUUUGCAUUAUUUAUUCAAUUUGAAACACUUUUCAUUAUCAUAGUUUUGUCAAAUUCUCAAAUAUGCAAAAAGAAUUUUUAAUAAACAUUGUUUUUAAUUGAAAAUAACAAAAUAGAUAAUAGUUUGGAUAGUCAAAAUAAUUAAUUUUGAAAAUAGAAAAAAAUUGAAACUAUAUGAGAAAAUAAUGGACAAAAUUCGACCUGAAUUCACUUUGAAUUCAGAUUGAAUUUUAUCCACAAUUUCGAAUAUAGUUUCAAUUUUCAAUAAGUUUAGGCCCGUAAGCCUGCUUUAGAGAGGAGCUCGAUGGACAAGCUGCGACGGGGCUUAUAAACAAGUGUUAGUCCCCCUCGCUGGGCGAGGUGGGACUAAACUUAUCGUGCAGCCGAGGAGGGGCUUUAGUCCCGGGUGGAGCCACGCCCCGGGACUAAAGACACCCUUUAGUCCCGGCUGGAGCCACGCACCGGGACUAAAGACACCCUGCUUCCCGCCUCUUGGUCUGCCCGAAAAGAGGCCUUUAGUCCCAGGACGUGGCUCCACCCGGGACUAAAGGGGGUCUUUAGUCCCGGCUCGAGCCACGCACCGGGACUAUAGAUCCACCUAUAUAAGCGGGACUUCGAAAAUUUCCAACCCAAUUCGUCCAUUUCUCUUCUUCUUCCUCUCGUUCUCCUGCCCGGCGCGGCACAUCGACGAACUAACCGACGCCGUCAGGCUGCCCGCCGUCCUGCUCGCCGCCGCCUGCCGUCCUCCUCGCCGUCGCGCCGUCCUCUUCGCCGUCGCGCCGUGCUCCUCGCCGUCCUCCUCGCCAACACUCCGGCCAGUAAGCCCCCCGCCCCCUCCUCCCCAACACUCCGGCCAGUAUAGAAGAAAAGAAGAAAAAGGAGAAGAGAAGAAGAAAAAGGAGAAGAAAGGAAGAAAAAGGAGAAGAAAAGAAGAAAAAGAAAAGAUUUUUUUGUCAUUAAUUCCUAUUGUUAUUAGGUUUGUGCUGGGUUAUUAGGGUUAGUAAUAUUUAGAAUUAGGUUAGGGUUACAAGAAGAAGAAAUAUGAACAAAAAUAAGUAAAUAAGAUUAGGAAAAAUGAAAAUAAGAAGAGGAGGAGAAGAAAAGAAGAAAAAUUGUAUAUUGUAUAGUGUAUAUGCUUAAGUGUAUAGUGUAUAUAGUGUAUAGUGUAUAAGGAGAGGAGGAAUUUUGCUAUAGUGUAUAUAGUGUAUAGUGUAUAAGAAAAGAAGAAAAGAAGAGGAGGAGAAGAGAAGAAAAGAAGAGGAGGAGAAGAGAAGAAAGAAGAGGAGGAGAAGAAAAAUGAAAAUAAGUGUUAAUAGUUUAAUUUUGCUAUUGUAUAUGCUUAAGUGUUAAUAGUUUAUUUUUAGCCAAAAAAUUAAUAGAACUAGUUUAUUUUUUUAGUUCAUUGCACGAUGCCUAUCCCGCAUCCUCGUCGUCGACUCGGCGGAUGACACCUGCUUGAUCAGAGGGGCCCUGUCCGGGACUGGGCUCCGCCCGGCUGGUAUUGGAAGGUGCUACCUUCCGGGGGGCGUAGGUUGGUGAGGAGCCAGCCCGUCGUUGACCCGAUCCUUGUUUGGUGGCGGUCGCGUGGGCCAGUGAGGGUGCCGAGGCUUCCGGACACCGCGGAGGUGGUACGUCACCGUGUCAGCGAGGAGGAUGAGCACGUCCGUCGCUACAUGGUUGCGUUGGAGGGCAGGUUCGAGCAUACCUGGCAGGUUCUUCGGGGAUCUCACCGGAGCUAUGAUCCUGUGAUGGUUCCUUCUCUUUGGAUGUCCACCGCCCGCGCCGAUACCCGUCGGGCGCUACGGUUGUAGAUUUAUUAGUGAUGCUAUAUAUACGAUAGUAUUCGAGGAGUAUUAAUGAUAAUAUUCGACGAUGUACGGACAAAAGUGAUGAUGUAUUAGCUUAUAAUUAAAUGCAUGCUAAUUUGAAUACUACUUUAUUUUACGAUUUGGUUUUGCUUAUUGAAUGCUCAAAUUGGAAAAUUACUCCUACUUUGAAUACUAUGCAGAAAUCUAGGAGUCUCAAAUUGGAAAAGUACUCCUACUUUGGUUUUUGGUACAAAGGUUAAGAGAAUCCGUUUUUUGCAGAACUAUGGAUCCACAUAUCAGGAACCUCGAAGAGGAAGAACUUCUCGAAGAUAUAAUCGAAGACGGCCCCGACGUUGAACCAGCUGAAUCUCCGUCGUUAUAUCUAAACCAGGACGUUGGAAUGGAGGUCGAGCGACACGAAGAUGAAGCCGAUGGGGCAGGAGAUAGGUCCAAUGACGGAGAAGGUGAUAGCUCCACUAAUGGAGAAGCCGGUGAAGAGGAGAAGUCCGGCGAGGUAUACAUAUGAAGUUCGACAAUCACUUGUAAUAUGUGAAAAAUAUUGGAGAUAGCUCUAUAUUGUAUACAUAUACAUUCAUUUGACGAAUGUUUCUCCCUCUUAGGCCUCCACGUCGAGCAAAACUACGAAACGAGGCCCGACUAGAAAGUUGGAUGCACGGACGCAUUACACAUUUGAGGUGAUAUUUCCUACGGGCGAACCCAAGCUUCCUAAGAAUGCUGCUGACACAUUCAAGAAGCAAUGCGGAGUUCUCGUUAGGGAUCACGUCCCGAUCAGCGUUUGGGAGUGGAACAAGCGCAAAGGGGCAGCCGAUAGUGACUAUGUCGCCGAAAGGUACAAAGGUAAUCUUUGGAAUGAUCUCAUGUCACAUUUCAACCUGCCAGAAUGUGAGAAUGAAGACGCCGCAGACAAACUGAGGGCCAAAGUCAAGCAGUGGACUCUGAAGAAGAUGGCCGAACUCUUCCGUAGCUGGAAGAAGAAGCUAUGGAAAAAAUAUCUGAAGACCCAGAAAGUGCCAGUAUUUGAGGGGUAUCUAGCCAAGCAGGCGAAUCACUGGAAGGCAUUUCAAGAGUACAAGGAGUCAGAAGAUGCCCAGGCAUUAUCAGAUAAGAACAAGAUAAAUGCCGACAAGAAGAUAUAUCACCACAAGCUGGGGCCAGGGGGCUAUGAGACUGCCAUCCCAAAGUGGGAUAAGAAAGAGCACGAUCUGAUAGAUAAAGGCGUCGUACCUGAACCACUCCGUGAUGAGUGGGAAUUGAGAGCAAGAAAUUGGUUUCUUGCGCAUGAUGGGUCGUACAACGAAACAACAGGGGACCUCAUCUGCAAUCACAAUCUUAGGAUACCCAGGGAGAAUUGGAAAAGGAUAGUGAAAGAAAUUAAGGAGGGAAGAAGAAAGUUCACUGCAGAUAGAGAGAAAGAUUUGCUCACACUGGUCCUCGGCAAUGACGAACAUGGAGGAUGAACGCGAGGCUUCGGUCCUUCUUACUCGUGGUGGCUUGGGUUUGCCAGAGACCAAGACACUUACAGAAGCCGAGAGAGAGCAAAGAAGCGACACCAGGAUGAGGAGAAUGACAAGUUCAACCAGUUGCUUGCCAGGAUUAACGAGCAACAGAAGCAGAUUGAUGAGCUUAGAGGAGUACCGCGCCAGGAAGAUCCUGCAGUUGAUAUUACCGGCUAAGUGGAAAAGCAGCGUGGCUGAAUCUGAGGCCCCGCCCGACGAUGAACGAAGAAUGAUAGAGGGCGGUCCCGGCUACCCCGUGGAUGGAAUCAAGGAGUCAACAUCAUGUGAACUCCAUCAGAAAUUCAAGAACAUAUCCAUGAAGGUGGCCGUCGGACAAGCUUUACCUUCUGGCCCUGAUGCACACUGGCAUGGCCGUGAGAUUCCAGCUGGCUUUGCUAAAGUCGGGGUGGAUGAAAUCAUGACGAGGGUUAAUGAUAUGGAGCUCGACAUAGCUGGACCCGAAGAUGAGAGGACACUCGGAGAAGUACUGGGUGGAGUCAUCCUAUGGGACAAGAACUACAUCAAGCUUCCAGGCUCAGCCCCAAGGACAACACCGCCUCCGAGUCGUCGCAGGUCACCUACACCUCCAUUACCUUCAAGCCCUCCACAUGACGUCAGCCAGCACAACACGAGUCCAUCUCGAUCACCGCCGCCGGACUUGGGUCGUCCGUCUCCGCCGCCGCCCGCACAUGAUACUAAGCGGAAGCGUGCCAGCAAGAACGCUUCGUCGAUGAUUUCUAAGGGAUGGAGCUCCCCAAAGCGCAAACUGUCGCCCCUCCCAAAGGUACCUCAUGCUAAUAUUCCUAUCAGACCUUAUGAUCAUACCCCCGAGGAAAACGCCAGGAUAGCAAAGGAACAACAUGAGGCGCAGAUGAAAAGGAAGGAACCCGAGCCCCGCCCGAAAUACACCGAGAAGGACAUAGCAUGGGCAAAAGACUUCAUAACCACUCCAUCACAGUAUGACUUACACUAUAAGCCUGAUGACUAUACACACACAUUGCAGAAGGAAGUGAAAAAGAGCAGGUCACAUGCAAGUGCAAGUGGGAGCAAAUCAAGUUUAACUACAAGCAAGAAAAAAUCAGACGUUCCCCAGCUUGGACAACAGGCCAAACAGUCGAUCCCACCCCUCAAGGUGUUAACCGAGAAUGUUCCCCCUCCGGUGCAGGGGCAAGCUUUUGAAAAAGCAAAGGAGUUGGCGGAUGAAUGUGGUAUCUUGGUUGAAAAUUUGCUGGCUUCCCAAGACGACAGGAUACCCAAGGCUGUGGUAGCCCCUAAGCCACAGUUUGUCAUGCGAGAGCCUUUGGUCAGCAAAGAUGAUCUCCCAACAAAUAUGCGUUACUUGCAUAUAUGGUACUUAAGUGAAUCAAAGAAUGGGAGAACGAUGAUCGUGCUGAGUGUCCCACAAGAGUACUACGGCCGCUCCGAAGAAAUCCAUAUCGACUUUGAUGAACUCUUCCAGAUGUACAAUGGCGACGCCCUCGACAAAUCGCUUAUGAGUUGCUAUUGUCUGUAAGUUUUUCAAUUCGUUGUCUACAUAUAACUUGUUUAGUUAUUUCAAUUCAUUGUCUAUAUAUAACUUGUACUCUAUUAUGCAGAAUGAAGAUUCUGGAGUGUAAAAGUAAGAGCAUCAUAAAUAUUGGGUUUAUUGAUCCAGAUAAAAUACAUAUAGCGACGCUAACUAAUUAUCCCAAGGAGACGGAGGAAAACCUUCUAAGGUUCCUAAGAGAUCAAAAUUUCUGCGACCACAUACUGUUUCCAUACAACUUCAGGUGAGGGUCUUUACUCUGUUGUGUCCAUUCACUUAUAAGUGUAAUUGAUAAGUUACUCAGACACACACAUAUAUAUAUAUAUAUACAUGUGCGGCUUCCAUUGGAUUCUGUUGGACAUUCAAAUUGAUAAGGGAAGAAUUGAUGCCUUCGACCCAUUAUCGAGACCCUUGGAACAGUUCUAAAGCCUGCAGGACAUGCUCCAAGGGUAAUUUUAAUCAUUCUUGCGCUCUAUCGGUCUCUUUCGAUGAUUUUCUGAUAUAUCAAUUAAUGAAAAACUUAGCAAAUCAUUAUCCUUGUCGGGCAGGGUUUGGAAUCGGUUCAAGUGCGUGACUCCCGGUAACUUUCCUGAGAAGCUGACCUUUAGAGUGGCUCAGGUAAGUAGUAGUAUGAUAUACUUCUAUUAAUUUUCAAUACAUUUAUGAUGCUAGAUUAUUAUUUUGAUUAUAUAUAUUCCAUUCCCGUAAAGUGCGACCAGCCGCCACGGGGAACGCAUCUAUGCGGAUACUAUGUUUGCGAGACCAUUCGCACGUUUACCUCUGAGUUCAAGGAGCACAGAUUCGACGUAAGCAAUGAACAUUCACACCUCUAUUUUUACCCGUCAUUCUUUGUUAUCAUGAUUGAUAUUCAUAUUCAUCUCCUCUCCUUAUAUAGCACACGGUCAUGAGGACGAAGGUCCUACCAGAGCAACGCGCGAUUGCUGUUGCAGAGGAGCUUGCGGGAUUUCUGAGGACGGAAGCUAUAGAAGACAAAGGAUGAUUUAGUGUAGCUAAGGGCCAUUACAGAUGUUCGUCCAUGUAAUCGAAUAGACGGGCUCUAGUCCCGAUAAUUCAGAUCUCCAUAUAAUUGUAUAUAUAUGAUCGCUUGUAAGAUAAGUUAAUCUUAUAUAUAUAUGCAUAAUUAUUUCUAUUUUAAAUUAUAUGAAAAGUAAUUCCCGAACACAAAACAAGGCAUCACGUUAAUCUCCUGAACACCUAAACCCUAAAACCAUAAAACCCAAAAAUAAUUUCAUUCAAAAAAACCCAAAAGCCAGCAAAAUCUGAAAAUAUUUAUUCCCGGACCGUGUAACGAACCGGGACUAAAGGGCCUGCCCCUGGGGUUUAGUCCCGGCGUGUAAGAGGGCCGGGACGAAAAGGUUAGGCCUUUAGUCCCGCCACUUUAGUCCCGGUUGGUGAACCGGGACUAAAGCCCCUUACGGGCCGGGGCUAUACACCCUGUCCCCACUUGUGCUUGUUCUGAUGAAGCGAGUUCUACGAGCGCUCGAUCGGGAAGUUCUGGAGGCAGCUGUUAAACCGUUGGAGCCGGCGGGCCGAAAGGAGAUGGCCUACCCAGCCAACCGAGUUGCUCAGGAGUGGACACACGGCCUGGUGGCCAGGCCAGCUCACAAGCAGCGUGUGACACAUGCAAAGAGGCAACAACAACUGUUGGGCGCUCCCCAUGUGAUGGUGAUAAGUAUGCACCAGGAAACUAGCUGGACAUGGCGAGCUGCCACUGGAAGGUGGCUCGUUCAGUGGAGGUGUAGGAGAGAUGGUGUGUGCAGUUUUGCCAUGCACGCACACUGCAACAAGAAGAGAUAGGAACGGCGAGGUAAUGCAGUUCCUGUGGAAAUGGAAGAAAGGACACUGCCAUCUACAUCCGUGUUGCUUCAACCGGAGCUACGUCUCUAUCUAGAGAAAACUGUUCAGACAGUUGACCCGCUGAAAAUGAAAGGGAGCAGCGAAGGUGUCUAGCAAUUACCGAGAAACCGACAGAUUUUAAAGAUGCAAAAUACAAAGGAGUGUUGGCGUCAUGCUAUGAAAGAAGAGUUGGGAUCGAUCCACACGACAACAAUGCAUGGGAGCUUGUGGAUCUUUCCAACAAUGAAAAAACCAUGCAGCUCAAGUUGGUAUUUACGAUCAAGAAAGAAGCUGAAGAAAGUUGUGUGAAGCACAAGGCGAAGCUAGUGGUCAAAGAGGACAUGCAAGAUGAAGGUGUGGGCUUCAAAGAAGUGUUCGUUCCCAUUGCGCGGAUGGAAUCGGUGAGAUUACUCAUCGCUCUCGCGGCUCAAGAAUCAUGAAAGAUACAUCAUAUGGAUGUAAAAUCUACGUUUUUGCACGGUGAGAUGGAAGGCAAAGUUUAAAAUUGCCGGCUAUUGAAAAAAGCGGCAUCCUGUAGCAGCGGCAAUGAGCAGGAACAGAUAGCGGUUUUGCUGGAUACAUGCAAGAAUUCCAAAUAUAAGUGCAAGAUACAUGCCAAACUACAGAAAUUCAGCAUCGAUUAACUAGUUGACACAAACAGGAAUAGAAUAACUAAAGCAUUAAGGUCAUCCAUUAAGCCAACAUUCAGCAAUCAUCUCAAGCGACAAAGCAAAUAUAUAGUUCGGUAAACAGAAUGACACACUAUAUAACAGAGCAUUGACUAUCUCACAAAGAUGAACUAGUAAGUUCUGCAGAUAUAUAAUCCAUAAAGUAAAUGGUGCAUUCUCUUAUAUUCAUCUUCAGAAUCAGAAGGAGACUUAUCAGACUCCGAUUCAGAAGAAGAAGAAGCAGCUUGCGGCAUUGUUUCAACACGCAUAGCCAUCAAGGACCGCAGGCUCACAGUCUUGAUUUUCUUCCUAGGCCGAGAAAUCCUCUUCCUUUUAGCUUGUCCCUGUGAUGAUGAUGCCCUGUUUGGUGCCUCUUCCGAUGCAUCUUCAUGAGCUUUCUCUUGUUCUUGAUCAGCUUCUGCAGUUGGUUCUUUCCCAGUGAUGAACUCAUUGUCAUUAUCAGCAAGAACAUCAUCCACUUCUUUCUCUAUGGGAUCUCUCUUUUCGCUUUCUCUCUUGUUCCUUAGUUUAGAGUUGAAUUUCACAAACACAAGAUCCCUCAUCCUGUCAUGCAGCAGCCUAAUGCGCUUCUUUGUAUGAACCUAAGAGUUCAAAAAAAUUAAAUACUUAACAAAUGUAGAAAACAGAAAAACCAAUUGUAUAAACUCCAAAAAAUAUUAUUUGUUACCUGUUCGAAAACAGACCAGUUCCUCUCACAAGCUGAUGAGCUGCAUGUCAAAUUAAGAAUCCUAGAUGCCAAAGUUCUCAAAUUUGGUGUGGUGGUGCCAUGGUUCAGCCACCAUUUUGCUGCACAUUAUACAAGUUAGUAGUUAAAGAAAUGCAAAUAGAAGCAUUUUAUUCAUCAAUCAUAUUAGCUUCACUAAAUAACCUGGAUUAAAAUUCUUGUUUCUCCUUUGCCUUAUAGCAAUCUUAUGGCCGAAAGAUCCUUGCUGAUCUUGAUACAUGUUGAGUUCUUCAAUUACAGUGUCUUGGGUUUCUUCGUCCUCAAUCAUCUUGCAAAUGCAUGUAAUAACAGCAGCUCUAAAUGUUCCAUCAUGCUCAAUCUCUGACUUGUUUGGAUAAUAAUAGUGAGGAUUCAAAUAAUAGCCAGUCAAGUGGAGAGGAGUCUUGAGCUUGCUGUCCCACCUUUUAUCAAUGAUGUCCCAAGCAACUUUGUACUUGCUCUCAUCAUUAUCCAACCUCACAGCUAUAUGUUUCUUUGCCUCAAGCAUUAAUCCAUGGAAGAAUCCCAUUGCAGGAACAUCACUGUCCAUUCUGCGAAGCACAUUAGCCAUUGGCUCAAAGAAAUUAACAGCCAUGUCCACAUGUUUCCAAAAAACUUCAGAUCACACCACUUUGAGUGCUUUUUUCCCCUUUGCCUUUUUCAAGUAUGAACCUAGCUCAUUCAUCUCAUGUGAUCUGAAGAGCCUUGUCAAUUUCUUCUUGUUGUCUAGCAAACUUUUUAGAUUUAACUAAGCAGUGGCAAACCGAGUAACACCAGAGCGAACCAAGUCCUUCCCAAGAAAUUUCCUCAUCAAAUCCAAUACCCUUGUAUGAGCAUACAAGAAGCUAGUCACUUCUCUUGCACUUGAAAUAGUUUUUUCAACUAGUCCAAGCUUCCCAAGAUCCUCCAACAUGAGAUCUAGGCAGUGAGCAGCACAUCCAUUCCAAAAUAUGGAUGGUCUCUUUGCUGUUAGCAUACUAGCUGCUGAUACAUUCACAAUAGCAUUAUCAGUCACCACUUGCACAACAUUUUCUUCACCUAUAUCUUCUAUGCAUUUGUCCACCAAGUCAAAUAUGUAUUUGCCAUCUUUUCUGUCACCGGAGCAGUCCACUGAAUCAAUGAAGCAAACACCAUGAGCACUGUGCACAACUAAAUUCAUUACUCCCCUGCCCUUCUUAUCUGUCCAUGCAUCAGUCAUAACCGUGCAACCUGUGAGCUCCCAUGAUUUCUUAUGAUUCUUGAAUCCAUCCAACACCUUCUGUUUCCUCUUCUGGAAAAAUGGUCCACUUAUCUCAUAUGGACUAGGCCCUCUCAAGUCCUUGCCAAACUGUCCGAUGGCCUCAAGCAUAUGAGCAAAGCUAGGGAGGGUGACAGUGUUGUGAGGAAUGCUAGCUUCAUAGAAAAACUGGCAAAUAUACUCACAAACUCUGUCCCUUUUCUCUUCUCUUUUCAUAGUUGACAACUUUGAUUGGACCUUCUGGCUAACAUUGAGUCCAAUUUGAUUAUUGCGAACACACUCUUAUAUAGAUGUUUUCUUGUAAAACUUAUCAAUCGUGGCACUGCCACAACCUACCACAGCUCUAGAACCACUCAUCCCACUGCCUCUUGUUGAAUUCAGCAACACAACAUCAUUCCUCUCGUAGUCAGAAUCAUCCCCACUACCCCUUUCAUCAUCUGAGUUUUCUAUAUGAAUUCCAGAUCGAACCCUUUGCACUUCAUCCUUCUUCUUUUGCUUUUCACCACUCUUCUUCGUAAGAAAAGCAAUAAUCUCUUCUUUUACAUCAGUUGGAACCUUCUUACAUUUAACAGCAUUGAAGCCACGAAUGCAAGCAAGAUGGCACUUCAUUCUAGUAAUUCCACCUUUCAAUAGCUUGUCACAAAAAUUGCAAUGCAAAUGAUACUUCUUGUUCACAUCUGGGGCAAAACAGUAUGCAUAUGCAGGGUCAUCGGACGUUACUGCUUGCCUUGCUUGUGUUUGGGGUACCGAAGGAAAAGCGGCACUUGAAUCACCUAUAGAAAAAAGUAGAAAAUAAUUUAGUUAACCUGCACCGCUACAAAUGACCUAUUUUGAUUGAUAAUUAAUCUAUCUUAAUUAAGGAGGAAUUAAAUGAUAUAUGCCACAAUUAAUUACUUUGCUUCAGAAACAUCUAAAAUUGUAAAUUGUUGUUGAAGCAUAGGAGAUUUUCCAUGGUUUAUUUGAUUGAUAAUCUACCUACAUGUAUAAUCUACUGCAAAUAAUAACUGCCUACUUGUUAGAUUUCAGAUCUGGGAGGUGGAACAUAAACUUGUUAAAUUUCAGAAAGUAGAUGUUAGGUAGAGUAUCUACAAGGGAAAAUCACUUUCAUCACACGUACUCCUCACAUCAACCAAAUAUUAUGAUGGCCAACGACACUUAGCAGAACAGAGAUGAGCAGAACAGCGAGUAGAAGAGAUACUCACAUAGUACUAAGAUAAUAGAUGAUGAACUAAUGAAAGCCAGACUAGGAAACUUGCCUCCAUGAUUCUCUGGCUCCGGCUGAGACAUGGUUCUUCAGUUCUACUUCGCAUCCGAGUUGCAAUCUCGCCGCCGCCGUCGCGAGAGAUAUAGAUCGAGGAAGAGCAGCGGAGAAGUUUGGCUUUGUCAGGGUUAGCGCUAGGCUGUUUUGUACCUCCUUUUGGGCCUCUGCGUGGUGAUUAUGUAAAAGCCCAUAAUUCACGUACUCCCUUGUGGGCCAAACAAGUAAUAGCGGCGCAAUUUUUUCCAGUAAAUAGCGGCAAUGACUGGCUAAUUGCGGCCUUUUGCGGUGCAUUCACUGUAGCGCAAAAAAGGGGCAUUGCGUUGCCCCCUGCUCUUCCAGCCGCUAUGUCCGGCAAAUAGCGCCACAAUAGCCGCUAUGUCGGACGUUAUAAGGCUCACGACGAGCGUAUGAGGUACAGUCUCGGGGACGGGAGGAACGAUGAGCUUAUCAUGCUCGCGCGGGCUCAGUUGCAGGCGCUAGACUCAAGGAGAGAAGGUGAGGGCUCUAGCAGUUACGCUCGCCAAGAUCGUGUGCCAAACGAAAAAAAUCAAAAGGACGCCAGCGAUGGCGCUCCGAGGGAGAAGAAGAAGUUCGACAAGCGCAAGAUCAAGUGUCACAAUUGUGGCAUCAUGGGGCACUUCAAGUCGGAGUGCAAGAAUCCCCCAAAGGAGAAGGCGCUCAUGGUCCAUCAAGGAGAUGAAGGUGACAUGAUGUUGAUGUGUGAACUCGUGGACGAGGAGGAUCCAGUUCUUCAAGUGUCGGCUAAAUAAAUUGCCGCACUGCCUGAAGGAAGAGUUUGCUCUCAAGAUCAUGGUUCGGAAACCCGUAUCGAUGCUACGGAUGCGGGAGGUGAUUCCGAAACUUACAUCAAUGCUAUGGGUGUAAGUGCCAACUUUGCUGGAGCGAAGGAAUCGCUCAUUGCAUGUGCUCGGCCGUGGAGAAGCGGCCUUGUUACAGACAUGAGGGGUGAUUUCAAAACUCGUGUCGAAGCUACUGACGUGAGACAUAAUUCUGAAAUUUGUGUCGAUGCUAUGGACACGGACGUUACUUGGGCAUAUGUGAUGCCUGAAAACCACGAAUCAAAGUAUGCUGAUGCAAAAGUAAGCACGUGUGCACAAGCCAUGUUACGUUGUCUAGUAAUAGACGAAGACGUGAUGUCAAAAGUCCACGAAGAGGCAAAGCGUACAUGCGAUGUGUCGCUGAGCAGAACAUGCAAGCUAGGUGGUGACGGAGCUUCACUAGUAGAAAACGGGUCUUUGGCCUGGACCAUUUAGUCCCGGCCUGCUAGUCCCGGCCACGUCGCCCCAAUUCUCAAUGCCUCCCUCGAGGCUUUAGUCCCGGCCCGUAAGGAGCCUGUAGUCCCGGUUCGUGUCACAAACCGGGACUAAAGGGCUACGCGGCGGGCAGUGGUGGUGGCAACCGUUCGUAUCCCCCUUUAGUCCCGGUUGGUGGCUUAACCCGGGACUAAAGGACUAACACGUGGCCUGCCGUAGUGGGGCGACCAUUGGUAUACCUCUUUAGUCCCGGUUGGUGGUUGAACCCGGGACCAAAAGCCUAACAAGUGGCAUGCCGUAGUGGUGGCAACCGUUUGGUAUACCUUUUUAGUCCCGGUUGGUGGCUCAAACCGGGAUUAAAGGCCCAAACGGUUUGCAUCCGCGUCGUUUCGGGCGAUGAAAAGCACGAACCAAAGCGUACAGUCGCCAUUUCUCUGUUCUUCUUCUCUCUCGCGUCGCCCUCUUAGUUCUUCUCCUCUCUUCUUCCCUUCUCUUCUUCGACCAUGCCAACUACCUUUCAUGAGGUGGUCGCGCAUGGCACGACCAAGCUCCGUGUCGUGUACACGAACCUGAGCACGGAGGUUCCGUUUUUCCUUCAACAGUUGAAGGAACGAUGGUUUAACCACGCACCGGAUCAUGAGAAGUUCUUUGGGCUUGAUCUGGAGUACACGGCCGAUCAACGCGGUGUUGCCGUCAUCCAUAUAUGCUUCGCAAGCCAUGUCUUGAUCUUCCAAUGGGGGAGGUAAGUUUUGAGGCUUUCUUUGAUCCAAGAUAAUGACAUUGUAUAAGUUUAUUUGUUUCUAUCAUAGUUGGUUCCCUUCAAAUAGUUGUAGUGAAACAAUUUUGAUUAGUUGAAGGGGAGCACAAUCUAAUUGGAAUAGUGUUCCAUAAUCUGAAAAAUCGUAUUAAAAUCAACUAGUGUUUAAUAUGUUCCAUUGGAAUCAUAGUUGGUUCCCUUCAAAUAGUUGUAGUGAAACAAUUUUGAUUAGUUGAAGGGGAGCACAAUCUAAUUGGAAUAGUGUUCCAUAAUCUGAAAAAUUGUAUUAGAAUGAACUAGUGUUUAAUAUGUUCCAUUGGAAUCAUAGUUGGUUCCCUUCAAAUAGUUGUAGUGAAACAAUUUUGAUUAGUUGAAGGGGAACACAAUCUGAUUGGAAUAGUGUUCCAUAAUCUGAAAAAUCGUAUUAGAAUCAACUAGUGUUUAGUAUGUUCCAUUGGAAUCAUAGUUGGUUCGCUUCAAAUAGUUGUAGUGAAACAAUUUUGAUUAGUUGAAGGGGAACACAAUCUGAUUGGAAUAGUGUUCCAUAAUCUGAAAAAUCGUAUUAGAAUGAACUAGUGUUUAAUAUGUUCCAUUGGAAUCAUAGUUGGUUCGCUUCAAAUAGUUGUAGUGAUCUCUCUAGGUUCCAUUGCAUAUGUUCUAUUUGAAUCCUAAAGAUAAGUUUCUCUUUAGUUGUAGUGAAACAUGUUUCCUUAUUGCACCAGUAUGUAACAUUUGUUCCAUUCUAAUUUUUUUCUGUUGCAGGAGUGACAAGCAUUGUCCUGGACUCAUGGAGUUCCUUCGCAGCGGCGUCACUUUUGCUUCCGUUGACAUAAGGAACGACAAGCUGAAGAUGAGGCACAGCUUCGAUAUUGAGAUACCAGCUGGUUGCCUCGUUGAUCUCCAAACGAUAUUCAGGCUUCGACAUGACAGGACUUCGAUGGCUCAUAUGGCAGUUGCCUUGAUCGACGAGUCAUAUGGUGAUAUGAAGACCAGUUUCCCAAAGUAUCAUCACAAACUUUGGGAGAAGGGACCACUUGAUGAUAUCAACAUUCAGUAUGCAGCAAAAGAUGCAUACGUUUCAUACGAGUUGUACCGCAAGAUUCGAGUCGUCAACUAUGGCCAGCGUCACCUCGAGGAACUUGGACAUUCUGAUUUAGAUGAUUCAGACGAGUAGUGUUCUGAACGUCUAACACUUGUAUAUAUAUCUAUGGUAGCUAUUAUUAUGUACUGUUUGGGCUAGUAUCAUAUACUUCUUGGACCAAUUUAUAUAUAUCUAGUUUCUGUUUGUGCCAUUAUAGUUUCCAAAUUUGAAUGGUUUAGCCCUUUCUAACUUCAUUUGCUACUUUUGAAUGGUUUAGCCCUUUCUAACUUCAUGGUAUCAUGCAUUUCGACUACAUAUAUAUACAAAAAGUCUUCAGUUCAAAUAAGUUCAAAUAAGUUCAGUGCUUUUCAAUUUCAGGGUCAACUAGCUCAAAAAAAAAAUAAGUAAAUGCACGAAAUAUACCAAAUGAAGUCAGAAAUUGUUGAAAUUUUGUGAUGUGCCUUUGAAUGGUGCAUUUUGAACACACAAAAAGUAUGGAGUUCAAAUAAGUUCAAAAAAAAUGAAAUCCCUUUGUAAGAGAUGAGUUCUCGUUCGAAACCCUGCUACUUCGAGAGAGAUUGUCAGUUUUGUACACGAAGUGCAUCCAGUUUUUGUCGUAGCCCUCUCUACUUUUUAAAACAUGCUAUGUGGGUGAAAUGAUGAUAGCAUGCCAACUUUCAACAUUUUCAUAGUUCAUUUGUAGUGCUUUUCAAUUUCAGGGUCAACUAGCUACAAAAAAAUAAGUAAAUGCACGAAAUAUACCAAAUGAAGUCAGAAAUUGUUGAAAUUUUGUGAUGUGCCUUUGAAUGGUGCAUUUUGAACACAAAAAAAGUAUGGAGUUCAAAUAAGUUUAAAAAAAUGAAAUCGCUUUGUAAGAGAUGAGUUCUCGUUCGAAACCUUGCUACUUCGAGAGAGAUUGUCAGUUUUGUACACGAAGUGGAUCCAGUUUUUGUCGUAGCCCUCUAAACAUUUUAACACAUGCUAUGUGGGUGAAAUGAUGAUAGCAUGCCAACUUUCAACAUUUUCAGAGUUCAUUUGUAGUGCUUUUCAAUUUCAGGGUCAACUAGACUUAAAAAAAAAGUAAAUGCACGAAAUAUACCAAAUGAAGUCAGAAAUUGUUGAAAUUUUGUGAUGUGCCUUUGAAUGGUGCAUUUUGUGUUGGAAUUAUGCCCUAGAGGCAAUAAUAAAUGUAUAGUUAUUAUUAUAAUUCUUGUAUCAAGAUAAUAGUUUAUUAUCCAUGCUAUAAUUGUAUUGAAUGAAGACUCAUUUACAUGUGUGGAUACAUAGACAAAACACCGUCCCUAGCAUGCCUCUAGUUGGCUAGCCAGUUGAUCGAUGAUAGUCAAUGUCUUCUGAUUAUGAACAAGGUGUUGUUGCUUGAUAACUGGAUCACGUCAUUAGGAGAAUCACGUGAUGGACUAGACCCAAACUAAUAGACGUAGCAUGUUGAUCGUGUCAUUUUGUUGCUACUGUUUUCUGCAUGUCAAGUAUUUAUUCCUAUGACCAUGAGAUCAUAUAACUCACUGACACCGGAGGAAUGCUUUGUGUGUAUCAAACAUCGCAACGUAACUGGGUGACUAUAAAGAUGCUCUACAGGUAUCUCCGAAGGUGUUAGUUGAGUUAGUAUGGAUCAAGACUGGGAUUUGUCACUCCGUGUGACGGAGAGGUAUCUCGGGGCCCACUCGGUAAUAUAACAUCACACACAAGCCUUGCAAGCAAUGUAACUUAGUGUAAGUUGCGGGAUCUUGUAUUACGGAACGAGUAAAGAGACUUGCCGGUAAACGAGAUUGAAAUAGGUAUGCGGAUACUGACGAUCGAAUCUCGGGCAAGUAACAUACCGAAGGACAAAGGGAAUGACAUACGGGAUUAUACGAAUCCUUGGCACUGAGGUUCAAACGAUAAGAUCUUCGUAGAAUAUGUAGGAUCCAAUAUGGGCAUCCAGGUCCCGCUAUUGGAUAUUGACCGAGGAGUCUCUCGGGUCAUGUCUACAUAGUUCUCGAACCCGCAGGGUCUGCACACUUAAGGUUCGACGUUGUUUUAUGCGUAUUUGAGUUAUAUGGUUGGUUACCGAAUGUUGUUCGGAGUCCCGGAUGAGAUCACGGGCGUCACGAGGGUUUCCGGAAUGGUCCGGAAACGAAGAUUGAUAUAUAGGAUGACCUCAUUUGAUUACCGGAAGGUUUUCGGAGUUACCGGGAAUGUACCGGGAAUGACGAAUGGGUUCCGGGGGUUCACCGGAGGGGGGCAACCCACUCCGGGGAAGCCCAUAGGUAUUUGUGGGGGUCACACCAGCCCUUAGUGGGCUGGUGGGACAGCCCACCAAGUCCUAUGCGCCAAGGAACAAAAAUCAAAGGAAGAAAGAAAAAAAAAAGAGGAAGUGGGAAAGGGGAAGGACUCCCUCCCACCAAACCAAGUAGGACUCGGUUUGGGGGGGGAGAGUCCUCCCCCCUGGCUCGGCCGACCCCCUUGGAGUCCCUUGGACUCCAAGGCAAGGUCCCCCUCCCUCCUCCUAUAUAUAUGGGGCUUUUAGGGCAGAUUUGAGACGACUUUCUCACGGCUGCCCGACCACAUACCUCCAUAGUUUUUCCUCUAGAUCGUGUUUCUGCGGAGCUCGGGCGGAGCCCUGCUGAGACAAGAUCAUCACCAACCUCCGGAGCGCCGUCACGCUGCCGGAGAACUCUUCUACCUCUCUGUCUCUCUUGCUGGAUCAAGAAGGCCGAGAUCAUCGUCGAGCUGUACGUGUGCUGAACGCGGAGGUGCCGUCCGUUCGGUACUAGAUCGUGGGACUGAUCGCGGGAUUGUUCGCGGGGCGGAUCGAGGGACGUGAGGACGUUCCACUACAUCAACCGCGAUCUCACAUCGCUUCUGCUGUACGAUCUACAAGGGUACGUAGAUCACUCAUCCCCUCUCGUAGAUGGACAUCACCAUGAUAGGUCUUCGUGCGCGUAGGAAAAUUUUUGUUUCCCAUGCGACGUUCCCCAACAGUGGCAUCAUGAGCUAGGUUCAUGCGUAGAUGUCUUCUCGAGUAGAACACAAAAGGUUUUGUGGGCGGUGAUGUGCGUUUUGCUGCCCUCCUUAGUCUUUUCUUGAUUCCGCGGUAUUGUUGGAUUGAAGCGGCUUGGAUCGACAUUACUCGUACGCUUACGAGAGACUGGUUUCAUCGUUACGAGUAACCCCCUUUGCUCAAAGAUGACUGGCAAGUGACGGUUUCUCCAACUUUAGUUGAAUCAGAUUUGACCGAGGAGGUCCUUGGAUGAGGUUAAAUAGCAACUCAUAUAUCUCCGUUGUGGUGUUUGCGUAAGUAAGAUGCGAUCCUACUAGAUACCCUUGGUCACCACGUAAAACAUGCAACAACAAAAAUUAGAGGACGUCUAACUUGUUUUUGCAGGGUAUGAUUGUGAUGUGAUAUGGCCAAUGAUGUGAUGUGAUAUAUUGGAUGUAUGAGAUGAUCAUGUUGUAAUAGAAAUAUCGACUUGCACGUCGAUGGUACGGCAACCGGCAGGAGCCAUAGGGUUGUCUUUAUACUAACAUAUGUGCUUGCAGAUGCGUUUACUAUUUUGCUAGGAUGUAGCUUUAGUAGUGAUAGCAUAAGUAGCACGAAAACCCCGAUGGCGACACAUUGAUGGAGAUCAUGAUGAUGGAGAUCAUGGUGUGGCGCCGGUGACAAGAAGAUCGUGCCGGUGCUUUGGUGAUGGAGAUCAAGAAGCACGUGAUGAUGGCCAUAUCAUGUCACUUAUGAAUUGCAUGUGAUGUUAAUCCUUUUAUGCACCUUAUUUUGCUUAGAACGACGGUAGCAUUAUGAGGUGAUCUCUCACUAAAAUUUCAAGACGAAAUUGUGUUCUCCCCGACUGUGCACCGUUGCUACAGUUCGUCGUUUCGAGACACCACGUGAUGAUCGGGUGUGAUAGACUCAACGUUCACAUACAACGGGUGCAAAACAGUUGCGCACGCGGAACACUCGGGUUAAGCUUGACGAGCCUAGCAUGUGCAGACAUGGCCUCGGAACACAUGAGACCGAAAGGUCGAUCAUGAAUCAUAUAGUUGAUAUGAUUAGCAUAGGGAUGCUUACCACUGAAACUACUCUCGACUCACGUGAUGAUCGGACUUGGGAUAGUGUAAGUGGAUCAUGAACCACUCAAAUGACUAGAGAGAUGUACUUUUUGAGUGGGAGUUUAGCAUAUAAUUUGAUUAAGUUGAACUCUAAUUAUCUUGAACAUAGUCUAAGUCCACUUUGAAUAUAUUUGUGUUGUAGAUCAUGGCUUACGCAAAGUGUCAUCCUCAAUUUUAAUACGUUCCUAGAGAAAGCUAAGUUGAAAGAUGAUGGAAGCAACUUUGUAGACUGGGCUCGUAAUCUUAAGCUAAUCUUACAAGCUGGAAAGAAGGAUUAUGUCCUUAAUGCUGCGCUAGGAGAUGAACCACCCACUACGGCUGAUCAGGAUGUUAAGAACGCUUGGCUAGCACGUAAGGAGGACUACUCAAUAGUUCAAUGUGCAGUCUUGUAUGGCUUAGAGCCGGGACUUCAACGUCGCUUUGAGCGUCAUGGAGCAUUUGAGAUGUUCCAGGAGUUGAAGUUUAUCUUUCAGAAGAACGCCCGGAUCGAGAGGUAUGAGACCUCCGAUAAAUUCUAUGCUUGCAAGAUGGAGGAAAGCUCGUCUGUCAGUGAACAUGUGCUCAAAAUGUCUGGGUACUCAAACCGUCUAGCUGAACUAGGGAUUGAACUCCCGCAAGAAGCUAUCACUGACAGAAUCCUCCAAUCACUGCCGCCAAGCUAUAAAGGCUUUGUGUUGAACUACAACAUGCAAGGGAUGAACAAGUCUCCCGGCGAGUUGUUUGCGAUGCUGAAAGUCGCAGAGUCUGAACUCCGUAAAGAGCAUCAAGUGUUGAUGGUGAGCAAGACCACUAGUUUCAAGAGAAACGGCAAAGGCAAGAAGGGAAAUUCGAAGAAGAGCGGCAAGCCUGUUGCCAAUCCGCCAAAGAAACCCAAGGCUGGAUCUAAGCCUGAAACAGAGUGCUUCUAUUGCAAGGGUAUGGGUCACUGGAAGCGCAAUUGCCCCAAGUAUCUGGCAGAUAAGAAGGCGGGUAAAGACAAAUCAGGUAUAUUUGAUAUACAUGUUAUUGAUGUGUACUUAACCGGCUCUCGUAGUAGUGCCUGGGUAUUCGAUACCGGUUCUGUUGCUCACAUUUGCAACUCGAAGCAGGAACUGCGGAAUAGACGGAGGCUGGCGAAAGACGAAGUGACGAUGCGUGUAGGAAACGGUUCCAAAGUUGAUGCAAUCGCCGUCGGCACCGUGUCACUUCAACUACCAUCGGGAUUAGUGAUGAACUUAAAUCAUUGUUAUUUAGUGCCUGCGUUGAGCAUGAACAUUAUAUCUGGAUCUUGUUUAUUGCGAGACGGUUACUCUUUUAAGUCUGAGAAUAAUGGUUGUUCUAUUUCUAUGAGUAACAUCUUUUAUGGUCAUGCACCGAAUGUGAGAGGAUUGUUCAUAUUGAAUCUUGAUAGAGAUACGCAUAUACAUAACAUUGAGACCAAAAGAGUUAGAGUAAACAAUGAUAGCGCCAUAUUUUUGUGGCACUGCCGCUUGGGUCAUAUUGGUGUAAAGCGCAUGAAGAAACUCCAUGCUGAUGGACUUUUGGAGUCACUUGACUUUGAUUCACUUGACACGUGUGAACCAUGCCUCAUGGGCAAGAUGACUAAAACUCCGUUCUCCGGAACAAUGGAGCGUGCAAGUGACUUGUUGGAAAUCAUACAUACCAAUGUGUGUGGUCCGAUGAGCGUGGAGGCACGCGGCGGAUAUCGUUAUUUUCUCACCUUCACUGACGAUUUAAGUAGAUAUGGUUAUGUCUACUUGAUGAAGCACAAGUCUGAAACAUUUGAAAAGUUCAAGCAAUUUCAGAGUGAAGUGGAAAAUCAUCGUAACAAGAAGAUCAAGUUCCUACGGUCUGAUCGUGGGGGUGAGUAUCUGAGUUUCGAGUUUGGUGCUCACUUAAGACAAUGUGGAAUUGUUUCGCAGUUAACACCGCCUGGAACACCACAGCGUAAUGGUGUGUCCGAACGUCGUAAUCGUACUUUGUUAGAAAUGGUGCGAUCUAUGAUGUCUCUUACUGAUUUGCCGUUAUCGUUUUGGGGUUAUGCAUUAGAAACAGCUGCAUUCACUUUAAAUAGGGCACCAUCAAAAUCCGUUGAGACGACACCAUACGAACUGUGGUAUGGCAAAAGACCAAAGUUGUCGUUUCUUAAAGUUUGGGGAUGUGAUGCUUAUGUCAAAAAGCUUCAGCCUGAGAAGCUGGAACCCAAAGCGGAAAAGUGCGUCUUCAUAGGUUACCCAAAAGAGACAGUUGGGUACACCUUCUAUCUCAAAUCCGAGGGCAAAGUGUUUGUUGCUAAGAACGGAACUUUUCUCGAGAAGGAGUUUCUCUCGAGAGAAUUGAGUGGGAGGAAGAUAGAACUUGACGAGGUUGUUGAACCUCUCAUCCCUCUGGAUGGUGGCGCAGGGCAAGGGGAAACCCCUGUGAUUGCGACGCCGGUUGAGGAGGAAGUUAAUGAUGAUGAUCAUGAAACUCCAGUUCAAGUUUCUGUUGAAACCACGCAGGUCGACGAGAUCACGCGCUGCUCCAGAGUGGUACGGUAAUCCCGUCUUGACAAUCAUGUUGUUAGACAACAAUGAACCUGCAAAUUAUGAAGAAGCAAUGGUGGGCCCAGAUUCCAACAAAUGGCUAGAAGCCAUGAAAUCCGAGAUAGGAUCCAUGUAUGAGAACAAAGUAUGGACUUUGGAGAUACUACCUGAGGGCCGCAAGGCUAUUCAGAACAAAUGGAUCUUUAAGAAAAAGACGGACGCUGACGGUAAUGUGACCGUUUAUAAAGCUCGACUUGUGGCAAAGGGUUUUUCACAAGUUCCAGGAAUUGACUACGAUGAGACUUUCUCUCCCGUAGCGAUGCUUAAAUCCGUCAGAAUCAUGUUAGCAAUAGCUGCAUUUUUCGAUUAUGAAAUUUGGCAGAUGGAUGUCAAAACGGCGUUCCUUAACGGUUUUCUUAAGGAAGAGUUGUAUAUGAUGCAACCCGAAGGUUUUUGUCGAUCCUAAAAAUGCUGACAAAGUGUGCAAACUCCAGCGAUCCAUUUAUGGACUGGUGCAAGCAUCUCGGAGUUGGAACAAACGCUUUGAUGAGGUGAUCAAAGCAUUUGGGUUUACACAAGUGGUUGGAGAAUCUUGUAUUUACAAGAAAGUGAGUGGGAGCUCUGUGGCGUUUCUAAUAUUGUAUGUGGAUGACAUAUUACUGAUUGGAAACAACGUAGAGCUUUUGGAGAGCAUAAAAGGUUACUUGAAUAAAAGUUUCUCUAUGAAGGACCUAGGAGAAGCUGCUUACAUUCUAGGCAUUAAGAUCUAUAGGGAUAGAUCAAAACGCCUGAUAGGACUUUCACAAAGCACAUACCUUGAUAAAGUUUUGAAGAGGUUCAAAAUGGAACAGUCCAAGAAAGGGUUCUUGCCAGUGUUACAAGGUACGAGAUUGAGUAAGACUCAGUGCCCAGCAACUGAUGAAGAUAGAGAACAUAUGCGCUCCGUCCCCUAUGCUUCAGCCAUAGGUUCUAUCAUGUAUGCGAUGCUGUGCACUAGACCGGAUGUUAGCCUGGCCAUAAGUAUGGCAGGUAGGUUCCAGAGUAAUCCAGGAGUGGAUCACUGGACGGCGGUCAAGAAUAUCCUGAAGUACCUGAAAAGGACUAAGGAGAUGUUUCUCGUGUAUGGAGGUGACGAAGAGCUCGCCGUAAAAGGUUACGUCGAUGCAAGCUUGCAUGCNNNNNNNNNNNNNNNNNNNNNNNNNNNNNNNNNNNNNNNNNNNNNNNNNNNNNNNNNNNNNNNNNNNNNNNNNNNNNNNNNNNNNNNNNNNNNNNNNNNNAACGUAAUAUUUUHUUAAUAAUAUAUAUAUAUAUAUAUAUAUAUAUAUAUAUAUAUAUAUAUAUUUGAAAUCUUGGCUCCAAAACCGUUAGAAUGAGAUCCCUCUUGAAUAUAUUUCAAACAUGUUUAAACUUGAACAUUUAACUGAGUGAAAUCAGUUUUCUGAAAGGAGUGAAAUAGGGUUUUUGAUCUGAGUGAAACCAGAGAAACCUGUUUUCCAUACACAUGAAACAAAUUGUCUGAAAAUAACCGAAAUAGCUUUUCUGAAUUGAUUGAAAGUAUUUUUUUUAAAUGAGUGAAAUGUGUUUUGCGUACAUAUGACUUUUUUAAAUAAGUGAAACGAAUUUGUUUUGCGUACAGUUUUUUUCAAAUUGAGUGAAACCAAUUUUAUGAAUGAGUAACAUCAUUGUUUGAAUGAGUGAAAUCAUUUUGUAAAUAAGUGAAAUCUAAUUUUUGAAACGAGCGAAAUCUGUUUUAUGUAGCGGGCGAAUUUGAUUUGUGAAGUGAUAGUAUUUUGAAUUGAGUGAAAUCGGUUUUUUGAAAUACAUUAAAUGAGUUAUUCGAAGCGAUAGAAAUCAACUGAGUGAGGUUACUUUUAUGAAAUAUUUUUAAGUUUAUUUUUAUUUGACAUAUACUAGCUUCUUGAAACAAGAAUAUUUUCAUUUCGAAAUGAGUGAAAUUUGAUUAUGAAAAUUAUUGAAACAUGUAUUUCUUUCAAUUGAAACGACUGAAAUCAGUUGUAUCGAAUGAGUAAAAUCAGUUGUUUCAUGAACUGAGUGAAAUCAAUUUGUUGAAAUGUGAAAAAUACAUUUUGGGAUGAGUUAAAUCCAUCAUUUUUGAUGGCCCUAGAUCCAUAUUUUGGAGAUGAGUGGAAUAUUAUUUUCUCGAAUCAGUGAAAUGUGUCUUUUAAAAACAGUGAAAUUAAUGUUUAAAAUGACUGAAAUUAGUUUUUUGUAAAUGAUGAAAUACAUUUUUGAAAUUAACACAACAUUCAAUAACACUUGUAUGAAAUAACAAAACUAUCUUUAGUUUUAUGAAAGUGAUUCAAAAGACAAUUGAAAUAUAUAAAAUAAAAAGUAAUUCAAAUGGAACCAGUAUUGAUCUUGUUCGGAACGUCUUGUCAACAUGAUUUGAAAUAUAUAAAAGGUUUCAAAAAUGGGCAUUGGUCUAAAAUAGGACAAUCAUUCAAAAUGCCCUAUCAUUCAACAUGAUCUUGUUCGGAACGUCAAUGUCAUUUAUGUGGGGAGAGAGAAUCAUGCAUGAAUCGGUCUCCAUCCCAACUUUCUCUCUCGUACAAAGCUGCAUGACAUGCAUGUAUUUUGAUACAAAUGUGUGAGCGCAUGCCAGUCUUGUCUGUAUUUAUUGGGUAUAGGAGAGAUAAUGGAUUUACAACUUUAUAUCGUGGCACAGAUAUUAGUGAAAUUGAUGGACGGUGGAUUGCCAAUCGGUAACUACUCGCUCGUGUAAGAGCAUCUAUAGCCGGACCUUGCAAAUUUGAUCCCUCAAACGUCCGUGAACGCGUCCGGGCGUGUUCGUAGACACUGACCGAUCAUGCCUUAAAUUUCCCACUCCACAUCCACGUGUCUCAUGUCCGGAGCAACAACUUCGCGAACAGAUCCCCGUCGCCCCCCGUAACCCCCUCCCGUCGCCCCCAUGAACGACCAGGGGGUAACCCUAGCCGCCGCUGCCGGUCCUCCCUCGCUCGUCCUUCAUCCUCGCCCCCGCCAGCAGCGUCGCCGGACGAAGCCUGGCCGGCAGGGGCGGCGGUGGAGAUCCUCUCCCCUUCACGCGACAUGGUUGGGGCGGGACGGACGUUCGUGAGGAGGCACCGCACUAGCGCACGGUGCGGCGGCGCGGCACACUACAAGAAAUAUGCUCAUACAUGAUGUUUUUUAAGACGUCGUUGAUGAAUUCGUCAUAAAUCUGUGACGAUUUCAUCCGAGAUUGUCGUAAACCGUUUGAGGGGAUCAAAUCUACAUAUAAAUUACGACGAUGUGAGUCAAAAACGUCGUAACUGCAUAAUAUGAGAUCGUCAUAACUUUUACGACGAUUAUAAAAAUGUCGUAACAUGUUCUAACUAUGUUGACAUGUCACUCGUGGGUCUAUUCUAUGUCACGCGCCAAACCCGCCUAGUUUGUGAAGCAACCUACUAUUAUGUCAUUCCAAGAAUUCUCAAAAAAUUAUCAUAAAUACUUUGGAUCAUAUAUUCCUCAAAUAUGUUAAAACCCUUUCUUCCAUAGUUUGAAAAUAAUUCAGCAAUAUUCAUUUUCCUAUUCUGUUCAGAAUAGCACUUUGUGAAGGAAGUGUUAUUUCUAUUUUUUUGAUUACCCUCAUAUUUUUUAGCACUAUUUCCUAUCCAAAUCAUUGCCUCAUGAAAACUUUCGUAACAAUUUGCGUAGUAAAUCUUUCUCAGCAAAUUUCCAAAGCUUGUGUUCAGCUAACAACUUUGUGAAGGAAGUACUAGAUAGGAAUAUCCUGAUGAGUUGAAUUUUUGCCACAUCUUCUAUGUGUCCAAAACAUAGCUCUCCACAAAAGUUUAGCCCCAUCUGACAAUCCAUGUGAGCUCAUCAUCCAAUCUUUGUUUCUGCUAAUAUUUUUAUUUUGUGAAGCAACUACAUUUUAUAUUGCUUUAUAGUUGAUGAAAAUUUACCACGGGAUGAAACUGACCAUGUAACCUCACUCCACCAAAUUUUAGCUCAUUUAAUUUAGCCAGAUUCCCUCAAUAUUUUUUCCAAUAUUCUGUUUAGUAGAGAGCAUUGUGAAGGAAGUACAAUUUUUGUUUAUCCAAAUUUUAUGAAAUUUUUACAAUGCCUUAAUGUGCCCAAAUUAUCAUCAUACACCAAAUUUCAACUCAAUGCAUUCAUUCAUUUGAUCCCAGCUUCGACAUACAUAUUUCUGCAUAGUGUGGUACUUUGCAAAGCAAGUGCCACCUAUGUUCAUUCAUUUGAGCUAAAAAUUUGCCACGAGAGUCUCCUUAGUACAUAAUCACCCUCAGCCAAAAUUUAGGCCCAUUGUCUAUGUUCAUUACCCGCACCGCUAAUCAAACACUUGGCUGCUAAUUCAUGUUUGAGCUUAGUUCGGUCUCCUCGUGAGAUUCUUCUAUUGUAUUCUUCUUCCGGACACCUACCGAGGGAGUGUCCAACCCACCUGACAUGCCUAUUCCACCCAGAAUGCGUGGCAACGCAACGGUCAGCCGGUGACCAUGCGGCUCGCAUCCAAGUUCACGCGCUCUGCAGUUGGGGCCCUCGACCACCAUCCAAACCUCGGCGUCAAGUCACCACACCAUGUAAUUAUAAUUAAAUAGAUACUUAUGUACCUAUAAAUGAUUUUUGGGAAAAACAAAUAGCAAAUUAUAAUGCACCUGCAGUUCAAAUUUGACCCGCUUCCAACUGAAUCGACAUAAAUUUGUCAUUUUCAUGAGAGGUGGAUAAAAGCAGUUAACACCCAACCAUUUUGUCAAUUGUUCAUUAAAUAUGUCCUAGUAUUUUAUAAAAAUGAUAUGGUCCAAUUUUGAAACAAAUAUAUGGUAGGUCCUUCACAAAAAAAAUCAUUUUGAGCACUUGAAAAAUGGAAAAUAAUUUUUACAUAGAAGGAAAAUGAAAACUUUCUUAAUCAACAUUGUUUGCCAUUCUAAUAUGCACUCCUGUGCAUAAUAUUAUAUCAUUUGAACAAACUAUGUCAUGAAUGUGGCUAUAAGAUUGAUCAUUUGGCUUGAAAGUCAUGAAUCUUCACACAUGAUAGCCCAUUUCAAAGAACACCUUUUCAAAAUAAUCACCGUAUUAAAAGUUUAUUAUUUUUCCUGGUAACUUGUCACAUAUUAUGACACAACGCGGAGGUUUUCCAUUUUUUUGAUUUUUUGUUUGAAUUUUCAUUGCCAUUUCAAAAUGUUGUCGAAAUGACGGGCAUGACCGUUCAUAGCUAGGGGUUGAAUCUUGCCAAAUUUUUGUUGGAUCUAUGAUUAAAUAGAUACUUAUUUAUCUAAAAAUGUUUUUUGUAAAAAAUCAUGAGAAAACUAUGAGGCACCUCUAGUUCAAAUUUGACCCGCUUCCUUCUGAUUCGGCAUUAAUUUGUCUUUUUCACUAGAGGUGGAUAAAAGCUUUUAACAUCCAACCAUUUUGUCAAUUGCAAAUUAAAUAUAGCCUAGUAUUUAGAAAAAAUGAUUUGAUACAAUUUUGAAACAAAUAUAUGUUAGGUUCUUCACAAAAAAACUCAUUUUGGGCACUUGAAAAAUGGAAAAAUAUUUUUACAUACAAGGAAAAUGAAGACUUCCUUAAUCAGCAUUGUUUGUCAUUACAAUAUGCACCCUUAUGCACAAUAUUACAUCGUUUCAACAAACUAUGCCAUGAAUGUGGCCAUAAGAUUGAUUAUUUGGCUUGAAAACCAUGAAUCUUCACACAUGAUAGCACAUUUUUGAGAACACUUUUUUAAAAUAAUUGUUGUAUUACAGGGUUAUUAUUUUCCUGGUAUCUUUGUCACAUAUAAUGACACAAUGCAAAGGUUUUCCAUUUUUUUGAUUUUUUUUAAAUUUUGCAUGGCCAUUUUAAAAUGCGGUCAAAACGACCGGUAUGACCGUUCUUACCUAGUGGUUGAAUCUUGGAAAUCUUUUGGUGUUUCUCUGAUUAAAUAGAUACUUUUGUACCUAUAAAUGAUUUUUGGAAAAAAUAAAAAUAAAUAUAUAAUGAAGCUACAGUUCAAAUUUGACCCGCUUCCAGCUGAAUCGAUGAAAAAUUGUCUUUUUCACGAGAGGUGGAUAAAAGCUUUUGACACCCAACCAUUUAGUGAAUUGUACAUUAAAUGUGGCCUAGUAUUUUAAAAAAUUGGUUUGGUCCAAUUUUACAACAAAUAUAUGGCAUGUCAUUAAUAAAAAAACUCAUUUUGGUCACUCGAAAAAUAGAAAAUGGUUUUUUUUUACGGAAAGAAAAUGCCACCCCAAAUCAACAUUGUUGGUCAUCCCUAGAUACACACAUGUGCAAAACAUUGUUUCAGUUCAACAAACUAUAAGAGGUUAAAUGUUACCCUGAAUAAGAGGGUAAAAACUAUAAAAGAAAAACAAAAAACAAAAUUUUACUAGAUGAACUCUGAUUGGUGAUAUCAGUUGUGACAUGGAUCAAUGACAUGGCAAGCAUCCGUCCGUCCAUCCAUCCAUAUAUCCGUCCCUCCGUCAAUCCUAGCCCUCUCUCUCGCGCAGAAAACACCUCCCUCUCUCUCACGUUCAAACCCUGCCUUGCAGCCGCCUCACACCAUCGCCCCCCGAUCCAGAUCUGACACCCACCUCCCUCUGCACCCUCCCACCACCGCUCCCCGAUCCAGAUCCACCACACACACAUCCCUCCGCUUGCCGCCGGUCUACACCAUCCCUCCGCUGUCCCUGCUCCCCAUCCAGAAGCCGCUGUCCCCGCUCCCCAUCUAGAUCCAAACCCUAGCUCAAUCCGACUCGCAGCCCCGCGGCCCCGACCCCAACCCCUCCCUCUCCCCCGAUCUGCAGCCGAGGAGGACCAGUGCGGCGAGGAGUACGUGCGGGCCGAGGAGGACCAGUGCGGCGACCCGACCCUGCCCGCCCUCACCAACGUGUUGCGCGCCGCCGGCGCCGGCGAGUGCUGGCACAAGCACGUCACCUUCCUCGCCCACCUGCUCGAGGUCAACCGGAUCCUGCGCCUCUGGGCCGCGCCCGACGCCGUGGCCCGCUGCGGCCUCUACCACUCAGCAUACUCCAUGUCCUACGUCAACCUCGCCAUCUUCGAGCCCGAUGUCUGUCGCGCCCGCGUUGCCGCCGUCGUCGGGGACGAGGCCGAGCGGCUUGUCCACCUCUUCUGCGUCGUCCCGCGGCAACAGCUCGUCCAUGACGACCUACUCUUCCACUACGACGACGGCGACCUCGCCGCCGACCUGGCCCGGUCCGAGGAGUCCGUAUUGGACGCGCGUCGUGGGGUGUUCGACGAGGACGAGCCCUGGCAACGCAAGAUCCAGCGCCUCCUCCCCGCCGACGGAAUCACAGUCAAGCACAUCAGGUGCGAGUUUGAUUGUUUCCUCAUGAGGAACUUUUCUGUGGUUGCUUGCCUGAAUGAAAUCAGUACAUGUUCAGAUAACUGAAUUAUACAUUGUUGUGUGUAGUCUUUGUCAGAAAUAUAUACGGAGUACUACGGUACUGACAGACACUAGUGGGGACAGGGCCUAUAGCCCCGGCCCAUAAGGGGCUUUAGUCCCGGUUCACCAACCGGGACUAAAGGGGCGGGACUAAAGGCCUAACCUUUAGACCCGGCCCUGUUACAAGCCGGGACUAAAGAUGCUCCACGUGGGCGCCUCGUAGCGCCCCACGGGCAGGACCUUUAGUCCCGGUUCGUUACACGGGCCGGGACUAAAGAUUUUUAGAUUUUGCUGGUUUUUGGGUUUUUUUGAAUGAAAUUAUUUUUGGGUUUUACGGUUUUAGGGUUUAGGUGUUCGGGAGAUUAACGUGAUGCCUCGUUUGGUUUUCGGGAAUUAGUUUUCAUAUAAUUUAAAUAGAAAGAAAGAUGCACAUAUAUAUAAGAUUAACUUAUCUUACAAGCGAGCAUAUAUAUACAAUUAUAUGCAGAUCUGAAUUAUCGGGACUAGAGCCCGUCUAUUCGAUUACAUGGACGAACAUCAGUAAUGGCCCUUAGCUACACUAAAUCGUCCUUUGUCAUCUAUAGCUUCCGUCCUCAGAAAUCCCGCAAGCUCCUGUGCAACAGCAAUCGCGCGUUGCUCUGGUAGGACCUUCGUCCUCAUGGCCGUGUGCUAUAUAAGAAGAGGAGAUGAAUAUGAAUAUCAAUCAUGAUAACAAAGAAUGACGGGUAAAAAUAGAGGUGUGAAUGUUCAUUACUUACGUCGAAUCUGUGAUCCUUGAGGUCAGAGGUAAACGUGCGAAUGGUCUCGCAAACAUAGUAUCCGCAUAGAUGCGUUCCCCGUGGCUGCUGGUCGCACUUUACGAGAAUAGAAUAUAUAUAAUCAAAAUAUUAAUCUAGCAUCAUAAAUGUAUUGAAAAUUAAUAGAAGUAUAUCAUACUACUACUUACCUGAGCCGCUCUAAAGGUCAGCUUCUCAGGAAAGUUACCGGGAGUCACGCACUUGAACCGCUUCCAAACCCUGCCCGACAAGGAUAAUGAUUUGCUAAGUUUUUCAUUAAUUGAUAUAUCAGAAAAUCAUCGAAAGAGACCGAUAGAGCGCAAGAAUGAUUAAAAUUACCCUUGGAGCAUGUCCUGCAGGCUUUAGAACUGUUCCAAGGGUCUCGAUAAUGGGUCGAAGGCAUCAAUUCUUCCCUUAUCAAUUUGAAUGUCCAACAGAAUCCAAUGGAAGCUGCACAUGUAUGUAUAUAUAUAUAUAUAUAUAUAUACUAUAUAUGUACUAACGUUAACUUAUACUAANNNNNNNNNNNNNNNNNNNNNNNNNNNNNNNNNNNNNNNNNNNNNNNNNNNNNNNNNNNNNNNNNNNNNNNNNNNNNNNNNNNNNNNNNNNNNNNNNNNNCMAACCAAGAAAUACCAACUAGGAAGGACUGCACAUGUAUGUAUAUAUAUAUAUAUAUAUAUAUACAUAUAUGUCAGUAACUUAUCAAUUACACUUAUAAGUGAAUGGACACAACAGAGUAAAGACCCUUACUUGAAGUUGUAUGGAAACCCUUACUUGAAGUUGUAUGGAAACAGUAUGUGGUCACAGAAAUUUUGAUCUGUUAGAAACCUUAGAAGGUUUUCCUCCGUCUCCUUGGGUUAAUUAGUUAGCGUCGUUAUAUGUAUUUUAUCUGGGUCAAUAAACCCAAUAUUUAUGAUGCUCUUACUUUUACAAUCCAGAAUCUUCAUUCUGCAUAAUAGAGUAGGAGUUAUAUAUAGACAAUGAAUUGGAAUAACUAAACAAGUUAUAUGUAGACAGCGAAUUGAAAAACUUACGCACAAUAGCAACUCAUAAGCGAUUUGUCGAGGGCGUCGGCAUUGUACAUCUGGAAGAGUUCAUCAAAGUCGAUAUGGAUUUCUUCAGGGCGGCCGUAGUACUCCCGUGGCACACUCAGCACGAUCAUCGUUCUCCCCUUCUUUGAUUCACUUAAGUACCAUGUAUGCAAGUAACGCAUAUUUGUUGGAAGAUCAUCUUUGUUGACCAAAGGCUCACCCAUGACAAACUUUGGCUUAGGGGCUACCACAGCCUUGGGUAUCUUGUCGUCUUGGGAAGACAGCAAUUCUUCAAGCGAGAUACCACAUUGAGCCGCCAACUCCUUUGUUGUUUCUAAAGCUAGGCCCUGCACCGGAGGGGGAACAUUCUCGGUUAACACCUUGAGGGGUGGGGUCGACUGUUUGGCCUGUUGUUCAAGCUGAGGAACGUCUGAUUUUUCUUGCUUGUAGUUGAACUGCUCUUUUUCACUUCCUUCUGCAAUGUGCGUGUAUAGUCAUCAGGCUUAUGGUGUAAGUCAUAAGGUCUGAUAGGAAGAUUAGCAGACGUACCUUUGGGAGGGGCGACCGUUUGCGCUUUGGGGUGCUCUGUGGCUUAGGAAUCGUCGGCGGAGCGUUCUUGGUGGCACGCUCCCGCUUAGUAUCCGGAGCGGGCGGCGGCGGAGACAGACGACCCAAGUCCGGCGGCGGUGAUCGAGAUCUUCUCUUUUUCACUUCCUUCUGCAAUGUGCGUGUAUAGUCAUCAGGCUUAUGGUAUAAGUCAUACUGUGAUGGAAGGGUCGUGAAGUAUUUUGCAAAUGCUAUUUGCUUCUAGGUGUAUUCCGGGCGGGGCUCGGGUUCCUUCUUUUUCAUCUGCGCAUCAUGAUGUUCCUUUGCUAUCCUGGCGUUUUCCUUGGGGGUACGAUCAUAAGGUCCGAUAGGAAGAUUAGCAUGACGUACCUUUGGGAGGGGCGACCGUUUGUGCUUUCAGGUGCUCUGUGGCUUAGGAAUCGKCGGCGGAGCGUUCUUGGUGGCACGCUCCCGCUUUGUAUCCGUGGCAGGCUCAGGCUUUGUAUCCGGAGCGGGCGGCGGCGUUGCGUUCUUGGUGGCAYGCUCCYGCUUUGUNNNNNNNNNNNNNNNNNNNNNNNNNNNNNNNNNNNNNNNNNNNNNNNNNNNNNNNNNNNNNNNNNNNNNNNNNNNNNNNNNNNNNNNNNNNNNNNNNNNNGCGUUCUUGGUGGCACGCUCCCGCGUUGUAUCCGUGGCUAGGCUCAGGCUUUGUAUCCGGAGCGGACGGCGGCGGAGCGUUCUUGGUGGCACGCUCCCGCUUUGUAUCCGUGGCAGGCUCAGGGUUUGUAUCCGGAGCGGGCAGCGGCGGAGCGUUCUUGGUGGCACGCUCCCGCUUUAUAUCCGUGGCAGGCUCAGGGAUUGUGUCCGGAGCGGGCAGCGGCGGAGACGGACGACCCAAGUCCGGCGGCGAUGAUCGAGAUGGACUCGUGUUGUGCUGGCCGACGUCAUGUGGAGGGCUUGGAGGUAAUGGAGGUGUAGGUGACGUGCGAUGACUCGGAGACGGUGUUGUCCUUGGGGCUGAGCCUGGAAGCUUGAUGUAGUUCUUGUCCCAUAGGAUGACUCCACCCAGUACUUCUCCGAGUGUCCUCUCAUCUUCGGGUCCAGCUAUGUCGAGCUCCAUAUCAUUAAACCCCGUCAUGAUUUCAUCCACCCCGACUUUAGCAAAGCCAACUGGAAUCUCACGGCCAUGCCAGCGUGCAUUAGGGCCAGAAGGUAAAGCUUNNNNNNNNNNNNNNNNNNNNNNNNNNNNNNNNNNNNNNNNNNNNNNNNNNNNNNNNNNNNNNNNNNNNNNNNNNNNNNNNNNNNNNNNNNNNNNNNNNNNGAAGCGAACCAACUAUGAUUCCAAUGGAACAUACUAAACACUAGUUGAUUCUAAUACGAUUUUUCAGAUUAUGGAACACUAUUCCAAUCAGAUUGUGUUCCCCUUCAACUAAUCAAAAUUGUUUCACUACAACUAUUUGAAGGGAACCAACUAUGAUUCCAAUGGAACAUAUUAAACACUAGUUGAUUCUAAUACGAUUUUUCAGAUUAUGGAAGACUAUUCCAAUCAGAUUGUGCUCCCCUUCAAGUAAUCAAAAUUGUUUCACUACAACUAUUUGAAGGGAACCAACUAUGAUUCCAAUGGAACAUAUUAAACACUAGUUCAUUCUAAUACAAUUUUUCAGAUUAUGGAACACUAUUCCAAUUAGGAUUGUGCUCCCCUUCAACUAAUCAAAAUUGUUUCACUACAACUAUUUGAAGGGAACCAACUAUGAUUCCAAUGGAACAUAUUAAACACUAGUUGAUUCUAAUACGAUUUUUCAGAUUAUGGAAGACUAUUCCAAUUCAGUAUUGUCGUCCCUUCCCCCNNNNNNNNNNNNNNNNNNNNNNNNNNNNNNNNNNNNNNNNNNNNNNNNNNNNNNNNNNNNNNNNNNNNNNNNNNNNNNNNNNNNNNNNNNNNNNNNNNNNUUCCCUUCUCUUCUUCCACCAUGCCAACUACCUUUCAUGAGGUGGUCGCGCAUGGCACGACGAAGCUCCGUGUCGUGUACACGAACCUGAGCACGGAGGUGCCGUUUUCCUUCAACAGUUGAAGGAACGAUGGUUUAACCACGCACCGGAUCAUGAGAAGUUCUUCGGGCUGGAUCUGGAGUACACGGCCGAUCAACGCGGUGUUGCCGUCAUCCAAAUAUGCUUCGCAAGCCAUGUCUUGAUCUUUCAAUGGGCGAGGUAAGUUUUGAGGCUUUCUUUGAUCCAAGAUAAUGACAUUGUAUAAGUUUAUUUGUUUCUAUCAUAGUUGGUUCCCUUCAAAUAGUUGUAGUGGAACAAUUUUGAUUAGUUGAAGGGGANCACAAUCURAUUGGAAUAGUGUUCCAUAAUCUGAAAAAUCGUAUUAGAAUGAACUAGUGUUUAAUAUGUUCCAUUGGAAUCAUAGUUGUUUCUCUUCAAAUAGUUGUAGUGAUCUCUCUAGGUUCCAUUGCAUAUGUUCUAUUUGAAUCCUAAAGAUAAGUUUCUCUUUAGUUGNNNNNNNNNNNNNNNNNNNNNNNNNNNNNNNNNNNNNNNNNNNNNNNNNNNNNNNNNNNNNNNNNNNNNNNNNNNNNNNNNNNNNNNNNNNNNNNNNNNNUUCAGCAGUAUAGAUGGGUUACCACCUUUGGAUUUCGAGAAUACACGGCCAUAUCUAUCGGAGGGCCGGUACGGUAAAAGAGCUCUUAUUUAAACGCUCCUACAAAGGUGAACAGUACAUGCCCACCAGUCCAAAACAGUUGGCAGCGUUUAUGAUCCAGGAACGCGGCUAGUUUUUCACUCGAGCACCAUUAAUUGAAAAUGUGAAUCUCAUGAAUAAACAUGGCUCGGNNNNNNNNNNNNNNNNNNNNNNNNNNNNNNNNNNNNNNNNNNNNNNNNNNNNNNNNNNNNNNNNNNNNNNNNNNNNNNNNNNNNNNNNNNNNNNNNNNNNNNNNNNNNNNNNNNNNNNNNNNNNNNNNNNNNNNNNNNNNNNNNNGAAUAAACAUGGCUCGGGACCCACACAUUUUCGAAUAAACAUGGCUCGGGACCAACACAUUUUCAGCGUGUACUUUGUGUGGGGCGCCGCUAAAUUUGCUUGCGGCAGUCGUGUGUGGUCCUCCUGUAAACGUCGCUUAUAUUGCUCAUUGAAAUAAAAAAGGACAUGUUGUGUCGAAUUAUCUAAUUCCUUUCAUGAAAGCAAAUGUGCACUUCAAAGGAAUUUAUAUGAAAACUUUUUAUAACACUCCUAAAUUAUAAACACACCUUCAAGUGUUCAUGUAUAACGAAAACAUCGCAUGUCUCAUUUUCUUCAUAGGUGUUUACAUUUUCUUAAAAUGAAUAAAAAAAUUGUAGUGUUUGAAAUGUCUCGUGAAAGUUUACUUAAUAAAAUUUGAAACACAAAACACCGUAGUUCUGUUUAAAAUACUAAAAUACAUAAAUACUACCAACAAUGUUUCCCGUGACAGCACAUGCCCUAAUGGUCCGCACUAGUAGUGUGUUUUGAUACUUAAACGAUGCUAAGUAAUUUUUUAUAUUAAGUCUCUUUAAAAUAAAAACAACCUCAGUAAAUUCAUAAGUGGAUAUGUAACUACAAAAUGGUGCAUACUAAAGGCAUAGACACUCUUCAAGUGAAUAAAAAAAACAAAUCGAGACAAUGAAGUGAAACAAAUGACAAUACUACCAUCUUUAUCUUAAAUCGGGCACGCUUUUUUCAAAAUUCUUUGGAUUACCUGUCGAGAUACCUCUUAGGUUUGGAAGGAAUCUUUCUAAUUUUUGGUUAAAAAUACAAAGUUUAAUAUAAUGAUACCACACAAAGUUCCAAAUUUUUAGAUUGUGUUUACAUUAAAAAAAUUCAAACCCCAAACAUUUAGCAGCGUUCUCCUUCCAGAAGUACGCUGCCAUAUAGACGCGACGUUAGAGCAUCUACAGUUGUACAUAGCAAAUAUGACCCCCUAAAUGUUUAUGGACGCACCCGGUCAGUGACCGGGCAUGUCUGAUAUUUGUCCGUCUGCGCAGUCAGAUUUUUCUUAUUUUCUUCCUCAUAUGUCCGGUCACUUGCACGUGAUUGAUCGAGUGGAAGAGAGAGAAAGAAAACGAAUAAAGAAAGAGAAAAGAUGGUUUGGAUGAGUCGCGCCCUAUGUGGCGGACUGACCGGUGAGCCGGGCGCGUCCGCGAGCCCUCAUAUGCUCCCUAUAUUUGAUAUGGAUAUGAGGAUUUGCGGAUAGUCCAGACGUAUAAGGAUGAUAUGAGGGGUCAUGUACGUUCAUUGACCGGCCGUGUACAUGGAUAUGAGGGGUCGUUUAAGGCGUCCGGCUAGAGAUGCCCUUAGAGCACCUACAAUCGGACCCCUCAAAUCCAUCUCAAACGUUUGGACUGAUCGGCACCCUCAUAUCCAUCUCAAAUAUGAGGACGAUAUGAGAGCUCGCAGACGCGUCUGGACACGCCUGGCGAGUCCGCCACCUAGGACCACUUUUUCUCUUUGUUUAUUUAUUUUUUAUUUCUUUUUCUUCUUCUCCAUCAAUCACAUGUAACCGAUCGGACAUAUAAGAAAAAAUAUGAAAAGUGCGAUUGCACAGAUAAAAAGUAGAGUCUUAAAACAAACACGGUCGAUCAUUGAUUGUGCACGUCCGCACGCGUUUGAGGGGGGCAGAUUUGCAUGUUCCGUCUGUAGAUGCUCAUAGCAGCCAAGCCGGCACGUAGGUUAGCAGUGUUCCUAUAUUUCGCACGUGGUUGGCUGAUAGAUGAUAGGCAUACAAGCCAUCACCCGGGCUUAACCCCCCUCCCCUCUCUCGCUCCGCCGAACCCAUUUGUAUGUCGCCGGCCGAUCGACGCCGAUUCUGACAUCGUUGUGCCCGUUCUUCCCCACUCGACUUGCAUAUGCCAGCGGCACAUACAGUGCCGCCCUGCGGCAGGCUCCUCUCUGCUCCACAACGUCAUGAGUUCGAUCCAUCUGGCCUCGACUGUACGAAUGCGCUUGACGUUGUUCCAAACUAAUUAACAAUGUAUAUACUUGACGUUGUAUAUACCCGAACAGAGGAUACAACACAGCUAAACCCACCAAACCAAAAGAGCGGCAACCGAACCAAAAGAGGUACAGAGAAAGUACAUGUCAGCGGUUAACAACGAUGAUAACAUAAGUAGAAGUAGUAGUUUCAAUUUCGACGACAGAUAUUCAAUUAUUCAUUCCGCAGCAGUUUCUUGGGACACUGACGACGAUGCAUACAUUAGCAGGAACACUAGCUCAUGGGCUGAAGAACGCCGGUGGCGGUGGACGUGGACGAGGGGCGGCGCCAUGGAAGGAGGUGUCCUUGAGGUGGUCGGGGGCGCUCUCGUACGAGUGCCUCCUCGCCAGCGAGAGGAUGGUCUUGUCGGCGGCGACGAAGUAGGCCAUCCCGGCGACGGUGCAGAUGAUGAGCGCCUGGCCGGUGGGGUUCAGGUUCGCCUUGGCCCACGGCAGCAUCCUCACGCUCGCCAGCUGCGUGAUUAAUAGUAGUUCAGUUAUGGAAACCAGAGUCCAACGUGAACGAAAAUCAACAAGUCAUGUUAGACAAAGGAGCUAGCUCACCGUUGCCGCCGCAGACGCGACCGUGGCGAGGGCCGCCGCCUUUGCUCCGGCGAGCGUCGCCUCUGAGGAAGAUUGACAAAAUAAACGCAUUGCUACUGUCAGACUAGCAGUAAACAACUUGGAAAGCGUGAUUCAGCUGUGGAUCCUGGUUAUUUAUUACCUCUGGAGCAGCGUUUGGCGAGGGCGAGCUUGUUCUCGGGGUUGGCGCCGGUGACGGUGGCCGUCGACGACAUCUUGGCCGUGAUCUUGUACAGAAACGGCUCAGUACAAGGAGUGCGAUAGAGUGAGAUGAGAUGCGCUGCCUGGCUUGUUGUUGCUUGAUGCCUCCAGGACGAGGAGCUAGCCAUGUAUUUAUAGCGAGCAAAAAGGUGGCCGCCACGCACGGUUUUGGGCGGAAACCGUGGGUGCUCUCUCUGCUCACUCGUUUGGACUUGGAGUGCGGAACUGUAUCCAAAACUAUGGUAGGGAUCCAUAGGAUUGAUGAUGUUUGUUGGUAGUAUCCUCCACUGCGCCCUCGUCUUUCUUUACACACUAAAGAUCUAAAGUUAGACAUCACAGUGCCGAUCUCAUCACAAUACAUAUAAAACUGUGGGAUGAGAAACGAAACAGAGCAUGUGCGGCUGCAAGUGCCGCCAGUUUCACUCGUGGUCGUGACUCGUUUCGGCGAGCGGCACCUUCCAGUUUGCGGGGGAAACCGGCGGCAUGUGCGCCCCAGCCUGACCAGCCCUUCUCUUUGUGAGAGCAUCUACAGCCGGACUGGUAAAUUCAGUCCCCGAUACAUCCGCCGAUGCGCCGUGGACAACGUUCGCCGGCCCUCUACAUAUUGCGUCACAUAUUUGUAUCCUCAUACACAAUAAUCAAUCAUAUAUAUCAAUCAUCUGAUAUAGUUUAUUUAAUUUCAAUAUUUUAAAGGGUUUGGCUAGAACUCAUCUAGAUGAUAUAUAAUUUGAUCUCAUUCAUUUUUUUAUGUUAUAUUACUAUUUCUUUCUUGUGCUAUUUUUUUGUGUUAAUAUGUUAUGUUGGCUCGGCUGGGCUUGUUUUUACUACGUAGCUAUAUAAUUCUCUGUGUCUUGUUGUUUUUUCUACAUUUGCAUGGCUGGAAUAUUUGAGGAAAAGGAAGAAAAUGCUUACACGCAAAUCUUCUGCGCAUGUCAACUAGGAUAUACGAUGCAUCAUGUUCACGGCUGCUUGUGUCUUUUUCUUUUUUGCAUUUGCAUGUCUACUGAUGCACAUGCAACUAGUCCGACAACCCUCAUCCCGAACCCACUUGCAAUCUCUUUGCAUCCAAUGCAAUUGCAGCCGGGUUUCAACGUUGCACAUGCAACUGGUUUGACAACCCCCACCCCUAACCCAGUUGCAGUCUCUUUGCAUCCAGUGCAAUUGCAGUGGGGUUUCAAUACUUGAAGUUGCACGUCUACUGGUGCACAUGCAACUGGUCUGAUAACCCCUGUCCCGAACCCAGUUGCAGUCUCUUUGCACCCAGUACAAUUGCAGCCGGGGUUUCAAUGCUUGAAGUUGCAUGUCUAGUAGUGGACAUGCAACUGGUCCGACAACCCCCGUUCCGACCCCAGUUGUAGUCUCUUUGCACCUAGUGCAAUUGCAGUCGGGUUCCAAUGCUUGAAGUUGCAUGUCUAGUAAUGGACAUACAACUGGUCCGACAAACCCCGUCCCGACCCCAAUUGCAGUGUCUUGCACUCAAUGCAAUUGCGGCUGAGUUAUAAAUGUUUGAAGUUGCAUGUCUAAUGUUAGACAUACAACUAGCCCGAUAAUCCUCGUUCGAUGUCAAUUGUAAUAUCUUUGUGAUCGCACUGCCUAAUGAGAAAGAAAAUCUGGGAACACAAAAUACAAGUAUAAAAAAAUUAUUUUCUAGUACAUUUAAAAAGUUAACCAAAUUUCAUCUUAGUAGAAAUUAGUUUAAAAAAUCUUUAAAUGUUCUCUUCCAACCAAACAAUGAAAACAAAGUAGAAAAUGAUAAAUAUUGAAAAAAUAAAGGUAAAAUAGGAAUAAUGGAUAAAAAAUGAAACAACAAAGAAAACCAAAAUGCAGGAAAAAAAAGUCGCUUGUUCCCUAUGGCCUAGUAUAAAGAGAAAAAAGAACUAACAUAACUGUCAUAAGCCCACACAAGUCCAGCGGACAAAAGCCCAUCACGGGAAAAAGGUGCGGCGAGGCGAAUAGAUGGGCAGCCUCAUCGCGAGGCGACUCGUCACUUCUACAAAACUCAAAUCCGGAUGUGAUUGAAUCCUAGGGUUAAAAAAGUGAAUGAGACCAAAAAAAAUCUCAGCUGAAUGAGUUUUAGCAAAACCGUAUUUUAAAACAAAAUCAAAUGAAAUCAUAGUUCGACAAGCUGGACAUGGUAAAAUAAAAUUAAUGUCCGAGCGACAAGGGAUGCCUUUUUGAUCAUUAGGUGAACAAAUUCAUCCAUGCAUCCCUGCUCGUCCAACUUGUCAUUUUCCGCCUCGGCAAUCAUCUCCGCCUGCAUUUGGAAUGUCUGCUCCGCCUGCAUCAUAGUCGGCCCCGACCUCGGGCAGGGACCCGGAGCGGCGCCAUGCGGCGUUCACACUGCACCGACGGACAAGGCGCCCCUCAGGCUGUCAUGUUUCCCGGCGAGUCCGCCUGGGGCCAAGCCGUGAGCACGACAUGGCAGGCGUGCCUCGGCGUGCCCGGGCUCCCCCAUAUCCGCCUCAUAUUUGGGUUGAAAAUGGGAGGUCAGAGUCAGCCCGGACGUUUUAGGUCGGUUUGAGAGGCCCGUCCGGAUCACAAUUUUGUGAUCGGGCAGUGAUCGAGCGGACUGCCCGGGGGUUUGAGGGGUCCGAUUGUAGAUGCUCUUACAGCCGGACCUCUUAACCCCCUCUCAAACGCCCGGUUAGUGACUAGUCACAGAAAAGCGACCCGGACUUCUUAAACUGAGACUCAAACGCCGAGGCUGAUCCUCACCCCUCAUAUACAACCCAAAUAUGGGGCGGAUAUGGGGACUCACGUACGUGCCCGCCAUGUCGGACGCGAUAGCCCGACCCCAUCAUAAUUUACACAAAAUGUACCAAACCCUUCGUCCUCCCCCGCCUCCCUACUGCCAUUACCGUGCCCAAGCCCUCGCCAUCCCGCCCCCUUGCUUGCCAUCCUCAACACCGGCUUCUAUCCAUCGUCGUAGAUAACGUCCAGUUCAUCCCCAACCGCCUUGUCGGAGGCUGUGACCGCCUCGUUCGUCGAUGUCCGAUCCUCGACUUCGUCGUGCAUGCCGGAGAAUAUCACCCUGAAGAUGCGGCGGCGGCAUCGUAGGGAGCUGCGAAUAUGAAAUAGCAGCUCCCCCCCUCCCCCUCCCUUCGCCGCGGCAGGAACCCCGCAUCCCGUCCAUCAUUCCGUCGACGCGAAUUGCACCGUCGGACCAUGUUGGCAUGUCCGGAUUGUUGAAUUAUCAUUUGUUUUGAUUUGUCUUGAACUGUUGAAUUCAAACAAUUUGUAUCGUAUGAUCGAUGUGCAUAAAGAACAUACCCGGAUAUCUACUCCCGGAUUUGUCAUGAAUAUAAAACAUGAUGAUAGUAGAUAUUCAUGGCCUAAAGAACAUACCCGGAUGAACAUGAUGAUAGUAGAUAUGCAUGCCUGCAGGAGCAGUUUCUGGGACACUCACGACGAUCGAUGCAUGCAUUAGCUCAUGGCCUUAAGAAUGCCGGACGAACCGCGGCGGCGCCAUGGAAGGAGGUGUCCUUGAGGUGGUCGGGCGCGCUCUCGUACGAGUGCCUCCUCGCCAACGACAGGAUGGUCUUGUCGGCGGCGACGAAGUAUGCCAUCCCGGCGACGGUGCAGACGAUGAGCGCCUGGCCGGUGGGGUUCAGGUUCGCCUUGGCCCACGGCAGCAUCCGGACGCUCGCCAGCUGAACGGCAUGAAUCAACAGUUACAUAUAUAUACUUACAUCUCGAUCAAACUAAUCUCCUUGAUUGACUACUUGAAACAGAGACUGAUUAACAUGCAUGAAGAU